GCAUUUGGCCUUCCAAAUCCUCAAAGUUAAGCCCGGAACAAUUCCCAUCUGCCAUUUCCUUCCCACUGAUCAUAUUGUCUGGGUUCCGAACCACAAAUCUGCAUGAUCAUCACUUAGCACUGUACGUAUAAUAACCUUUACCCCUGUAUAAUUAUCUCCCUACUCUACUUAUUUCUGCCUCUUCAUGUGGUGUAAGAUAUAUGAUGAGAUGAAGUUUUUGGGAUUAGUGGUCGGGUUGCCUUAAAAACACAGAUUACAGAAACUGCUUGAACUUAACCCGAUCAUGUUUUCUCUUGUACUCGUAAAGCAUGCUGUUGUGGUUCUACUUAAUUUCGUCCUCCCCAAUGUUUGAGUGUUUAAUUGUUACGUUGGAAUAGGCUGCUAAUGCAUGUAGUUAGAGAAGCUUUCAUUUAUAUCAAAGUCCUCAAACUAUCAAGAAUUAAUGCAUCCAGAAACAUAUAUACCAAGACGCAAAACAACAUAUUUUCCAUGCUGUGUCGGUAACACCAAAGCAAACUUCCUUUAUCACAAAAGGACCAAAUUCCAAUACUAAUCUAAUCCAUCAUGUAAAGCAUACAAUCUACAACUGCCUCCCUAAAUUUGUCCAUUGGAUAUAUAUGUCACUUUUUGGUAAUUUGGUAUAGCAGCACCACGUAGUAUGCAUUUAACAGAAAAGUAAACAAAAUUGACAGUAGAACUAUUUGUCCUAACGAAACUGAAGUUGAAAGACCAUGAGAACGAUUUUGAAAAUUAAGGGACUCAAAUGAAAAUUGGGUCUAAGUUCAGGGACCAAUAAAACGAUUAACCCAUAGAUUUUGGAUCCAGUACCACAUCCCAAAGAGAAAACCACAAGUUUGCAAGCAAGUUUGUCCAUACUAACACUACGUACAGUAUGGGCAAUGUGCUAGACUCAUCUCACUUUCUCAACCUAUCCUAUACUUGUCUAAAAGAGUUUCUAAUUUAAUGUACUGAGAUUUACGAAAGAAAUAUCAGAGAAACAAUUUUCAGGCAAUAAAAAAAUGUCUUGGCAAGAAAAUGCACAAUUUGUUACAUAACUUAUUAAAUAUGAACAGUUGAAAGAAAAAAGAAUUUGGAUGAGGGAUUUGCAAAUUCCUAUGGCCCAAUUACCUUUUUUUCUUUGUUUUUUUUUGGUUCUUUUGAUCCAGUAGCAUAUUCCAAAGAAUGAAAACCACAGGCAUGCAAUGCAAGCUCUUUUCCCAUGUUUUCCUCUGUUUUUCUCCUAUCAUGGAAGUGAUUAAAACACACCUCUAAGCUUGUUUUGCGUUUGGUAGCCGAGUGUAAAAGCUCAAUGCAAGAUAGUUUGAGGUAGAAUUUUCUCCUGUUUUAUUAGGACAAUGAUGAGCUAUAUGUGACAACAAAUUGCUUUAAUAAUGAAAAUUAAAAAAGUGUGAUUCAUUGAAUAUUUGCGGGGUUUUGUUCAGAGCUGACAAAGUUCUAAGUCAACACAUCAAAUUCCUUUUUCCAACAAUCGUAUUUGAUUCACAAUUUUGUCUGAUAUACAUCACAUCAUGACACUUGCAUCAAAUGAAUUUAAUUGAGUGAGGCAAUGGGAAGUAAUUAAGCUCUAUAUUGGUGGGUGGAGUGUUACUUCUGGAAUCCUAAUCAUUCGUCCCUACAGGACUCUAGAACUCUCACACUUCUUACAAGGACUACUUAACUCUAUAGCUUAUUGCAUAUAGCAUAUAUAUGCAAACCCAAUUAGAAAUUCUACAACAGAAGCAAGAUCAAUCUCACUAUGCCUUCUAAACAAACAAACAAAUAAAACAAGCAUAUUAAUUGCUUUAAUCACUCUACUAACAUCAACACAGCACACUUAGUUUACUAACAGAUGAUAUAGAAAGGAAAAAAAAGGACCAAUAGGGAGAAAAUGGUGAACUAAGGAGAGACUAAUACUUCUGGUCCUUAGAAGGCAUAACAGAAAUAAUAGAGCACACUGCUUGAAUGCAAGUCAGUAUUAGGAGCAAAACAGCUGCAAUGAAAGAAAUAGUUGCCCAAGGUGUAUUGAAAUAAUGUUGCCUCAAAUUUGCCUUCCAUUUGUUCCAAGGCUUUCUGCAGUAGCUAUUAAGGCGCUCAGAAAGAGUAGCAAAGUAGAAGCUUUCACGAUACACUGCAAUUCCUUUUCCGAGGUUGUUAAUCAGAGUGCACACCUCAUUGUAGUCACCAAGCAUAUUUUUGACAAUCCCAUACUUCAGAAGGAACUCCACAUCCUUUUCGGUGUUCACAAACUCAUCCAUGAGUGAAACAUAAUCACUUAUGUAAUUCUUACGGCAAUGGCACUAUUCAAAGGCAAUGAGGUUAUGGAGUGUGAGCUCUGUGUAAUCGUUUAUUUUUAGUUUUGGAAUUUCUAGAAUCCCAUCGUUGAAUCGUGUUAACGCAGCUUUCCUUUCCUAGCCUACGCGGAAGUCAACUUCACAAUCUCCUCCUAGCAAUUAGCCUUUCCUACUGUAAAUCGGAUUGUAUUCAUGUCUAUAUUAUUUCCUACCUUAAAUAGAUAUCCUGUACUAGUAUACAUAGGGACUUUGUGUAAUCUGUUAAAUACAAGGAAAUAUAUACUCUACAUGGUAUCAACCUAACCUAGGGUUCUCUCUCUCCCCCUUAUUCGAUCCUCUUCUCCUUUAGGUCCACCUCAUGGCUUCGUUUGAAUCCACCAUCUCCCUCCCAAGCCCUAACUCUUCUCAUUUUAUCAAGCUUACUAACUCCAACUAUCUUCUUUGGCUCCGCCAACUCAAACCCUUUUAGUUGGCCAUGACCUCUGGAAAUUUAUCGAUGGCAUUCAUAAACAACCUUCUGCCCACACCUCCACCUCUACCACCACAACACCCACAACCACCACCACUCUUACCGAAAUCAAUCCUACCUAUGCUCAGUGGUACCAACAAGACCAACUCAUUGUUAGCUACAUCACCAGUACACUCUCUGAGUCCAUUUUCUCUCUCACUGUCGGUUGCAUCUCUGCCCGGGAUCUCUGGGAGUGUCUCCAAUGCCACUUCUCUUAAUCCAAUAUGGCCAGUGAAUCUGCUCUUCGUUUUCAACUCAUGGAUUUGCAAAAAGGCUCUCAACCCAUUGAUGCUUACCUUCGUCAUGCUAAGUCUCUUGCCGAUUCACUAGCUGCCAUCAAUUAACCUGUCUCCCCAAAAGAACUUGUCACUGCUGUGCUUCGGGGUUUAGGACCCGAUCACAAAAUGCUCAUCACAGCAAUUCUCAAUUUCUCUCCGCUUCCAGACUUUGCUGAUCUUCGUGCUCGUUUGUUAGCUUUUGAUGCACAGACUCCUCGAAUCUUUCCUGAUCAAAACACAACGCUAAUGGCCACCCAAUCUUCUCCUUACACCACCGGUCAUACUUCCUUCCCUUCUCACCGUGGUUGUGGCUCUUCCAGCAAUAGGCGCGGUGGCUGGUGCAGUAUUGGCCGUGGUGGCUGGCACAACUUCUCAUCUUCCUAGAGCAACCCGUGGAAUGGCUUCCAGCAGCCCUAAUGACCUAAUCAACUGUGGCCUCCUUUUGCUCUAAGUUUUGGAUCUCAAAGCAACUGGCCUUCCUUUCAACCUCUUUGGGCCCAAUCUGCCGCUUCUAGCAAACACUCUGCCCGACCCAACUCAGCUCCUGGUGUCUUGGGACCCGCUUGGUGCACCACAUGCAAUACCAAUCGACAUACUACUACAACAUGUCCUUAUUGCUACAAUGGCCCAGAAUUCUUCCUUUGCUGGGGCUCAAUUCAUGCAGCCACCUAACUCUACAUGGUACCCUGACACAAGUGCCACUCAUCAUAUGACUGGUAGUUCUUCUAAUCUCCAAAGGAAAUUAAAUGAAGGAGUCCUACGAAGGCUCAAGGCUCGAAAGCACACGAUCCGGCUCUGCUGCGGAGCUCACUCAACUACUGGCUGAGGGGGCGCAAAACAGAAAAUUGUGAGUGGACAAAAAUAAAAAUUCAGUUCAGUGUAAACCAACGUAAUAUAACCCCACCGUUUAGAAAACCAUGCAAGAAAUCCAAAUGCAUCUCAAAACCAUCAUAAUCAUCAAAUCAAAAUCAAAUACUGGAUGCCAAGUCCGAAAUCCAUAAAGAAAGCUUUACAAACCCACCAUCCAAAUCUUACAAUCCCACAACUAAACUCUCGAAAGCGUACCCAUUGGCAGUACCAGCAAGGAAGUAUCCUCACCGAGAAACAAGAACAAAAGAAUAGCUAUAUAUAUAAUUAUAUAAUAUAACCACACCUAGUUGUACCGGGAAAACAAUCCAACCGGGGGAUUGUUUGACUAGUCACCAUGGCAGAGUCAAAGUAAACAAAUUCCUCAAUUCACCAUGUGACUAGGGAACGAGCUGUCCAACUGGGGGACCAACUCUCAGCCAGCAUGUACCGUCGAUAGCCUCAAAACCCGUACGUCUGUGACCAGUCCUACGCGUGCAGACUACCCAAUCAAGGGUUUACAGCAACAUCCCAUCAAGGAUGCCCUAGGUUCCCACAAUUCCAAGUAUCUCAAGUUUGCGUAUCCAAGUUCCAAAUCCGGGGAGGUACAUAGGGUAGUGCUUAUAGCACUCCAAAUUGACAUUCUAUACUCAUCACUUUCCACAAUCUCAUCUCAACAACCUAAGUACCCCACACAUAGCCAAACAUAUAUAGAAAUUCUCAAAAUCCAUAUAUACAUACUCAAGAUACUCAAAUAUGUCAAAAUCCAAAAUAUAUUUCCAAUGCAUCAUAAAAAUAUCACUUUUAACAAUUGAAUAAAUAAUAUAUAUCCAAUAUACCAAUUAAAACAUCAUGCAUAAUAUUUCCCAUCAUAAAAUCAUGCAUAAGAUUUGAAAACAAAGUCCACUCACAAGUAGUCCCACACUGCUUGACCUUGAGAGGGUCCCGCCUACUGCGUAUGCGUGGUUGGAGUACCUAUUUCAGAAUACGUAUACGAGAUUAAUAAGAAGCGUUUCGAACGAGAACUUUGAAUUAAAUAUCCUAAUUUCCCAGGUUUCUAGUAAGUGUACUAGGAACGAGACGUUCUAAGGUUCCACUACCCAAUUCGAACCAUGGAAGAGCUUCGGGAGACACUCGGUCAACCGGCGGUCAAAUUCCCAAAUCGGGUCAACUGGCCCACGGGACCCACGACCUCCGUUUUUAAAAUCCGUAAGUUCCUAAAGGUUUCACAAUGUCUAAGAUACUACUAUCACAAGUUUGGUCCGAAACGGACUGUUAGAUCGCUUACGAUCGCACGAUCAGACGGUUAUUGUAAAACGUAAACUUUAAGUUAUUGAAUCAGAACAUCCGGGGCUCCGAUUCACGAUCCGCGAAUUCCUACACGAUCCUAGGAAGGUCUAGAGUAACAUAUAUUGGAAUGGAGUCGAUCCAAAGGUCCGAACAUAUCGAACCUAGACCGGAUAACUCCUAAUAUGUGAGAUUCGUUCGGGGUUCGAACAUCAACCAAAUUGGAAUCCUAAGGUACCUACGUGCUCGUGACAUUAAGGGGAUCAAUUGGGACAAAAAUGCCCCUCUGCUACAGUGCCCACGUGCCACCACACGCGGCGGUAGAGAGUGGGUGUCCAAAGCGAUUUCUCUUCGCCGGAAAAUCUCCAAAUUACAAGCCACUCUCCUGGCUACAGGUUCUACUCAACGAGUGGAACACUUUAUUCAACUACAGCCAAGUCCAAUUCGGACGGCAAGUGGCCGGAAACUCACGGUUUAACCCGGAACUUCAUGGCUUGGAUUGGGCGACCAUCGUCACCAUUGUCGUGGCACAACCUAGGAAAUAGCUAAAAGGAGAGGAGGGCUACCUAUUCCAAGCGAUGGCGCAGCUCGCGGUAGCCGAAAAUGUAGCCGAUGACGUUGGCAGUUUUGGCCGGUUUUUCACGUCGUUGCCAUCGCCGUUUGUCGAGUUUUCGAUUGGAGAAAAGGGGUGGGGUGAGUAGAGGAGGAAGAGAGGAAGCUUUUGCAAGAAAUGACACUUGUCAGGGAGGGGGGGGUUGGGGGAAGAGAGAGAGAGAGAGAGAGAGAGAGAGAGAAAAAAAAAAAAUUUCAGAUUUUCAUCCAAACCCUUUUCGAAAUAUUUACAAGUUUGCCACUAAACUACUUUUGGUUGCCAAAUCUUCGUUAUAACUCCGAUUCAAGCCUACCACGUGUCUACGGAUUCGUCUCAAUACAACCUACCCAAAAAUACCAGUCACUGCCCCAAACUCUUUUUGGGUAAGAAAAUGACCAAAAUACCCCUACCCCAAGGGUAAAUUCAUAAUUUCACUUCAAUAAUUUAAUAAAGAAUUAAAUUUGGAGUCGGGGUGUUACAUUAACUACCUGUUUAGUAGGUGUGGGGUUUUAUACAAAAAGCAUCGAUGUUAUUGGGAGUGGAACCACUUAUUAUAAGUUGUGAUUUAUUUAGUCAAGUUUCCUAUGUGGGAUUUUCUAUUCUUCAACAAGCCCCCUCAUGUGGGACCACCACAUAGUGGGCCACAUGUAAAGCUAAGUCCACAUCGGAGUCAAUCAUUCAAGCCCAAUACCUAAACACCACGUAUUGUGUGAGGGGUAGGGGUAAACAUUCAAGCCCAACAUGUGAACCACCAAAUAUUAAGUAAGGGUAAAGGCUCAAUUCAGGCCCAAUCAAUGAACCCAUUAUGAUAUCAUGUUAAAUUUCAGAUAGACGGGACUGUGGCCCACCACUAGCAACAUUGAUAUUGUCCCCAACUUAACUACAUGUUUAGUAGGUGUGGAGUUCUAUACAUAAGGUCUCGAUGUUUUUAGGAGUGGAACCACUUAUUAUAAGUUAUAAUUUAUUUAGUCAAGUUUCCAGUCAACCUGACUUUGAUACCAUGUUAAGAUUUUAAAGGGACGAACUCUUGGCACUAUUAGUAACAUCGACAUUGUCCCCAACUUAACCACCUGUUUAGCAAGUGUGGGGUUUUAUCCUAAAGGCCUCGAUCUUAUUAAGAGUUGAGUCAUUUAUUAUAUGGAACUUUCUAUUUUGUUAACUCUGUGUAUUCUUCAUCAAUGUGAACACCCCUAAACCAAUCAUACCUGAUACGAAUUGAAACACAAGUUUGUUUUUUGCCUUUGGUAGAUGAGUAGCUAGAAAAGCUCAAUGCACUUGCUCUUCUGCUACAUUUCAAUAUAAGAACAAGGUUUGGAAGUCAGGUCAACUCCUCAUAGCUUCCUUGCCUUUGCUUUGACAUGUCUAUGCACUUCUUGGGGAAGUUUGAAUAAUCCAUUGCAGGCCCCAUGACAACUAAGGAACCAACAUUUUGUAGAAGGUUUUGUCUAUACCUUUUGACUAUAAGUAAAAUCUUUUGUAUCUGCUCUUAUGUUUCGGUGAAGUUUCUAUGUGUCCUUUGUGCCGAGUUUCUAUGCGUCCUUUGUUGAACCAAAAAAUGAGGUUGUUUCUUACUAGAUUCAAAUACUUAAAAGAAAAAAAGAAAUUGUUGUUUCUUAAUGGAUUUUAUGAUGAACAAUAUCAAACUCUCCUCUUAUACGUCUGUUGGUAAAUUUUAACAACAAUAUUAAAACCUUGCAAGUGCACAAAUCAAAUGAUAGUAUAGUAAGCAAGCAAGGGUCGAUCCCACGGAGAUUGUGAUCUAAAGAGAUGUUUAUCAAUGUCACGCAAUGAAAAUCAAAACAAAGGACUUCCAAACACACGCCAACACCAAGGGGGGUUUUGAUUUGUUUUUGUGAAUCAAACAAAAUAAGGAAAAGGAAACAAAAGAGAAUUUAAAUUAGAGUUUAAGAGAAAUUGGUUUAAAAUCAAUCAAGAUCAAUAGCUAGGACUUACUAUCCACCUCCAAACAAUCAAUCAAUCCAUAAACAACAAUAGAUAAUCAAUUUCUAGUAAGCACACUACUACAAAAAAGCAAAAAGACGACGGUAAAUCACCGUCGUGUAUUCGGUUUUUCAAUGGUCGUGGAAUCCACCGUCAUCUUUUCCCUCAUAAACCACGACGCUAAAUCACCGUCGUUGUUACAAUAUACAACGUCAUCAACAAAUACAAAACGACGUCUUUGUACUGCAAAAAGAUCUAAAAAAGCAAUCGAUGAUGAGAAAAGACGACCAACUCUCUAAACAAACCGUCGUUAAAAAGAAAAAAUAUGACACAUAUUAACAGAACAUGGCCGCAAGAUAGACAUACAACGACGAAAAUUAAAAUAAGACGCCGUUAAAUAUCAUUUUCACGACAAUAAAAAAUAUGUCGUCUUUAAAUACAUUAGAAGACGACGUUAUUGAUACCUACUACGUCGCCUAUAUAAAAAUAACCGUCGUAAAAUAAAUUUUCCACUUCGAUUUUUCUAUAAAAGAUGACGUGGAAAUAGUUGUCAGUGUCAUUAUUUACGACGUAUGUAUUUAUAGAGUAGACGUUGAACAACGAAACAACGUCGGUUACAAAUAUAUGAGAGUCGUAUUACAAAAUUUAUACGUCCUAUUUUCAGAAACAAACAACGACGAUAAAUAUUAGACGUUGUUAAAUAAAACAACGUCGAAAACAAAUAAAAACAGACGUGUUUAGUCUGCUAAAGUUCUAAAAAAUAGUCGAGGAUGAGAAUAGACGACCAACUCAAACAAAUCACCGUCGUUAAAAAGGAAAAAUAUGACACAUAUUAAAAGAACAAGGCCGCAAGAUAGACAUACAACGACGACAACUAAAACACUACGCCGUCAAAUAUAAUUUUCACGACAAGAAAAAAUAUGACGUCUUUAAAUACAUGAGAAGACGACGUUAUUGAAAUAUACUACGUUUCUUAUUUACAAACAACCGUCGUGAAAUAAAUUUUCCACUUCGAUUUUUCUAAAAAAGAUGAUGUGGAAAUAGUUGUCAGUGUCAUUAUUUACGACGUAUGUAUUUAUAUAGUUGACGUUGAAAUGCGAAACAACGUCGGUGGCAUUUAUAUAGUCGACGUUGUAUUUAUAUGUAUUCAUUACUCACGACGCACUUAUUAAUAUAGACGACGUUGAACUUCUAAACAACGUCGGUUCCAAAUAAAUGAGAGCCGUAUUACAGAAAAUAUAGAUGGCGUUGAUUAUGAUGAGAGCCGUAUUACAAAUAACGUCGUUUAAUUGAUAUUAGACGGCGGUUAUAAUGAAUUACCGUCGGAAUUCAUUUCGUUCCUCUUCGUUUAUAAAAGAACUUGCGACGUGGAAAAUGUAUGAUGACGUCGUAUUUUUUAACGUUCAGAUUAUAUAUCUCGUUUUUUAGACGUCGGUAUUAUGGGAUUGGAGUCGUGUUAUUUUGAAUUACAUGGCGGUUCUUAAUCCUUCCCCGACGUGAUAUCCUGAAUAAUUGCUUCAUAAUAGCGUCGUGGUUCUUCAUUGUUACGUUGCUUUAAGACGUCGGUAAAUAUGCUGAAUAACUGGUUCACAAUAACGUCGUGUUUUAUUUGAACGUAGAAAGUGAAGAAAUCACAUUACAAUAUAUUACAAAAUUAAUGUCAUACACUGCCAAUUACAUAAGCAUCAUUCAAUCCAUAUAUCUUCACACCCAUCUCGAAUAUUUUGACCGCCUAACUCACCCACCAGUUCAUCAAAUGUGUCAACAUUUGGCAUCCCUCUAGUAAAUGGCUCACACUCAAUUAUCACAUCACCUAAGACUUCAUCACCAAUAACAUUAUUAUAUUCUCUAUUAGGCAUUGAUAACACUACCGACCAACCACGAUGCAUCGGGUCGUCAACAAAAAAUAUUUGUUUGACUUGAGAAGCCAAAACAAAUUGGUCAUUCCUAUGUCCAAUUUUACUCAAAUCUACAAGGGUAAAUCCAAGUUCGUCGACUACAAGACCAGAACUAUCUAUCCAAUCACACCUAAAGACUGGGAUUGUAAACUUUUGGUAGUCAAGGUCCCAAAUUUCUUGAAUGACACCAUAGAAACCCAUAUUUGAGAGAAUUGAGUUUUUAUCCUUGGCACUAGCAACUUGCAUGGUAUGUGCAAGUAAAUAAACUCCACUAUUUUGAGUUGUCCGCACAUCAUCUUGUGCCUUGAUAUUGAAUUUAAUACCUUUAAUAAGAUAGCUCCUAUAUAAUGGCACAGCCAUGUUUGGACCAGCUGCUAGCCACCUUAAAUUUUCUGAUACGCCAUGAUUGUCUUCCUCAAGUUCACUUUGAACCUGCAAAUUAAUCAUAUAUCUUAAUGCAAUCUAACAUAGAAAUAAGAAGAAAAUUAAAAGAGAAAUAUGUUAUUCAACAACAUAUACCUUGAAGCGUAGCCAUUGAAUGAAAGUGUUAUUGUGCUUAUCCUGCAGCCACUUUGUGAUUUAAGGUAUGACAAUCAUGUGAUUUAAGGCCAAGAAGUCUUGAAUCUUGUAAAGAUACAAGAUUUUUAAUAUUUGAAGAAUAACCUUCAGGGACCUUCAUACCAUAGAAAGAAUUGCAAACCUCUCUCUUCUCUGCUCUUGACAAAUUCCAAGGCCCAGGAGGCAAACGAGUACGUCUUUCUCCAUACUCGGGUUGCAAAUCAGUUUUGACCCCCAUGUUCAAUAAAUCUAAUCGAGCAGCAAUCCCAUCUUUAUUUUUUCCAGGGAUCUCCAGCAAUGUACCAAUGAUACUAUCGCAAACAUUCUUCUCAAUGUGCAUAACAUCUAGGGCAUGCCUCACAGGAAGGUAUUUCCAAUACUCGAGAUCAAAGAAUAUUGAUUUCUUCUUCCAACAAACUCUGUCACCAUUUUCAACCAUGUGCAGCACUUCUUCUCCGGUUAAUGGCUCGGGAGGUAUGCCAUAUUCAGGUUUCCCAUUAAAAGCUGCACGUUGCCUCCUAUAUGGAUGAUUGAUUGGUAACCAUUUUCUAUGCCCAAUGUAACAAAUUUUGUGGCCAUUUUCAACCUGUGACUAGGUGUAUCAUCGCCGCAUAUUGGACAAGCUUUAUAUCCUUUAACAACACAACCAGAUAAGUUUCCAUAGGCGGGGAAAUCAUUAAUUGUCCACAUUAAUGCAGCUCUGAGUGUAAAGUAUUCUCCAUUAUGUGCAUCAUACACUCCUCUAAUCCCAUCCCACAAAGAUUUUAAAUCAUCAAUCAAAGGCUCCAAGUAGACGUCUAUAUCAUUUUCGGGUUGUUUAGGACCGGAAAUCAAUAAGGUUAACAUCAUGAACUUUCGUUUCAUGCACAGCCAUGGAGGGAGAUUAUAUGUAACUAAGAUAACCGGCCAACAACUAUAUCUGCUACUUAGAGAACUGUGGGGAUUGAAUCCAUCAGAUGAAAGAGCCAAUCUCAAGUUUCUCGGCUCAUUACCAAACUCAGGCCAUUUAUCAUCAAGAAGUUUCCAAGACGGGGAAUCCGCCGGAUGAGACAUCUGACCGUCAAUUGAUUUUCUAGCAGCAUGCCAAGUCAAACUCUUAGCUGUCUCAUGUGAUUGAAACAUCCUUUUAAACCUUGGAAUUGGAGGAAAAUACCACACCACCUUCGCUGGCACAUCCUCUUUCAAGAUUGAAUCUUUGCCUUCCUUCCACCUUGAGAUACCACAAGUAGGACAAUUAGUUGAAUCCUCAUACUCCUUCCUAUACAAGAUGCAAUCAUUGGGGCAUGCGUGCAUUUUCUCAUAACUCAGCCCCAAUGCACACAAAGUCUUUUUUGCCUCAUACAUAGAGGUUGGUAUUGUAUUUCCUUCUGGAAGCAAAUCGCCUUGAAGUAUCAAUAAUUCUGUAAAACAGACAUCACUCAUCCCAUGUUUUGCCUUCAAAUUAUACAACUUCACUAAUGCCGAUAACUUCGUGUACUUUCUACAACCAGGGUACACUGGUUGAUCUCCAUCCCCAAUCACAUUGGCAAACUCAUACGGAUCGGAACCAAAAUCACCAAAAUCAUUAUCAUCCAUAUCAAUUUCUUCAGACACAAAACUGUACCUACUAUGGCCAUCAUCUUCUUCAACAUUUCUACUAGCAUUAGUAGUUGCUUCCCAAGGUUCUCCGUGAAAUGUCCAAUUCUUAUAGCUUUGGUCAAUUCCAUUAAAGUAUAAGUGAUCCCUUAUAAUUCCAACCCCAAACAACUUCAAAUUAACACAUUUAACACAUGGACAACGGAUAUGUGUUGUAGUUAGAAGAUUUUCUACAGCAAAGUUCAAAAAUGCUUCCACCCCAAACUCAUAUGCCUUCGAUCUUCUAUCCGAGUGCAUCCAUGACUUAUUCAUCUCCGACACUAUAACCUAUUAUCUAUAAUAAAGUGAAAAUACAGGCAAUGACCAUCACUAUAGCAGAUUAUACAAAGAUCUAAUAGCAAGUAAUACAUAACAGAGACGACGGGUUUUAAACAAAAACAGACGUAUUUGGCAUAUAUAGACGACGGAUUUUCAACAGACGUCGUCUAAUAUAAGUAAUACAAACGACGGUUUAUGAAAAAACCGUCGUGUAUAAGUAAUACAACGACGGUUUUUUCAUAAACCGUCGUGUAAUCGUCGUCGUAUGCCUAAAAAGGCGUCGUGUCUCAGUUUAUUUUCAAGAACCCAAAACCCAUUAAGAACACAACAUAUAUAUGAAACCAAGCAAGAAACCAACAUAUACAUGAAGCCAAGCAUGAAAACAAUAAAUCCAUUCCCAAUUCAACAUAACAUAGGGUGAUUAAAAGAUCCGACAAAAUUAAAACCAUUCCCAAUUCAACAUAACAGAUAAUGUAAUCCAUGAACCCAUUAAACAGAAAAUCCAUGAACCUAUACCUAUAAGCACAUUAUUAACAGAUCGCAAAGCAUAUACCUAAAACCCUUUAACAAAACAACCUAAUAUCAUUCAAUGAAUUUACAAAGGGAAGAUAGGGUUUGUACUUACAGGUUGGACGAGCUCACAGAUUCGACGAAGCCUGGAGAGUGCAACUUUUAAUUAGAGCAGAAGUGAGAGAGCGAAUGUUAUGUUGCGCGAAAUCUGAAAAUUUUAGGGUUCAGGGUUAGAAGUAUAAGAAUAAGAGCCAAAUAUAAAAAAAUUUAGGGCGCGCGAAAAUUUUUAGAGCGCGCGCUCUUUAAAACGUCGAAAGAAAAACCAUGGCGAAAGUUCUACAAGAACCGACGUAAAUGUAAUAUUCCACGACGAAAACACUUAACGUAACGCCGUUUAUUUUGACGUUCAUUUUUCGGAUUAAUUUUAAAUUUAUUUUGAAUAUUUUGAUAUAAAGACGACUGAAAAACCACGUCGAAGUUAAGAAAUUGAAAACGUUGUAAAUUAUAAUAGACGACUUACAUAUUAAAAUGACGUCGUUUAAAGUGGAAACCAUGUCGGAUAUUUUACUGCACGACGUAACAUAUGUAUUCCACGACUCAACCACCGUCGUUAACAAUUAAUACCCUAAACCCUUAAAACUAAAUUAUAUAAUUUUAAAAAUUAAGUUUAUAAAAGGGUUUAUGGUUUUACAGCCUAAUAUAUACCCUAUACUACCCAAAAAUUAUACUUUAAAAAUAAACCCCAAUAAAUAACAACCCUAAUCUCUAAACCCUAGACUCUAAACCCUAAACCAUAAAACUAGAAGUGAUUUUAUGACUCAUCAAAACAAUUUUGUUUUGGAUGGUCAUUUUAAAUUUUUUUUAUUCAAAAUGAAUUUUUUCAAGGUUUAGGGGGAAGAAAAUAUAUCAAUGACUUCAUAGGAGUUGACUUUUCAUUUUUCUGAUUUAUUUUAAAUUUAUUUUGAAUAUUUUGAUAUAAAAAUAAUAAAAUAUUCUUAUCACAAUAACAAACCACGUCGGUGUUAAUAAAUUUUAGACGUUGUAAAUUGUAAUAGACGACUAAGUUGUUAAAAUGACGUCGUUUAAAUGAGAAACCAUGGCGGAUAUUUAACUAUCCGACAUAAAAUAUAUAUUCCACGACUUAACCGCUGUCGUUACAAAGUACUACCCUGAACCCUUAAGAAAUUGAAGACGUUGUAAACCAUAAACGACUCAAUUGUUCAAAGAACGUCGUCUAAAUAUCCUUUUACGUCGGAUUUGGUUAAAACGAAACAACAAAAAACGACGGCUUUUGACUUUAUUACGUCGUUGGAAAAGUAUUACACGUCGGUUACGCAAUUUGUAUGUUUGUUUUUUUUUUUAAUUUAAGAAAACCUCAACAAAUUUUUACAUUAUAUAUUAUAGACAAAAUUUGUACAUUAUACAUAAAUAUCAAGUGUUCAAUAAUUCCCCUAUUCCAGGUGAAGGCAAACAAACUCUGACCAUUCAUUCCGGACUUCAUCAAUUGCUUCUUGGGGGUAUGGCGCUUCCUGUUUUCCCUUGGCAUACUGCAUAAACAAUGACUAUUAGGGUUUAUAAAUAAAAAGAAAUUCAAUCACAGACGACGAUAUUUUUCAUAACCGACGUACUAUAUCUAUUCAACGACGGUAAUUUUACAUGACCGUCGUUGAUAAUACAAAAAACGACGUAAAAUGUAUGAAGGUAAUUUCUUCUUACCUUCUUCUCAAACCCCAAGGAAGGAUCCAUGAUGAUGUCCCUCAUGAAGCGCAUCACAUAAUACCCGCAUUCGACAUUGCUGGGUUGCUUUGGUGUCCCUGACAGAGUUUUCCAAAUGGCUGCCUUACGGCCUGGUCUGGCUAUGUGAGAAUUAUAAAUUUUUAUAGCACUGUUCACAAUGUUUUUGGCCUCUUCAUCGACCACACGAUUUCCUGGCAGAGGAUCCAGAAAAUAGACGGUUUCUCUCUUUGCUCUUACAAUCAGCAAGAUCCAAUGACGGCUGCACAAAAUUAAUAUAAAAACGACGGUUAUUUACAAUAACGACGUAUUAUAAUGUUUCACACGACGAAAUAAAGUAGCAAUCGACGACAUUUUACAUUUAUCACGACGAUAAAUAACUACCGACGUGGUUAGUAGUUUCAAACGACUCAAUAAAAUAAAACACCGACGUGGUUAGUUUAUACGCUGUAAUUUAUUGAAAAUCAUAAAAACAAAAUCCUGUUAAGGAGACUAACCCUGGAUUGUAAGGCAUCAGGAAAAUCUGUUCACCGUCAGUCUUUUGAAGUCGAGCUGCUAGUAAGCGUGAUCUGUCAGCUAUUGUGCCAGAGUUGGCACUAACUGUAGCAAGGUCGAUAAAGCCAACCAUAUUGCACAUAUUUGCUCGUUUCAAAACAUCGUGCAAGUGCCUAAAUAUAUAAAAUAAUAUAAACAAGUCAGCACAAAAAAACACACGACGGUUAUGUAUAACAAAACGACGUAUUAUAAAAUUUCACACGACGUACUGAAAUAGACAACGACGUUAUAAUAUAUUUAUCACGACGGUAAAUACUAACGACGUGGUUAGUUAGUUAAGACGACGUAAUAAAUAAACCAACGACGUAUUAUUUUAGAAUGACAAACCUCAUAUAUACAAAAAAACACGACGGUUAUGUAUAACAAAACGACGUAUUAUAAAAUUUCACACGACAUACUGAAAUAGACAACGACGUUAUGAUAUACUAACGACGUGGUUAGUUGGUUAAGACGACGCAAUAAAUACACCAACGACGUAUUAUUUUAGAAUGACAAACCUCAUAUAUACAGCAAUGACAGUGGCUCCUAUUUCUUCCAUGCCUGCAAAUUGUGUAAUAUCUUCAGGCAGGAGGAAGGUAUCGCGCUCUAGACCAAACACCUCCUUAUCAAUUGUAAAGUGCAGGGUCUUAUCCUGAGGCACGAGUGUCGUUUCCACAUAACGACAAAGGGAGUUUAAAGAAGAUGGCGCCUCCAUAUUUGAAUAAUCAACAACUUUAAUAACCUGUUUAAAGAAAUAUAAAAAAUGACGUGGUAAUUCAAUAAAAACGACGGUUUAAGGAAUAAAACGUCGUCUGAAAAGAAUUUAAACGUCGUCUGAAGAAACCGUCGUGGUGAAUAAUUUAUUACGUCUUAAAAAAAAUUCCGCCGUCUAAGUUGUAAACAAACGACGGUUUAAAGAAAAAUAUCGACGUCUGGAAUUUUGAAAAACAAAUAAAAAAGGCAAAGUUAUGUGAACAUACCUGGUCGUCAUCUUCUUUCUCCUUUUCAUCAUGUUUUUCUUCUGUCUUCCCUUCAUCUAUUACGUCGAGAAUGACUAACUCCGUCGUCUAAAAACCACAAAGUUUUAAAAUAACGACGUUUAAUGGCGUGUAAAACAAGUAAACUAAAUACGACGUGGUAUUGAAAUACAAACGACGGUUUAUGUUUAAAAUCGUGGUGGUAUGUAUUUCAAACGACGGUUUUAUUAAUAAUAACGACAUCUAAUGGUUUUUAAAAAAACAGAGAAUUCAAAGUUCAGAUAUGUUACCUUUUCUUCCUGAUGUUUCCCAUUUUUGGCAGUAUCAUCCUCAAAAUGCUGGGAUCUCACAUCACCUCCAGAGCAGCUUGCUUUGUCAGACAUUGGAUUUUUGGGACUUUGGCUAAUUCUGGGUUUAAGCAUGCUUGGAUCAAAAUUGGGAAUUAAUUGGGAAAGCUGACUCAGGAAAUGCUCCCUCUCAGCCUCUACCAAUUGUUUCGUUCUAGCCUCCAUCCUUAAAGCCUCUUCCCUUGCCUUAGCUUCCAUCUUUUUAGUCUCUUCUUGAAGGAGAACUCUUAAACUGUCCUUCAAACGGUCGUCAAAGCUCACUCUCUGUGGUUUGGGUAAAUUGAAAUAUUGCCUUGGUGAGAUCCCAGCACCUACUCCUCUCACUCUGCCUGGAUGCUCGGGGCCCAAAGCCAUGGUCAGCACAUCAUUGCUGCCAGAAACAGUGACUUUGCCUUCCGAGACUUGUUUUUGCAAUUCAUCCUAAAACAAAGAUAUAUAAAAAAGUAAGAACAAAAACACACGACGGUUAUUUAUAUACAAACGACGUAUUAUAUAAUUUCACACGACGCAAUAACAUAUAAAUCGACGUUAUUAUAAUUUAUCACGACGGUAGUUUUUAAACCGACGUGGUUAGUUUUUAAAACGACGAAAUGAAUAAACCACCGACGUCUUAUGCUUUAUUUACAGAUAACAGAGGGAUGAUUCAAUAUUCACACCUUUAACGACCUUGUUUAAAAUAUUUCGACGUAGUAAUUCAAUACAAACGACGCGAAAAUGAACCACCGACAUCUUAUGCUAUAAUUACAGAAAACAGAGUAGUGAUUCCUGAUUUAGACCUUUAACGAUGUGGUAAUAUCAUUCACACGACGCAAAAUAUAACAUAAGACGUAAUAAGAAUUAUUCACAGUUUAAUAAAAAUUUAAAACAGAGUGAGUAGGCUUACAAUUAAUUUUGCUUUCUCUGCCACCUUUGGAUCCGGGAUGUUACCAUGUUUGUCCUGUCUAGCUCUCUUCCAUAAGGUAGAUCGAUCAAUUUCUACCCCAGGCAUGGUUUCCUCCAAUUGAUCCUCCAAACCAGCAUAUCCUUUUCGAGACAAUCGAUGAUUGUACUCAAGUUUCUCCCUAAUCUGUGCAUGUUGAGAAUGCACAGACUCAAAAUCUUUGGAUAACCUUGAAGCUACAAAGGCAUCCCAUUGUGCUUUCUCUAUGAAUUUAUAUAUUUCAGGGGGUUGGCUUAAUCUCUCCCUGUCAUUAGUGUAUGGAAGGAUAUAUUGCCUCGUUAGUGUAGACUUGAAAUCCUUCCAUUUCUUGGCAGCAGAAGCUAACACAGAGCUCUUGCCCCCUUGACCUACCACAAAAGCAAUGUCAACUGCUUCCCAAAUCUGCUCCUUUAUAUCCUUGGAGAUUUGAGCCUAUUUCAUGUCCACAAGUGGAACUCUGGAGCGUGCCAACACACCAAUGUAGGACUGCAUCUCACUAUGUGCUUGGCCAAUUCCUUUCCCCCUUUUAUUGUACUCAACAAUUGGCCUCAGUUUCUGAAGUUUUCUCUUCACAACAUGAGGCAUUGUGCUCAUACCUCGACCAGACUUUGAAUCAUCAGAGAUUGUUGUCGUGCUGGUUCGUUCUGUCUCAGCAGAUGAUGAAGCAAACUUCAUCUUCUUCGAAGGCUUCACUUGAGGAGGUACCAUUCCAAGGUCCUUACCUCCAUUUUUCUUGGAGCCAGAAUCCUUACUUUGGUCUUAGUGAGAAACCAUUUUUACAGACAAAACUGCAAGUGAAAAUAUUUCAGGAAAAGAUUAAGAACACAAACGACAGUUAUUAAUAAAAUACGACGUAUGAUAUGAUUUUAAACGACGCAAUGAAAUAAUCUCAGACGUAAUAAAUGUUUAAAACCAAGGUAAUUAAACAACGACGAAAUAAUUAACUAUAAACGACGUGAUAAUUAACUAUAAACGACGAAAUAUUUAUAUAACGUCGUGGUAUUGAUGUUCACACGACGUCAGUCGUAAUAUACCGUCGUCUAUAUAAGGAUCCAAAACCCUUCUUUCUUUCUCUGUGAAUGUUUGAUUGCAGAUUUGAUUUUUCUGAACCAUGGUUUUUGUUUUCUAAUUUGAUAAAAUACAAGGCCAAGAAAGAAAGUUUUGGAAUCUUAUAUAGACGACGGUAUUUUAAUAUGACGUCGUGGUAUUAACAUUCACACGACGUAAAACAAUAAGAUACUGUCGUCUAUAUUAGAUACCAACCCUACUUUCUUUUUCUUUAUAUUUUAUCAAAUUAGGGAAAAACAAAAACCAUUGUUCAGAGAAAUCAAACCUGCAAUUAAACAAGCAAAUAAAAAAAAGACUAUAAUUUUAAAAACAACUUUGUCAAUUUUCAGACGACGCUAGAACGACUGACGAACCGUCGUGGUCUACAUAUUUAACCACGUACAUAAGAAGCUACCGUCGUCUUAUUUAGUUGAGGUAGUUGUCUUCAAAGUUGGAAACUUUCCCUCUUUGUCUGUAUAUUUUAUUGAACUUGGAAAGAAGUAAAAUGAUUUUGGCCAGAAAAAAGGUAAAAAGAUUUUUCAAACAAAAAACGUAUGAGCAUGCAAAACAACAACCAAAAUAGUGAAAAUGAAAGCUUACCUUUUGCGUGCAAUGAAAGCAAGAGGAAGAUUAUGUUUAAGUUCAGAGACGACGAAGAAGAAGAGAGGAAGACGAUGAGAUACUCUGACAGUGCUCUGACAAGGAAAAAAGUCUAAAAGUUUUCUCUGGGAGAUUGAACUUUUUAAUCGGGUUUGAAAACGGCGCAUGUGUAUGUCAGGUAGACGAAAAGUUGCUUACAUAUAAAACCAUUUCAAAAAAAUAAUACGGCGGUUACAUAUAACUACGACGUAUAAAUUACAAAAUACGACGGUACAUUUAACUUCGGACGUGGUAAAUAAAUACGACAGUAGUGUUGUAGGUACCGUCGUAGUAAACUCAAAAAUUAAAGUACAUAAGUAAUAACUCGCGUCAUGGUAGAUUAUUUAACACGUCGUUUUUAUUAAUUUACCGACGUGGAUUUCUGUAAUAUACGUCGAUAAUACCGACGUUGAUUUUACAAUUUAAACGGCGGUUUUUUUGUAAGGACCGCCGUUGGUUUUAAAAAUUUAUUCUAUAAAUUUGUCGCUUUCAUUCAUUUUCGGUUUACAUUUAAGGUUCCAAGUUCUUCCUCUCUCAGUCUCUCACGUCUCAAAGACAAUAAUUUGGAUGUCUUUCUCAAAGAGAAAUUGAGCUUACUCGCAUCAAAUAUAUGUCCACAAGAAGAAGCUUGUCAACUAGCCUUCUCACUUCCUUGAUCAAGCCUGAUAGGACACUUAGUGCUUCUGAAUACUCCUUGCUUUCCAUCAAAAGAGAUGCAAGCCUGGCCUCCACUCGCUGUCGAAGGAAAGUUCGCUUCUCAGGGAAAUCUUCUUGAUUUUCUUGGCUAAGAAGAUCCGUCAGAUUUGUGAUAGCCUCUUCCUUUAUCCGUAGAGCUUCAGAAGAAGAAGAUGGGUUUCAAGAAUGCGAUAAAGAAUAGAAAUGGCUUCAGAUGGCCUCUAAAGCAUGAGCAAUCGAAUCAGUAGUUGUUGGGAGAUAUGAUGAAGACAUUGUCAAUGCUUUGAACUAUACAAGUCCUGCAGAAAGAUAAAGGACCAAACUGUUAAAGAAACUGAAACAAUGGCGGUUUUCUGUUCUACCGUCGUCUUUUCUCGUCGUCUAUAUUAAGGUAAGAUGGCGGUAGAUUUAUAAUUACCGACGUAGAUUAUUUUGUUAAACGUCGUUAAGUGUACUACAACCGACGUGGAUUUUAUUUUUAAAUUAUAAAUAGAGUUUUUUUUCCCCUAUUCUUUCAGUUUUAGUUUUCAAUUACAAAGCGUGAUAAAUAGAUUUUUCUUUCCCGAGGAAAUUUAAAAUGAGGGAAAUUAAUGUUCUAGAAUUUGUAAACUAACACGACGCAAUAUUUGCAAAUCUGUGUCAUCUGUUAAGAUUAUGAUGUGGAACAGAGUUCCAUCUGGUAAGAUUUCGUAACCCUUGGGAUCUCAGACAAAUCUGAUUAUGUCGGCGGUUUUCUAUAUAAAUCGUCGUGGUUAUUUCAAUUCUUGUCAUUAAGUAGAUCUACCGACGUAGGAUAAGAAAAUCAAAGAAAAAAAUUGUUAACAAAAAUUCUUAUUAAGACGACGGUUAAAAUUAAAGGUACGACGUAUAAAAUGAAUAAAUACGACGUUAAAUUUUAUUGUACGAUUUAAAGAUAACGUCGUAGAACUAUAAGAGAAUGACGUCGAUAUAUUUAUAUUUUCCGUCGUUGUACAUUAAUUUAAUACGGCGAUAUUUUGUAUUUUAAAGCCGUGGAUUUGUUUGUAAUUAUACGGCGUCUUAUACGAAAACCUCGUCGUGUUAUUUUAUGAGUAAAAACGGCAGUUUUUAUUGAAAUCGUCGUCUUUACUUUCUACGUCGGUCGAUUCAUAACUUCUGCCGUUCUUUGUUGGCAUUGAUUUUACACUGCGAAAAUCUGUUUCAAAUAGACGUCGGUUGUUUAAUUAUGUACGUUGUUGUUUUUGAACAGCCAUUUGAAUCUCCAUUUUUUAGUUGUCUAAGGUUGUAUUACACGACGGUGUUUUUAGAACCGUCGUCUUUUUAAAAACCACGACGGUUUUCACUUAGACCGUCGUUGUUUUCUGGUCGUCUUUUUCACUUUUUGUAGUAGUGGCAUAUGAUGACGACACUCACAACAAGAUCAUGGCAUUUGACUCGAGUUGUAUGAUUCUCUCUUAAGUGUAUGUAAAGUGUAUGACAUUUACAUCAAUACGUGUAUUCUUAAUUGAAAUCUACUAUGGCAUUUACUCAAAUUAACAAUCAAGAAUCCAUUAAGAUCAAAGAGAAUAUGAGUGUCACAAAAACCCUAAAACAUGGCAUUUGUUAUUAGGAAUUCAAGAAUCGAUUUCUCAUAACUAGUUCUUAACCCAAUUAUUCGUUGCAAAUAAGAACACAUUCAAUAUGGCAAUUGACCUAUGUUCUACAACAAUUUAAUUCCAAUACAUGCUUCUAAGUUAGCUACUCAAAGAAACAAAAUAUCAGAAUUCACAUAACAUAUAGAAACCGAAAACAUCACGCUUGUAGAAACUAAAAAUCCAUUAACCUUGUUUAUAAAAUUGAAAUCAUGUUUAGGGCUUCAAGAUUAAGCCCUAACUAACAAGAAAUUAGUUACUCAUGGUCUUGGAUGAACUCAAAAAUAAAUACAUAAGAACUGAAAAUUAAAGAAGGAAGGAAAAGAAAGAACUCGUUCGCAGCUUUCUCCUCUUGCGCUGUUGAUCUCUUUAGGACGUGAAUCCUUUUUAUCAGCCUUGCCUCGUCUUUUAUAUCACUUAUAUCAGAGUUCUAAACCCUAAAAUUGACUGAAAAGUCGUCCAAGAAGUCUUGGUAAACAAGGAAUCCAAAUAGGAAAGUAAAAAUCACAAUUCCUAACUCCACUGGGAAAUACAGCUCAGCCCAAUGUUCACACGAUUUUGGGAUCUUCGACCUUGUAGAAAAAUCAUUAAAAAUAUAUUUUAGAAAGAUAAAUGUCUUAUCUUUCCAACCAUAUAUAGCACGUAACUUGAAAAAUUCGGAAAGGCUUCCGUUUCUUCACAUUCACGUAGCAUGUACGAAACUGUCCUGUCUGCACGUGGGCUAACUUUACUUGUAAUACUGUACCAAUUGGCUCGGUAGAAAAUUCUAGAAAAAUCAUAGAUUGAACUUCAAGAUGUUAGCUUUCAUCUCCAAUCAGGGGCGGCCUUGGGGAGGUGCAAGUGGCGCCACCGCACAGGGCCCCCGAAAAAAAAAAUAUUUAUAUUAUAUAUAUAUAUUAAUAUUAUAUGAAUCGUAUAUAUAAUAUAGCGUCUGGAUAUUUGCACAACAGCGUGUUCAGGGGAGUUGGAUGGAGCACAUCUCUCUUUGGCAAAAGGGCCCGAGUUCGAUGCUCCUUGAUGUCGUUCUACUGGCUAGCCUUUUGUGAUAUUAUUUUUGCAUUCAAACUUUACAUAAUUAUUGAACCAUUGGAUUAAUAUGCAACGAUGGGUGACCACAAUCUCUUGGACUCCUGUGGUCCAUGAGAUCGGGACUGAUAUUACAUGACUUAUUUUAUUAAAUUAUUAUCAUGUUGAUGAUUGGUUGUAUGAGAAUAUAGUUUGUAGAAAUAUUUAUCUAUUUCUUGUUGGGGUUUUCUUCCAGGUUAUAGGGUUUUGGAAUUUUUCUUUGUAAUCUAAACAUGCCACCUACUAGAAAAUACGUUUAUGGAUAUACAAAACGGCUUAGAAAAAGAAAAUUCGAGGAAUUGACUCAAUCUCAAAGAGGAGCUCUUGAUAGAUUCAUUGUUAGAGAAUCACAUGCUACAAUUGAUGAAAAUAUUUAAAUUUUUAUGAAUUUAAUUUCUGAUUUUCAUUGCAUAUUUAUUGAUGGUGAAUUUUAGUUAUAAAAAAAAAUUGUUUAUGACAUUAAGUUAUGGCAAAUUUUUAUAGUAUUUUCGUAUUAGAUUAUGCAAGGCCCCAAUUUAAGUUUCGCACAGGGCCCUCAAAAUCUCAGGGACGGCCCUGUCUCCAAUUGGUCUUGUGCUAAAAUUCCUCCGAAAAGUUGAUUUUCCCUUAAAAACCUUCUAAGAGUGCAGAAAAGCUGAAAAUCAGAAAAAUAAAGUAAUAAGCCAUUUUUAAAUCUAAUUCUCUUACAAAACCAAAGUAAAAAGAGUACAUAAAUGAGUAUAUUUAUGGACUUAUCAACGUCUUCUUCGUUGGACUUGGGGUUGUUUUCCUUAUAUGUCCCCUAUAUAUAUAUAUGGCCUUUAGUUGAGCCCACAAAUACCUUCAGUUAGUUUUUGGGUUUAGGGGCCUACAGAACCUGCACUAAACAAUAAAAGAAAAUACCUAAUUAGUUUAGUACGAAUUUAUAAUGAAGGCUUUAUUAGGUGAAGUUUUAUUUCUUAAUCGUUAGAUCAAAUUGGUUAGCAUCUGAAGUCGCCCAAAGAUUUGAGAGGGAUUCCACAAACAUAUAAUAUAAAGAAAGAAAGCAAUAGUAGGAGAUGAACCAGUACAAAAAACAAUAUAUAAAUAGUACAUAAUAAUUCCAUAACCUUGUCACAAACGCACUCACAAAUGCUUUCCAUAAACCUUGCCCUAACAUAUAACAAAUAAAGGCAACAUUGCAUAUGAUGCAACCAUGUCCAAAUCUGAUACGUGAUAAAAAAAAAAGGACAUGGCAGCAACAUAUGACUGAAGUAGAUGGGCUCUUUGCAUCUCGUGUUAUCGUAAUUAAAGACAUCAAAAUAUUAAGGUUGAAAUCUUCUAUAGUAGCAAGCAUUAAAAUAGGUUUGAAGCAGAGUUUAAAGAAAAUUCCAAUUCCACUGAUUUGCCUCUGCUCAAAGACGAGAACCAAAAUGGUUACUUCCCUUGCUGAGUAUAUUUGUUAACGUCGGAAACGGUAAUAGAUGACCAAUCAAACCCAAGUACGACGAGUUUUGCAUAGGAUCAGAAGUAGUUGAAUCCAGCUUGCAUCACACGCUUCUUUGACUCCAUUGCAUUAGAUGAGUUUUUGUAUUUUUGAACAGCUACACUCCGAAGUCGUUUGUGUCUACGCUUCAUGCGCUGCAACUUCGCCCUAUCCAGAUUGGCCUGCCUUUUGUCAUCUUCAAUUUGGCCUUCAACAAAUUCCAAACGUGCCCUUGCCCUUUGGAUUUCAUCACCAAGUUGAAGAUGCCUCUCCUUCCAAAAAGCAAGAACUCUUUCAGACUCAAAACUUCCAACAAAAUGGUCAUUCUAUCUAGGAAUGUGACAUUGCUUGUCUGGUGACUCACCUGCGUUUCAAAGGCGGUCUUUGUUUGGAGGGGUGUUUAUUAUGCUCACAUCAAACUUGGUUAGUAAAUCCAUUCUAUGGGGGGAGUGAGUUUCUGUGGAGGAGAGAGUUUCAGUAGAUGGAGACAGAUUCGGUGGAGGAGUGAGAUUUUUGUGGAGGGAGAAUUUCUAUGAAAUGGGUGAUAGUAAUACCAAUAAAAGGGUUCCCGCCAAAAAGUAUUUGGUUGACAAUGUAUAAAUUAAUUUUUGGUCUGAUACAAUCUAAGUUUAAUCCUAACUAGUUUGGUUAGUUUGGUUGAAUUCACUAACUAGAUGUCACUUCCAUUGAGUUUCUUUCAACCACUAUCAGUGGUGUAAGGAGAGUGUGAGGUUGACAUGCUUGAAAAGCAAAACCUAACACCUCUUUUUUUUAAAAUUGAAAGAAAGUACAUAUGUUGACUACACACAAGCUUUGGUAUGUUGGUCUAUAAAGCUAUGUUCCCUUUCUCAAACGAAAUUGCAUAUGCAAUCCUCGUCCUCCCAAAACAAAUAGAAUUAUUCAAGCAUGUCAACCUCUUCAGGCGCCAACAACACAAUCAAAGAUGACAAAUUGGAGUCGCAGGUUCUAUUUCCACAUUGUACUCGCCGACCCCUUCCAUUUUCAACAUCAUUUGGGAGUGAGGGGGACUCCGAUGAUCCAUUAGAGCUAAUACAUGCAGUCAAUAGCAAGCUGGAUUAUAAUUCCAGACUGAUCAAUUCAUGGCGCGAGAAAUAUGUUGAAGACGAAGCCAUUUUGGCUGAUCUUAACAUUAGAGUGAACAAAGCGUUCUCCCAAAAGAACAAGUACUUGAAGCUGAGUCAUAAAAGGAAGCUGAAAGCUGAGGAGUUAGAUACAGUAAUGAAUGAUGAAAUUAAAGGUUGUUUGAUGAAUCAUAUGCGAUGCGAAGAGCACCACAGUGAACUGGAGUUGGCAUUCAACGAAGGAUUCGAAAAAUUACGAGCAUUUGCAGCAACUACUCAUACAAGUUAUAAUUGGGACUAUGUGUCCCCUGAUGUUGUGAGAGAGAUACUAGACGAUGGUGGUGACAUGAAUGAGCAUAAGCACGUCAAAGCUGCUUGGAAGAAGCCGACCGAUACGACUAAGUGAUUGCGGCUACAGUUGUUCAGUUGGUUGAGAGUGAUCGUGGUAUUGCACAAAUUAGAAGUAUAUUCCCAUAAUGUCAUUAUCUAAUUUAAAAUAACACAAAUAUCAGUUUCAUUUGCUUCAUAUUGUAACACCCCGACCCCAAAUUUCCCCAAAAUUUACCCUCAUUUAAUUAAUUAAUUAUUUAAGGGUAUUUUAGUCAUAUUUUUAACCGGAGAGAGUUUGGGACCAUGACUUGUAUUUUUGGAUAGGUCGUACUGAGACGAGUUCAUAGACACGUAGUGGGCUCGAAUCAGAGUUGUAACGAGAGAGAUAUGGUCAAAAGAAACCCAGUGGCACAAUCGUAAAUAUUUCAAAAUGGGAUUUUUAUAAAAAUCUGGUUUUUCUCUCUCUCUCUCUCUCUCUCUCUCUCUCUCCCGCGACUUCUCUCUCUCUCCCGUCGGCUCUCUCUCUUUCUCUCCUUGUAUCUCCGGCCACCGACCACGGCUGUGGGCGGGGCCGGUACCAAACUGACCGGGACGACGUCCCCUUCCUUCCCCGACCAUUCCCCGCCGGCAACGCGGCCGUUGCUGGCCGGAAAAUGCAGAAAACCGCCGGGAGGUCGUCGAAACUUCAACGCCGUCGAUCUCCCUCCUCCGGCCACCAUUUUCGUCGACCCAGGUAUGGAUCUUGAACCUCUCGAGCUGUUCUAGCUGUUUGUUGGUUGGGUUUUGAUCGAUUCGAUCUCUAGAUCACUCGAUUUUCGAAUUGAAAAUUGGCCGAAACUUCGGCCGCCGUGAUCGGCCAUUUUCGGCCACUUUUUGUGGUAGGUCCAAGAACAAAAGUGGCUCCAAAUAGGGUGUUAUACCUAGGGUAGAAGUUUGGAGCCGAGAUGUUGAGAUUUUCCGGCGAAGCGUUAUCGCUUUGGGCACCCACGCGUGCGGCGGCGCGUGGGCACUGUAGAAAAAGUAGAUGUGUUCCGAUGAGAUCCUUAGGUUGUCACGAGUGCGUAGGAUUUGGCGGAUCUCAAUUCGGACGUCGUUUGACUAUCGAACGGAUAAUCGCAUAUUAUGCGUUAUCCGGGUUCGAUAGGUUGAGACCGUCGGAUGGUCCCAAAUUUAAUAUAUGUUGAUCUAGGUAUUUCUAGGAUCGUGUAGGAUUUCACGGAUCGUGAAUCGGAGCCCCGGAUGUUCCGAAUAAUAAUUUAAAGUUUAUAUUUUAUAUUAACCAUCAGAUUAUGCGAUCGUGAGAAAUCCGACCGUCUGAUCUGAACCAAACUGGCAGGAAAAGUGUCCUGUACCUGGUAGAACCCAUAGGGACCUUCGGAUCGGAAAUUGGAGGUCGUGGGUUCCGCAAGUCUGUUUGACCAGGGUUAGAGUAGUUUGACCCUUGGUUGACCGUGAGUCUCCCGGAGUAAUCUCACCCUUCCAGGGGGAAUUAUCGGGAGCUAGACUAUUGUGGAGGGUUACACAAUAUUAGAAUUAUUUAUAUAAUUAUAUAUGGUUGUACAAGGGUACAACAAAGUCUAGAAUGUCAGUUUGGAGUGCUAUACGCACUACUUUAGGUACCUCCUCGGAUUUUGGAUUCGCUACAAGCACCACCAAGUGAAAGUUAGGUCCCGCGUGGCGUAGGUUAUCCGGCGUUGGGACAGACCCCAUACGUGGCGUUGGUUGUACCGGCGUAUGGGGAGAUUUGCAAUAUGAUGUUCAGGUCUCACGUGGCGUAGGUUAUCCGGCGUUGAGACAGGCCCCGUACGUGGCGUUGGUUGUACCAGCGUACGGGGAGAUUAUGUGAUAUGAUGUUGAGGUCCCGCGUGGCGUAGGUUAUCCGGCGUUGGGACAGGCCCCAUACGUGGCGUUGGUUGUACCGGCGUAUGGGGAGUUAUAUGAUAUGAUAGUAUGGCAUGGUCGCACAUGGCGUAGGUUAUCCGGCGUGUUGACAGGCCCCAUACGUGGCGUUGGUUGUAUCGGCGUAUGGGGAGAAUAUGUGAAAUGCAGAGAAAGGAAAUAAGGUAUCACCGAUGUGUGGAAUUGGGUUUUAGGGAAGAACUACGUGUGGCUUGAUCCCUCAAGGAGGGUACGUAGGCAGCCUAAGGUUAUUGGGUGCAGCCGCAGACUAAAUAUUAGUCAUAUUUGGUAUUUGAAUUGUAUGGUAGUUGUUUGAGAAUUAUUGGAAGGCCAAAGGCCAUUUAUGAGAAUUUGCAUGAAAUUAUAUUGUGCAUGCUGCUAGUUGUGGAUAUUAAAUGUGUUUUUAUGCAGGUUGAAAUUUUGGGAAAUGUCCAAUUUAUAGGGGAGACUCUGCUGAAAUUUCGGCAGGAAGUCUCGGUUUUUAGUAAGUGGGCCUGGCAUCGGGGUGAUGUCAGGAAUUCCAAAGGGUUCGUCUCGGGUUUUGAGAAAAUUCGGGGCGGGUCCUUAAACAUAUAUAAUUAUUGGGACUAUGUAUUGCAAGUCAUCAUGUGUUCCUUCUGUCUAACAUUAUAUUUUGCAAAUAUCAAAAUAUUAUUCAAUAAGCAGUCAAUAUCACAGCAAGUUGGGAAUUAGUAAAGCCCCAUUAUCAUGUCCGUUCACAUUAAAGAGCUGGCGUACUUUUUCUCAAAAAACUGACACGUGAGUCAUAAGUAACAUAACAUGUGCUAUACAUUGUUUAGUGAAUGGUUUAUGGUUUAUUUAUAUAUAAUAAAAUUCCAAAUAUUGCUGAAUAUUUGUUUUUUCUAUAUCCCUGGGAACAUGAGUGACCAUAAGCAUGUAAGACCUGUUAAGAAGAAGCUGACUAAUACGACCGAGUGAUUGUGGCUACCGUUGUUUAGUUGGUUGGGGAGAUCGUGGUAUUGCUAAGAGGGAGCACAUAAUGUGCUUUGCAAUCAAAUUUUCUUUUGUGUGUGGAAUUAUGAGUAGUUCAAAUGUUAGUGUACCCUUUAAUAUUCUUCAACCGUUUGAAAUGUGAUUAGCUGCAAUGUACUUUUUUACACGCUGCUUUCUAAUCACUCUGUUCCAACAAAGUGCUUUAAGUAUCCUUCAGUUACAAAUGUUUACAAAAUCGUGCAUCUAAUAACCAGUCGAGCUCAGAUCUUAAUAACAAGUAAAACACUAGAACAUAACAUUCGGAAAAAGUGGGUGCUGCUGGAAAUCAUUACUGGUAAUGGAAGCAAGAGCUGGCUGCUGGAAAUGCUGCAUUAGCCUGUGAUAUAAUCAAUGAAUCUCUGUUAAAACAUAAUUCACCAUAAACUACCCAUUUUACAUGGUAAAAGUCAUUGCUUCUUCACAUAACUCAAAAUUUGAUACUUUAUCAAAUGUCUAUGAAAAUUUCUAAAUAGGGGAAAGACGUAAAAUUAACAUGUGUCCAAAUUUCAUGCAAGAAUGAAACCAAGCAAAUUUUUAUUUCAAUUAUCAGUGGACAUAGUAAGAACUCAUCGGUGGACAUGAACAAAAAAAUAAUAAUAUUAAAAACUGAAUCUAGAAAACUUCACCUGAUCAUUAGUCUUCAUAACAACCGAAUUUCGUCUAAUAGAAACAUAAAUCAUUCAGUUGGUCCGUGCAUCGUGUCAAAUUCAUAGAAUAAUGGGUCACUACGAUCUAUUGGAGUUGAUUCGUCAUUGUUCGACGGUGAUGUCCUGCAUAGACAUCAAACACAAGCACAGAAAAAAUUUACCUAUUCAAAUUUUAGGUGUUAUUAUAAAUAGUGUUAGCAUCUUACGGUGUGUUCAAAUUUCUUGCGCAUUGUCUUCUAUCAUGACCAAUGUGUCCACACUCCAGACAGUGUCUAAUCCCUCGCUUCAUUGCCUUUUCUUUUGCUCCCGUUACUCGUUUCGACCUUCUUUUGCACCUCACUCUCUUAGGGUCUUUCAUAUAUUGUGUUUGAGAGCUGGACCCUCCAACUUCGUUAUUACUUGGUCCAUCCUUCAACAACUUCAACUUCACCUGCAAACUUUUUAGAGUCUCUGACAGUAGCUCACAUCCUUCUUCACUCAUUAAUGCACCCUCAACCACAUCUUAAGCAAGUCGAGACAUUGUACUCCGCCUUAUUAAAAGACCAGGAUCUGCAGAGUCUUUAAUUUCGUUGCCAUUUGCAUCUGACACCAAUUCAGAUUUUGCAGUUUUCUUCCACCUCUUUAAAAUAUAUUUAUCGGGCAUAUAUUCAAUCUGGUCCCUUCUGAACAAUGCUAGGAUGUGCUUGCAAAUAAUUCCAACAAAUUCAAAUCUUUUGCACCCACACGAUGCGUGGUCAGAAUCUUUAACAUAUACGACGUCUGCCACUCUUGUUUCCCAAUUUUUCCUUUUGCUCACGCGAAAGACAACUUUAGAAGCACCCUCUGUUUUGAGCUCUAGGAAACAUGUUGUACUUUGUAUUAGUUCUUGGUCAAACUUUUGAAACAUUGUCCUUGUGUACAAGGUAGCCAUUUGUUUGUUCAUUGGCAUCGGUAGAAUACAUUGAGCCACUUCAAAUGCAUCUACGUGAUCAGCAACUAACUCUUUUUGACGUUGAUGAGAAAGUGCCCUCUCAAAUCGUAUUAUGAAAUCCAUCAACGAAUUUCUCCUUGAUAUGUAUUGCUUGAAAAAACCAUGAGAACCUUCCACUCUUUGGCUGCUUGACAUUCCAGCGGCAAAAAAUUGUUGUGCGUAGGCUGGAACCCAAGAUUCUCUUAAAUCAAACAUUGAACUUAGCCAUGGAUGGUCAGUCAAACCAGCCUUUGUAACCACAAUAUUCCAUUUUGUAACAAACUUAUCCUUAUUGUCAGUAUCCCAUACGGCUUUCUGAAAUUCACGCCAAUACUCCUUAUAAGCAGAAUGUGGUAACUUAACAGAGAACUUUGAUGUGAUGUGCAAUAUGCAAAGUCGAUGAAAUGUAGUCGGGAAGGGUAUUGAAAUCGCUCUGGUCAUUGCCGCAUCUUGAUCUGUAAUGAUCGUUUUAGGUCCGCCACUUGGCAUGGCUUUCUUAAACUCCUCAAACAUCCAAAUAAACGACUCAGUCGUUUCCUUGCUCAAAAAUGCGCAUGCUUAGACAAUUGUCUGACCAUGGUUAUUAACUCCCAACAUUGGUGCAAAUGUCAAGUCGUAUCGAUUCGUGUUGAAUGUGGUAUCGAAUACAACAACAUCUCCAUAAAACCCGUACGCCCAUCUAGAAGUUGCAUCUGCCCAAAAACAUUGACUAAACCUGUCAUGGCCAUCUCUCUCAAUCUUGAAAUAAAAAGCCUCAUUUUUUUUUUCUGUUCAGCCAUAAAAUACUCGGUCACUAGUUCAACAUCGUGGUUCCUCAACUUCCCAUUCACACUACAUUCAAAAUUGUAGAUAUCUUUUUUGAUAAAACCGAUUUUAUCCAUUCCUCCGGAUUGCACCUCGAAAAUACUUACCUUCUGAUGAAUGAGAAUAUUAACCGAACCCAACUGUUUUGUGAGUACUUUUGUAGAAUCUGAACUAUGACGGUGUGAUCUCAAUAAAUGCAUUCUUUCUGAGGGUGUCAUCUUAUGAUUGUGUCCCUCUGCAAAAAGAGAGAUGGUAUACUUCUUGCUCCCAUUUGUCUUCACAACCACAAUCUUAGCUUUGCAAUUGCAUCUACUUAUUCCCCGCUGUCUUUUUCUCUCCCGAGUUUCAUCUCUCCUGUAUUCACCUUGUUUGCAACAUACAAAUUCUUUCCUCAAAAUCUCUUUCUUAUUUCCCCCCCAAAAGCUGGAAUGAAGUCGAAUACCAAAGCCAGCCAAGAAUGCAUAUCUAUUAUAGAAAUUGUAAACGAGGUCAAGCAAGUCGAACUUCAUCCCAACUGCUGGUGUUUCCUCAUUUCUUACUUCAAGAAUGUAAACCCUCCCAUUAGCUGUUACACAGUCAUCACUCUCUGAGCCCCCAGACAUUUUAUCCACGUAUAUUAUUGAUCCACUUCUAUAUUAUUGCAUAGCAAAUAUUAAUUCAUUAAUAAAUCAUUACUGCAUCACAACAUAUCAAUGCAUUCCACUUACACAAAACAUUGCCCAAAUUGACACAAAACACGCAUAGCCUAACUUGUUGGAUUCCGAUUACACAAAACGCAAGCAAAAUUUAAUAAUAGUUACGUCAUCUCUUGUGAAAUAAUCUAGAAAAAAUAACAUUAGAACCAACAUGUUCAACUAAGAACACAAAUGCAAUUCAAACCAGCAAUCACAUAACUUCACCCAAUAUCCUCUCCAAAUGCUUACUCCUAAUGUCAUUAAGCCUAAGUUUAGGAUCUUUUACCUACAUUUCAUAAUUUUUCACCCCCACCAAAAAUAAUCAACUAAGUAUACUGAAUAUUCAUAAGGAAAUGACGCAUUAUUGAUGCCACAAAUGACGAAUUUCCUACCCUCACAAAAAACAAAUCAAACCCAAUUAAAUCAAUCCAGCAAGAGUGAACUUACCUCUCAAAAUCAAUCGGGAGCUCCGAAGUCAGUAAGCUUGAGAGAAUGUGGUGGACAUUAGAGAAGACUCUUUGGUAUUGGAGACUCCAUCUCUACCAAAAUCGAGGAACGAACUGCUGCUACGGCGUCUAGCUACAGAAAAAGAUAUGCUACUUUACUUUCAUCUGGAAUCUUGUUUGCUGAACGAAAAAGAGAAAGGGUUUUCACUUGAGCCAUAGAAUCAAAACAAGGCAACAUCUAGGUAAGAGCCAUUAAUCGUCAUAUCGAGGAUACCAUAGAUCGCAGGCCUCCCAAGGAGCUGAUGACAAUGGAGCGACUAUAGGGUUUGGGAGCUUUGGAUCCUUCUAAUUGUGGGUUUGCGUUACAUUCAAAAAAAGAGGAGUGUGUUGUUGAGUUUUUCACAUAGAGGGAAAGAGGGAAAGAUCUUCAACUGAAGUUGGGUUUCCAACGGGUCAAAUUUCAACCCGGUUCUACAUGCACCCUCUUUUAAAAACUCACCGUUGGAUUUCAUCCAACGGCUCGUACAUACCCCUCAAAAACACCCCUUAUAACUUUCCACUCACUAUAGAAGCUCUCCCCAGGAAAUGCUUCGAGGUAGAUUUUAUGUUUUGGGCCUUGGGACCCAACUUCACAAAAAGAAAACAAAUUUGACCAAAAAACAAAGUUGAAGGACAUUGAUAUUGUACCUGUAGGAUAGGUUAAAACACUAAAAGGAAGGUAAAUAGUACGUUUACAGAGUUUAAGUGUAAUAAAGGAAUAAAAACAUGCCCAGAGAAUUGAUAAGUGAUAUCAAUUCUUGAAUAUAUAGAACGUAAAAUAAAGGAAUACGUAGAAAAUUAUUUUAUGUGGUAAAACUCAAUCUAUGGGGCCACGGGACUUCUUAGUCCAAAAAAAAUCCAUUGAACGAUGAUUACAAGAAGUACUCACACACUUAUCCUAGACACAUUCUAGAUAAUUUUUACUAACAUCUUUGUAACUCAACUUCUGUCAUAGGAUGAUUUUUUGACACUCCUUAUGUUGAACGCAAUACUGGUCACGAUUUCUUCAAGCUCGCAGGAACUCUCCUUAUAUUGAAUAUGAUACUAGUCACGAUAGAUUCAAGCUCAUCGGAGAAAAACAGCCACAACGGUCUUGGUGCCCUCAAUGGUAUGAGUCACUGAACAUGCAAAUAAAUACAAUAUGAAUGAUAAAAGUGUUUGAUAAAUCACCAAGUUAUGGAACACUUGAUGAUUUAUCUCAAAUAAAAACUCAGCUUUCCAAAGUUUAUGAAUUGAAAAUAUGAUCGUUAAAGCUCUCUAAACAAAGAAGACGAAGAUCUUAUUUUAUAGAAUUUUUCUUUAUAAGAAAGAAAACACAUUGAAAACCAAAUCUCCAAGGCUUGACAGAAAAUCACAAAAGUAUCUUUCCUAUUCUAGAGAUUGGUCACAUGUAGUCCAACCAAUAGGACAUGAGAUAUUUAAGAAAUGAAGAUUUUGAUCAAUAUCAAUAUCAAAUGAAUUCUUAUACGCCUAGUCAACUAUUAAGGGUAUCUUGACUCCUUGAUAUUGUGAUAUGAUUGAAACAUGAUUUCCACGUUAGAAAAUUAAGGGGAUGUUAAAACAUGAAAGUAAUAGGAGAAUCAAAUUGAUUUCGGCCAAAAUUGCCUAAAAAGAAAACACUCCUAAAUAAACUCAAUUCACUUUUAAAAACAGUAAAACGUGAUUGAAUUGUUCUUUAAAACAAUUCCCUAAUAUACAUGCAUGAUAAUGACAUCACUUACCUCUGAAUCAAAUGCCUUUCAUAGGUCAAGCCACAAGUCUGUGUUUUGGGGAUUGCUGAGCUGCAUCAAUCCUGCCAAUGUCAAUGCUGCCCCUAUGCUCUCUCAAAGCACGUUUACAACCUAUGCUAACAUAUACCCUAAACCCUAGUAUCAAGAAAAUGCCAACACUAAUUUCGUAACACGUAGAAAUUGUUAGAGAUUGGAAGUUUUUUUUCUUCAAGUCUCUCCACCACUCACUAAUACAGAUUGCUCAUGUGAUGAGUUUACAAAACCUAUUUCUCUACUCUCACAAAGACUAUACUUCUUCUCAAAAGACUAUAUCACUUUACCUCUAUCUCUGUGAAAUGUAAAAAGUUGAAACUUUAAUGUCAAACCUCGACAAAAGAUGAACUUCCAUAAGUUACGUUGAAUUUGGAUUUGUUGAACUUAAGUGGUUUUACUUUUCUGUCAGUGUUUGAUGACUUAAUUUGGUAUUUACUUCUUCUUUUUUUCCUUGGAAAUGUGUUCCACCAACGUGAGGAAGAAAAAUAUGCACAAAUUAAUAUAUUUAAUAGAAGCCCAAGAUUUCGGAAGCACAUAAUUUCUACAAAAUUCUACAAAGUGUUCUACUUUACAAACUUCAUAUGUCUACCAAUUUUUACUAAAAUUAAUUUAUCUGCAGUGCUCAAAUUCAUCAUAUGUGUGUCCUUAAUUUUAGUGAAAAUUGGAAGUUUCCAUUAUUUUUGUUUUACGGGAAUUUUUUGAACCAAGGAAAAUCAAGUAAAAUUAAUAAAGCAUAAAUUGGAAAGGGAAAAUAUCUAGAGGAUGCAUUGUAGGAUUGCUCAUGCCAAUAAUUGUACCCUCUAAAUAUAUAGGGACAUAUUUUUUUUGCUCAUACCACUUGUUGCAGUACACAUUCACCCGUUUUCAAAGAAAGAAAUUCUACCAAUCGAUAAUGUCUCAAAUUUAAUCACAUAUUUUAUGGACCAUCCAGCUAUGAGGUUUUAUCUCAAAAACCUUCGGUACAUUUCUCCCACAUGCCACAAUUGUAUAUUCACAAUUACGUCUGAUACAUCACAUCAUGCCACUUGCCUCAAAUGAAUUUAAGUGAGUGAGGCAGUUGGAAGUAAUUAAGCUCUAUAUUGGUGGGUGGAGUGUUAGUUCUGGGUACCCCUCAUCAUUCGUCUAUAAAAUGGUGAAGCCAGUUGCUACUGUUACCAUAAGAGCCAGCUCCGACUUUCUUUAAUUUCUUGCUUCAUAUCCACUAGCUACAUCUGUUGCUCUUCUCAGUGUAAGCUCUGCAAUUUGAUUAACUUUCCCAUUAUCUCUCACUGUACUCUAUAUAAAGGAAUAAGUGUCGUCCAUUAAUUCUCUCCGAAAGUGUCGUCCUGAUUUUAAUUAGAGUUCGAAUUAAUGUUGCAGCUAGCAGCGGUUGCACUGGCAAACCAUGCUGCUCAACCGGUACCUCAACUUUACUGGAACUCCGUCCUGCCAAACACACAGAUGCCAAGAUCUAUCAGUGAACUUCUGCAUCCUGGUUUGUGUUUGAGCACUUUAGAAUCUUAGAUAUCUCUUCUACCUGCCAUUUUACUAAAAUAUGUUCAACCACAUAUUUAUCAGUUAACUACUGUCAUUACAUGAGUGACACAUAUUCACAAAUCGGCUGAUCACUUAUUUUCCAUUAUGACGUUGAUAUAUAAUGUUGGGAAUGGAAAGCCAAUUGACCACAAGGGAAAACCUGAAAAUACUGUACUACCACAGCUAGCACGAAGCCCAUUUUCUUACAAGAGUGAUGUGGGGACCAAAUCUCAUGUAUCAUAGCUUAACCCAUAUGCCACAACUAAAAGACGUGGGAUGAUCGAACAGCAUACCCACAUGGUCAUGGAUCUCUUCAGAUAAUCAAUAUUAAACAACCCAUAAACUUCUCCCUUUGAAGAACAAAUUAAAACCAAUUUCUAGAGGAAGGUUACAAAACAUUUUAGCCCGUGAAGAACAAAUCAAGACAAUAUAACCCAUUUGAUAACAAAAUCAAAAUGAGAUUUACCAAUACUAGAUGACCACGGCGCCAGUAUAAUGGUACGACGGCGGCGUUAUUGUAACGGUGGAGAAGUGGAUGGUAUGACGACGGUGUUAGUGUGACGGUGGAGGAAACGAUAUUAUGAAGGAGGCGUUGCUAUGUUCGGUGGAGGAGUCGUGUGUUUCACAGUUCAAUAUAUCCUUUUUAGUCAUUUUAUAUUAGGGUAAAUCAGUAAUUCAAUAAAUAAUUUGAUAGUAUGGUGUACUCAGUUAAUAUUAGGGUUCAUUUAACAGCACUCAAAUUAACUAGUGUAGAGUCUAUCUAUAUUAUUAAUACUAAAAAUAAAUAUAUGACUAAAUAACUCAAAAAAAAAAUAAAUCUACAAUCUUUUUUUUAAAAAAUUUUUUUUAUAGAAUUUUAUUAGAUUAAUAGGCACUACUAAAAAAUCUCCUUAUAAACUACAAAUACACGCAUAACUUAUACUAAUGUGAGCUACUGACACCACCUGCCACAUGACAGUUGUCCAAGCAUAGUGUUGUCAUUCAUUAUUCCCCACAGCAACUAACAUCCAAUAAAGGGUUGGGGCCCACCCAUACUCCACCUCUCUGUAUGUAGCUCUUUGAGAAUACAGAAGAAAUAUUUUUUAGGGAAAUAGCUUAAAAUGAUACCCAUUUCAUAAUUUUAAUUAAAAAUACCACCCCUUUCCAAUUUUUGUACAACUAUCACCUAUAAAUAUAAAAUUAUUGUCCACUUAUUGCUGAUUUUUCACAAGUUCAGAAAUUUUGGAAAGAAGAAGCUCACACAGCUCUCUCUCUCUCUCUCUCUCUCUCUCUCUCUCUCUAGCACAACUCUCUUUCUUUGGUAUCUGUCUAUCACAGCUCUCUGUGUCUCUCUUGGCUCUCUCUAUCUUGGCUCUCUCUCUCUCUAGCACAACUCUCUGUCUCUCUCUUUGCUCUCUUUCUCAUAGCGCAGCUGUUUCUCUCUCUAGCUUCGUUAUGUCUCUUUCUCCCCUAUUCGAUCUCUUGCUUUCUGUUUGGAAUCGCGAACCCCUCCCUUUAGCUAUGUCUUCUGAAUAGCUGCUUGCAACCUUGAAGCUCUAGUGGAUUGCCGACCUCGAAAAGGUAGUGUUGAUGGUUAUUUUCUUAAUAUCAGUGGGAUUAUGUGAAAUGGGUUAUAGUUUGAUUGUUUGGGUUUGUGUUAAAUUCGUUUUGGCUUUAAUUUCUUUGGGUUAGGUUUUGUUGAAUAUUCAUACUCAUUCAUCUGGGUUUGUACCAAUUGCAUUUAGAUUGGUCUGGAUAUGUGAAUCUUGAAACUUGGGAUUUUCUAUUUGAUGUAGUAGAUCUGUAUAGUGUGAUUCUGUUGUGUUCCUCUUAUUUUACAGUCGUAUUGCUGUUAUAUUGUCAUUAUAUUGCUUAUAUAUUGCUGUUAUAUUGUGGUUAUAUUGCUAUUGUAUUGUUUGGUUAUUGUGGUUAUAUUGUGUUAAUGAAAUGUUGUUUUGUCAUGGUCAGAAAUGGAGACAAUUGUUAUUCUCGUGUGCUACAAUGGAAAAUGGGUCACCUCGAAGAAGAUGUGCAAAUACGAAGGGGGUGACUCAAAAGGCUUAAUAGUUCCACGGACCAUCAAAUUUGUUGAACUGUUGGACCGUGUGCAUUAGAUUGGUAAUACAAACAGCAGGGAAGACAAGGUUUGCUUAAAAUUCUCAGUUUUGGUGGCCUCGAAUGAGUGGAAGCACAUAAAUAUUGAGGACGAUGAUGAUAUCAAUUUUUUUAUGAAGUACAAUUCCGAGGUAACACCUUCAAAACUAGCUCCCUUACUCGUGAGUAUAGAAGAUAAAGGAUUGACAAAUGAUGUAGUUCAUAGUAUGCAUAUCACGACAGAUAGUAGUCGGAUGGGUCAUUCUUCAGUUGCCAUUGUUGAAAGCAAUGAAGUAACUUGGAAUAAUACGAAUGUCACUGAUGUGGGAGGUGAAGUAGGGACAGAUUUUGUGGAUAUGAUUGAUUUUAGCGAGGUGUAGGAGAUGCAUGGUGGUGAUAAUAGUACUGAAAGAAAUGAAGUGUCAGUGUACUCUGCCCCUCCUAAUUUGGGCUGCUUCAACAUAGCUGCCCAGUUGCCAAUAAUGCGUUUAGGAGGAGAAUCUGAACCCACUCGUCAACAUUAUUGGAGUCAAAUAGGUGAACAAAAUCGGUACAAUGCAGCCGGUGUAAAUGAUGAAGAAGCAUAUUUGGACAGCGGGUUUUCACGAAGUGAUUGGAAUCCGAAAAUUACAGUUGGGCAAAUUUUCUCUAGUAAGAAAGCAUUGUUGACGGAGUUACGGUUGACGGCAUUAAGAGGCCACUUUGAAUUUAAGGUGCAAUUCUCUUGCACUAAAAGGUUGCUUGUGGUUUGUUGUCAACGUCCAUGCCCAUGGCGGGUCCGAGCAUCGAGAAUUGGAGAAUACAGCUUCAUGAUUGUGAGGUGUACAACUGUCCAUGAAUGUGAUUUGAGGUUCGUAAGUGACAAGCAUCGUCAAGCAACCGCAGCACUUGUAGCCACUUCACUUAAAAGGAAGUGACAUUAUGAGAGAUGUGAAACACAACUUUGGUUGCACCAUCCAUUAUUCGAAAGCUUGGAAAGCAAAGGAGUUAGCUCUAUUGUCCAUUAGAGGAUCAGCGGAGGAGGCAUAUUAUAUCCUUCCAGCUUAUUGCUAUGAAUUGGAGCGUAUGAAUCCCGGCACAAAAACACACAUCCAAACUGAUGAGAACAAUCACUUUGUGUAUUUAUUUAUGGCGGUUGGCGCAUGUAUUAGAGGGUUCCGUUCUUCCAUGCGCCCAGUGAUAGCCGUGGAUGCCACUCAUUUAAAAUCCAAGUACAAGGGUGUUAUGUUUGUAGCAAAUGCAUUCGAUGGUAAUUGAAAUAUAUAUCCUCUUGCUUUUGGGAUCGGGGAUUUGGAGACGGAUGCAUCAUGGCAUUGGUUUUUCACUAAACUUCAUGAAGCCAUUGGUGAGUGUCCCAAUCUUGUUAUUAUUUCUGAUCGCAAUGUUAGCAUAGAGAAUGUGUGGAACAAAAUUUUUCCAACUGCACAACGUGGCAUAUGCUUUUAUCAUAUGAAGGGGAACAUGAAACGCACUUGCUAGUUGAAAAAGCGUGAUCACAUACUUAUGCACUUUGAGCAGGCUGCGAAAUCUUAUUCCAUUGCUGAAUUUGAUUGUCAUUUUUGCAAGAUCAAGCGAAAGGAACAUGUUGCUCAAUAUCUUGAAGAGACAGGGUUACAUAAGUGGUCUAGAGCUCACAUGGAUGGACGCCGCUACAAUGUAAUGACAACAAAUAUUGCAGAGUCAAUCAACUCAGUCCUUAGGUUUGCAAGGAUGCUGCCAGUGGUUCAUUUGAUAGGGGAAAUUGUUAAUCUCCUUGUGAAAUGGUUCACCGAACGUUGUGAGUUGGUUUUGAAUUGCACAACAACAUUGUGCCCCAAUUUUGGAGAGAAGAAGUUGAGGAACAGGUUGGAGGAUGCUGCAAGGAUGAAUGUGGUUAAAGUAAAUAAUGCACAGUUUAAUGUUUUGGACGGUGAUAUGGACGGCCUCGUAGAUUUGGCGAACAGCAGUUGUAGUUGUAGAAAGUUUCAGCUUGAGCAGCUACCUUGCAAGCAUGUAGUUGCAGUUUGCCGCUUCUUGAAAGUAAAUGUAUACGCAAAGGCUUCUCGGUAUUACACUCAGAAAACCUGGAUGAUGCUUAUUCGGAUAGCAUCUACCCGGCACAACCUCACGGAAUGUGGGAUAUUCCUGAAGAUGUUCGAAGUCGAGUUGUGCUGCCUCCCAUGGCAAGGGUCAUGCCAGGCAGACGAAAGAAGAUCAGAAUUCCCUCGCAAGGAGAGGGCACCAUUAGAAGAAAGUGCUCAAGGUGCGGUUCCGCAGGCCACAAUAAAAGCACAUGUAAAAACAAUAUUCCAUUGCGCAAUGUAUCUUAGACAAUAUGAUUUGUGUUGCUUUGGUAGGUCAUGUAAACUCUACUUUUAUUUGUGGUGGGUUUCGUGUUAUGUUGAAUGGGAAUUCUUUUAAAUUUGCAUAAUUUGGGUUGCAUUGCUACAGCAUGCUGUAUUGCUGACAGAUUGCUAUUAUAUUGGACUUUUAUUGUACUGGUAUUGCUUCCAGAUUGCUAUUAUAAUUUGAGUGCGAAAUUAAAGGGACUGGAAUGUAAUUCCAAAUGGAUCCAAAUCAUUAAAGUUCUUAGAAUUCCUAUAUUACACAGUUACUGUGAUACUCCGACUAUACCUUCUUUUAUGAUUACAAAUUCGGCCAAUGCAUAGGCCAGAUGUGGGGCAAAUACAAGGUGAAAUGUCCUAUGUGUUUGACUACAUAUACUUGUUGAAGGAGCAUUACGAAUGCUAACCUCAAUAGAUUGCUCAUGUCUUGCCAAGAACACUCUUGAAUUUAUGCAAUGUGCCCAAGCCAGUCCCAAAGCUGGACUCACCCGUCUGCCUGAUGUGUCCAGGGACUCCAAGUUUCCCAACCUCACCUCAUUCACUUUAUCAUGUGGCCCAAUAAAAUCCACCACUUGGUUGGUGACAACCACCGCCAACCCAAACUUAUUUGCUAAACCCUUCAAUGUCCCAGAUAUGUUGAAAAAUAUUUCAAACCGCCAUUUCAAAUCUGCUGGUGUUGUCUGAUACUGUGAUCGGAACAAUGCAGCAAUGGAAUCAAUGACAAUGAGUUUCACAGGUAGGUGGGUGUGAUCAAUGGCAAUAAAUGCUUCUAUGUCUCCAAGGACAUGGAUGAGUUGUUGAGCAUCAUGAACACCAUGAACAUAUAUGUCUUCCAAUGGCUCCAACCUUAUUAAGUUGGGGUAUGAUGCAUGAUAAAGGUUGCCUAGUUGUUGCAAUCGACGAAAUGGGAAGCUGAAUUCUGUGAAUAUGUAGACGGUGGAGCCCUCUAGUCCGCCAUGUGAGGGUGGGAGCUGAGCUGGUACCGUAAGUUGGAGACAAAGUUGCGUCUUCCCAGAACCACUCUCCCCUACCAAUUCUGUUAUAGAGUUGCAGGGUAUCCCACCCCCCAAGCAGUCAUCUAGUAUUGGGCAUCCAAUGGAUAAUUGAGGGGUUGAAAGAGGAAGGAGCAUGAGGUUUUAGGGUGUCAUAUUUGUGUAAUUUAGGGGGGGAUGUGAUGGUGCUACAAGGCAUGCAUUAUAUAUAUAUAUAUAUGUAGAGUUCAUUUUGAAGGUCUGUAUUGUAGGCCAUAUGUCUUUUAAGGGAUGUAUAAUCCAUCCUUUUUUCAGGUUGUAAUUAAUUUUUUGUUUAUUUAUUAGUAUUUUUUUGGACCAAAUAAUUUAAAAAACAUUAUGAUGCAGUACGUACUGUAAUAGGAUCAUAUUGUAACUCUAUCAUCACUCUAUUGUACUCUUAUUGACAUAAUAUUGCCGUUAUAUGCAUGUUUAUUAUAUAGUUAUUACUGCUAUAUCGCCACUGAACUGGACACCGAUAAACUGUAUACGCACAAAUACAAAAAGAGGCUUCAUCAUUCCAUAAAAUCCUAUUUCCAAACUUACAUAAUACAACAACAGGCCACCCCAUCGUUACAUAAUACAAAAAUACGCCACCUCAUAGUUCCAUUUCCCUACUGUUGACAAAUUCGAAGUUGCAUACUCUUCAAGUGCGGUGACCGCGACGCAUGAAAUUCAUGACCCCGGCCACAGUGAUGUUGGCCUAGUUUCCUGCCGGAUCCACUAUUUUUGCAAACUUACGAAAUAGUUCGAAUCCGCUUUCCACUUCUUCUUGCUUCAACUUGGCCGUUGCUUCUGAUUCCUUGAAUACCAUAAUUGCAGUGGUAGGGGCAAUUUCAAUUUUUGCUUUCAUUGUCUUUAUAUGUAGGAGAUGCAUGCGCGCAUGAUAACGAGAGCGAAUUGUGCGGUUUUUUAUGACACCCCAUCUAGUUUGGCCCUCCACAAUUUUGAAACUAUGUCUGCAUGAAGAUUUUUCCAAAACAUGGUAUUGCCUCGACAUUGCUGCAUGCCAUGGACCAAGUCUGCAGGGAGUGAAUUGGGUGACUUGGCUUGUGUUUCAGUCUUCUCUCCUUCAGUAAUUGAAAGUGUUGGGUGUGGUGUGAGGUUAUGGUCCAUGGUCUUCGAUAUUUAUUGUAGCCUAGUGUACAACUUAAUUGGAAAAAAAGGGGACUAAAUGCGAUGGGAGUGAAAUCAGUGGGGAAGGUAGUGGCUGUAAGCAGGAGUUAAUGUGAUGGAAGUUUUCAUUUCAAACAACUGGGUUGAUUAAUAUAGGCAAGUUUUAAUGACCUGGAGUAACUCAGAGAGUUAUUGGUGGGAGGGAUUAGAGGGAGUAAUUGGCGGGAGGGAUUGGCGGGAGUCUUAGGCGGGAUAGUAUUGGGCGGGAGUUAUUACCCAGUUGACUGUAUGCCUUUUUGUAAUAUAUUUGUAUGUUGGACGUUCCAAACUUGGUAAUUUUCCCAUUAUGUAAUUCAAAUAAGGGAUUUGCCUAUUUGCCUAAUUGACCAACUCAUUCAAAUUGACCAAUAUGGUUAUUGUCUUAUUUCUCAUUUCAGCAAUCUCAAUUCGUUUCCAUUUUUCCAUUCUUCAUAUUUUCCUAUUUUCCAUGUGUCAUCCAAUUUUCCAAUUUUCCAAUUUUUCAUUAUUUUUGCCUAUUUUUUCCUAUUCCCUAUUUUCCUAUUGUGCAAUUUCCCAAGUUUCCUUUUGUUGUAUUUCUAGUUUUCCAAUUUUUCAAUGUUCCCAUUUUCCCAUUAUGUAAUUUAAAAAAAGUUGCCUGCUUUGCCUAAUUCAGAAAGUAAUUAAAAUGGUCCAAUAUGGUAAUUGUCUUAUUUUCCAUUUCCACAAUUUCAAUUCGUUUCCAAUUUUCUUAUUUUCCAUGUGUCCCUAUUUCCUAUUUCCAUUUUUCAAAUUUUAAGUUUUUGUCCAAUUAUCCAAUUAUCUUUUUUCCAAUUGGACUAUUUUCUAAGUUUCCUUUUUUUCCUAUUUCCAAUUUUCCAAUUUUUCAAUUUGCUAACUUUCCUUUUGUUCUAUUUCCAAUUUUGCUAUUUUCCAAGUUGCCUUAUUUCCUAUUUUUCAAUUAUCCAGUUAUCCAAUAUUCCAAUUUUCCAAUUAUCCAAUUUUCAAUUUUCCAAUUUGCGAAUUUGCCUAUUUUCCAAGUGUCCUUUUUUCCUAUUUCCUAUUUCAAAUUUUCCAAUUUUCAUGUUUUCAGAGUUUCCUUUUUUUUUCCUAUUUUCCAAGUUUCCUUUUGUCCAAUUUCAAAUUUUCCAAUUUUCCAAGUUGCUUUAUUUUCCAAUUACCCAAAUUUCCUAUUUUCCAAGUGUCCUUUUUUCCUUUUUCCAAUUUUCCAAUUUUCCAAGUGUCAUGUAAUCCUAUUGCCUAGUUUCCUCUUUCCAAUUUUUCCUUUUUUCCUAUUUCCAAUUUUCAAUUUUCCAAAUUUCCCAAAUUUCCAACUUUCCAUUUUUUCGUAUUUCCGAUUUGCCAAUUUUCCUUUUGUUCUAUUUCCAAUUUUCCAAGUUUCCUUAUUUCCCAUUCUCCAAGUUUUCACUUUUCCUAUUUUUCAAUUUCGCUAUUUUCCAAUUUUCUGUUCUGAAAUUCGCAAUAAAUGCUUAGUUACACAGUCCUAUUUUGGGUUGAAAUCCACAAUUUUCAAUUUCCCAUUAAGGUUUGCUUUUUUGUCGUUUGGAAGCCAAUUUUAUUGUUGUUAAUGUAAUGUUGUACUGUUGUAAAUUACAGCCAAUGAGUUAAUGAUGUAGUUUGCAAUCCCAUCAAUUGAAUGCACCAACUAAAUACCCAAUAUACUUCAUAUAAGUUCGUACAUAUAACUCAACCUUCCUAUACAGAACUGCAACAGAGGCACCUUCUUAACGGGAAAGGUAAUUAGUCUUACUAAAACGCAAAUAUUCUCCACUACAGCUAACCAAUUGUCGUUUACAACUGGAGACUGAAUCUACCUUUAUUUGUUUUGUUGCAGGCAACAGCUGUGAAUUGUCCCCGGCAAUACUUAAAGAUGUCGGAUGUACGCCCUCCAAAUGAGCAUGUCACAGUUACCCGGGGGACCAGCCGUGGCAUGUGCCAUUCCCAUCUCCACCUCGGACUCCCAAUCAUGAUCCCACUUCAUCUGGAAGUGAGGCUGAGAGCAAUGAUCCGCUUGACAAAAUCUCUGCCGUCAAGCACCACCUCCAAUAUAUGUCAAAGGCAACGGAUUGGUGGGAGAGUAAGUGCGAUAUUCAUGGCCAAGUUAUGGGAAACUUGGCCAACAAGUUGAACAAAGCAUACGCUGGAGAGGUGAAGCAAACUCUAAAAGCAAAAAGUCGGAGCAAAGAGUUAGAGUCCUUGAAGUUGAAAUUGGAAGAGAGAAAGAAAAAUGCUGUCGAAAAAUUCACACAAUCUGAAGAAUAUAACCAUGAAAUGGUUGAAUGUUUCAACAACGGCUUUGAAAUGUUCCGAGAUUAUGCUUCGGUCAUCUCACCAGACUACAAUUGGAGUGAAAUUGAUGUAGCUGGUGUUUGGCAGGUGCUGAAUAUGGGUGCUGAGGGAAUGGCUCAUCAUAGCCUCGUGCAUGCAGCAAGGAGAAAGGACAAAGACUUGGAUCUUUUGAUGGACCUGUAGUAACAGUGAGUGCUGCUUCAGUUCAACUCACCUGAGUACAUGGAUCUUUUGUUGCCUUCAUUUUCCCUUCGCAGGCUAGUAUUGUUAAGGUUCGGUGGCGAUUUCUUUUGCAUGUGUAAAAUGUUGUCUGUAAUGUGUAUGUAUUGUAUGUAGAUUGACUUAAUAUUGUAGUUCUAUUGUAUGUAUAUUGCCUUAAUAUUGCCUUUGUAUAGCAUAGAUAGUGUAUGCAUAUUGCCACCGUAUUGGAUGUAUAUUGUAAAACUAUUGGUAUCGUAUUGCCCUUAUAUUGCUCUAAUAUUGCCUCUAUAGUGCACCUAUAUUGACCUAAUAUUGCUCUUAUAUCGUAUGUCAAUGGCAUGUGCUCUAAUAAGUCUCCAGUUCGUUGAAAGUAAUCCUGAAUUCAAAUAUGAUGGACAAGACAAUUGUUAUCCAUCCUUAUAUUACCAUGAAUUGAUUUGGACCUUUCAAAUGAUAGUUGGAGUUGCACAUGGAUUCAUAUUCAAAAGGAAAGUAAUUCUCUCCCUCAAUGAAUUGUCGUUCAAAAGAAGGCAGCUAUCAAAUUUUGGGUACAAAAAGGCAACAUCCACGGUAAAUUAAUUGGGCACAAACCACAUAUUACAAAACCAGGAUGAUUUUUGGCAUGCUUCAAAAGAGAAGGGCCAAAUACAACAGAAAAGAAAAUCCAUUCAAGCUUGUACAAUAGAAUGCACAAUAACCCUUUUACAUGUCCUUCCAACACCAGUGUUUUGCCUACUUUAGAGUCGCAGGAGGAGAGCUUAUUGCCAUUGUGCAAUUCGAGGGGGCAGUCAAUUUGGAAUGGUGGCAUAAACAUGUUUACUCCACGGAUCACCUAUAUGGGACAGAGCUUCCUUCUUCCCUUGUCGUCUGUAGGUUUCAACUUCACACUUUUUAUAUACAUGUAUGAGAACUUGUGGCUAUUUAUUUAUGGCCUUCUAACACUUGUUCUGCCAUUCCAAAGUGGGUUGGAGACUUUUUGAGUUGAAUGACUGGAAAGACUUCAGAUGACAGAAACUAGAGAGUUUGAAGAAAAAGGGUUACCAAGAACAGCAGUCAUGCCCACGACAUAAACUAAACAUGCUAUAAGCUCCACAGUAAUAUUUACUUCAUCUCCAUAAUCAGAAUAUUGGGAAAAAAAUACCACGGAGAAAUACGUGAAAUGAAAAACAACUCGGCAGUUACUGUGAGAUUGUGUACAUAAAACUUGGAACAACCAAACCAAUUAAAGCUAAGCCAUCUCAUACGUAUACCUACAUCAAAUAACAGUGUAUGGUCAUCUUGUUUAGAAUAUUGCAAUCAACACUUGGUUGAGACCGACCUGCAAAAACAACUGGGUUAAGUACAGAUGAAGCCAUUUAUGAAGGGCAGUUCCAGAAUUAAGACCUACGUUAAUUUGUAACUGCCACCGAAUCAGUUCAUAGUGCCAAAUGCAUCUACCAAGCACACAGAUAUGACCAGCCAAAAGAAAAAAAAGCAAAGUAAAAAAGAUAAAAGAGGCAUGCCAUAAAUGGGAACCUCAGCAGAAAUCAUCAGAUAUGCAUACAAGCAGAUUGAGUAACAUCUCACUAAGUAGAGGUCAUGUUGGUAAUCGCAUGUUGUGUUUGCACACAGACAUUUGGUUUUUGCAAACACAACAUGCAAUUGCAUUCCAUGAUGUGUGUGUUGUGUUUGCACACAGACAUUUGGUUUUUGCAAACACAACAUGCAAUUGCAUGAUGUGUGUGUUGUGUUUGCACACAGACAUAUGGUUUUUGCAAACACAACAUGCAAUUGCAUAUUGUGUGUGUUGUGUUUGCACACAGACAUAUGGUUUUUGCAAACACAACAUGCAAUUGCAUAUUGUGUGUGUUGUGUUUGCACACAGACAUUUGGUUUUUACACACACGAUAUGUAACAUUUAGUUUUACCCUUUUAUUCUUAUUUUCUUCGUUCAAACAUGGUGGUGAGAAAAGCACCAAACCAUCCCAUCAUAUAAAGCAAAACUCAUACAAUAUUUUAGAUGCAAAAGUUAUAUAUUUUAUAUAAAUGCAUCAUCCGCAUGGCUUGAAAUUACAAAUUCACGUUCACAUAUUACUUUUCACAAGCGCACAGACUAACAAUAAUAAUAAUCAACCAAGUAGUUGCGACAUUCAUCCUAUUACGUCCAUAUUGAUAAUGUCAGAAGUUUCAUCGAUAAGCCUCAUCAAACUACAAGUUUUUUAAUUUGAAUUAUGAAUUCAGAACUAAAAGCUCAUGAUAUGCAGAAAAUGACAUACAUUGUCCACAAUCGACUUUUCGAUAUAUUUCUGCUCUAGCAAUUUAUCGUCCAAAUUCUGGACUCUCUGUGUCAGGUGCUUCUUUGUGUUCUAUCCAGCAUAAGAAUAUUUAAUAGUGUGAUUUCAAUUGUUUAUACAAAUUCUAUAAGUAAUAUUGAUGAGUGCUGUAAAUCUAUUUGAUAUUGGGAACAAACAUGGUCCCACUAACAGAAACUCAAACAAAACAGGAAUUUUUUUUUAUUUUUUUUGGCAUAGACAGCCGAAAAGAAACUUACAGCAAUAGCCUCUGUCACGCUCUCCAGACGUUUAUGCAAUUUUGAAACAGCAGCAUUCAUACUACGCUUUGUCACAUACAGAAGAUCUGAGAAUUUUAGACCCUAACCAUUUGUGAAGAGCAAAUAUUAGAUUUGCUUAAAGAAGACAACAACUCACAGAACCAAUGGAUGAAAUAAUAUGAACAUAAAUAUAUCAUUUGGAUACCUUCCACCACAUGUAACCAUAACCCAAUGCCCCCAAGGUAGCUGUUGGCAUUAUUAGUGAUGUCAAACCUAUUAAAAAAAUCAAAAAAAAAAAUAUAACCAAGUAUAAAAUGUUUCUAUUGCAUUAUGAAAUACAUACGUGUAAGGAAUUAAUCGUUUUACAACUUAACCAAAAAGUCAAGGCAGGAGCAUGCAUUCAUUGAGUGGUUAUAAGCAAGAGGAAAAAGCACAAAGCAUGCUAAGAAUUCAUUUGAACACAGAAGAGAAAGUAAGCUACCUUGGAAUUUGGCUGUCAUUCCCCUUCAGGACGGCUCUCUGUAGUGACGAGUCUAGUUGUCGGACCUCAGCUGCCAGUCGGCGCACCUAAAACAAAGUAACACAGGAAAAUUGAUAUCCAUUACAAAAAACAAAAAUUGAACACGAGAAAGCAUCCUUCGACACUAAAUUUAUAGCAGUUUUUCCAAUACCUGUGAUGCGAUCGCAUAAAAGUCACCUUCUGAUUGUUCUCCGGUUCCAUUGAACAAAGGCUGCAAACAAAACAGAAAUAGACACAAAUCCAUCAAUUUUUUGAGCAACAAGACACAAGCUCCGAAAUAAAUAAACUAUCUAACUGAUCAAAACCCUAGUUUACCAAAUGCAUUACAAAAUUAAAAACUCAUACAAAAAUAACACCAAAUACAAAUGUUCUGCGAGUUCCACUAGCAAAGCAGAGUACAAAUCAUGAAAAUGGUACCUGAAGUUCACCGAUCAAUUCAGAUAAUUGACCAUUCUUACGCAGGAUGGUGCUCGUAUACCCUGUAGAAAGAGAACAAUCACUCAGAUCAAAUGUAGCUAAAUACACAAGGAAACUAAUCCAGUAUGCAAGAUGAAAGAGGAGUGAUUGGUACCUACUCCAGCGAAGAUCAGCAAACACAGUAUGAGGUUCCAAAUUCAAAUAACAACAUAAUGCUAAGCAGAGAAGUAGAAUUGCUGCCGAAAUUAUUUAAAACGAACUAAGUCAAAACUAAAUGGAGAAAUGUUAACAAAGUUGUAUGCUUCAGUAAGUCCAGUAACAGAUUCCCAAAACCACAGAGACAAAAUGUGAACAAUGGCUACAAAAGCAUCCAUAAAGAGCAACUAUGUUUAUAUAUGGAGGUGUACAAAAUAGUUAACCUUCAAAAUCGAAACAGUGUGUGUGCCAUGUAAGGCAAUUAGCCACUGCUUCUAGACUAUACAAUAUUACACCUCACAAUAAUAACUAAACCAACUAGCUCUAGCAAAAAGGCAGGAUGACCAUAUAAAGUACCCCCAGCAAAGCAUCUACGUCUGCAUCUUCAUAUCAAGGAGUUCCUGACAUAAGUAAUGAGCAAAGUGAAUUCCCAAGUCAUAAGUCCAGAAUGAGGUGAAUUCACGGACAUUAAAACAUUUACCUCAUAAAUAUGCCUCCCCCCUUAAACCCUCAAUUGCAAGCCUCAGCCGGUAAUAUUUGAUCUUCAAAGGGUCAACUUUAUCUACCGAAAUCCCAGCACUGAGAUGCUCGAUGAAUUUGACGGUCAUGAUUCCGCAAGACGUACUGUGAGACCAAUAAGUUGGGAAAUUAGAACUGCAGUUAUGUAAGAUUUGGAUAAACUGCACUAAAUUCACAAAGCUUACCCAUCUCGUUGUUGUGGCACAUCUGCAAUGCUGCAAACUGAGAAUGGCGUAAACGUCAACAUCUUCAGCCCCUUUUGCUUAACCUUUUCAACCUCAGAAUCUUCAUAAAAGUGCAUAUCGUACAGCACUCGUGCCAGCGUAUCGCUAAUAGGGUGCAGAAGUGUAACCAGCUUCGAACAUUUGGUAAAAGCAACAUAUGAGUCAUACACAGUUGCAGUAUGUCAGACGAAAUCAAUUUCGAUUGCAACCCAGUAAGACCCUUUAAGAUUAUAUGGAAUAUAGACCUUCCGGACUUUUGUCCAAGCUUGGCCAUACCCGUGUUGCCACGUACCGCGUACAAAGUAAUGUAUAUUCUGCAGCUUGCUGGGUGGAAGGUCAACGGUGUUUGAAGCAACUGCCUUCUUCGAUCCACGUUUCUUGGCAGUCGGUUUGAACGGAUCUAGAAAUUGCUGCAUAAAUUGAAAUGAAGGCAUAUUAGAAAAUCACAACCGAAAGCAAAUGAAGCAGCGAAUGUAACAUGGUAACAUGUUUACCUGCAAGCAACAAUCUGCUGUUGUCCAGUCAGUUCCAAAUACCAACGGAUGAGAGAGUUGCCUUUUCCAGAUAAGAAAGGUUGCCAUGUCCAGGUGCUGAAAGUUGACACACAUAAUAUCAGCACAAUUUCAUACAACUGUACACUUAAAAAAGGUGAGAAAACAAUUUAAUUAUCGCAAUAAAGUAGAGCUUUGUGUAUUCUUACCCUUGAGCUAAUCCAUUCCGUUUCAUCGAUAAGUCUGUAGAAAAAAUCAGCGCCCACUGAAAAUAAUUCCAGCUGCACCUCCGCACUACAAAAGGCAAACUUGCAAUGGUUACUUUUAUAGUCAUCUCAUAAUUCUGACUUUGUUGAUGACAAAAAUACACAUGUAUAUUAAAGCAAACUCUACGUUUUCUCAUUAGUCUAUGACUACAUACUAGAAUAGGAUGAAGAUUGGAAUUCAAAGGUAAAGAAUCCUAACCUGAUAUCGUUUUUCCAGGCAGUACAAAACUCUAUUACUGCCUUCACAUCUUCAAUGGGCACGGAUUUUGAUGGAUCAAAACAUGGCGGGGUUGCAGUCGCAGCCAACACACUCAUCGUCCUCUUCUUCCUCAAAGGAUCAGUAAAUGGGCUCAACAAUGUCUGCGCCGGGCGCUUCUGUCUGCACCCUUUACCUUCCACUUCUUUUUUUUCCACACUCGAACUACCUUCUUCAUCACCAGCCAUACUAACUGUGGGUAGACUUGGAGGAUUCAUCGGACCUCCCGAUGGCAUACUCUUAGUCACUUUCCAAUCUUCUAACAGAGACAACACUUUUUGGCAGAUUUCGUCACACCCGGCCACAUCUUCCGGGGUAGGCAGCUUCUCGGAUUGUGCCUGCUCAGCUGCUUCAUGCACUUGUAAGUGAGGAACUGAAGCGGCCAUUUCUGCCUCUUCGACUACCAUGGCUGCGGAAGGUUCGGCUCCAUCACCGGGAACUUGUGUUUCCAUUACCGCCGGUUCUGUAGGCGGACUAACAUGGUCAUGUAAUGGCGACAAGUGAUUGUCGCCUCCUUCAUUCAUAUGAGGACUACUGAGGUCCUCAUGUCCUUUCCCACCUUCAUUCACCCCACCAUUUCGUUUUUUCAGCUGCUCUAUCUCCACAUUAAAAUAAUGCUCCAUUAAAGCCAGGGUGUUGCGGAAAUCCUCCACACACUUUUUAUUUUUUUCGAACUCUCUUUCAACUUUCAAUGACUCCUUCCGUACCAUGUCUUCCAACUGAUGCACUCUGUUGCGAAGCGCUCGAUUUGAUAUGGCAACUUUGGCCAAUUCAUCCUUUGUCCUUUGAAAGUCACGCUUCAAAGUGCGUAACUCUCUGGACGCGACUGUACCCUGCAUUCAGUUAUAAUGCAAGUGUUACAAUAUUUUCAAAAUAUAUUGCAACAAUACAGCAGUUAUUUUCCUAUUGUAUUAUGACGUAUAUCUUGGAAAAAAAUGUAAUGCUUGCCUUAGAAGACGACGGAAGGCUAGCAGUUUCGUCAAUGUCCUUAUCUUUUUCUUCUACAGAGGCAGAAGUGCUGGUUUUUUGUUCAGCGUCAUCGCCAAACAACUGAACAAGUUCUUCAGUGUCGUCAACACUGUCACCCCAAGUCCAAUACGGCUGCUGCUUGUCGAUUACAGAUGGCCGGAGAAGUUGCACAUCAACCUGCAAUUUACACAUACAAUAUACAUAUCAGUAAACUUAUUAUAUUAUAUUUUCAUAUGCCUAACAUUAUCAUUAAAAACUUAACUAACCUCACGGUUCUCGAAUACUUGGCUCAUUAGCUCAUAAAAACACGGCGAACUAUUGCUCCUCCAAUGUAGUAAACGAGGGAUGUAGGCAUUAUCUUCGUGCACCACCAAAUGUAGUGCAGCCAACGCUGGAAAAACCUCAUAAGCCCAAAUCUGGUUUGAGGAAUAAAACGUGAGUCACUGUAAACAAAUGAAAUUUAACUUCAACAUGAAUGGAAAUUUGCUCACCUGAAGUGCAUAGGCAAAACCUUUGAGGUGGUACUCUCUUGGUCUACCAGUUGCCGUUGUUUUUGCUUUCUUUUCAGAUUUUUUUGUUUUUGCAGCUUUUUUGGGCACUUUCACUCGCUGGUAAUCUGUACAAAGUGCCCUCAGAAGUGACACAAUUGUCUUGGCAUAACACACAGCACCCCAUGGAUACUUCCCAAACUCUUCAAGGUCUUCCACCAACUUCAAAUAUCGCAUGUCAAUCUGGACAUGUUUUUCACUGCCCAACAGCACAAACACAGCAAAGUAUACAAAUCUGAGCUUCAAUACAUCGUCCGCAUCAACGCAUUUGAGGAAGGCCUUUUCUAAUUCCAAAACAUUGACAGUUUUAUAGUUGCCAAAGUACUUCCUUUUCAAUGAGCAGUUCUCAUUAGUGGGAAUCGGAAUAAAGGGAAGGUUUCCAAACCUUAGCCCUGUCACGAUGCAAAAUUGCUGCGCCGUGAAUUGGAUCACCUUAUUGCCAACGAUGAAUUUGAUCCCGUUGAGUUGGGAAACUGUCUUUGGAUCAGCUUUCCUCAGCAGCAAGCCGUGGACAAUUGGCGAAGUCCACUUGAGGUCCUCAAUCAGUAGGAGAUGCCCAAAACAACUCUCUUCAAACCUUUGUAGCUGUUGUUCACUGAAUUUCUCCUUUAUCGUGCUGAUUGCAGUCUUCGUAUGGGAUAGGGACAAUGCUUUUCCUUGGAACUUUUCUUCCUCUGCAAUCAUCAACUUCAUUUGAGCAACCAUCUUUCCCUGCAUGCCAAUAUUAUAAAAAAAAAUUCAGUCCGUUGCAAUCUAGACAAUAACAAGCAAUAAACAAUCAGCACUUAUCUACAGCCUAUUAUAGGAUAUUAAGUGAAAACAAAAAAACAAAAAAUACAGGGCAUAAACAAAACCCCAGCUAUUUACAACUGACCUACUAAUUCAAUAGCUCAAAGCCACAUCCCAAGACACCCAGUACUCUACCACUCUUGCAUAAUAUAAUAUCUAAAGACACAUCUCAACACACCAGAUAAUCAUGACACAGCUUCAGCUAGAAUGGGAAUGUGCGGUAGCACAAGCCUAAUUGAGAACAAUUCAAGACUAACGAUAGAAAUCUAUCUGACUAGAAAGAGUUUUAAAAAAACAAGAAGACAUCGGGAAAGAAUUGAUUGACUUCAAGGUAUAAUGUAAUGGAACAUCCUAUGAAUUAGUGGCAACCAUAAUAAUGACUCCACUAUGGCCCUCCUUUCAAAUGUAAGAAAAUGAAUGAAAUUGGCACCAUCCCUUCAGUUUUUUCUUAACAAAAUAAGAGAUUUGUAUGUAUUCUCUGCUUUAUCGAUAUCAAAGAUAAAUUAAUAAAUAAACCAUCAAAACUGUAUAAAAUGUUUGUUAGACAUGUACAAUUACAAAAUUAUAAGUUCUCCUCAGAAACAAAGUUCUCUAAGUACGCAAACAAGAAAAGCAAAAGCUUAAAGAGUUAGCUUAUAGCAAAAUCAAUGUCCCCAUUUCUCUAAACCACACCUGCUGGUGGUAGGUUCCCAUCUUCACUCAUUUCCCGCUUUCUUUUAAACAGACAAUGAUCAAGCACAAAAGAGCAAACUUUUAAAUAACUCAUAUUACACCACAAAUAGUUCUAAAGAAAACUUAUUCAUAUCCAAUAUGCAACCCCUAAAGUUAGUAAACAGAGUUAUAAAAAAAUAUGUCAAAUUAACAAGCAUUAUUCUCAAACAAAAAGUAUGAUAUGGUUGGGAGUUUACAAGUUCAAAAUGAUAUACACAGGUUAAUUGUCUUAGACUUUAGAUAUCAUCUUCAACAAAGAAAAUAGAUACCGAUUAGACUUGUAAGAAGGUUAAAUGCAAUGGUCAUAAAGACCCAUAGUAAGCCACCAAAUACCAAUCAAUAACUGCUAUAAAAACCAUAAUAAAACCAUAAUAAACUAAAAAUACAACAGCACUAAAAUGCCAACACAACAUCACUACAUUAGCAAUAUAGUAGCAACAAAACCACAAUACGACAUCAAUAGCAACAGCAAAACAACAGCAGUGCAAGCAUCAGUCCACAAAGAACAAACCCAUUCACUGUUUCAAACAAGGAAUCAUCAUACUAAGAUCAUUUCAGAGAAACCCCAAAACCAAUUUCAGUGAAACCCCUAAACCAAUUUCAGAGAAACCCCUAAACCAAUUUCAGAGAAACCCCUAAACCUUCAACCAAUUUCGAACAAAUCCCUGAACCAAUUUCAUAGAAAUGCAUAAACCCUAAACCAACUUCAAAGAAACCCUAAACUGUAAGAAAAUGACGAUGAACAGUACCUGUUCAAGGUGAACGAUGGAGUUGAGCUUCGAUGAACAAAUUUCGCUCGGAGAGGAAGAGAGAAGAGAGAGUCAGAGCUGAGCGACGAGAGAUUAAGGGCUGAGCGACGAGAGAGUGAGAGCUGAUCGACGAGAGAUGAGAGAGUGAGAGCAAAGUGACGACAGAGUGAAGAGAAAUUGAGAGAAGGAGCCAAGAGAGAGAGCUGAGAGAGAACUUCAGCAAAACUGAUAGAGAACUUCAGCAAAAGUGAUAUGUGUACAAUAAGGGGACAAUAAAUAUAUAUUUAUAGGUUAUAGUUCCAAAUUUUUUUAAAAAGAGUGGUAUUUUCAGUUACAAUUAUAAAAAUGGUGGCAUUUUGAGCUAUUUCCUUAUUUUUUAUUCAACAUGGACGCAGAAACUGUUGCUAAACUGCAAACUUCUUAAAAUAUUUGUCUCACUUUCUCAACCCUAUAUUUGUCUAACUUUCUAGAUCCAUGUACUGAGAUUUAUUAGGGAAAUAUUGUAGAAACUGAUUAUUUUGAAAUAUUAAAUGUGAAAAACUGAACAAAAAUUUGAUGGGUUACAUAUUUCAACUCAUUUCAGCAGCUUAGAUUUUGAAGACCUCGGAAGAGGCCAUGCAGUGAGCCUAGCUAGUGCACUGUUGAUCACUUCAGUGUCUACCGAUCUGUAAUUUUUCCAGAUUGGUUAUAUUUUCCUUUACAUAUUCUUAUAUUAUUCCCAGCUGUAAGUGUUUUACACACUUGUCUAUUAGAAAAGGGGAGACUUAUAAAUAAAUCCAAAAUGGGUACAGUAUUUAUAAAGAAUGACAAAAUUAAAGUGUUUGGGCAAUAAUGCCCUUAUUCAUUUUGAGAUUGCCUAAGGAAUAUUUUUUCUGAUUUUCAGAAGAUGCCAAAGGACCGUUGUUUGAUGAUUGCCGUAAGGAGCUAAGAAAACUUGCUUUGAUAGUUUUGGACAGAUGCAUGCUACUGUUGCUGGGAUGAUCUCUUCACGUGAAAUGAGGAUGAUGAUGCUUCUACACUACACAAUCCAACGAAUUCACAUGUCUAUUUCAGAUACAAGUAUAAACUAACAAGGCUUUAAAAUAUGGGCUGAUGCACUGUUGUUGAUGUUGCUGACACUGUUACUGUGUUGUUGAUACUGUCACUGCGUUGCUGUUGGAAAAAGCACAAGGACUUCACAUGUUGCUUUCGUCUUUUGUGGAGGAGAGAGACCUAGGACUUGCAUGUCUUAGAUAUUUAAGAUAAGGGGCUUUCGUUCCAUUUUGAAAAUACUUUGGGUGUUUUUGAAAGGUGAUUGUUUCUUUUGGGUUUCUCACUAAAUUUCGCUUUAGAAGGGAAAAUAAUAAUAAUAAUGUCAAACAAAGUAGGGUAAAUAUUCAGAUAUGCUCAUAUUAUUAUUCUUCUCCAAUAUUGAGGUAUUUAUACAAGUACAAAGAUGUGUUAACCCUAAAUAAAAUAGGAAAUAUAUCUAAAUUAUAAUAGGCAGUAAAUCUCUAUUACAAUAGGACUAAAUAAUAAUUGGUAAGUAACCAAAAUUCUAAUGAAAUAAGGAAUCAAAAUCCUAACUAAGUAAGGACUCGCCAACACUCCCCCUCAAGUUAGGGCAAACAUAUUUCGCAUGCCUAACUUGACAAGCGAGUCAUAGAACACCAUACUUGAGAAGCACCAAUUGUAGAGAAGGUCUUUUCGUCAACCACGAGUGAAACAAGUGACAAACUAAAGCAAAGUUCGCAGCGGAAACACAAGAGCGAAUCCUAAAAAAUAGGGCACAUAGCAGAACACAAAAAUCCUGGAGCACGACAGUAGAUAAGGCAGAACACAGAAACCCUGUUAGCACGGCAAUAGGUAAGGCAGAAAAAGUCAAGAGCAAAGGCAAGGUCAACAGGCGUGACCACAACGAAAACACACCAGCAAAGACAUGAGCAACAAUAUUAGCACCAUAAUAGACAUGAGCAACAAUACUGGUACCAACAACAGCAAUACAAGGCACUGGCACCAGCAAGAGCAACAAGGCAUGGACAUAACAUGCAUAAUCAAUAGUAAUCAACAUUGUCCCCAACAAGAGUCAUAAUAGGCAUGAGCAAUAACAUUGUCCCCACUAAGAGACUUAACAGGUAUGAGUAACAGUACUGGCACCAGCAAAGGGCAUAGUAGUCAGCAGCAAUAACAAUGACAAAUACUUCUAUUAUUGCAGAGACAACUUCUCUUCACUCCCCAUCUCCCCUUGAAGAGAAGGGGUCAUCGGAACCAUAAGAAAAGUGGCACUUAAGAAACAGAAGUUGACUGACGCUCAAAUGUAGAAGAAUCAGCCAUGGCAAAUAGGUAGCUGAAUUGCAGCGGAAUAGAUGAGCAGCGGUGUCACUCCCCCUCAUAUCUGAUAAUGUAUGAGAGUCGAGAUUUGGAGAAAGCAAUAUCGAAAAAUAAAGUUGCAGAACCCAAAUAAAGUUGCAUCUAUCUCCCCAUCAAAUCCGACACUGGUAAAGGGUCGAGAUUUGAAAGAGGAGAAAUUGAAAUAAUAGUAAAGAGACUCAAACAUGCAGUCUCAUGGCAGAAACAAAUGCAAGAGGGGAAGAUGGUAGCAUACGGUUGUCCCAUGAAGAAAAAACUUCAGAAAAGGAGAAUAGUAAGGGAGGAAACCUAGCAAAUCAUGAACAGAGACAAAGACAAAGAUGCUCAAACUGAGAAGCGGAAAGGCAACUCAAGAGAGCAACCGAAGAAGACAGAGGCCCGCAGAACAGUCAAAGUUAAGGCUCGGCGAGUGGUGACGAUGCUCGCGGAGGAAAGCAACGGCUCGGUGAGCGGUGAUGAGGCUCACGGAGUAAAGAGACUUGUUAUGAAGUUUCAAAGAUAGAGAAGCUGAGACAUCAAGAAAGACCAUCUGGCAUACAAAGAUGAAAAAUAAAAAUUUUGGAACAGUAGCAAAGAAGCAUGUGAAGGCUGGUGCGGUGAAAACACAUAUGAAAGGAUGAACAAAAGAAGAUGACUAUACAAGAUGAAGACCCAUGAUGGGUUAGGAAUGAGGAGUGCCAACGACUCUCAAUUUGGCAGAGGUUAUCGCAGGUUAGGAACCUGGCUCUGAUACCAUGUCAAACAAAGUAGGGUAAAUAUUCAGUUAUGCUCAGAUAUGCUCAUAUUAUUAUUUUUCUCCAAUAUGGAGAUAAUUAUACAAGUACAAAGAUGUGUUAACCCUAAAUAAAAUAGAAAAUAUAUCUAAAUUACAAUUGGAAGUAAAUCUAUAUUACAAUAGGACUAAAUAAUAAUUGGUAAGUAACUAAAAUUCUAAUGAAAUAAGGAACCAAAAUCCUAACUAAGUUAGGACUCGCCAACAAAUAAUAGUACAACUCUUAUUAGCAACAGGUUACAAACUUCUUCUACAACACACCAACAUGAAUCUAGCCCUGAUCCACUCUUUUACAUACUUGAAAACAAAACAAAACACGAAAAACAAAAAACAAGAAACAAGAUAGGGAGAAAAUGGCUACGGAGAGACUUCCUGCUAAUCAGGGGCGGCCCUGGGGUGGUGCAAGUGGCGUCACCGCACAGGGCCCCCGAUUCUUAAGGGCCCCCAAAAAAUAAUUCUUUAUAUUAUAUAUAUAUAUAUUAAUAUUAUAUGAAUCGUAUAUAAAGUAUAGCGUCUGGAUGAUAAAGAGACUCAUUAUCAUUAUCUUAGUCAUAAGAUUCAAAAUGAAUUGAUACUUUUGUUAGCUUCUGAGCUCAAAAGUGCAAUCAUUAAAAAGAUUGAAGAAGCUAAAUAUUUUUCUGUGAUUCUUGAUUGUACUCCAGAUGCUAGAAACCAAGAACAAAUGAGUUUGAUAGUAAGAUGUGUGGAUGUCUCUACUAAUUCAAUAAAGGUUGAAGAAUUCUUUUUGGAAUUUUUGAUUGUGAAUGAUACAACAGGACAAGGACUUUUUGAAGAGUUGCAAACGGUGUUGCAAAAACUUAAGCUUGAUAUUGAUAAUGUGAGAGGACAAGGCUAUGACAAUGGAUCAAAUAUGAGUGGGAAAUAUCAAGGUGUCCAAAGAAAAUUUUUGGAUGUAAAUCCUAGAGCAUUGUACACACCUUGUGGUUGUCAUAGUCUUAAUUUAACACUUUGCGAUAUUGCAAACUCUUGUGGAAAAGCAAAAGAUUUUUUUGGAAUCAUACAACGUAUUUAUACAUUGUUUGCUAAUUCUACAAAGCGGUGGAAGAUAUUGAAAGAUAAUGUUAAACACUUAACUCUGAAAUCAUUGUCAGUUACACGUUGGGAAAGUCGUAUUGAAAGUGUGAGAGCAAUAAGAUUCCAAGCUGCAGAUUUAAGAGAAGCUUUACUUCAGUUAGCAGAAAGUGACGGUGACUCCAAAAUAACAAGUGAAGCUAAUUCUUUGGCAACAUAUGAACUUGGAAAUUUUGAGUUCUUAUUGGGCAUGGUUAUUUGGUAUGAUAUAUUAGGUGGUGUCAAUGUAGUGAGCAAAAACUUACAAUCUGAAGACAUGCUUAUUGAUGUUGCUAUUGAUAAAGUGAAAGGGUUGAUUACUUUUUUUUUGAAAAGUAUAGAGAAAAUGGGUUUACAGAAGCUAUGUGUACUGCUAAAAAAAUUGCUACUGACAUGGGAAUUGACCCGGUGUUUCCUGAGAAGCGAAAAAUUCGUAGAAAAAAACAUUUUGAUGAGAAUACUUGUGAGCUAUCCCAAUCAGUUCCUGAAUCAACUGAAGAAAAGUUUAGAAUUGAUUAUUUCUUGUAUUUAGUGGACCAAGCUAUUGGUUCUUUACGAAGAAGGUUUCGACAAUAUCAAGAGUAUGAGAAUUUUUGGGUUUUUGUUUACUUCAGAGAAGUUAAAUUCAUUGGAUGAUUGCGAUUUGAAGAAUAGUUGCAGUCAUCUGGAAAGCAUUUUGAAAAAUGACAAGUUUUCUGAUGUCGAUGGGGAGGAUUUAUUUGUUGAGUUGAAAGUUUUACAAGAGCUUUUACCAAAAGUAAAUACCACAGCUACUGCAAUAUUAAAUUUCUUGAAAAGAUUAAAUUGUUUUCCAAAUGCAUUCAUUGCAUAUAGAAUCCUAUUGACUAUUCCUGUUACUGUUGCAUCUGCGGAAAGAAGUUUUUCAAAAUUAAAAUUGUUAAAAUCAUACUUGAGAUCAACUAUGUCGCAAGAAAGAUUAAAUGGACUAGCUUUGAUUUCAAUUGAAAGUGAACUUCUUGAAAAACUUGAUUAUGAACAUUUGAUUGAUGAUUUCUCUUCUAAAAAUUCAAGAAGAUCAAUUUUCAGACAUUAGUAUUGUACUAGCUGUGUUUUUUUUUUUCUUCUAGGGUAAAAGCUCUCAUAAUAAUUUUAAUUCUUCAAAUAAGACAGCAAAUACAAUGUGAUGAAUUUUGGAUAAUCAGGUAUGUUUUUGUUGUUGCUUUUGUGUUUAAUGCAAUAUAAUCUAAUUUUUUUAAUGACAUUUGUGUGCAACUACUCUUUGAUUUGUGAUUGCCAAUUUUUUUUUCUUUCUAUUAAACACAGAUUGCUUAUUGGAGGCAGCAAGAGACCUUAUAGGGGCACAAGGAGCUUAUUUUUGUACAAAACAUUUAACUUUAUCAAAUGGAAACAUUUAAAUUUUUAUGAAUUUGAUUUCUGAUUGUCAUUGCAUAUUUAUUGAUGGUGAAUUUUAGUUAUAAAAAAAAAAUUGUUUAUGACAUUAAGUUAUGGCAAAUUUUUAUAGUAUUUUCGUAUUAGAUUAUGCGAGGUCCCAAUUUAAGUUUCGCACAGGGCCCUCAAAAUCUCAGGAACGGCCCUGCUGCUAAUACUUGAUCAAUAACAGAGAUAAUAGAGCACACUGUUUGUAUGACAAUGAGUAUCAGAAGAAUAAUAGCUGCAAAGAGAGAAAUAGCUGCCCAAGGUGUGUUGAAAUACUUUUGUCUCAAAUUUGCCUUCCGUCUGUUCGUGGUCUUCUUGCAGUACUCGUUUAGUUUGCCAGCAAGAUCACCAAAAUAGUAGUUUCCGUGGUUCGGAGCAACUUUACUGCAAAGCUUGUUAAUCAUAAUGGAAACCUUAUUGUUGUCACCUAGCGUGUUUACAACAAUUCCAUUGUCAACAAGCAACUCUACAUCCUUUGGGGUGUUUACAAAUUUAUCCAGGAUGAAAACAUAAUCGCUUAUGUAUUUAUCCACGCAAUGGCCUUGUUCAAAGGCAAUGAGAUUUCUAUGUGUAAGCUGUGUAAUCAUGUAUUUCAAUUUUUGGAAUUUCCAAGGUGUUUUUCUUGAACUGUAUAUCGAAUAAGUUCUUGCUUGAUCCCACGUUAAACUUAACUCCGGCCUGGUGUAGUUUUGUCAUGCUGGGUGUACUUUGGAGCCCUCCAUUUUUUUUUCUUUUGGCAGAUGUAAAGUUCUAAUAAAAUCAACAAAAUGUAAAGGUUUUUUAGGAUCAGGAGGCAUAAAAGACUUACGGAAGGCUGGUGAGUUCUCCAAGUUUUCUAAACGCAGUGCCUGUUGGAAGAACUUGUAAGAGAGUUCAAUUAUUGAAGGCUCCCCAGUCUGAGCACCUGUGAGAUUGUAAAGAUCCUCGAGAAUGAAAAAUGGCAGCUGAUUUACGAGCAUAAGCAUGUCAGGCAAUAUAUUUUGUAGCACCCAUGGUUUUUUAAAUAUCCAAGCAUCAUCAUCCUGCAAUUUUUCUUCCUGAAAUUUUUCUUCGGAUUUAUUCCUCAACAAUAGCUCAAUGACAAAGGCGGCAUCAACUAGAAUGAUAUUCACAAAAGUAGCAAUGUUAAACUUCUUAGGGCUAGUUUGGCGGCGUUGUGCUUUUAAAAAAAUAUGCUUCUGCUGUGCUGUGAAAAUAAUUAGCUGUGAAAAAAAGCUACUAGGCGUUUGGUAAACUGUUUUUGAAAAACUGCUGUGAGUAGUCAAAGUGUUUGGUAAAUUUUUAUCAGAAGUACUUUUAGUGUGUAUAAUGACCAAAAAGGACAUGAUGAUGAAAUUGUUUGUUAUUUUCUUCAUUCUUUUUCUACUUUAAAAAAAAAAAAAACCCAAUUUCACUACAUAAAUUUUUAUUCUUUUUUAAUUCACACCUUUUUAUCAAAAAAUUUAAUCUACAAUUAACAUACAUAUUUUACCAUAAAUUAUAAAUUACUAUUAUAACAAAAGUAAUUCUAAAUAUUGUUAUAUUAAUAUGGGCUUCGGACAUGACAAAAAUACAAAAAUUGUUCAAUUUUAAAAUGCCCCAAUAGAUCACUACAAUAUAAAAGAAGCUAAUUAGAUGCAUUCAUUAAACUUGUAGCGAUGCUAUUUCUUAAUGCAUUCAUUAGCUUCUUUUUUUGGUUUCCAAUGGUUCUCUAACAAUUUUAACUAAAAAAACAACCAUAAUGCUUUGUGAACAAUAAAUUCAAGUCCAAAUCUGCUAUUGCCCACACCAUACAUAUAUACAUAAUUGUUCCUUUCAUAAAACUUGAAGAUUCAAUAGUAAUUACACAGUUUACCAAUCUUGAUUCCAACUAUAUCCAUAAAAUUAAACUAUAAUUAGAAAUAGAGGAGCUACAUGUGAUUACUCAUAAAUGCUUCCCACUCUCAUCAUCAUCAUCAUCAUCAUCUUCCUCCUCUGUACUUUGCCUUUCACAAAUGGACAAGACCAGAUGGUAACGUACACGACAUGGUCCACAUAUAGAUAAAUUUUGGGUUCACUGGAGAACAUAAAAGAGUUUUUACACGAAUACAAAGUUAGUUAAGUAGUGAAUAAAGUAAAACUAUUCUGUACAAUUCUAGCUGAUGCAGUCCAAAAAGAAUAUAUGUCUAAUAACUUAAAUAACAAUAAAGAGAAACAAAAGCCUCAUGAAAAAUGCUAGAGUAAAAGUUACAUAACUGAAUCGAUGGACAGAGAACUCCACAGGCAGAGAAACAGCAACAAAAAUUGUCAAAACAGUAGCAAGACCAUGUUGGAGUCAAGGCCAAAGAUCAUAUUUCCUGUGUAUCUUCUUCCAUUCUGAAUUAUUCUCGUAUUCAAAUACUGUAACUCUAUUUCAAGUGCACCCCAAAAUACUUAUCUAAGGCCAGUACAUAGGACUUCAUAAAGGGUGCGAUAAAAAAUAUUGCCCCUUAAUUGAUAAACAGAACCAAGAUCCCAACAGCACACCAAAACUAUACCAACCACACCUACAUAAUAUGGACAGAAAAUCCUGUUGUUCCGAUCUCUAACCACACCAAUGACAUUCAUUAGGAAAAUACAAAAGAUGGGUACCCUGCAUUUCUAACAUUUAAGAUAAAAUUCACUGCCAGCUAAUCACAAAUUUGAAAAGAUGGCAAGAAAAUUGGCUAAGCUUUAACAAAAACCAGAGCAGUCCUUGCAUAGACCUGACUUUUUGCUCCAAGCUUUAGCAGAUCACUUACUGGUAGAGAGCAGAGAACAUGUAUGUGAAUAUCUGAAGUUGGAAGGGUAAGCCAUCACAAACACCAAGAGAUCUGAUUCUCAUCUCUUGUUACAACAACAAAUCACAAACACCAAUACAUCUGAUUCAGAAUCUCAUAAACAAUGGAGGAACAAACACAUAUUCACACACAUAUAAAUCCCUAAACAGAAAAAAUAAAAAAUAAAAAAAAAACCAUGAAAGUCAUAGGAGAAUCAAAUUGAUUUGGGCCAAAAUUGCCUAAAAAGAAAACACUCCUAAAUAAACUUCAAUUCACUUUUAAAAACAGUAAAACAUGAUUGAAUCAUUCUUUAAAACAAUUCCCUAAUAUACAUGCAUGAUAAUGACAUCAUUUACCCCUGAAUCAAAUGCCUUUCACUGGUCAAGCCACAAGUCUGUGUUUUGGGAAUUGCUGAGCUGCAUCAAUCCUGCCAAUGUAAAUUCUGCCCCUAGGCUCUCUCAAAGUGCGUUUACAACCUAUGCUAACAUAUACUAGAGUUUGUUUUAGUAUCUAGAAAAUGCCAACACUAAUUUCGUAACACGUAGAAAUUGUUACAUAUUGGAAGUUUUUAUCAUUUUUUCUUCCAGUCUCUCCACCACUCACUAAUACAGAUUACUCAUGUGAUGAGUUUACAAAACAUAUUUCUCUACUCCCACAAAGACCAUACUUUUUCUCAAAAGACUAUAUCACUUUAUCUCUAUCUUUGUGAAAUGUAAAAAGUUGAAACUUUAAUGUCAAACCUCGACAAAAGAUGAACAUCCAUCAUCAAUUACAUUGAAUUUGAAUUUGUUGAACUUAAGUAGUUUUACUUCUCUGUCAGCGUUUGAUGACUUGAUUUGUUAUUUACUUCUUCUUUUUUCCUUGGAAAUGUGUUCCAUCAACGUGAGGAAGAAAAAUAUGCACAAAUUAAUAUAUUUAAUAGAAGCAAAAAUUAAUAUUUACAAAAAUAUGCACAAAUCAAGUAAAAUUAAUAAAGCAUAAAUUGGAAAGGGAAAAUAUGUAGAGGAUGCAUUGUAGGAUUGCUCAUGCCAAUAAUUGUACCCUCUAAAUAUAUAGGGACAUAUUUUUUUUUGUUUUCAUGACAUGUGGUCCUAAAAUUAUUGUUCUUAGCGGGCUCUCCACCCCUCUCGACUGAAAACCUAUUGUGUAAAUCUUCAAUCCUGAAUGAUGCACCUAAAACUCAUGUUGCAAUACACAUCCACCCAUUCUCAGGCCAAUUAUUACUCCUAGUGGGCUCUCCACCCCCUCUCAAAUUUAAGUGGUCCAUUAUUAUUAACCGUAUAUUUUAUGGACCAGCCAGCUGUGAGGUUUUAUCUCAAAAACCUUUCUCCCACAUGCCACAAUUUAUGUCUGAUACAUCACAUCAUGCCAGUUGUCUCAAAUGAAUUUAAGUGAGUGAGGCAGUGUUACUUCUGGGUACCCCUCAUUAUUCGUCUAUAAAUUGGUGAAGCCAGUUGCUACUGUUACCAUAAGAGCCAGCUCCGACUUUCAAAAUAAAAAUUCCAACAACGGUCUUAGUGCCUUCAAUUGUAUGAGUCAUUGAACAUGCAAAUGAAUAAAAUAUGAAUGAUAAAAGUGUUUGAUAAAUCACCAAGUUAUAGAACACUUGAUGAUUUAUCUCAAAUAAAAAUUCAGCUUUCUAAAGUUUGUGAAUUGAAAAUAUAAUCGUUAAAGCUCUCUAAACAAAGAAGACGAAAGUCUUAUUUUAUAGAAUUUUUCUUUACAAGAAAGAAAACAUGUUGAAAACCAAAUCUCCAAUUUCCAAGGCUUGACAGAAAAUCAAAAAAAUAUCUUUCCUAUUCUAGAGAUUGGUCACAUGUAGUUCAACCAAUAGGAAAUGAGAUAUUUAAGAAAGCAAGAUUUUGAUCAAUACCAAUAUCAAAUGAAUUCUUAUACGCCUAGUCAACUAUUAAGGGUAUCUUGACUCCUUGAUAUUGUGAUAUGAUUGAAACAUGAUUUCCAUGUUAGAAAAUUAAGGGGAUGUUAAAACAUGAAAGUAAUAGGAGAAUCAAAUUGAUUUGGACUAAAAUUGCCUAAAAAGAAAACACUCUUAAAUAAACUUCAAUUCACUUUUAAAAACAGUAAAACAUGAUUGAAUCAUUUUUUAAAACAAUUCCCUAAUAUACAUGCAUGAUAAUGACAUCACUUACCCCUAAAUCAAAUUGUCACGCCCCGGACCUGGGGGUCAGUGGAAACCCCACGUUCGGUGCGUGAGAAAAUAAAAAGUAAAAUAAAAUAAAAAGAAUGCCGAAACAAGGGUUUAAAAUAAACUUCUCUUAUAAAAAUAACUCCAAAAUCUUACAACUUUACAAGAAAUAAAUAAAGCCCUAUCAUUCUUAUCUAAUUCAGCCUCAACUGGUUUAGUCCUUGUCUUGCCCACUAAUUCAUCUAAAAAAUGAAGAGUGUUGCUAAACGAACCCUAAAAUUAAUUGAGUACACCCUACUACCAAACGAUUUAUUGAAUUUGUCACAUCUCGGGAUCAACUCCGCCGUAGCACGAUAUUGUUCGCUUUGGGCCCUCCCUCUCUGGCUCGCAUGGUUUUGUUUCUGGGAACUCACGAGUAACUUCCCAGUGGGUCACCAAUCCUGGGAUUGCUCUAGCCCACAACUCGCUUAACUUCGGAGUUCCUACGACUCCGAAGCCUGUGAGCUCCCAAAAGGUCUCGUGCUAGAUGGAUGCGGGUGUGCACAUAUAAGGCACAUCACCCCCUCUCCGUUGGUUGAUGUGGGAUCUUAUAGAAUUACUAAUUUAUCCUAAUAUAAAAUGACCAAAGAAGAUAAAAUAAUAUUGGUAUCUAUUGCUUUGAAUCCAUGCCUUCAAACAAAUUGACUUAAUUUUUAACAAACAACACGGAGUCCAGGAGAAGUGUAUUGAUCCAAGUUGAUUUUUGUAUGCGUAAAACUUAAACAAUCAAUAACACAAAGCAGUUCAUGCUGAAAUAUUGGAAACCCACACCCAAAGAGUUCUCCGCUGCGAGGUUGAAGGCAGGAGAGAUGGGUGACAGAUUUUACUUCCACUGCGAAGUUGGAGGCUAGGAGAGUCUGUGACUGCCAUGGUUGAGGGAGAAGAUGCGUUCAAAAUGCCUAUUGAUAUUUUACAUUAUUGGCUUUUUUCAAAAGUGAAAGUUUUUUUAUGGGUAAAACCUAAAUUUACUUUUUCUAUACAAGUUAACAGUGUUUGUGUAUUGUGAAAAGGUGGAGAGACGUGUCAAAAUUUUAGACAAAGGACAGGAGGAGAUAGGGAAUUUGGGGACAGCAGAUCUCAACUCCCUUGAGACCCUAUUCUCUACGCCACCCCUCCCCCUCAACAACCCUAGUCACCAUUUCUCCUUCAACUCCAACGGCAACUCAUUAAAACCCAAUUCUCAAAUGCAACAAUCUAAUCCCAAUCCCAAUUCAGAUGUUUCUAAAAAACCCAUUGUCGUGGUGGAGAACUGCAAUUCCAGGUGGUGGUGGUGGUACCACAUGGGAGAGAGAAAAAAGAAGAAGAAGAAGCAGGAGAGAGAGAGUUUUUUAUUUUAUUAUUAUUUUACUGUAAUUUUUUAAUUUAAAUAAUUAAAAAAAUUAAAAGUUAAAGAGGAUGUACCAUGGGUAUUUUUGGUAGUUAAAUAAGGUGUACUUAGGGUCAGUUUGGCAUUGCUGUGCUGUGAAAAUAAUAGCUGUCAGAUUUGCUGUGAGAGAAAUCAGCUGUGAGAGAAAUCAGUUUGGCGUUUGAUAAAAUUUUUGUUAAAAGUGUGUUGAUAUUGAUUUUAUGCUUAAUCCGAAAAUGAUUGCUGCAUAAUCAUUAAACCCAGCGCCUCUUCGAAACUGAUUCCUAUAUAAUCAGAAAAUGAAAGCACCUCAUUAGCUGCUUUCCUUUAUAGCUUUCUCUCACAGCAAUUUUUAACAAUAAGUGAUUUUCUCACAGUUUACCAAACGGGUUGGGCUUCUCAAAAUUUUUUAAAAAUCACUUAUUACCCCAAAUAAGCAAUACCAAACGGGCACUUAGUUAAUUUUACAUUUUAAUUUAAACAUUAGGGUGUACUCAGUUAAUUUUAGGGUUCGUUCAGCAGCACUCAAAAUUAAACAAGGUGAGGGAUGAGCAAGUAGGGACAUGAGACAUUGCCACAGUAGAUUGAUAUAACUAAAUAUUAUUAUAAACAUAGAAAUAUAUAAGUAUUAUUAUAAUAGGAUUCAUAAUAAUUAAUAUAAAAGUAUAACAACAAUAUUUACAUUUAUGUACCAAGAUAAUUACACAUAUAAAUAUAACCAAUAUAUAUUUUUAUAUAUUUUAAAAUAUAAGUCUUUACGUAAAUGCCUUUCACGGGUCAAGCCACAAGUCUGUGUUUUGGGGAUUGCUGAGCUGCAUCAAUCCUGCCAAUGUCAAUUCUGCCCCUGAGCUCUCUCAAAGCACGUUUAAAACCUAUGCUAACAUAUACUAGAGUUUAUGCUGUAUCUAGAAAAUGCCAACACUAAUUUCGUAACACGUAGAAAUUGUUAGAGAUUGGAAGUUUUUAUCAUUUUUUCUUCCAGUCUCUCCACUACUUAUUAAUACAGAUUACUCAUGUGAUGAGUUUACAAAACCUAUUUCUCUACUCUCGCAAAGACUAAACUUCUUCUCAAAAGACUAGAUCACUUUACCUCUAUCUCUGUGAAAUGUAAAAAGUUGAAACUUUAAUGUCAAACCUCGACAAAGUGUUCUACUUUACAAACUUCUUGUGUCUACCAAUUUGUACUAAAAUUAAUUUCUCUACAGUGCUCAGAUUCAUCAUAUGUGUGUCCUUAAUUUUAGUGGAAAUUGGAAGUUUCCAUAAUUUUUGCUUUAAGUCACUCUUCUGAAGGAAGUUGAGGUUCCACUUCAUAAUCCAAAAUGUCAGGUUGACUUAUGGCAAACAAUGUAAAUAUGUAGGAGUACUAUGACCUUUUAUAGCAUUUUUAGUUUGAAUUUGGGUUUUAUACAUAGAUUUCAAAAUUAAUAGGUUGAUGCCUAGGAAAUAGAAAUUGUAAGGGCCUAUAUUAGAGUAGCCCUCUUAAAAAUAAUAUUAAUUAAUGAAUAUUUGUUCUUCUUGUUGUUUUGAAGUAGUGGUGGGAGGCAGACCAACAAAAAAAAAAUAUAGUGAAGGCUUAUAAGAGCAUUUACAAUCAUGCUCCCUAUUUUUUAGUUAAAAUUUAGCUAAAAAUAGAAAAAAAGUUAUUAUAGGAGCUCUUUAUAAAGCUCCUUUAUAAAAUUUGAACUCCAAUCAUACUCCCUAGUUUAGGGAGUCAAAAAUACUAUAGUUAUUUUUUAAUUCAAUUUGAUUUUGGUUAAUCUCUAUAAAUAUGAAAAAAUAGUUAGCAUUAAUUAAAAGUUUAAACUAUGCAUAAAACAAAGAAACAUUAAAUUAUAGGGAGCCACUAUGAGUCAUUACUCUCUCCUCAGAUUUAGGAGCUCCUAAAGGUCUCCCUAUUUUAUGAGGUGGAUAAGGAGCAUGGUUGGAGUUGUAUUUCUUCAAUUUCCUCCCUAAAAUUUGUCUAAGGAUGUGGUUUAGGGAGCCCAUUGUGAAUGCUCUAACUCUGGUAAAACACGAGUGACAUGGACAACAUAUGUUACGUCGUACUGAAGAUUUUUGGGUUUCUUUAAUUGGUUAAGUAGCAUCCACACAGCUUCCUAAAUCAUCUCCUUAGACAAAUUUUAGGGAGGAAUUGGAAAAGUACAACUCCAACUAUGCUCCCUAUCCACCAACUAAAAUAGGGAGACUUCUAGGAGCUCCUAAAUCUGAUGAGAGAGAAAGGACUCUUAAUGACUCCCUAUAAUUUAAUGUUGCUUUAUAUUAUUUUGUAUACAGACGGGUCAAUUAUAUUAAAUUAAAAAAUAAUUAAAGUAUUUAUGACUCUCUAAACUAGUGAGCAUAAUUGUAGAUCAUCUUAUAUACCUUAAUUUGAAGAUUCUUUAUUUGGGUUUCUUUCAAGACUUAUCACCUUAGCCACGCCACCUACACGUCUGCAAGCUUUCCUAACAAGGAAGGGGAGGCUGCGCAAUACUUAUCACCUUAGCCACACUACACCAAAUUGACGUCUGCAAGCUUUCGUAAUCUAACAAGGAAGGGGAGGCUGCGCAAUACUUAUCACCUUAGCCACACCAACACCACAAGACCAAUAUGUGUAGUCCAGGAGGCUUUCCCAUUUUAAUAUAUAUUAUCAAAUAAAAUAAAAAUCAAUCUAUUAUCAUAUAUAUUAUAAAAUAAAGAUUAUUGCUCCAUCCUCCAUGCACUUGCAUGCCUCUUACAAAGUGUGAAGUAGAUUUUGUGUGCUCCAAGUCAUUGACGAGAGCUGUAACAUGGUUAGCUGGAUUUAUAAGAUCUUUUCUUUUCUGGGAAUUUUCUGAAUCAAGAAAAAUUAAGUAAAAUUAAUAAAGCAUAAAUUAGAAAGGAAAAAUAUCUAGAGGAUGCAUUGUAGGAUUGCACAUGCCAAUAAUUGUAUCCUCUAAAUAUAUAGGGACAUAUUUUUUUGUUUUCAUGACAUGUGGCCCUAAAAUUAUUGUUCCUAGCGGGCUCUCCACCCCCUCUCGAUUGAAAACUAAUUGUGUAAAUCUUCAAUCUUGAAUGAUGCACCUAAAACUCAAGUGUCCCAGGCCAAUUAUUGCUCUCAUACCACUUGUUGUAAUAAACAUCCAUCCAUUCUAAAGGAAAGAUAACCAUCGAUAUUAUCUCAAAUUUAACCACUUAAGUUCAUUAUGAUUAACUAUGUAUCUUAUGGACCAAUCCAAUCAUGAGGUUUUAUACCCAAUUAGAUCGACUAAUACAAAGUUCACACGUGGAUUGAAAAGCGCUAUCAGUAGGGGAGUGUUCGGCACCCUUUACUGCCGAACGCAACACAAGACCCCUUGCAUGCCUUCACUAAGUUGAGCCUAUCUAUUUUUUAGCAUUAACAAUAUAUAUAGAUUGAAAAAAUAAAAUAAAAAUCAAUCUAUUAUCAUAUAAAAUAAAUAUUAUUGCUCCAUCCUCCAUACACUUGCAUGCCCUCUUACAAAGUGUGAAGUAGAUUUUUUGUGCUCCAACUCAUUGACUAGGGCUGAAACAUGGUUAGUUGGAUUUAUAAGAUCUUUUCUUUUCUGGGAAUUUUCUGAAGCACGGAAAAUCAAAUAAAAUUAAUAAAGCAGAAACUGUACCCUUUAAUUAUAUAUGGACGUAUGUUUUUUUGUUUUCAAGUCUUAGAUGACAUGGGGACCUAAAAUUAUUGCUCCUAGUGGACUCUCGACCCCUCUCAAAUUUAAGUGGUCCAUUAUUAUUAACCACAUAUUUUAUGGACCAUGCAGCUGUGAGGUUUUAUCUCAAAAACCUUCGGUACAUUUCUCCCACAUGCCACAAUUGUAUAUUCACAAUUACGGCUGUUACGUCACAUCAUGCCACUUGCCUCACAUGCAACAAGUCUGUGUUUUGGGGAUUGCCGAGCUGCAUCAAUUCUGCCAAUGUCAAUUCUGCCCCUGGACUCUCUCAAAGCACAUUUAAAACCUAUGCGAACAUAUAUUAGAGUUUAUGAUGUAUGUAUCUAGAAAAUGCCAACACUAAUUUCGUAACAUGUAAAAAUUAUUAGAGAUUGGAAGUUUUUAUCAUUUUUUCUUCCAGUCUCUCCACCACUUAUUAAUACAGAUUACUCAUGUGAUGAGUUUACAAAACCUAUUUCUCUACUCUCGCAAAGACUAAACUUCUUCUCAAAAGACUAGAUCACUUUACCUCUAUCUCUGUGAAAUGUAAAAAGUUGAAACUUUAAUGUCAAACCUCGACAAAGUGUUCUACUUUACAAACUUCUUGUGUCUACCAAUUUGUACUAAAAUUAAUUUAUCUACGGUGCUCAGCUUCAUCGUAUGUGUGUCCUUAAUUUUAGUGGAAAUUGGAAGUUUCCAUAAUUUUUGCUUUAAGUCACUCUUCUGAAGGAAGUUGAGGUUCCACUCCAUAAUCCCAAAUGUCAGGUUGACUUAUGGCAAACAAUGUAAAUAUGUAGGAGUACUAUGACCUUUUAUAGCAUUUUUAGUUUGAAUUUGGGUUUUAUACAUAGAUUUCAAAAUUAAUAGGUUGAUGCCUAGGAAAUAGAAAUUGUAAGGGCCUAUAUUAGAGUAGCCCUCUUAAAAAUAAUAUUAAUUAAUGAAUAUUUGUUCUUCUUGUUGUUUUGAAGUAGUGGUGGGAGGCAGACCAACAAAAAAAAUAUAGUGAAGGCUUAUAAGAGCAUUUACAAUCAUGCUCCCUAUUUUUUAGUUAAAAUUUAGCUAAAAAUAGAAAAAAGUUAUUAUAGGAGCUCUUUAUAAAAUUUGAAUUCCAAUCGUACUCCCUAAUUUAGGGAGUCAUAAAUAUUAUAGUUAUUUUUUAAUUCAAUUUGAUUUUGGUUAAUCUCUAUAAAUAAAUAAAAAUAUGAAAAAAUAGUUAGCAUUAAUUAAAAGUUUAAACUAUGCAUAAAACAAAGAAACAUUAAAUUAUAGGGAGCCACUAUGCCAAUAAUUGUAUCCUCUAAAUAUAUAGGGACAUAUUUUUUUUGUUUUCAUGACAUGUGGCCCUAAAAUUAUUGUUCCUAGCGGGCUCUCCAACCCCUCUCGAUUGAAAACCAAUUGUGUAAAUCUUCAAUCUUGAAUGAUGCACCUAAAACUCAAGUGUCCCAGGCCAAUUAUUGCUCUCAUACCACGUGUUGUAAUAAACAUCCAUCCAUUCUAAAGGAAAGAUAACCAUCGAUAUUAUCUCAAAUUUAACCACUUAAGUUCAUUAUGAUUAACUAUGUAUCUUAUGAACCAAUCCAAUCGUGAGGUUUUAUACCCAAUUAGAUCGACCAAUACAAAGUUCACACGUGGAUUGAAAAGCACUAUCAAUAGGGGAGUGUUCGGCACCCUUUACUGCCGAGCGCAACACAAGAUCCCUUGCAUGCCCUCACUAAGUUGAGCCCAACUAUUUUUUAGCAUUAACAAUAUAUAUAGAUUGAAAAAAUAAAAUAAAAAUCAAUCUAUUAUCAUAUAUUUUAUAAAAUACAUAUUAUUGCUCCAUCCUCCAUACACUUGCAUGCCCUCUUACAAAGUGUGAAGUAGAUUUUUUGUGCUCCAACUCAUUGACUAGGGCUGAAACAUGGUUAGUUAGAUUUAUAAGAUCUUUUGUUUUUUGGGAAUUUUCUGAAGCAAGGAAAAUCAAAUAAAAUUAAUAAAGCAGAAACUGUACCCUUUAAUUAUAUAUGGACAUAUGUUUUUUUGUUUUUUUGCUCUCGACCCCUCUCAAAUUUAAGUGGUCCAUUAUUGUUAACCACAUAUUUUAUGGACCAUCCAGCUUCGGUACAUUUCAAAAAGCUUCGGUACAUUUCUCCCACAUGACACAAUUGUAUAUUCACAAUUACUUCUGGGUACCCCUCAUCAGUCGUCUAUAAAAUGGUGAAGCCAGUUGCUACUGUUACCAUAAGAGCCAGCUCCGACUUUCUUUAAUUUCUUGCUACAUCUGUUGCUAAGUUAAUUUCAGUCCUAAUGGGGUUUCAUCUCCCACUCAUCUUUGCUAUUCUCAGUGUAAGCUCUGCAAUUUGAUUAACUUUUCCAUUCUCUCUCAUUGUACUCUAUAUAUAUAAAUGAAAGUUUUGUGUUCCUAUAAUUCUCUCCGAUUUUAUUUAGUACGUACUUAAGUGUCGUCCACUAAUUAAUUACACUUUGUGAGAUUUGAUUUUAAUUAGAGUUCGAAUUAAUGUUGCAGCUAGCAGCGGUUGCACUGGCAAACAAUGCUGCUCAACCAGCACCUCAACUUUACUGGAACUCCGUCCUGCCAAACACACAGAUGCCAAGAUCUAUCAGUGAACUUCUGCAUCCUGGUUUGUGUUCAGCUCUUUAUAAUCUUAGAUAUCUCUUCUACCUGCCAUUUUACUAAAAUAUGUUCGACCACAUAUUUAUCAGCUAACUACUGUGAUUACAAGAAUGACACUUAUUUUCCAAUAUAAUUUGCAGACUCCACAAAUGAAGAAAAGAGCAAACCUGAAAUUUUCCCAUUGCAGGGCAAUAGAGUUUACACUCAAAGCCAUUAUAAAAAACGUCCUCCUCCUCCAUCUGACGAGGGCAAACCUGAAACUUUCCCAUUGGGCAAUAGCCAUUACACUCAAACCCGUUAUAAAAAACGUCCUCCUCCUCCAUCUGACGAGGGCAAACCUGAAAAUUUCCCAUUGGGCAAUAGCCAUUACACUCAAACCCGUUAUAAAAAACGUCCUCCUCCUCCAUCCGACGAGGGCAAACCUGAAAAUUUCCCAUUGGCCAAUAGCUUUUACACUCAAACCCGUUAUAAAAAACGUCCUCCUCCUCCAUCUGACGAGGGCAAACCUGAAAAUUUCCCAUUGGCCAAUAGCUUUUACACUCAAAGCCAUUAUAAAAAACGUCCUCCUCCUCCAUCUGACGAGGGCAAACCUGAAAAUUUCCCAUUGGCACGUUCUCCUCCAUCUGACAGUCAACUAAAGCAUUACAAAGACUUAGCUAUUUUCUUCUUCGAGAAGGACAUGCGCCCGGGCACAACUAUGAAGUUCCAAUUCCCUAGAAAUUCAAACACGGCUACUUUCCUGCCACGCGAAAGUGCUCAAUCGAUCCCCUUCUCCUCUAAGAAACUACCAGAAAUUUUCAACCAUUUUUCAGUGAAGCCAACAUCUGAGGAAGCCAAAACAAUUAAGCAAACAAUCGAAGAGUGUGAAGCUCCAGGCCUUAAGGGAGAGGAAAAAUAUUGCGCCACAUCUUUAGAAUCAAUGGUUGAUUUUAGCACUUCGAAGCUUGGAACAAGAAACGUUGAAGCAAUCUCAACGGAGGUAUUGGAAGAAGGAGCCACCAAGUACAUGCACAACUAUACAACAAUGCCGGGACUGAAGAAGUUGGAAGGUGACAAAGUCGUUGUGUGUCAUAAGGAGAACUAUCCCUAUGCUGUGUUUCUCUGCCAUGCAAUAAAACAAACAGAAGCUUAUGUUCUCUCCCUGAAAGCCGAUGAUGGGAUGAAGGUGAAAGCAGUAACCAUCUGCCAUCUAGACACAUCAGAAUGGGACCCAGAGCAUUUGUCCUUCCAAAUCCUCAACGUUAAGCCCGGAACCACUCCCAUCUGCCAUUUCCUUACCACUGAUGCUAUUGCCUGGGUUCCAAAACACAAAUCUGCAUGAUCAUCACUUAGCACUGUACGUGUAAUAAGCUUGGUCGGGUUGCACCCUAGGCCUGCAUAAUUAUCUCCCUACUUAUUUCUGCCUCUUCAUCAUGCGGUGUAAGAUAUAUGAUGAGAUGAAGUUUUCUCUUGUAACUAUGUAGACUACUUCAACUUGUACUCAUAAUAAAGCACGCUGUUGGGGGGUUCUACUUAAUUUCGUUCUCUCCAAUGUUUGAGUGUUGAAUUGUUACGUUGGAAUAGGCUGCUAAUGCAUGUAGUUAGAGAAGCCUUCAUUUAUAUCAAAGUCCUCAAACUAUCAAGAAUUAAUGUAUCCAGAAACAUAUACCAAGACGCAAAACAACAUAUUUUCCAUUCUCUGUCUGUAACACCAAAGCAAACUUCCUUUAUCACAUCAUUUAAAGGAUCAAAUUCCAGUACUAAUCUAAUCCAUCAUGUAAAGCAUACAAGUGCCUACCUAAAUUUGUCCAUUGGAUAUAUAUGUCACUUUUUAUUUUUUGAUAGAGAUAUAAAUGUUGAAAAAAUUAGAGUACACAACUCUUAUAGACACUACUACGAUUUACUAUUUGCGCGACGGAAGUUUGCGCGACGAACAUUGUUUCGUCGCGCAAAAAGCACUAUUGCGACGAAAAAAAAAUACCGUAGCGCAAACAACAUAACACAAGCGCGACAAACAGUUUCGUCGCGCAAACAAUCUAUGCGCGACCAAUAUUAAUUUCGUCGCGCAAAGGUAGGGGAAAAAAACCCGGUUUUUUUUUUUUGGCGCCAUAAUCUUGCGCGACAACAACAAUCGUCGCGCAUGACAAUAUUGCGCGACAAUUCAAAGAAUUCGUCAGGUAAAGAUGGACAGAAAAUUGUCUCAUUUUUUUGGCGGUAAAAAACUUUGCGCGACGAAAUUUUUCGUCUCAAAAGACAACUUAGCGCGACGGAAAUAUGUACCGUCGCGUAAAAAAACGAGGGAUACUUAUUUUUGGCGCCAAAAUGCAGGGUGGAUAAAAAAAAUUUUGCGCGACGGAAUUACCUUCGUCGCGUAAAGUGUAAUGCCGGUGCUUUCUUGCGCGACGAAAUAAAUAAUUUGCGCGACGUAAUUUAAACCUUGCGCGACGAAAAGUAUUAUUUGCGCGACGAAAUUUUGUGCGACGAAUAAUAUGUUUCGUCGCACAAAAAAGCAGAUGUCGACAGGUAAUUGCGCGACGGAAAUGUUGUUUUGUGCGAUGGAAAAGUGGGUUUUCGCGACGGCAUUUUGCGCGACGGAUAUUGGUGUUCGUCGCGCAAAGUCCUUCUUCUUCAUAUUAGUAUCUGCCAUUGCAGAGGCAGAAUGCAGAAAUUGCAUUCUGCCUCUCUCUCACUCUCCCUGCCGCUGCUCUGCUGUGAAUUCAAUACGUUCAUUGGGUAUGUAUUUUUUGUCGUUAGUUUAAAUGUAUUAAUGUAAAUUCGUAGUAACGCUAUUAAUUUUGUUAUCGUUAGGGAUAUUUGUGAUUAGUGAUUGGUGGAGAACGAUUGAGAAGGUAUGUUAUUGUAAAAGUUUGUUUGUUAUGUUUGUAAUUUUUUUGUGAAGUUAUAUGUAUAUAAUGUUGUGAAAUUGUGCGUGACAUAGCACAAUGUGUUGUGAUGUACGAAGUUAAUUGAAAUUAACUUCGUACUUUUAUUUUUAUGUUUAGUAACACGUAGUUUCCCGUUCGAGAUUAGUUGGAUUUCGUGCAUGGAUGAGUAAUGCAUGACUGCGGUCCAAUUAAUUCUUGAAUUGUCCCAUUAUUUGGACAGUUUGGUAAUGCAUAGUGUUGUCACAUAAUCUUCGGCUACAGGAUUAGGUUUCGAUUGUGGAGAUUUCGGUGUCAUCUCGGUACGUUCUUCGAGUGGUACGUAGGUAUUUAUACCUAUGCCCACUUCAAGAACUGUGUCGAGAUGCUGCCGAAAUUAAUCCACGUCGAAAUCUAAUCUCAUGUAGCCGUAGGUUACGUGACAGGACUAUGCAUUCCCGAAUGGGAUAGGGCCCUUACCGGAGGCAUAAGGUGACAUUAUAACUUCGUAUGAAGUUGUUGUGAUUGUUGUGUCGUGAUUGUGGUUUCAUGAAUUAUGAGCAGAAGGUGGAUACAUAACCCGAAUAGAUGCGCAGACGAAUACUUGGAUGGAAUCGAGGAUUUUAUUGAGUUUGCACAUAGACACAACCCGGGUGCAAGUAGAAUCCGUUGUCCUUGUAGGAGGUGUAACAACACGUUGUGGGAGACAAUUGAAAAUGUUGGAUUUCAUUUAGUAAGGAAUGGAAUGAUUGAAACAUAUAGCAUUUGGAACCUUCACGGCGAACAUGUAGGCCAUGCUUCGUCUUCAAAUGCCCCAAGAGUGGACAAUGUUGAACCUAUUGUGGAUCCUAAUGAUCAAGUCAUGGGUAUUAUACAGGAUGCUUUUCCAUUCGCAUCGACCAACAUCAAUCAGGAAGGGGAAGAUAACGUGCCUACACCAAUAGACAGUGCGGAGUUUGAACAGUAUGAAAAACUGUUAAAAAAUGCCAACCAAGAGUUAUACCCGGGGUACGAGAGCUUUUCCGUUCUCACUUCUAUUGUGGAGCUAAUGCACGGAAAAAUAAAGUAUCGUAUGUCGAACUUGUGUUUCGAUUACUUUUUGGGGGUUUUCAAGAGAAUGCUUCCGACGGAUAAUUAUUUGCCGAAAGACCAGAAACAUGCACAGAAGGUGUUGCAUGGUCUUGGAUUGGGUUAUGAAAAAAUCCACGCUUGCAAAAACAAUUGCAUGUUAUUCUACAAAGAGCAUGAAACGUUGGAUACAUGCCCUAUAUGCAAUGAGUCGAGGUUCAAAAUGACAUCCCAGAAUAGAACGACUAAGAUACCACAAAAAGUCAUGCGUUAUCUGCCCCUUAAACCUGGGUUGCAGCGAUUGUAUAUGUCGACGCAUACUGCCACAGACAUGAGAUGGCAUAAGGAAAAACGGGUAGACGAUGAUGUGAUGCGGCAUCCUGCAGAUGGGGAGGCAUGGAAAGAGUUCGAUCGAACGUUCCCCGAGUUUGCUGCUGAUCCCCGAAAUGUAAGAUUGGGACUUGCCACUGACGGAUUCAAUCCGUAUGGGGUUCUAAACCAACACCACAGCACUUGGCCGAUUUUCGCAUUCCCAUAUAAUUUGCCGCCUUGGAAAUGCAUGAAAAAAGAAUACAUGAUGAUGACUGUUUUGAUAACUGAGGAUCCUGGCAGGUCAAUUGAUGUGUACUUAAGGCCUCUGGUUGAUGAGCUGAAAGAUUUAUGGACAAACGGUGUUCGCACGUACGAUAAAUCAACUGGGAGGAUGUUCACUUUGCGAGCAGCAAUUAUGUGGACUGUGAAUGAUUUUCCAGCAUAUGCAAUGGUUUCUGGGUGGAGCACAAAAGGUUAUAUGGCAUGUCAUGUAUGCAAGGAAGAUGUAACUUCUGGUUGGCACGCGGGAAAAGUUUGUUACCUUGGUCAUCGGAGAUGGUUGCCAUGGGACCACGAGUGGCGAGAAAAAGAUAAAGAGUUCAACGGGAACACAGAGCGUCGCCUCAGACCUGGAGAAUGGUCCGGUGAUGAGAUCUUGGAACAGCUGAACCGUUUGGAUUUUGGUCCGUUCGGAAAAACAAUUAGUCGGACCAGACCUUCUACACAUUUGAACUGGACGCACAAGCCUAUGUUUUUUGAGCUCCCAUAUUGGUCGAAACUGAAAUUGAGGCACAAUCUAGAUGUGAUGCAUGUUGAGAAAAAUGUAUUCGACACAUUGGUGGGCACGAUUCUAGAUAUCGAGGGGAAGACGAAGGACACGAUCAAAGCUCGUCUUGAUUUGGAAAGAAUGGGCAUACGAAGGGGUUUAUGGAUGAAUAGGGACAGUGAUAAAGCUAGAAGGGAUCUUGCAUUCUUUUCUAUGAAACCGAAUGACAAAAAGGAGUUUCUAAAGUUUGUAUCGUCUGUCAAAUUUCCCGAUGGGUAUGCUUCUAAUAUCGCACGUUGCGUGAAUGUCGAUGGGGGUAAAUUUACUGGACUUAAGAGCCAUGACUGCCAUGUUCCUGUGGGUAUUCGACACCUACUGCCGGAAGAUGUGGUGAAGCCAAUCAUGUUGUUAUCCAGAUUUUUUUCCCAACUGACGGCAAAAACAUUGCGAAGGACAGACAUGUUUCAGUUGCGCCAUGACAUUGUCCAAGUCCUAUGCAAGUUUGAGAUGAUAUUUCCUCCGGCUUUCUUUACAAGUAUGAUGCACGUAAUGGUUCACUUGCCAGAAGAGGCAUUGCUUGCUGGUCCUGUCAACUAUCGCUGGAUGUAUCCAAUAGAAAGGUAUAUAAUCUUUAUCAUUUGUGUAUGCAUCAUUAUCGACACUUUGCUAAUUUGUAUCAUAUCGUUUUAUUUUGGCAGGCUUCUCGGAGAGCUGAAAAAAAGUGUACGCAACAGGGCAAAGCCCGAAGGAUUAAUUAUAGAGGCUUGGGUUCAAUAUGAGUCGCUUACUUUCUGUGGAAUGUAUUUAAAAGAUGUGGAGACGGUUUUCAAUCGUCCUCAACGCAAUAAUGACGGAGGUAUGAGAAAUGAAAAACUUUUUGUUUUUGCCCAAAGCGCAUGACCAUUUGGAGAUCCUGGACGAGGAGAGUCGUUUUCUAGAAAUGACAUGGAGGUAGCGCAUUGGUUCGUACUGAACAAUUGUGAUGAGAUAAUGGCCUACUUAGAUGAGCAUGAACAGAUGAUGAAGCGAGAACAUCCAUCACAUUUGGUUGCCCGGAAACAUCGUGAAUUAUUUCCACAAUGGUUUUUGGAUUCUGUAAGUUAUAACUGUUUUGUAAUUGACAAAUAUAAAUUGUAGUAUUUAAUUUUGUCAGACUAACAUGUAAAUGAUUUUGUAUACUAUUAGGUGAAUAAAUUGAAAUCAUCGAAUUCCCCCACUUACAGUGAUGAGUUAUAUAACUUGGCGUUCGGCCCAAUUCGUGCUGAGUUGUUCUCGGGUUGUAAUGUUAACGGCGUCAAAUUUUUGGGGGCCGCACGAGAUGACAAGUUGUGUAUGCAAAACAGCGGUGUCCAUGUCCCAGGUGGAGGCGAAAGUACGGACAUUGAUUUCUAUGGCAAACUGACAACUGUCGUGCAAUUGCUUUAGAAAGAUCGAUACCAAGUCAUCAUGUUUAAGUGUCGAUGGUUCGAUACCAACCCAAAUAGGGCGGGAAGUGUUAAAAUCGACCAUGGAGUACUGUUUGUGAACAUGGCGUCCCAAAUUGUGUAUCUAGAUGACCCUAAAGCCGGGAGCGGGUGAAAAGUUGUGCAGAAGAUGGAUCAUAGGAACGUGUAUGAUAUACCAGAACUAGACCCAAGUGACAACGACGUCGACAAUGUGGCUGACCAACGUUUAGAAUCUUCAAUGGAAAAUGAUGCGGAAACACUUCGAGAUACAAAUGUUAUACAAGAACCGUUUCAAAUAGAAGGAGUGUCUUCAGUAGAAAUACCGAUUCAGUCAAUUACAAUUGACCUCGGUGAUCUUCCCCGAUACGAUGUUGCAGUGGGUCCUAGCAACGCCGAUGAUGCAGUUAUAGAGGAGGAGGAGGAAGAAGAUUGGGAGACCGAGAGUGAUGAUAGCGAUGAUAACGAAAGUUAUUAUAGUUCAGAUGAUGAAUAAUGAAUUUAUUUGUAAAGUUAUUAUGUUAGUGUAUUCAUUUUGUGUAAUACAAAUCUUUGAAUAUAUGUAGUUGUCCAUAUGUAGUUGUGUAUUCAUUCUCCAUAUUUCAUCACAAACUUCAUUGGAAUGUCAAUACUUUAGUCAAUACUUAUUACGACCCCAUGCUUGUCGAUUGGUUUUUAUUUAUUUAUUUAUUAAUGUCUUUAACUCUUCAAUUAUUAUUUUUUUCUUUUGAGAUAUAGUUAUUUCUUCAUGUUUAAACAAAAAAUAUAAGUUAUUUCUCCAAUAUUAUCUGUGUGCCACUUAUUUUUCUUCACUUUGGUUCAUGAUUAGUGGCAUCAAUCUAGUCAAACCGAUAAAAUCGGUCGAUUCAAAUCUUAAUUAUCAAUUUAGUUUGGUUUUGAUGAAGAAAUACAAAGCCUUUCCAAAAAAUACAGAGCAUAAAAAAUGAUGAAUACAAAACCUUUCCAAAAAAUACAAAGCAUACACAAUUUGAAUUAAAUGAGGAUUUAUGGCGCCAAAUCCUUGCGCAACGAUAAGGAGCCCUUCGUCGCGCAAAUAUAUAUUAGGUAACGUUAUAGUAUAAUAUAUACCCACAUAUAUAUUUAAAAUUGGCGAUCGAAGUAGUUCAUUGUAUUCAUAUGAAGUGUAGGACUGUAGCUGCAAAAAAUCAUCAACAUCGGAGUUAAAAUAACCGUUCAAUCAUCACUUUUUAUUUAGAACCGUCGAAAAGUUUUACCCCGUUACUUAAUCUCUGAAUGUUUUUUUUGUCUGAUUUUUGCUGUCUAUGAUCUCGAAGUAUAACAAAACAAGUUUGACGGCUGGAUGACUGAAGCUAGUUUCGUAGACUGCGUGUGCUAUCAAAAUCAUAUAUUCACCAAAAACUCAAAAAUUUGUUCAUACAUUUGUGAAAAUGUAACUUAAUGUUUAUGUGGUAUCCCCUAGUGUAAAAAUAUGAAAUUGAAGAUCAAAUUCAGUCAUUGUAUUCAUAUAGGGUCAACAAAUGUUGCUGUAAAAAAUGAUCAAAAUCGGAGUUAAAAUAACCGUUAAAUCAUGACUUUUCAUUUAUAACCGUCAAAAUAUUUUGUCCUGUUCCCUGAUAUCUGAAUGUUUGGUCGUUUUGAUUUUUGGCGUAUACGAUCUCCAAGUAUAAACAAAUAAGUUUGCCGGUUGGAUCAUUGAAACUAUUUUAGGGUUUAGGGUUUAGGGCUUAGGGCUUAGGGUUUAGGGUUUACAUUUUAGGGUUUAGGUUUUGCGCGACGAAUAAACAUUCCUUUCGUCGCACAAAGUGAAAGUGACAAAGAUUGCGCGACGGAUAAGUCUUCCAUUCGUCGCGUAAUCUGGGACACACAUUUCACCCCUCCAUACCCUUUGAACACUUAGUGAAAAUUUCAACCGAAUGAAAUUCUUGAACCCGCGCGACGAACAAAGCAAAUACGUCGCGUAAAGUGGACGUGAACAAGAUUGCGCGACGGAUAAAUCUGGUAUUCGUCGCGCAAUCUGGGCCACACUUUCACCCUUCCAUCCCCUUUGAACACUUAGUGAAAAUUUCAACCGAAUGAAAUUUUUGAACUCGCGCGACGAACAAAACAAAUACGUUGCGCAAAGUGGACGUGAACAAGAUUGUGCGACGGAUAAAUCUAAUUUUCGUCGCGCAAUCUGGGCCACGCUUUCACCCUUCCAUCCCCUUUGAACACUUAGUGAAAAUUUCAAGCGAAGCAAAAUCUUCAACUCGCGCGACGAAUAAAAGUAUUCGUCGCGCAAAAGGCACAGGCCUCUGAUUUUUGUUAGCAAACAUUGCGCGACGUUUACUGUCUUCGUCGCGCAAAAGGCACAGACCCUUCAGUUUCAGCCUCCCGCUAAACCCAAAAUUUUCCCAAAAUUUUGGCGGAACGACAGCGUUUUGCGCGACGAACAUAUGACUUUCCGUCGCACAAGGUUAACCUUGCUCGACGUUUACUAUCUUCGUCGCGCAAAAGCACAAACCCUUCAGUUUCAGCCUCCCGCUAAACCCUAAGUCCCAAAAUUUGGGCGGAACGACAUCGUUUUGCGCGACGAAUAUAUGAUUUUCCGUCGCGCAAGGAGAACCUUGCGCAACGUUUACUAUCUUCGUCGCGCAAAAUCACAGUUUCAGCCUCCCGCUAAACCCUAAAUCCCAAAAUUUUGGUGGAACAACAGCGUUUUGCGCGACGAACCAUGUAUUUUUCGUCGCGCAAAAGGCACAGACCCUAAUCCCCAUUCAAAAUUUGGCGUUCUGGGAGACCUUGCGCGACGGAUAUUUCAUCGCGCAAGAUUCAUUAAUACCAUUUUGCACGACGCAUUCUGUUCUUCGUCGCGCAAAGUCGAAUAAAUUUGCAGAAACGGCCCGAUGCCUCCUUCUUCCCCAUUUUCUGGUUUCUCUCCGUUUCUUCCUCUCUCUCCGCCGUCACCUUAGCCCUCUCUCUCUGCCAUCACCUCAGCCACCUCCGCUCGUUCCGUAGCCUCCCUGCCGUCACCGUCGAGCCUGCCGUCGCAAUUUCGUCAGUUUUUCCCGAUUCUUCGCCGGCCGAUUUCUCUCUCCUCCGGCCACCAUUUUCGACGCCUAAGGUAUGAUUUCUCGACUAUUUUUUGUGCUCUAGCUGAUGGUUGGUUAGGAUUUCUUGAAUUUUCGCUAUAGGAAAUAGGAAUUAAAACCCUAGGUUUUGGCCGCUUUGGGAAUUUCAAAUCCGGCCACUUCCGGCCAUUUUUCGGGGUAGGUCCGAGAACAAAAGUGGCUCCAAUUAAUGUUUUCAACCUAGGGUAGGAACCUUGGCCCUUAGUUUUUAGAAUUUUCCGACGAAUGUUAUCGCUUUGGACACCCACGCGCUGCCGGCGCGUGUGGUGGCGCGUGGGAUGUUGUGGCAGUGGGGCAUUGGGUCCCAGAGCAAUCCCCUGUUUGUCACGAGCGCGUAGGUUUGCUCGGAUUUGAAUUUGGUUAUCGUUUGAGUCUUGAUCGGAUUUCGGCUAUUGUGCGAUUUCCAGGUUUGAUAUGUUCGGACCGUUGGAUCGAACUCAAACUCACGUAGUUGUACCUUUGUGUUUCUACGAUCGUUUAGGAUUCGACCGAUCGUUGAUCGGUGUCCCGGAUACUUCGAAAUUCCAAACCCUAGGUGAAGCUAUGCUUUUAAUUAAUUAGUUUAAAUUCUUAAUGAAAUUAUAUGUGCAGAUGUCAGAUUUGAUUAGACGUGGUAGGUCGAUGAUGACUGCACCGAGUUCGGAUCCCCCUGCUCAGUCGGCAUAUGCUGCCACUGCUCCAGCUUUGAUGGAGCACGUGCUGGUUGGUCCCGGGGCGUCCCAGGCGCCUGCGUCAUCUGCGUCAUCCGUCGCGCAGCCAGCUAGUGCUAGGCGGCGGCACCGGCCCGCCGACACGACAUCGACCGACGGUACUGGUGCCUCGGGAUCACAGCCAGAUAUAACUACCAUUUUGUAUUGUUAAUUUUAUAUUGAAAUUUGACAAUGUUGUUUAUUUAACAUUAAUAUCUUUUUUCUUUGCAGCGAAGAAGAACACCUGAGGGCCGUGUCGUCAGCUGAAGACGGCGAAGGUCACCCGGGUGACCAACAGUCGUAUCAGCAUCGGAUACGACGAGCGCCAUCGGGCUGCACCGACGGCGGAGUUGCAUAGCUCCUUGGCCCACGACAUUGGCCACGUCGUGCGGACCCAUUGCCUGAUGCAAUGGAAGUCUUGGAGGGUCAUGCCUGACGAGAUCAAGGUGGAGGUUCGCGGCCAGUUGUCGGUAUGUACCUUACAUUUUCAUUAAUUUUCUUUAAAAUUGUGUAUAUUUCUAUUACUUAACGUAUCUAAUUAAUUGAUUGCAGACGAACUAUAACUUGGAGGAUCUCGACGAAGAGUCGUUGGCGUACGUCAACAGACUCUUCGCUGAGAGGUACAAGCAGUGGAAGAGCGACUUGCACCAUCAUUUUCAGGCCUUUGAUGAUCCGCAAGUCGCUCUUCAGGAGGGUUGCCCGAAGGAGCUUGAGGGGCGGGAGGAUAGUUGGGAGUGGCUCUGCGCUCAUUUUCAAGCGUCCGAAUAUGUGGUAUUUUUUUAAUAAUAUUUGUUUAAUUAUUACUUAUUUCUUAUUAAUGUUUAUUUCAUUUUUUUUAUUUCAUUAUUAUUUAAUUUGUUAUGUUUUAACUAAUACGUUUCAUUUUUUGUAUAACAGAAUAAGGCCCAAGUGAAUAAGGGUAAUAGGAAGAAGAAGACCCUUCUCCACCAUUCCGGCUCCAGGCCCUUUUCGUAUAGGAUGGAUGCCCGGCGACGGGUAAUAAUCACAUAAUUUAUAUUUCAUUUUUAAUGUCAUUUUUAUUAAUUUAUUUUUUUCAUACUAAUAUUUUUCUUCUCUUGUUCAAUUUAGGAGGGGUCCAAGUUCCCAGAGAUCGACGUCUUUGGUGACGUUUAUGUUCGACCCGGGAAUGAGUUGGCCGAGUCCCUUCAUGUAAGUAUUAUUUAAUUUUAAUUCUUAUGUUACGCAUUCAAUUUAUAUGCAUGUUUAAAUUUAUAUUUUAUGUUAUGUUCAACAGACGACGAUGGUGGAGAGGAGCCAGUUGGUUCUUCAGGAGUCCGCCUCCCAGCUUCCUCCCGAGACUCCGAUCGAGUCUGUGGCUCCUCCACAGGAUGCUGGAUUUCAGAUCUUGACGGAGACGUUGGAUCAGACUCUCGGGAGGAGGCCGGGGACAUAUUGUCGAGGGAUGGGGAAUGCCCGGCGGAGGGAACCUAGACCUCGUUCAUCGGCCCAGUCAAACAGUCAGGUGACUGCUUUGACAGCACAGGUGGCCGAGCUUCAGGGUCAGAUGUCGGUGAUUCUACAGUCCCUCGCACAGAGCGGCUUUCCAAUCCCGCAGUUUCGUGCGUCAACCUCCCAGCCCGUCCACCCCGAGUAUGCCCACCAGACCACUGCCCCGGUGGACGCCCAGACCUCCGAGCCGCAUACUGGCGACGACCCGAUUGAUUUUGCUUCAUUAUUUGAUUAGUGUAUUUAUUUUCAUCAUAAACAUUUAUUUUAUUUGUAAUACAUUUAUUUUAUUUUAUAACAAAAUUUUGUUCUAAUUUAUUUUUAUUGCAAUUUCAUUGUUUAAUCAAUAAAAAAACCAAUUUUAUUUAAAAAAAAUAAAAAUAAAUAAAAAACAAAAACAAAAAAAACAAAAAAAAAUUGUAAUAUUAUUUUUGCGCGACGGAAGACAUUUCGUCGCGCAAAACCACAUGUAACAAAAAAAAUUAAAAAAAUCAAUUUUUUAUUACUUUAAUUCUUGCGCGACGAAUACAUACGUCUCGCAAACAUUUUUUGCGCGACGAAAUGUUUCGUCGCGCAACAGCUUUUGCGCGACGACUGAAAUUUUCGUCGCCAAAUAGAUGAGCGACGAAAACUUUCUCAUCGCGCGAAUAGUUCUGCGACGAAUAUAUACGUCUCCCGGACUAGUUUUGCGCGACGAAUUAUUUUCGUCGCGCUAUUCGUUUCGUCGCGCAAAUAUACGUGCGCCGAAUACUUUAUCGUCGCGCAAAUAUUUAUGCGACGAACAGUUGUUUCGUCUCCACACCGUUGGUGCAACGAUGGUUUACCCGUCGCACAAUUAUGCGCGACGAAGUGUUGUACCUCGUCGCGCAAAGGCUUUCUUCACGAUCUUCGCGCGACGGAAGGUGCGCGACGAAUUUUUUGUCGCGCUGAAAUUAGGGCGACUAAAUAAGACUUUGCGCGACGUUUUGUUAUUCGUCGCGCAAAGAGUAAAAUGUAGUAGUGAGACUUGUUGGAGACAAAACAGGUAAACAAAUUACUUGUAUUAGACUCACAAAAUAUUACAACAAGACAACUCUCAAAGAAAAGACAAACUCUCACACUUCUCACAAGGACUACUUAACUUUAUAGCUUAUUGCAUAUAGCAUAUGCAAACACAAUUAGAACAUACCUACGUACACUAUGGGAACACUCGUGUAUAUUUCAACACAAGAAAACAUGUGCACCGUGCACGGUUCACAUGAAGUAAGAAAUGAAGAGGAAAUAAAGAAGAAGAAUACAAAAGAAAAUGGAGAUGAGAAAAAAAAAAAAACCGAAUAAUGAAAAAUGAAUUGACAAUUAUAUAUGGUUGACAUUAGAUCUAAUAUUAUAUGUAACAACUAUUGAUCUAAAAUAAACAUUAAAUCAAACAAUAAUUAAAAGAUUUGACAAUAUAAAAAUUUAUUGAGGACAAAAAAAGGCAAAAACUUAUGAAAAAUGGAAACAAUAAAUAUGAACUGAGUCAUCAACUCACCAUGGUAAGUUUGCUGACGUAUAAAAAUAGUCAAUGGACAUCGAAAAGUAAUUGGCUUACAUCAAAAAUUAAAAUCACGUGGGUUAUUCCUAAGAAACCUUAAUAUUUGCCUUCCAUUUGUUCCAGCAAAAUAAAAGUCAUUGCUACUUAUUGUAACCCCUUUUCCAAGCUUAUUAAUCAAAGUAGACACCUCACUGCUGUCACCUAGCCAAUUUUCAACAAUGUCAUACUUAACAAGCAACUCCACAUCCUUUGAGGUGUUCACAAAACGAUCCAUGAGACUAACAUAAUCACUUAUGUACGUCUCCUCGUAGUGGCAUUGUUCAAAUGCGAUGAGAUUUCUAAUUAAUACCUCUGUAUGAUCGCUUAUUUUCAAUCUUGGAAUUUCAAGAGUCCGGCCAGCAAAUCUAAUAAGGUAUUCAUUGAUCCCUCAUUCAACUUGAACCCUGCCCUGUGUAGCUCUGUGAUGCUGGGUGUGUUUAUAGUUAUGAGUUUCCCGUCAUUAGUUUUUAGGGUUAUUCGUUAUAUGAGUCCCUGAACUUAGACCCGAUUUGCAUUUUAGUCCCUCAAUUUCCAAAAUCGUUCCAGUGGUCCUUCAACUUUAGUUUCGUUAGGACAAAUGGUCCUGCCGUCAAAUGAUUAUAAAGUGGAAAAAACAAGAACAAAAAAGGAAGUGAGUUAAAUUUGCACCUGCUAUGUUCAAACGACAAAGUUCGUUUCCGUUUGGUCGAUUACAAGAGAAGCUCAAUGCAGCUUACUUGGUUCCUCUUGGUAGAUGGAAAUAUAAUUUUUCUCCUAAUAACAAAGGUUUAGUGCAAUCAAUGAUGGGCUGUAUAGAACAACUUUUUUGUUUUAUAUGUUUAUGUGAGACAAGUUUUGCCAGAUUGAAUUAAUGUCUUCUAGCUAUGUACCUUAUCUUUUUGCCGGGCCAUGAGUUGAAUGUAGAGGCAGAGCAUGGCCUUGGGUUUGUAAAAGACAAAAGACUGAACCAGACGUAAUUAUUUAGAUUUUGGAUCCAGUUCCACAUCCCAAAGAGAAAACCACAAGUUUGCAAGCAAGUUUGUCCAUAUUAACACUACGUAGAGUAUAGGCAGUGUGCUACUCAUCUCACUUUCUCAACCUACCCUAUAUUUGUCUAAAAGAGUUUCUAAUUUCGUGUACUGAUUCACUACUACAUUUUACACUUUGUGCGACGAAGAGAAUUUCGUCACGCAAAAUACAUUGGUCGCGCAAAGUUUAAAAAAAAUUUUAAAAAAAUAAAAAAUUCCCGCGUCCAAUUUUUGGUACUUGUCCAAAUUUUUUGAGUUUUGCGCGACGAAUACUAACAUCGCGCAAAUAUUUGCGCGACGAAAUAUUUUUUGUUUUAAAUUUUUUUAAUUUAAAAUAAACUAAUUUAAUAGUUUGCGCUACGAAAUAUUUUGUCGCGCAAGGUUUUUGACUUUUUGUUUUAUUAUUUCUUUAAUAUGAAUUUAUUUAUAUGAAUUUUUUGAAAUUUUUACUUUUUAAAUUUAAUUUAAUUGUAUGAUUUCUUUUUAAAAUUACUUUAAUUUAAAUUGAUAUUAAUUUUUACUUUUUAAAUUUAAUUUAAUUGUAUGAUUUUUUUUAAUUACUUUAAUUUAAAUUGACAUAUUCAAAAUAAAAUUACAUAUGAAAAAUAGUGAUUAAAUUAUCCAAUAAAUAUAUAUAUAUAUAUAAUAUUCAAAAUGUACACAUAAAUUAACAAAGCACAAUAAUAAAAUCCUAAUACAAGCGUAUUGUGGUGGUAGUGUCGGAGGAUAUGUUUUGAUAGCUUCCUAAUCCUCAACUUUAGCCGUCAAAGUCUCGAUGAUUCCCUACAAAAAAAAUAAAUAUGGUCAAAUAACCACAAACAAAAAAAAAAAAAAAAAAAAAGGCAUAAUCUCCCCUAAAAUUGUUAUACCACAAAUCCAACCCAAACUCCAAUCCCUCCCCUUUACUCAACCCCAAAACCCACACAAACUCAAAAUUAACUCCAAAAACACAUAUUAAUGAAAAAAAUUUAAAAUUUGGAGAGAAUAUACCUUUUGGCAAGAUUGAGAGUGAAUGAGAGGGAGAAGUGAGUGUGAGAGAAUUAGAGAAGAUAGUGAUAGAGAGAUGAGAGAGAUGAGAGAGUGAGUGAGAGAGAGUGAGAGAUAGUGAAGAGAGAGAUGAGAGAUUAAGUGAGAGGAGUGAGUGAGAGAAAUGGUGGGAUUUGGGGAGAGGGAAAGAGAAAGGAGAGGUAAGAGUAGAGAAAGGCAUUGAGAAAAUGGUGGAUGAGUUAUUUCGGUUUUAAAAACCGUAUCACUUUGCGUGACGAAAAAUAUUGUUGGUCGCGCAAAGGUUUGCGCGACGAAAAAUAUUGGAAUAUUGAUCGCGCAAACUUUUGAGCGACGAAACAUAUUGGUCGCGCAAAGUCUAAAAAAAUUAUUUAAAAAAAAUAAAAAUCCCCGCGUCCCAUUUUUGGUACCCGCCAAAAUUUUUAAAUUUUUGCGCGACGAAUAUAGGAAUAUUGAUCGCGCAAAGUCUAAAAAAAUUAUUUAAAAAAAUAAAAAUCCCCGCGUCCCAUUUUUGGUACCCGCCAAAAUUUUUAAAUUUUUGCGCGACGAAUAUAGGAAUAUUGGUCGCGCAAAGUCUAAAAAAAUUAUUUAAAAAAAUAAAAAUCCCCGCGUCCCAUUUUUGGUACCCGCCAAAAUUUUUCAAUUUUUGCGCGACGAAAAAUACAUAUUGGUCGCGCAAAGUCUAAAAAAAUUAUUUAAAAAAAUAAAAAUCCCCGCGUCCCAUUUUUGGUACCCGCCAAAAUUUUUAAAUUUUUGCGCGACGAAAAAUACAUACUGGUCGCGCAAAGUCUAAAAAAAUUCCCGCGUCCGAUUUUUGGUACCCGCCCAAAUUUUUGCGAGACGAAAAAUAUAUAUUGGUCGCGCAAAGUUUUGAGCGACAAAAAAUAUUGGUCGCGCAAAGUCUAAAAUUUUUUUAUUUUUUUUUUAAAAUCCAGCGUCCCAUUUUUGGUACCCGUCCAAAUUUUUAGAGUUUUGCGCGACAAACUGUUGGUUGCGCAAACUUUUGAGAGACGAAAAAUUGGUUCGUAACACAAUAUUUAUAAAAAUAAUUGUUAUGAAUAAUAAAAAUAAAAUUAUUUUAUUUUACAAUUUAAAAUAUAAAUAAGGUUAAAGCUGCUUAAGAAAUAUAUAUACUAUUCAAUUUCUUAAGUGUUAUACGUACAAAAUAAAUAAAUUUAAAGGUACUUAAUAAAUAAAUAUAUAUACACACACCAUUCAACGAUCCAACCGUCAGACUUAUUUGUAUAUACUUCAAGAUCGUAUACCCCAAAAAUCACAAAAAACAAACAUUUAGAGAUCUAGUAACGAGACAAAACUUUUCGAUGGUUAUAAAUGAAAAAUUACGAUUUAACGGUUAUUUUAACUCCGAUUUUGAUGAUUUUUUUUUACAGCUACACUCCUUGACCAUAUAUGAAUACAAUGACUGAAUUUGAUCUUCAAUUUAAAAUAUUUACACUAGUGGAUACCACAAAAUCUUAUGUUAUAUCUAACGAACGUAUAAAUAACCUCUUAAUUGUUAGUGAAUAUAUUGUUUUGAUGGCAUAUGCAUUCACCAAAACUAGUUUCAACGAUCCAACCAUCAAACUUGUUUGUUUAUACUUCGAGAUCAUAUACGCCAAAAAUCAGAAAAAAUAAACAUUCAGAGAUCAAGUAAUGGGACAAAAAUUUUCGACGGUUAUAAUGAAAAAUCACGAUUUAACGGUUAUUUUAACUCCGAUUUUGAUGAUUUUUUACAGCUACACUCCUUGACCCUAUAUGAAUACAAUGACUGAAUUUGAUCUUCAAUUUAAAAUAUUUACACUAGUGUAUACCACAAAAUCUUAUGUUAUAUUUAACGAACGUAUAAAUAAACUCUUAAUUGUUAGUGAAUAUAUUGUUUUGAUGGCAUAUGCAUUCACCAAAACUAGUUUCAACGAUCCAACCGUCAAACUUGUUUGUUUAUACUUCGAGAUCAUAUACGCCAAAAAUCGGAAAAAAUAAACAUUCAGAGAUCAAGUAAUGGGACAAAACUUUUCGACGGUUAUAAUGAAAAAUCACGAUUUAACGGUUAUUUUAACUCCGAUUUUGAUGAUUUUUUACAGCUACACUCCUUGAACCUAUAUGAAUACAAUGACUGAAUUUGAUCUUCAAUUUAAAAUAUUUACACUAGUGGAUACCACAAAAUCUUAUGUUAUAUUUAACGAACGUAUAAAUAAACUCUUAAUUGUUAGUGAAUAUAUUGUUUUGAUGGCAUAUGCAUUUACCAAAACUAGUUUCAACGAUCCAACCGUCAACCUUGUUUGUUUAUACUUCGAGAUCAUAUACGCCAAAAAUCGGAAAAAAUAAACAUUCAGAGAUCAAGUAAUGAGACAAAACUUUUCGACGGUUAUAAUGAAAAAUCACGAUUUAACGGUUAUUUUAACUCCGAUUUUGAUGAUUUUUUACAGCUACACUCCUUGACCCUAUAUGAAUACAAUGAACUAAUUCGAUCGUCAAUUUAAAAUAUAUAUUUUCUAACAAAAACCCAAUCUGAACAACAAUAAUAUAUUUUUCUAACAAAAAUCCGAUCCGAUCUAAAAUAAUAAAUUUAAAGCUACUUAAUAAAUAUAUAUACUGUUUAAUUUCUUAAGUGUUAUGCAUACAAAAUAAAAAACAAAAAUAAAUUAGUAUAGGCGACAAAAUGUUUGGAUUACGUCAUGCAAAGAUUUUAAAAUAUAUAUAUAUAUUAUUUUUAUAAGGACUUUGCGCGACGAAGUUCAUUGUUUCGUCGCGCAAAGUCACUUUGAGCGACGAUGUAUUGUUGUCGCGCAAAAGUUUGUCGCGCAAAGUUACUUUGCGCGACGAAUUUUUUUUCAUCGCUCAAAAUUUGGUCGCGCAAGACUUUGAGUGACGAUGUAUUGUCGUCGCGCAAAAGUUUGUCGCGCGAAGUGACUUUGCGCUACGAAUUGUUUUUCGUCACGCAAAAUUUGGUCGCGCAAGACUUUGAGCGACGAAGUUUUGAGUUUCGUCGCGCAAAGUGACUUUGAGCGACGAAUAGUUUUUCGUCGCGCAAAAUUUGGUCGCGCAAGGGGUUUUUUUUUACUAGUAUGAGUUUUAUAUACAAUUUAUAACAAUAUUUUCAGGCAAAAAAAUGUCUUGGCAAGAAAAUGUACAAUUUGUUACGUACUUAACUGGAACGAUUACCUUCAAAUUCCUAUGGCCAAUUACCUUCUUUUUUCUUCCUUUUUUUUUUUUUUUUUUUUUUGGUUGUUGUUGUUCUUUUGAUCAAGUUGCAUAUUCCAAAGAACGAAAACCAGUACAGGCUCUUUUCCAAUGCAAGCUCUUUUCCCAUGUUUCCCUCUGUUUUUCUCCUAUUUUUCUUAUAUGGAAGUGAUUAAAAUACACCUCUAAGCUUGUUUUGCGUUUGGUAACCGACUGUAAAAGCUCAAUGCAGAUAGUUUGAGGUAGAAUUUUCUCCAAUUUUACUAGCACAGUGAUAAGCUAUACUAUAUGUAACAACAAAUUGCUUUAAUAAUGAUAAUGAAAAAAGUGUGAUCCAUCGAAUAUUUGCGGGGUUUUGUUCCAAGUCAACACAUCAAAUUCUUUUACACCAUGAAAUUAAAAAAAAUUUAUUCAACCAUCUCGACCUUAUGCUCGAUCAUUUUGCACAAGCAACCGUCCACGUACCCCAAUAAUUUAAAAGGGCUGAUGAUCUUUAAUUUGGCGAAAGCUUCUAUCUACUUCUACCGCGCUAUAUAUGAGCUAUGCAAUUGUGACGGUGUUACAUGACGUCACAAUGUCGUAGGGAUAAAAAAAUAAUAGUCAUGGUUUCUUAUUAAUGUUAAUACAGGCAUAGCAAAAAGCUUGUAUUUCUAGUGGUUAAGAACAAUUACCCAUGCACUUGAGAUAUUAUGUGCUUAAAUCCCCUCUUCCCCAAUAUUUCUUGUAUAAAAAUAAAAAUAAAAAUAAAAAUAAUAAAGAUAUUGAUAUUGUAUUCUAUAAAGUGUUGGACAUGUUUUAUACCCCUUUACUGCAAAUUACAGUUUGACACAUGUACAAAAAUAAUAGGUAAGUGUUGGACAUCAAGAGUACUUACAUAUAGGUUUAAUAGGUAAGUUUUGAAUAUUUCUGUCUUUAGCUUUAAUUAUUGAAAAUCAACCUAUUAUCAUAUUAAAGACUUAUCCAUGUUCAACGUACAUUCUCUUAUUUUUCUCUCAUUGAAGUAAAUACAAAACUAAGCACAUAGUGGAAAAGUAGGUCACGAUUAGGGGUGGGUUUGGUCUGGGUUGGUUCAGUUUUGGGCUCAACCCGAACACCGAACCGUAGACCUCGAUUUGGCUAUUUUGGAAACCAAAACUAAACCAUAAUUAAUGAAAACCGACCACUUCAAUUACCUUCUGGUCUUCCAACCAGAAGAAAACUCAAAACUUUAACCAUACCAAGUGCAACAGAAUUACACCAGGCUGGAGUCAAGUUUAUGAUGGUUAAAGAUAAAAACUUAUUUGACAUACAAUUUGAGAAUGGAAUCCUCAAAAUUCCACACCUGCGAAUACAGGGUUAAACAGAAAUUUUCUUCCGCAAUUUUAUUGCCUAUGAGCAGUGUGAGCUCCAUGAUCAUUACAUCAACAACUAUGUCUUCGUCAUGGACCGCCUGGUCGACAGUGCCAGGGAUGUGGAAUUGCUUGUGAAGAGUGGAAUUCUUGAAUCCAUGCUACCGGACAGCGAGGCAGCAGGGGAAUUUAUUAAUUCUCUUGACUUGGGGCCUAUUUUAGGCAAGCUUGAAACAAGACUAUUUCAGUUCACCAUGGGCUGGCCUGUCUAUUAUUGUAGCCGCUAUACUAGUUGUGCUCACAUUUAUUCAAACAGUGUGCUCCGUAAUGGCGCUGUAGGUUCUUCAUUUCCUCAAUUUCAUGUUUAGUGGUUGCAGAUUUGUUGCUCAUGUACGUGUUUAUCUAAAGUUAAAUAAGAGUGAUUGACUGAUAGUCUGUUAGUUUGUUUUUCUGGGGUUUUUCCCCUGUUCGUCAAAAAAGAAAAAGAGAAAGAGUGAUUGCUUGUGCCUGUUUGGGCCUAAUUUGACACACCCAAUCCAAAAUCAAAAAGUCCAUGUCAAUUUUGGACAGCCACCAGCAUUCCCUUUGUAAUUAGGCCAAAAACUGCACACCCAACCUAGCACUGGAGCCUAGAACAAACAAGGUAAACUCAGGACCCAAGCAGUUUGAUUUUUUCAUUUAAAUUGGAAUCAAGGGCCCCAAGUCAAAAAAGCCCAAGCCCAAGGCAGAUUUUUUACCAAAAAGACCCAAGGAAGCCCAGUGCAUGCGAAUUGCUUAGCCCACAAUCCCAAAACUCAAAACUAAGUUUGGCAUGAUUAAAUAAAGAUAGAGAGAAGCCCAAAAUUGAAGAAACCCAAAACAGUUUUAUCAAAAUUGUCAGCUCUCUACCCAAGACCUAAAAAGGGUCAAAAAUACCACUAUUGGCAAAAUUGACGCACUCAGCCUUGGAUCACAAAGAAAUCCACGUGACUAUUUGACUUUGAGAAGUCAACAAUUUCAACUAGUCACAAGAGAAGUUGAUUGGAAUUAAUGUAGGCAGGUCAUUACAGAAAAGACUUCUUUGAAACUCUGUAGCCAAAAGAUCAAAAUCCCUUUCUAUAUAAUUCUGCAUCAGAGUAGGUGGUCUUUCCAAGAGAUAAGCAGACUACGUUUUCAAGAGAUAAGUAGAGAAUGAGGGAGUUGUUCAACAAGAAAAGCAAACUAACCAUCAUGAUAGGUUGUGUUCUUUCUCUCUACAAAAAACAAUAGGGAACAAAGAAGAGUUGGUUUUUCUUUCAGAAAAAGGAAGGAAAAGACCUACAUGAAAACUAAUUAUUGAUGGUUCUUCUCUGCCAGAACAGAUAACUUCUCAUUUUCUUUGACAUUUAAAAAUGAAAGGUCUCGCUUUUACAAAAUCUGCCGCCCAUUAUUUAAAGAUUAGAAAACCCACUCCAGCAUUUCCUAUAAAUAUGAGAGGAGGUGAUGUCACAUCACGGGAUUGGCUCUGCCGUAGCACGAUAUUGUCCACUUUGCGCCCCCCUCUCUACCCUCACGGUUUUAUUUUUGGGAACUCACGAGCAACUUCCCAGUGGGUCACUCAUCUUGGGAUUGCUCUAGCCCCCAGCUCGCUUAACUUCGGAGUUCCCAUGACUCCGAAGCCAAUGAGCUCCCAAAAGGCCUCGUGUUAGAUGGAGGCGGGCAUGUACAUAUAAGGCACAUCACCUCCUCUCCGUUGGUCGAUGUGGGAUGUUACAGGUGAACAUAUCAAAGGACAGCCAAAAAAUCAAUCAAAGACAAAAACUCAAAAUGAUCACUUGAUCUCAAAAGCCUUCAAAACACUGAAGCAAGCAAAGCUCAUUGAGCCACAACGAACAAGUCAGCUAGAAUUCAGAAUCUUUAGAGUCAGUUCAGUUUCAGAGAAAUAAUCAAAGAAAGCGAGAUCUCUCUCGUUACAAAUUUGGUUCAGCUUAAAGCCAAAACAAGCAGAGUUCAGGUUCUUACAAAUAUGAAAACCUCAAUAAAUUUAUGGAGAGCCCUGAUCAAGCAAAACAGGUACUACAGUGCAGUUCUAGCUUAGUAAUAAUCAAAUCCACCCACUUCUGCCCCUUCCAGAUUGAGAAGGUCCCAAUUCUGCCCAUUCAAAAAGCCUUCCAAGACUUGAAAUAGAUUAAAGCUCUGCCAAACUCAAAUGUUGGAAUCAAUUCGCAGCUGAAACAUGACAGUUGAAGGUGUUGAUAGUCCAGUCCAGCACAGACAUACCCAGUCUAGCCCAGAUCAGAAGCAUUCACCGAGGCAGAAAUUGAAGUCCAAAGCUCUUUUUGUCUUUUUAGAGUUGGUCUUCCUUUUCUGAGCUUUGUAAAAGGCAAUUCUGCCUAAAACAGUUCACUUUCUUAUCAUUUAUUCUGGCCAGAACUACCAGUUUUGUACUGUGAAAAAUUAUGAAGUCCUCACCAGUCUAAGGCAAGAAAAGAACUUACUUGGGAGAUAUUCCUCACCAAAUUCACAACCGUUUGUUUAGAAAUCAGUAACUUGGUGUAACGACCCGGUCCUAAAUAAAUUGGUAAUUAUUAAUUUAUUCAGAUAAAAGACCAUUUUGCCCAUAGAAUAUUUUAAUAGGUUUACAUGUUGACCCGGGAGGCUUCGGUGAAAUUGUUACAUCUCGGUCCGAAAAAGUGUUAAAAUAAUUAAAGUAGAGUGCUGCUAAAAGAACCCUAAAAUUAACUGAGUACACCCUAUGAUCUAAGUACACCCUAAUAUUUUAAUUAAAAUAUAAAAUUAACUAAGUACACCCUAUAAAACUAUCAAAAAUAACACUGAUACACCCUAAUACUUGUAGCAUUAUUUUAUAGUUGAUUAUUUUAAUAGUGUUUAUAAAUCUUUGACUUUUCAUAUGGAUUUAUGCUUCUACUAAAAUUGUUGCCACUUUUUUUCCAAUUCCAAGUUCUUGCAAUCACCACAUCUUUCGUUAAAAACACAAUAGGACAAGCAAUCUCUUGAUUAGGGUUGAAUAUGGUUAGUAGGGUGUACUUAUUAAUAUUAUAUUUGUUUCACAAUUCCAUAUAUCCUUUUUGGUCAUUUUAUAUUAGGGUAAACCAGUAAUUCAAUAUAUACUUUUAUAGUAGGGUGUACUCAGUUAAUUUUAGGGUUCGUUUAGCAGCACUCUUAAAGUAAGAGAGAAUAAAAUGAAAUAAACAUUAAAAUAAAAUGAUUUGAAUUAAUUAAGGUUUUUGAGAAAUUAAAAUAUUAUUUAAUAUUAUAAGGGGAAAAAGAUCAUUUUAAGUUUGGGAAGGAAUUUGGAAAUUCCAAUUGUACCGUUGUGUAGAGCAUGUCGAAACGAGUCCGUAGACACGUAGUGGACUCGAAUCGUAGUUAUAACGGAGAAAUGGCGAUCAAAAGAAGUUCAGUGGCAUAGCCAUAAAUAUUUCGAAGUUCAGUUUUUUUAAAACCCAAAUUUCUUCUCUCUGGGGAGUGGGAGAGCCAACUUCAAAUGGUGAUUUCUCCCAACUCCGACCACCACACUUCCCUCUUCCUUCAGUUUUGGCAUCAUGAUGGGUUCCAUCCCGGAAUGACACAUUUUCGACGCUAAGGACGUCACAAAUGGUAUUUGAGAUGCUUUGUAAAUUUGUAACCAUGGAAAACACAAUGAACUUUAUGUUCGGAGUUGCAAGAGAACAUUAAGGGGAAUAUGGAGAGUGGGAAAAUAGUAAUAAGUGGAGAUCUGUAUGCUUACUUACUACUGAACUUCCGUCGUGGUGGUUAGUAUGAAAAAGUGUUAGAGAUUAUAGAUUUUAUGGAGGAACAUGGUUGUACACUGAUAAGUAGUCGGUAGGAGUUGAUUUAAGUUCCAAGAGAAAUUCAUUAUGAACUGGGAUGAAUUACUGCAAGAUUCUUGCUGUUUUGAAGUUAUUGAUUUUAGGGGCAUCACCUCUGAAUGAUCAUAAUAACCAUGCGUGGGCUCUGCAUGAGGUUUCUUUGACAUUGUUUGAUUUUGUGUAUUGAUAAUUACACUUAGGGGUGUCACGUUUCUAGAAACGUGUCUAUCCAAAUUGUUGUAUCUCAAUAUCCUAUGGAAGGAAAGCUGAGAAGCUGAAAAUACUGGAUUUAUGGUGGUGAGAUAAAAAUUGUCAGGAACUUUCAAAAGUCAAAUUAUUUCACAAAGGGAAAUACUGGAGAGAAGUAUUAGAGAAUUUUCUUUGGAUAAGUUAUAUAGGAGUGGAGGAGUUGCGAGUUUAACCAAGGAGGGUUGUGACAAUUUAAAUUGAGAAGUAGUGGUGUUGGGUGAAGUAUUAUUUCAUUCGCGUGGGCUUGAAUGCCGCGAUUGACAGGAAUGGAACAUUAGGGUUCUUCUUCCUUGCUCUCUCACGCGAGCUCGCCAUAGAGAGUAUUUCUUGGCGUGGUACUGGCUUCGUCCGACCUCCGAUUACUGUGAUUUUUGAAAGGACCCGGCCCAAAUUUCUCAAAAUCCGAGGCGAAUCCUGUGAAAUUCCCGACAUCACUCCGAUGCCAGGCCCACUUACUAAAGACCGAGACUUUCUGCCGAACUUUCGGCAGAGUCUCCCCUAUAAAUUGGACAUUUUCCAAAACUACCACCUGCAUAAAACACAAUUUAUAUCCCCAACUGGCAGCAUGCACAAGAUAAUUUCAUGCAAAUCACAUAAUCGGCCUGCGGCCUUCAAAUAAUUCAAAACGAAACCACCAAGCACACUAUCAAAUUAAUUCCUACCUUAAACAAGGCAAACAAUAAAUUUAAAUAUGAAUUAUGACUACUAAAUUUCAACAUACGAGGUUUUAACCUCCUAACACAAUCACAUCUAUGUCCGCGGCUGCACCUAAUAACCUUAGGCUGCCUACGUACCUUCACUGAGGGAUCAAGCCACACGUAGUUCUUCCGUAAAACCCAAUUCCACACAUAGGCAAUACCUUUAUUCAUUUCUCUGUAUUUCACAUAAUCUCCCCAUACGCCAGUACUACCAUUGCCACGUAUGGGACUUGUCAACAAGCCGGAUAACCUACACCACGUGCGAUCUCAACAUAAUAUCACAUAAUCUCCUCAUACGCCGGUACAACCAGCGCCACGUAUGGGGCCUGUCAACACGCCGGAUAACCUACGCCACGUGCGACCUCAUCAUACUAUCACAUGAUCUCCCCAUACGCAGGUACAACCAACACCACGUAUGGGGCCUGUCUCAACGCCGGAUAACCUACGCCACGUGAGACCUGAACAUAAUAUCACAUAUCUCCUCAUACGCCGGUACAACCAAUGCCACGUAUGGGGCCUGUCAACACGCCGGAUAACCUACGCCACAUGCGACCUCAAUAUACUAUCACAAUAUCUCCCCAUACGCCGGUGCAACCAACGCCACAUAUAGGGUCUGUCUCAAAUUGGAUAACCUACGCCACGCUAGACCUCAACAUCAUAUCACAAUAUCUCCUCAUACGCCGGUACAACCAACGUCACGUAUGGGGUCUGUCCGCAUGCCGGAUAACCUACGCCAUGUGGGACCUAACUUUCACAGAGUGGUACUUGUAGUGUAACCAAAAUCUGGGGAGGUGCCUAAGGUAGUGCAUAUAGCACUUCAAACUGACAUUCUCUCACUUAUCUAAACUAAUACUAGAGGUCUUCCCAUUUUAAUGGUACCAGUCUAUAGUAGAUUGUAACGUAAUUUAAUCAUAAAAAUAAUAUUAUUUCUAGACCAACGAUUAUUCACAUAAACAUGAAUUUCAUAAUUUCACUAUUUAAAAUAAUAUCUAAAAGUUUCCUAUAAUACAAAUAAACACUCUAAAGAUCCCAACUUAGUCAACACAGCUCAACAAUGCUCAAGACCUGUCAUUAGGGUCAUUAUGAUCCUUCUAGGAAGGUAAAACUACCUCGAAAGACUCAAGGUCAACCAAGGGUCAAACCACCCACAAUUGGUCAAACGGGCCCACGGGGCCCACGACCUCCAAAUUCCAAUCCGAAGGUUCCUAUGGGAUCUACAAGGUAUAGGACACUCGUCUUGCAAGUUAAGCCUAGAUCGGAUGGUCAGAUCGCUCACGAUCGCACAAUCUGAUGGUUAAUAUAAAACAUAAACUUUAAAUUAUUUAAUCGGAACAUCCGGGGCUCCCGAUUCACGAUCUGUUCCUACACGAUCCUAGAAAUACAUAGAUUAACAUAUAUUAAAUUUGAGACCAUCCAACGGUCCUAACCUAUCGAACCCGGAUAACGCGCAAUAGGCGAUAUUCGUUCGAUAGUCAAACGACGUCCGAAUUGAGAUUUACGAAAUCCUACGCACUCGUGACAACCUAAGGAUCUCAUUGAGACAUAUUGCUAUCCCAAAACCGACCGAAAUCCAAUUCGAAAAUCGAGUUACUUACGUUAAGAAUCGACCGAAUCCUACCCAACAGGCAGCUAGAGCAUGAAAAGUAUGUGAGAAACCAUACCUCACUCGUCGAAAUCAGUGGCCAAAGGAGGGAGAUCGACGAUAGAGAAGUUCGGACGAACUGACCGCUUCUUCUCCAUUUUUCAGCGAAACCACGGUAGCUGGUGGCGGGACCUAGCUGGGGUUGGAAGAGGAUGACGCCCCGGUCAUUUUGGUAUCGGCCUCGUGGUCAUCGGUGGCCGGAUGAGAAAACAGCCGGCGAAAAUGUGACCGGCUGCCGUUGCGCACGCGAGAGAGACCACGAGAGAGAGAGAGAGAGAGAGAGAGAGAGAAAUCUGAUUGUGCCACUGAGAUUCUUUUGACCAUAUCUCUCUCGUUACAACUCCGAUUCAAGCCCACCACGUGUCUACGGACUCAUCUCGGUACGACCUAUCCAAAAAUACCAAUCACUACCCCAAAUACUUUUUGGAUCAGAAAGUGACCAAAUUACCCCUACCUCAAUGGUAACUUUGUAAUUUCACUUAAAUAAUUUAAAUAAGGGAUUAAAUUUGGAGUCGGGGUGUUACAAUUUUUGUUGCUAAAUGUUGUCAUCAUUUCUCCUCUACAUCACUCAGUGAUCAUUCACUCCCAUUUCUCUAGUUUACACGGUGAAUUUUAUUUCUAAAAUUUCUUAAAAUUCCGGCCACUGUGAGUUUGACCAGCGACUUGGGUUACUUUUGCCCAUCUUUUUGGAAAUGGAACCGAUUUGAGGAAGAUUAGGAGGAAAGAUACAUAGGCCGCUGAGGCAGAAGUAAAGCCGGAGCUUUACCAUAGACAGAAGUUGUUUUAGAAGUCCUGGAAGAUUGUGAACAGGAAUUGGAAGUUUGCAUGGGGUGAUAGGAUUUUUAGUACUUGUGCAAACAGUGUUAAAAAUCACAUAAAAUACUUGCAAGAAUACAAGGCUAUUGUAGUCUAGAUGCUCAUGCAAGGUCGUUUUCCUCAAGGACUAAUUAGCAAUUUAUGUAAAAAUAAAUUCCAAUUACUACUUAAAAUAAAAAGUCAAGAAAGAUGAUUAUAAAUUUGGUUGAUUCUAAAAAACAAAUAUUAAACAAAAACAAAUACGAUUGAAAGAAAGAGUUUUGAAUAUCAAUUUAUAAAAACACUAGGGUUUCACCAUCACCUAGCAAUCCUAUGAACUUUUACCAAUUACUUAUGAUUUGCACAUGCCACUUUGAAGGUUAGGUUUUCCUAAUGUAUAUUCUACUUAGAACCUCCAACACAGAAUGUAUAUCCAACAUGCAACCCGUCCGGACGUUCGGAUCAAAUCUGAACAUGAAAGACUCAUUAAGUUUUGUGAAAACCCUUUGAAAAACCAUGCAACCCUUAAGACGUGGUGUUCAUCUUAAGUGAAAUUACAAUUAUUAAUCAGAAGAAGCUAGCAUCAAUUUCAGGGAACCUUCCGACCAAAAUUGCAUCCAAUUACUUUUCUAAAGAUCCUAAUGGUGAUCAGGCAUUAAGACAAUUAGAUAGUUUAAAACAGUGAUUAACAAUUCAAAAUACGCAUGCACUCAUCAUAAGCAAUUAAAUAAAAAUCACAUAUUCAUGCUAAGGUUCAAGGCUUCACCCUAGCAAAAGAAAUUUAGUUACGCAUACUCAUAAUUGAAAUCCAAGAAAAUAUCAUUAAGAAGAAAAGAACGAAAACACCUGAAAGUUGUGAAAACCCAAAACCCUAGCAAUUGCUCUCCACAAUGCAAAGUUCAAAAGUGAAAAGGGAGUCCUCCAUUCCUUGUGAGAAAGAGCUUAAAUACCCCUUAAAACCUAGCUGCCAAUGUACAGCUUUUCUAUCCCCACAAGGAAACUAAUUAAAAUAAAAUAAUACUAGGAAAUAAAGUCCAAAUUGGAAUAGGAGAAUCUGCUCAAAAUCUGCCCAGCCACGUUUUGGCCCCAAAUCUCCUCCAAAUCUGGCCCAAGAUAGCUUGUUUUAAAGAUAAAAAAUGUUCUGAACACUUCUUUAGAAGGCCACGAACCCAUCCGAGGUCAUCUUGGGCUCCAAAAACGCAAUAAAAGCCCAACACGUCACUAUUCCAGCACCGCGCACUGCUCCUUUAUUUUGUUGCCAGAAAAUAACCGCUUGGAAGAAAAAUCUGAAAUUUUGAUACGAUCAAGCUAAGUGACUCAAGAACGUCCUCCAACUGGAAUUACUCCAAAAUUCCUCAAUUUGAUUAUGUUUUGCUCCAGAGAGAUUCGAAAGUCCUAUAUUGGAAAUAUAAUUCAAAGUAUCAAAAGUCUUCCAAAAUAAUAACCAAAAUAUACUAAGAAUGAGGUUAAAUAUAUAAUAUAAAAUAUGUCCAUCAAAAUACCCCCAAACUUAGCUUUUGCUUGUCCUCAAGUGAAACAAGACUCAAACAAAAAUAAAAACUUAACAGAUUAGACAUCUGGCUAACACUUAACUAGGACAAAAUUUCCACCUUCAAGUUGCAAUCCAUAGAAAAUUUUAAAAACUAGAACAUCCUUUCAAUAGAUCUAAGUAAUCCCACCACAAAGUCUAAGCUAUUUAGACUCAAUUAGAAAAGAAUUCACAAACUUCUUUCGGUGCAAAGUGAACCAUUAUGGUUAUGGAGACUUGACUAAAACCCUUAACUCUCAUCCCUUUUAUUCAUACUUCACACACUCCACACUUUUUGUUUUUUUUGUUUUUUGUUUUUUGUUUUUUUGUUUUUUUUUCUUUUUGUUUUUAUAGUAACAGUAGUGGUUGUGCAAUGUUGGUUCCCUUAAGCUUUCAAUCCAACCGUGUAGCCAGCUUUAGGUCAAUGUCUCCCAAACCACUCGGGUUUUAGGGCACUAGGUGUAGAACACCCCUAAGGACUUAUUAACUCAAGCUGAAAAGGCUACGAAACCAACUAACCACCCUGCCUCAUGCCAAAACUCUACCUUUUGUCUCGAGAAUCACUGCUGAUUAGGCAGGAUUGACCCGGUUACUAGCAAAGCUUCGGGUGAGGUAAUUAUUACUUUAUAACACAAACUAACUUUAUUUAUAUUGAACAUAAAUUAAAACACAUUUGGACAAAAAGUAAGUAUUCCAAUCUCACUCCCCAAAAACCAUGUUGGUGUGAUGUGCAAAUUUCAAAGUAUAAUUCAUGAAUUAAUGUCUAAGCAACAAUAAAUAGAAAAUACUCUACCGUGGGAUUGAUUUUCACCAUGUCCAUUUGUUCUAACGUUUAAAAUAAUCUAUGGAUAUUGACUGAAAAACGAAAAUUUGUAAACAAGACUCAAAAAAUGAAAAAUAAAAAAAAUUACGUUCCCACCCCCUAACUUAAAUCACACAUUGUCCUCAAGGUGGGGUAAAUAAUCAAAAGAAACAAGAGCAGAAACAAAACGACUAAAACUUAGAAAAUGGAAAUCAAAAAUAAAGAAAAUACUCUAAGAAAAGAAAUUAGGAAGGCAAAGGAUGAGAUCCAGAUGGAUCUGGUAAUCCUAUCCGUAGAGAUGGAAAGAUUCUAUACACGCCAUUGAGACUGGAUUUGGAGAUGAGGAUUUGACCCUACCUUGUUCGACGAAUUCCCUCAAGGGGAAUUAUAGCAAUAAAAUACAUAUGCUUCUACAAACAUUUAAUUGCACUGCUACGACGUGGAAAGAGUGCUUUGGGGUCUCAUCUCAUGUGAACCCGUUCGAGUAGAAAUCUUUCAUUAGAAUCAGAAAUGGGUCAUGGUAAAGAGAGGUAGAUGAUGAUUACAGUUCGGUAAAAAUGAUCAUUUCUGACAUUCCUCUCAAAGAACCGUGUUGGCAAUGUCGUUUAUCGAUUCUAAAGAAAGAAGAAAAAUAUCAACAAGUCAAAGAACGUGGAUUUCUUUUAAGGGGAGAGCUAGAACAAAAUCAAAUCACGAAUGGAAGAGUUUAGCUUUCAGAGGAAGAUUGAGCAUUACAGCAGCUAUUAAAGGAUAUUUUUAGUUGAAGAAUGAGAUUUUUCUUCCUCUGAUUGUUUAGCUAGAGCUUUUGGCUUGACUGCCAACGUGGUUGUGGAGGAAGAAACUUGGGAACCCGAGUAGUAGAUGCGAGCCCACUACCCAUACCCCUUUUGAGUGACAGGUAUGAAAUUUCAAGGAUGAAAUUUUUAUAAGAGGGGUAGAUUGUAACGACCCGGUCCUAAAUAAAUUGGUAAUUAUUAAUUUAUUCAUAUAAAAGACCAUUUUGCCCCCAUAAUAUUUUAAUAGGUUUACAUGUUGACUUGUUGACCGGGGAGGCUUUGGUGAAAUUGUUACAUCCCGGUCUGAAAAAGUGUUAAAAUAAUUAAAGUAAGAGAGAAUAAAUUGAAAUAAACAUUAAAAUAAAAUGAUUUGAAUUAAUUAAGGUGUUUGAGAAAUUAAAAUAUUAUUUAAAAUUAUAAGGGGCAAAAAGAUCAUUUUAAGUUUGGGAAGGAAUUUGAAAAUUUUGAUUGUACCGUUGUGUGGAGCACGUCGAAACGAGUCCGUAGACACAUAGUGGACUCGAAUCGGAGUUGUAACGAAAAAAUGGCGAUCAAAAGAAUUUCAGUGGCAUAACCGUAAAUAUUUUGAAGUUCAGUUUUUUUAAAACCCACAUUUAUUCUCUCUGGGGAGUGGGACGUGCCAACUUCAAAUGGUGAUUUCUCCCAACUCCGGCCACCAAUUCAAGUAAGACCGGCCCCGUUAGAACCACCACACUUCCCUCUUCCAGUCCCAGCCCAUCUCAGUCUCGAUCCGCCGUCGUAGUCGCCGAAAAUCGCCACGAAACAAGGUGGUUUGGAUAGUUUUUGUCGAAAUUUCGUGGAGCUCGUUCUCCCUCCUCCGGCCACCGUUUCAGGCGAGUGAGGUAUCAUUUCUCACCUAUUUUCUAUGAUAUAGCUGAUGGUUGGAUAUGAUUUGAUAAAUUUUGAGCGUUGAUAGUUCGAUUUUCGAAUCAAAGUUUGGCCGAAUUUCGGGAUGAAAUUCCGGCCACUUUCGAUCACUUUUUGGGGUAGGCCCAAGAACAAAAGUGUCUUCAAUUGAUGUCCUGAUCCCAGGGUAAGAGCAUUGGUCGAAAAUUUUGAGAUUUUCCUGCUGGUGGUAUCGCUUUGGGCACCCAUGCGCUGAUGGCGCGUGUGGCAGCGUGUGGGCACUGUAGCAGAGGGCCAUUGUGUCCCAAUGCGACCCCCUUGUUGUCACGAGUGCGUAAGGGUGCUCGGAUUCCAAUUUGGUUGAGGUUUGAACCCCGAAUGGAUUUCGUAUAUUGUACAUUAUCCGGGUUUGAUAGGUUUGAACCGUUGGAUAGUCUUGAAUUUAAUAUAUGUUAGUCUAGACAUCCCUAGGAUCAUAUAGGAUUUCGCGGAUCAUGGAUCGGAGCCCCGGAUGUUCUGAUUUAAUAAAUUAAAGUUUGUGUUUUACAAUAACCGUCCGAUCGUGCGAUCGCGAGCAAUCCGACAGUCCGAUCCGAACCAAACUUGCAGGACGGGUAUCCUAAAUCUUGUAGAACCCAUAGGAGCUUUCGGAUAAGAAUUUGGAGGUCGUGGGCCCGGUUGACCAAGAUUAGGUAGUUUGACCCCUCGGUUGACCAUGAGUCUUCCGAGGUAGUUUCACCCUUCGAGGAGUACUAGAAUGACCUUAUUACAUAGUCUCGACCUUUAAUUGAGCUAUGUUGACUAUGUUGAGAUUUUUAGAGUGUUUAUUAUUAUCGUAUGAAAACUCUUGGAUAUUACUUUUAAUAAUUGAAAUUAUGGAUUUGAUGAGCGUGGGUAAAUUGAUUUGAUGAGUGGUGAAAAGAAGUCGUGGGCUUGGCUAUGACUAUUAGGAAGUGAGGGGACAUUUAUGUUGAAUAUGCAUUAAUUUCAACAAUUGAAAGAACAUGCAUGGAAUGGGUAUAUAUAUAUAUAUAGAUAAAUUGGAUUAAAGAUUGAGAAAUUAAUAAGUUGAGAUAUUAGUAAUAUUUAAUUGAGAAAUGGAUUUUGAGGUGGAAAUUGGAAGGUUGAAUUUGGGGAAUUUUGGAAUUGAGAAUUAUGGGUUAAUACUGAAAGAUGUAGGAUUAUACUAUGUAAGUACCAUCCCCUAGUUACUAGGCUUCCCAUACGUGGAGUUGGAAUUUCUGGCGUGUGGGAAGGAUAUAUGAUUAUUAGAUCUCACAUGCCGUUGGAUUUUCCAGCGUGAGACAGACCCCAUACGUGGGGUUGGAUUUUUCGGCGUAUGGGGAGAUUAUGUGAUGGUUAGGUCACACGUAGGGUGGGAUUUUCCAACGUGUUGACAGACCCCAUAAGUGGCGUUGGAUUUUCCGGUGUAUAGGGAGAUUAUGUGAUGGUUAGGUCACACGUGGCAUAGGAUUUUCCAGCGUGUUGACAGACCCCGUACGUGGCGUUGGAUUUUCAGCGUAUGAGGAGAUUAUGUGAUGGUUAGGUCCCAUGUGGCGUAGGAUUUUCCGGCGUGUUGACAGACUCCAUACGUGACGUUGGAUUUUCCGACGUAUGGGGAGAUUAUCUGAUGGUUAGGUCACACGUGGAGUAGGAUUUUUCAGCGUGUUGACAGACCCCAUACGUGACGUUGGAUUUUCCGGCGUAUGGAGAGAUUAUGUGAUGGUUAGGUCACACGUGGCGUAGAAUUUUCUGGCGUGUUGACAGACCCCAUAUGUGGCGUUGGAUUUUCCGGCAUAUGGGGAGAUAAUGAGAUGGUUAGGUCACACGUGGCAUAGGAUUUUCUGGCUUGUUGACAGACCCCAUAUGUGGCGUUGGAUUUUCGCGCGUAUGGGAAGGAUAUGUGAUUAUUAGGUCUCACAGGUGGCGUUGGAAUUUCCGGCGUAUGAGACACUAACAGUGAGAAGAGAAUGAGAUUAUUUUUCUAUAUCAGAGAAAGGUUAGAGUAUAAAAAGAAAUAUGUUUGGUGUGUGGUAAUUUAAAUUAAAACAGGGAAAGAUAACUUACCUGUACUACUGAAACAGUUGUGUAACAUUUGGAGCAUGAUUAUGGAGUGAAAGAACUACGUGUGGCUUGAUCUCUCAGUAAGGGUACGUAGGCAACCUAGGUGCAGUCGUAGACUAAACGUUAUUUAUGUUGUUUUAUUGAGAUUGGUUCUGACCCUGUCGUUGGUCCUGAAAUUCGGUUGAAAACUAGAUGCGAGUAAAUAAUUGUUCAUACUCCCGUUUCGUUGAGGGAGGAUUGUGUAAAUGUGUUCUGGUCAAGACAGGUAUAAGAACUCGUUUAGGAUUGAUGUACGAUUUGGGCUAAGGCCUUAAACUACUUGUUGUUGUAUUAGGAGAUUAAAACCUCGCAUGUGGGAUAAUUGGGAAAGUUAGAUGAUGUAAAGUGCACUUAGGCAUUCAUAUAUAUGUUUAAAUUUAUUAUUUGUCUUGCUUAACGUAAUUGUUUGACUUAUGGGCUUUAUUGGUGAUUUGCUUCAGAUUAUUUAAAGGCCGAAGGCCGUUUAUGUGAAUUGCAUUUUGAUACAUUGUGCAUGCUACUAGUUGUGGAUAUUAAAUGUGUUUUAUGCAGGUUGAAAUUUUUGGGAUUGUUCAAAUUACAGGGGAGACUGCCAAAAUUUUGAUAGAAAGUCUCGGUCAUUAGUAAGUGGGCCCGGCAUCGAGGUGAUGUCGGAAUUUACACAAGAUUCCUCUCGGGUUUUCAGGAAUUCGGGGCGGAUCCUGUUACUUGGGGUGCAAAUUAUCCAUUUGUUCACCCGUUUUCGUGUUUUACUUCUGAGGUGGAAGGGCGAAGUUUCCCACUGGCUUGGAGACCACUUGUUGGUCGACAAGUCAGCUUUCUUUGGUGUGUGUGAGCGUGCCACUGCUAGCAAUGUAAAUUCUAGCAGACUUAUUUUUUAGAGUGGAUAACUUGCGCCUCAAGUUACUGACUUCUAAAACAAAUGAUUGUGAAUUUGGGUGAGGAAUAUCUCCCAAGUAAGUUCUUUUCUUGCCUCAAACUGGUGAGGACUUUCACAAUUUAUCUCAGUAUCAAAUGGUUGUUCUGGCCAGAAUAGAUAAUAAUAAAGUAGACUGUUUCAGGCAGAACUGCCUUUUACAAAAUUAAGAAGGGAGAAAUCAACUCUAGAAAGGAAAAAAGAUGGCUGGAAUCCCAUUUCUGCCUGGGUAGAAACUUCUGAUCCGGGCUGGACUGGGUAUGUCUAUGCUGGACGGUGCUGUCAACAACUUUAGCUUGCUCGGCUUUAGUUGUAAAUCGAUACCAAAGUUCAAUUUUGGCAGAGCUUCAAUCUACUUCAAGCCUUGGGAGACUUUUGAGUGGGCAGAACUGCAGCUUCUUCAGUUUGAAGGGACAGAAGUGGCUAUUCUCGAGGAUUUAGCAAGCUGGAACUAUGCUAUAAAAUUUGUUGAGGUUUUCAUAUUUGUGAAAACUCAAACUAUGUUUGUCUUGGCUUUUGCUGAACCAAAUUUGUAACGAGAGGGAUCUUGUUUUCAGAAGACUUAUUUUCUAAGUCUGAACUUUGGAAUUCUGAUCUAAAGCUGUUUUCUUGUUUGUUUUUUUUUGAUUGACUGAUGAAUUGAGUGUCCUUUGUUUCUUUGCCUUCUUUCGCUUUUAUAAGAGAUCCUCCUAAGGAGGUCAUUUUUAAUCCUAAACAAUGGGCGGCAAAAAGAUCUCUUAUAAUGUAAAGUAAGAAGGGUUUCUUAUCAAUCAAGGCAGAUAGGUUCUGAGCAGUCACCUCCUAAAAACAGUCCAUUCCCUGGUUUCCUGGGUGGCAGCUUUCUAAUUCAACCAACGCCACCGUCUGUGUGGGCUUUUUAUGGCAGUUUUGGCUCUUUUCUUUUGUAUUUUCUGAGUGGUUCCCUGUUUCCCGUUCUAAUUUAGAAAGCGUGAUUCGUGAAUUCCUUGGGAGAUGGUGUAUUGAUUUGGAGCAAAAUCUUGAACACAGAUGGGUUUUUGAUCUUCAAUUGGCAGUGUUUCAGAGACGUCCCUCUCACAUUUUUAAACUUUAGUUGGAAUUGCUGACUUUUCCAAAGUUGAGGCAAUCACGUGGGUGUGUCUUUGAUCCCUUGGUUUUGAAUCUAUCGAAAAUUACGGGCUGAUCUUUGAAGCCCAUUUCGAAAGUUUCCACAUCUGGGCUUUCUUUGGGCUGAGGCUUUAUUUCCAACAUUCUUGGUGUGAAGCCCAAACUGUCUGGGUCUUAUUUUCGUUUUUCUCAAGUCUCUGGGCUGGGCAGGCAAUUUUAUCAUGGGCCUGUCUUCUGGUCUUGGGCGUGCCGAAUUUGGGCCCAAACAAUGCCCCCUAAGUCUGAAUCGUUUUGGAAUGGUUUCAGACUUAAUGUUUUGCCAUUUAAUUCACGUGCCAGUUUCUUCCGUGUUUUCGCCCACGUCUGCCACGUUUGCCUGCUACGAACUAGAGUUCGUGGGAAAACGGCUAGUUAUUAUCUAGUUACUAGCUAAUAAUCAUCAGGUGCCGUCCCAUCUUCUUCUUCCCACGUUUUCGAGCCCCUCUUUAAAAGAAAUUCAAAUUCAUAGCUUCUGAAAAAAGAAACCCUAAACCUUCCAGCUCUUGUUCCUGCGAGUUCUUUCUUCGAGAUUUCCAAAGCCUUCUUUAGACCUUCCUUUCUUCUGCUUCUUCCCUUGAAUCAGAAAUGUCUUCCCCAAGGUCCCGCGCUCAGUCUUCUUCCGCUUCAGUUCCUCCCGAUUAUAUCACUGGGAGCGGGAUUGAUGCUCACGCGAUAGAAAUCAGGAGCAAGCUUCAUCCCUUUGCCCAGAAGAAUCUGGACGAGAAUGUCCUCCAUUUGUUUGAGAACACCCUGGUGUUAGGGCCUCACUGGUUUGGUCCUGUUCCAGCUGAGAUGGCAGAAUUGCUAAAAAAGGAUGCCGAGGCUCCUUUGUGUUUUGAGAGCUCUUCUGCCCUGGCUUCUUAUUCUUGGGUUAGCAAGAAUUUGAGCCGGUCCUUCCCGUCCAGCGAGGUGAGGAAUAGUCUGGUCAAAUGGGCAGACUGGAUUGAUAGACUUCUCCCGAGAUAUGGGGGUCACUGGAGGAGAGCUGGGAUUUAUGACGCCAUUUUUCUGUCCAAACAAUCGAUUAACAGAGAUGAGAAUCUGCUUGCUGCUGCUUUAUGCUUCUGGAAUUCUGCCAGCAAUACAUUUGACUUCCGCGUGGGUCCUAUGGCGCCAACCUUGCUGGAUAUGGCUCAGAUUUUUGGGUUCAGGCCCCAUGGUAGGCCUGUUGAUGCCAUUGGAGAUUAUCACAGGCGAAGGAAUCAAGAGAAAGUGGCCACCCCUUUUACUAUCCCUCCAGCCGUGAUCAACCAGAACUGCUCUUUCUCCAACUAUCUGAAGAAGUUCAGUGCUGAUAAGGACAAGGAUCAGCAACAUAUGUUGUUCCUUCUGUAUUGGCUGAAUUGGUUCGUUCUCCCCAAUCGGUCUUCUGCAGUUCUGCUAGAGUACAGACACUUGGCAGAAGCACUCCACAAUCACACUGAUGUGGGGCUCGGGCCUACAGUUCUGGCUCACCUUUUCAAGAAUCUGCAUACUUCCACCCUGGAGAACCCAUUGAACCUGUCAGCCCCUGGCGCAUUCUGGAUGAUCCAGAUCUGGCUGCAGGUUUAUUUUCCAGAACUAAGGUUCCCAGACAUAGUUCUGCCUGAAGAUCAAGUCCUGGCUCUUCCUCUGAUGUCGGCAGAAGUGCCCAAGCAUUCUAUUGAGGAGUAUUUGAUGCUCUUCAGGCAUUGUACAAAGAGGUCGGCAGCUCAGUGGCAAGUGGUGAUCAGGAGGACCUAUCCUUGGUUCCAGACCGGAUUUCGGUUGUUUGAGAAGGAGCCAGAAGAUGAAGCUGCCAGAACAGAUUUCAGGAGGAAAUUUCUGAGCAUUACUCUGCCCAGAGAUCUACCCCAUGGUGGGGGCAAACCUCCAAACUAUCAUCUGGGGGCAGAAGUCUACCAUCCCAACUUCUGCGCGAGGCAGCUUGGUUGUCCCCAACUCAUUCCGCUGAAAUCAUAUCGGAGUUGUAACCGGGCCUCUUCUUGGAGGGAUGCAGAUGAUCUGGAGGUGCACAAGGAUGCCCGGUGUGCAGUGAACAAAAUCAACAACAGCACGGAUGCCCUCUAUCCCUCGUGGGAGCUGAAUUCCUGCAGUUCUGCCGACUUUGACGCAUGGUGGAAAGCCAGAUUCCAAAGUCUGCCUGCUUCUGUCACUGCCCUCAAGGUGCUGUUUGAUGGUUGGGAAAACUGGGUCGUUUUUGCGAAUGGGGAUGCCAAGACGCAUAUGAUCCAGACCAUCAAGGAUAUUAACGCGCAAAUUAUAGAAGGUAGAUUUCUGAUUCUGUAUGGGGUUCGUUCUGUCCUGAUGAUUGAUUUCUAAUGUCUAUUCUGCCUGUAUCAGAUCCUUCUUUGACCAGCGUAGGUGGGCAGUCUGUUCAUGCUGGGGAAGUGAUUGGUAAGUCUUUUCUUUUAAUUCUAUUCUGUCUUUUCCUGCUGGAUUGGUCUCUAAUGUCUAAUGCCUUGGUGCAGUCUCUUCCGUUAUUGCUGCCGGGGACUUGGAGCUCCCUUCUGCGGAUGAAGGAGAUGAGGUCCAGACAGAACAAACACCUACCGAGGCCGCUCUUUCUGGCAGAAGAAAAAGGAAAGGACCUGCCCCUCCUUCGGAUAAUCCCACGCGGCCUGGUAUUUCAGGUAAGCUCGUGAUGUUCCAACCAUUCUCUUUAAAUUUAUUAUGUCUUGCCUUCUUUUCCCUAAUACUGCUUUUUGUUCUGUGCAGCUGGAAGUCCUUCCCCUCCUCCUACCAAGUUGAAAAAACUUAAAAAGAGGAGUGAGGAGGAGUAUGUCGCCGCGGAAGAGACGGCAGCAAUUCCCACCACUACCUCCGGGACGGAUGAAGAGCUGCGAGAGGCUUUUGAGGAGGUGGAGCAGGAAAAAGAAUUGGAAGAGCUGGAAGAAACGCCUCAGGAAAAAACGGCAGUGGCGGAAGGAGAGGUAAGUUUUAUUUCUGUGAUUCGCAUCAGUUCCCUUCUCGCCCUGUUUCUUCCGUUCUGACCCUUAUUUUGUAGGAGAAGAUCCCUGCUGAGGUGAUUGCAGAGAGCAUUGCCUUGGCGCAGAAGCAACAAGGGGGUCCAAGGGCUGAGCGGACUAGCUCAGAACUAGCCCUAUUUGAGGAUGCUGAGGCAGAGCAUUCUACUGCCGUUCCAGCGGCUGAGGAUCAGGCGGAACGGUCUGCAUCAGAGCCUGUGGAUCAGGCAGAGCUGUCUGUUGUGGUUCCGGAGGCUGAAGUGGAAACAACCGCCGCUGCCCCUGUGGUUGUGGUAACUUUCUUUCUUUAUCUGUCCACACUCUCCUGCAUUUCUGCCUUGUUCUUUAUUUUUAACUGUUGUAGCCUUUUCAGGUAGAAGUGCCUAAAGCUGUUGGCGUCCUGGCAGCGGUUACCAGUCCCCAGAAGCCUCCCAUUGUUGCUGUAAGUUUUCAUAACUUUUGGGCCUUUAUUUUCCACUUUCUGCCUGGUCUUACCUUAUGCUUUCUUCUUGCAGAUGCCAAUUCAUUCCCUUCCAGGAUCAUCUGCCACGGCUUCUUUUGCUGAUCCAGAACUCGAAGAGUUUGAAGCCAUGGAUCUGGAUGCCCAAUUGGACAGAUUGGAGAAACUCAGCUCUCCUCCAGGCAAGGCAAAAUCUAGGGCAGUGGAGGAGGCCAUGGAGAGGUUGAAAAUCUGGCAGUCUAAUGAGCUGGAGUUUGAUCAAGACAAUGAAGCCUUAAAUCAGCUGAUGAAGGACCUGGACCUGCUUCACAGACAGAACAUGGCUCCAAAACCUAUCCUUGAGAUGGGCCUAAGCUUGGCCAGAGAUGUGCUCAAUCUGCAUGAUCGCUAUGAGGAUCUCAGGCCUACUUUCAAGACUUCUGAAUUCUGCAAGGCCACUCAUGAAGCCAACCUGGCUGAUUUUGCAAAGCAGAAAGCAGAACUGGAUCAGAUGGUGGCCGGAUAUAAGGAAGCCAGGGCCACUGCGGACAAGCUGGAGAAGCCGAUGGAAGAGCUCCAAAAACAACUGGCAGAAUGCAGGGAGGUGCAGAGCAGGCUUGGGGCUGGACUGAGUUCUAAAACUAAGGCCACUUUCCUUGUGCAAAGUAUGGUUGCAGCUUCCAGGACAGCCUUGGAGAUUGCAGAGGCUUCAAUUCACCAGGGGGUGCUGCUCCAGAAAGAGCUUUCUGUCAAGAAAGCGAACCUGCAGGAGACUCUUAGAAAACUAGGAUUUUAGCUUCUUCUUUCCUUUUAUUGUUCGAAUAAUUUGCCGCAAAGGUGGCUAUUUUUAUAUAAGCUUUCAAAGCAUUUUACUGCUUUUCAUUUAUUCUUGAUGCAAUAACUGGAUACGGCUUUGAAAGUAAAAAACAGAACAACUUUAAAGCAAAAAUAAAUCUAAACAAAAUUCUUUUCAAGAAACAAAAAGGUCAAACUUGUUCCUCUUCUAUCCCGGGAUCUGUUUAUACAGCCUGCGAAUCCCACGUGGUUGGAUAGAACUUCUUUAACCAUUUACCAUUGAUUGGGGCAAAAUGAACAACUCCAUCUCGGUCCUGCAACCUGUAUGCCCCCAUUCCGAGGAUUUGGUUAAUUAUAAAAGGGCCUUCCCAUGUAGGUGACCAUUUCCCAUAUCCAGCUAUGUGUGCUCCAAGGGGCAGAAUUGCCUUCCAGACUAUCUCUCCCUCUUCAAAACUCUUGUUUUUGACUCUUUUGUUGUAGGCCCUUGAUACAGCCUGUUUUCCUGCUAAGAGUUUGUUGAGGGUGUCAAUUCUGCUUGCAUCCAAUUCUUCCAAUUCCAGCAACAUGGCUUGAGAGUAAUCCUCCCCAGUGAGACCAUGCUGGUGAGCAAUUCUAAGAGACUGGACCGCUAUCUCCAUGGGAAGAAUUGCAUCGUGGCCGUAGGUUAGAGCAUAGGGGGUCAUGCCAGUUGCUUCUCUCUUUGAAGUUCUGUAUGCCCACAAAGUUUCUGAUAACUUCUCAUGCCAUUACUUUGGAUUCUUCUCUAGCAUCUUUUUGAUGAUAUUGAUAAUCACCUUGUUACUUGAUUCCACCUGUCCAUUAGCUUGAGCAUAGUAAGGAGUAGAUUGAAGCAGUUUGAACUUGAACGUUUCUGCCAUAUCUAGCAUGUCCCUAGAUAUGAAAGAAGAACCCCUAUCGGUUGUGAUUGAUUCUGGAAUGCCAAACCUUUGUAUGAUCUGUUCUUCUAUAAAGGUGAUGAUCUCUUGAGAUGUUGUGGUUUUUACUGGCUUGGCCUCUACCCACUUGGUGAAGUAAUCUGUGGCAACGAUAAUGAAACAGUGCUGCUGGUUGCUGGCUGGAUAGAUUUUGCCAAUGAGAUCCAUUGCCCAUCCCCUGAAAGGCCAUGGUUUUACUACUGGAUUCAUGGGAACCGAAGGAGCCUGCUGGAUUGGGCCGUGCCUUUGACAGGCUUCACAUCCUUUGGAGUAGUUGAUGCAAUCCUUCAUCAUGGUUGGCCAGAAGUAGCCAUACCUUCUGAUUAACCAGCACAUCUUUCUUCCCCCUUGGUGAGCUCCACAGAUCCCCUCAUGGGUUUCUCCCAUGGCUUUCAUAUAUUCUGUCUUCCCGAGGCACCUUAAUAGUACCUCAUCCUUACUUUUUCGGACCAAAUCUUCAUUCCACAUGAGGUAGUUUGUAGCCAUGAUUCUGACUCUUUUCUUAGAGGGCAGAGUGGGAUAUCGUAAGUAAGUCAUGAUAGGCUCCCUCCAAUCAUCUUCAGUGAUCAAGGCAGAAUUGACUUCUAUCUCCAUUCCUCUCGUCAAAACAGAUGGUAGACUUUUCCUUCCUAUCUUGAUGAUCCUUUGGACGCAGUCUUCGGGCAUUUGUAUGCCUGAUGCCACCUGAGCCAGUUCAUUGGCUGCAAAGUUUUCCUCCCUUGGGAUGUUCUCCCAAGUAGCUUCUCUAAAUUCUGUUAGCAGAUUUCUAGCUGCUACUAGAUAUACAGCCAGAGAAGGAUUCAGACACUUAUAUUCUCCAGCAAUCUGUUUUAGGACAAGCAUGGAAUCUCCCAAGAUCUCCACGGACUGGACUCAUAAUUCUACCAACAUCUCGAGCCCUAUAAUCAAAGCCUCAUACUCGGCCAUGUUGUUGGUGCAUUGGAAAUCUAGCUGGAAGGAAUAGCAAUGUCUGACCCCUAAUGGUUCUUCCAGAACAAUCCCUGCUCCUGAAGCCUUGUCUGUCUUUGAUCCAUCAAAAUAUAACUUCCAAGGUGUGAGAUGAAUCGAGUAGAUUGGAUUGUUAAGGCAAACAUGAGCUCUAGUUAGCAGAUCUGCAUUUGCUAUGUCCAAAGAAUCCAUGUUUUCAAUUUCCUCUCCCGAGUGAUCUACCAAGAAGUCUGCCACAGCUUGCCCUUUGACAGCUUUCUGGGGGACAUACCUGAAGGUGAAUUCUGUCAAAGCCAAAGUCCAUUUCCCAAUUCUGCCCCUCAGCAUUGGUCUUGUUAGCAUGUAUUUGAUUAAGUCUGUUUUGGCAAUGAUGUAGAUAGUAUGUGGCAGCAUGUAGUGCCUGAGCUUUACAGCAGUGAAAUAUAAGGCCAGGCAAAGCCUUUCUAUUGCGGAAUACCUUCUUUCCACUUCUGUCAAUGUUCUGCUUAGAUAGUAGGCUGCCUGUUCUUUUCCUUCUUUGUUAUCUUGAACUAUUAGACUUCCAAUGGAUACUUCUGAUGCAGAUACAUAAAGCUUGAGGGGUCUGCCCCUUUUUGGUGGGGACAGAACUGGUGGAUUUGAGAGGUAAUGCUUUAUUUCCUGGAAAGCCUGUUGGUGCUGUUCUUCCCAUUUGAAUGUCUGUUCCUGCUUCAGUCUUAACAGGGAAGAAAAAGGUUGGAUUUUUCCUGCAGAAUUGGAUAUGAAUCUCCUUAGAAAAUUGAUUUUUCCUAAGAGACUUUGAAGUUCCUUCUUGUUCUGAGGUGGUAGAGCUUCUAUGAUGGAUGUUGCUUUAUUUCUGUCAACCUCUAUACCUCUCUGGUGGACCAAGAAUCCUAAGAAAUUCCCUGCUUGGACUCCAAAAACACAUUUUUUGGGGUUCAUUUUCAGUUUGUGCUGCCUCAUUCUUAGGAAUGCCCUUCUCAGGCUUGCUACGUGAUUUCCUUCCUCAGGGGAUUUAAUCACCACGUCAUCUAUGUAUACUUCCAAGGAAUGUCCUAUCAUAUCAUGAAAAAUAGAAUUCAUUGCCUUUGGUAGGUGGCUCCCGCAUUUCUCAAACCGAAAGGCAUUACAGUAUACUCGAAAGCACCUAUAUGUCCUGGACACAUAAAGGCUGUCUUGUGGAUGUCCUGUUCUGCCAUCAUGAUCUGGUUAUAACCUGCAUUGCCGUCCAUGAAAGAUAGCAUCUGGUUAUGAGUGGCUCCAUCCACUAGCAUGUCUGCCAUUGGCAUAGGAUAUUCGUCUUUAGGAGAUGCCUCAUUCAGAUUUCUGUACAAUAUUUGCUAACCAAUCGGAAUAGACGGCUGGCCUGAUGAAUCCUGCCUUGAGCAGCCUUUCUAUCUCUUCUUUGACCUUUAGUUCUGUGUCCAUAGACAUUCUUCUUCUGGCCUGUUUGACUGGAAGGUAGCCAUCUUUAAUUGGCAGCUUGUGCUCCACUCACUGCCUGUCCAAUCCUGGCAUUUCGUGGUAAUGCCAGGCAAAACAAUCUCUGAACUCCUGUAAAAGUGCCAUGAGUUCAGUCUUGAGUGGUUCCUUCAAAAGUGUGCUGAUGAAAGUAGGCCUUGGAUCUUCUUCUGUUCCUAAGUUUAUCUCCUGUAGAGGAUCCUCUACUUCUGGCAGGGAGUCAUCCAGUGCUGCUGGUGCAAAAUCUAAUACUUCCUCCUGUAAAAUUUCCUCCUCUUGCUCUUUUGUGCUUUCAUGGGUGAAUUCUGCCAUAUUGAUGGCUGGAUUCUGUAUGAAAAGCCUCCUUUCUCCCCAGUAUAUCAACAAUCUUUUUGUGAUGGAUCGGAUUGUUGCAGCUCGAUCCUUGUCUAGUUGAUUCGGACUAAACAUCAGAGUUCUGGAAGUUCAGCACAAAAAGGUCUAUUCCAGUCCUCUAGAGAACUGGCUAAACCUUCUUCAAUGAGUCUUUGGGCCGUGACACCAUGUGGACGGCCGUUCUGAUUGACUCCAAGGAAAGUGAAAGGACCGAGGUCAUCAUGAUAAUACCUUGUUUCAAAGCACAUGGCAGAGGGCAGGAAUGGCCGUGGAUCAGCCUCUAUAAUCUCCAUGCAGCCUUCUUCAUUCCAUAGUGCUAACUGCGGGUGGAGGGUGGAAGGAAUACAAAGGCUCUGGUGAAUCCAAUCCCUGCCAAGUAGUGCAUUGUAGGUGGUGGAAGUAGUGUCUAUAACAAAGAAUGCUAUUUUCAACUCUUUGCUUCCGAUUAUGACAUCCACAUCUAAGAUGCCAUGUAUUUUGGUGAUGCAACCAGAAGUUGGUGACGGUCAAUCGUGUUGGAAUCAGAUCUUUCUCUGUCCUGCCCAGCUUGGUCAGCAUUCUGUGGGGUAAUAGAUUAAUGGCUGCACCUCCAUUUACCAUGAUCUUGGAAAUAGGAAUACCCCCAAGAUUUGCCGUUAUAAACAAAGGUCUGAGGUGAAACAAGGUUGCUCUGUAGCUGGUUUAUUGGCUGUUCUGCCUGUCUUGGGGUUUUCUGCUUGUGGUUCUGGUGGCUCCUCUGCUUCUGCCAAUCUACAUUCAAAGCUUUCCUGAGAGAAAACAUCCCCUUCCAGAGUGCUUUCUUGUCCUUCGGCUGCCCUGAAUUUACUUGGUAGGAUGAAUACCAUGUUAAUUCCCAGAUCACCCUGUAGGAGGUCUUCUAAUUCUGCGCCAAAAGCUUCUGUUUCUGGGUCCAAUUCUACACCAAAUUCCAUUAAUUCUUCCCCGUAUUCUUCCGUCCAGUCAUCCUGUUCUGCUACUUCGAGGGGCUCUUUCUGAUCAUCUGCGGAAGGUUCAUAGUCCAAUUGCUCUUCUUCAUAUUCCUCAGUGUAGUCGUCUUCUCCUUGUAACGGGGUAGACCCAGAUUUCUCUGGUGUCUGCGUGGUGUCAGGACGGCUGCUGGACGACGAGGCCACAUGGAUAGGAGACCUGGCUGGGGGUUCUGUUUUCAGCAAUUCCCUUGACUGGCAAGCUUUCUGUUCUGUCUGGGGAAGUGUUUCAGGAUUUUUUCCUUUCCUAGCAGAACUGGGUUGUGAACGUACCUGCGUAUUAUCUUGGCUCUUAAGAUAUGUGCAGUAUUGCCUCUGGAUUCUCCUUUUCUGGGUUCUGGUUAGCUCCAGAGUCGGUCUACCGCUUCUUCCUACGGAAUACCAUCUCCCUUCUAUGAUCGUUGCCAAGGAUCUUUCGUUUCUGGGCAUCUUGACUGGUAUUUCCUUUCUGGGUUGCUCCAUCCUCCUCUCGCUGUAUUGUGUAGGCCUAAGACAGCUCUUCUGCCUUGUUUUGUCUCGGGAUGAGGUUCCAAUUCUGUCAAAGACACUAGGUGUGGGCUGAUUUUGUCUGUCUAGAACCACCUCUAGCUCUGUUUCACAUUUGCACCUACUGCAGAGCACUACCCCAGCCGAGAUGGUCGCUCUUGGUAUUUGACUGGUCUCCCUUAUGAUUCUUCUGCCUCUGCUGCAACCAGCAUCUGUGAUUGGCUCGGUUUUCCUCUGUUCUGGCCAAUUUAAGUUGACCAUAUUGACUUGUGGUUGAGGAAAAGGAUCCGUUGUGACGGAUGGUGGUUUUUCUGCCAGUUUCAACCUUCCUGCCGUUAUCCCUUCUUGUAUUACGUCCCUGAAAACAACACAACUAUUGGUAGAAUGGUUCCAAGAGUUGUGCCACCUGCAGUACUGUCUGCCCUUGAGUUCUUCCGGCUUCGGUAUUCUGUGAGGCGUCUCUAUUGCCUUCUACAGUAGCAUUUCGUGGAACAAGGCAUCAACCUUGGUUAAGUCAAAAGAGUAAACCUUGUUUUACGUUGGUUUGUUUGGAACGAAUCCUCCUGUGAAUGGUGGUGGCUUUUGGUCUUUAGGUGGCUUUGUGAGGGCUUUGCAACUAAUGGGAUGUUUUAGUUUUGCCAUUUCUGCCACUGAAACCUCUUUCUCUUCUGAUUCUUCUGCAUCUUCUUGUGAUUCCACCUCGAUCAGGUGGACUGAAGAAGAAGGGGUUUUAUAGUAUGUACCUUUGGAGGAGUUCCUCCUUUGCUGUUCCUCCCUGAGUAACUCCUCAUAUUUGGAUGCCUUAUCAGCCAGUUCUGCCAGAUCUCCGAACAAUAUCCCGUCGAACCUUUUCCUGAGAGAGAUUUUAAGGGCAACUUGGGCCAUCUGGAUGAAGUGUCUUUCUUCCAUCGGGAUUCGGCACUUCAUUUUGAGCUUUCUGAACCUGGUUAUGAAAUCUUGGGCCGGUUCAUCUUCACUUUGCUUGAGGGCAGCUAGAUCACUGAUGGUGACUUCUGGCUGAAUCCUGUAAUAGUAGUCAUGGAAGACAUUUUCCAUCUGUUCCCAGGUUUGAACAGAGUUAGCUGGCAGGCUGGUGUACCAGGUAAAAGCUUGCCCAAAAAGAGAGUUGCCGAAAAGCCUUAAUUUCAGCAGAGGGUUGCUUUCUAUAGCUAUGCAUUGGACGGAGAACCUGCCUAUAUGUUCAACUGAGGAAGAAUGGGGGUCUUCCCCAUUGAACAAAGUGAAGUUUGGCACUUUGAAACCUGGAGACAACAGUAUUUGAUCGAUAUAGGCUGGGUAUGGCUUUCUGUAAGUAGGCCUUUCCCCUAUUCUAGCCUCGGGUUCCAUGAUUUCUCUGAUCAUUCUUUGCAACGCUCCUAUGUCAUUCAAAGCAUUGACUGGGGGAAGAUUUUGUCCCUGUUCUGGCUGAACGUAAUCAAACCUGGGCUCUGCUCUGUGUGGUCUGGGUGGAACUUCCUCCCUGUGUUCUUCCUGCUCUUCGACUUCUGGAUGAUUCCUCCAGUUUGCCCCCGGUCUAUUCCUGUCAUGAUUAGCAAAAAGGUUGUUCCCUCCUCGGCCUCUCCUCCUUCUUGCAAGUGGAGGGAAUGGAUUAGGGUCCAUCCUUCUGGGUCUAUAUGGCAAUACUGCCGGUGGUUCAGGCAGAAGCGCCAAAGGUUGAUCAUGUGGGAGCACAUGAAGUGGAAUGGGCUGAGGUUCUGGCUGGUUCUGAGCCAGUGCCAGGUUAUCUGGUUGAGCUGGGGCUUCAUGUUUUUGAUUAGGAAGGGCUCCUUCCCUCGGACCAGCCUGAAUUUCUCCGUGGUCUGGCACUCCAGCCAUCUGUGCAACUAGGAAAUUUUCCUGGUAUGGCCAUAUUAGUCCUGGCGGAGGGCCAUAAGGGAGAUCCAACUGCUGGAUUACAGGAUCUGGGUUUGGGUUUCUGGCCAUGGCGGAUUCUCGGUCCUUCCGGAACUGUCUGUUUACCUGCCAUUACAUCAUGGCUGUCAUGUUAUUGAGAGUGUCCUGGCUCCUUCGUACUGUGAUCUCUUGUCGGAGUACUGACUCCUGUAUUUGAUUCAUCCUUUUGGAGCCAGUCCUGGAACGUCUACUUCCUGUACUGCCGUGGGCAGAUUGCCUAGCAUCGCUUUUUUCUGAUUCGAGGCCUUCCCUGAGAACCAUCUUGUUUUUCUCCAUAUCUGGUGUGGGUUCUGACUAGAUCUUCCGGUAUUUGUGAAUCUGUGAAUGAUUCUGUCAGAGUAUAUAUACUGAGAAGUCCCACUGGGUGUGCCAAAUUAUUCACCCGUUUUCGUGUUUUACUCCUGAGGUGGAAGGGCGAAGUUCCCCACUAGCUUGGAGACCACUUGUUGGUCGACAAGUCAGCUUUCUUUGGUGUGUGUGAGCGUGCCACUGCUAGCAAUGUAAAUUCUAGCAGACUUAUUUUUUAGAGUGGAUAACUUGCGCCUCAAGUUACUGACUUCUAAAACAAAUGAUUGUGAAUUUGGGUGAGGAAUAUCUCCCAAGUAAGUUCUUUUCUUGCCUCAGACUGGUGAGGACUUUCACAAUUUAUCUCAGUAUCAAAUGGUUGUUCUGGCCAGAAUAGAUAAUAAUAAAGUAGACUGUUUCAGGCAGAACUGCCUUUUACAAAAUUAAGAAGGGAGAAAUCAACUCUAGAAAGGCAAAAAGAUGGCUGGAAUCCCAUUUCUGCCUGGGUAGAAACUUCUGAUCCGGGCUGGACUGGGUAUGUCUAUGCUGGACGGUGCUGUCAACAACUUUAGCUUGCUCGGCUUUAGUUGUAAAUCGAUACCAAAGUUCAAUUUUGGCAGAGCUUCAAUCUACUUCAAGCCUUGGGAGACUUUUGAGUGGGCAGAACUGCAGCUUCUUCAGUUUGAAGGGACAGAAGUGGCUAUUCUCGAGGAUUUAGCAAGCUGGAACUAUGCUAUAAAAUUUGUUGAGGUUUUCAUAUUUGUGAAAACUCAAACUAUGUUUGUCUUGGCUUUUGCUGAACCAAAUUUGUAACGAGAGGGAUCUUGUUUUCAGAAGACUUAUUUUCUAAGUCUGAACUUUGGAAUUCUGAUCUAAAGCUGUUUUCUUGUUUGUUUUUUUUUUAUUGACUGAUGAAUUGAGUGUCCUUUGUUUCUUUGCCUUCUUUCGCUUUUAUAAGAGAUCCUCCUAAGGAGGUCAUUUUUAAUCCUAAACAAUGGGCGGCAAAAAGAUCUCUUAUAAUGUAAAGUAAGAAGGGUUUCUUAUCAAUCAAGGCAGAUAGGUUCUGAGCAGUCACCUCCUAAAAACAGUCCCUUCCCUGGUUUCCUGGGUGGCAGCUUUCUAAUUCAACCAACGCCACCGUCUGUGUGGGCUUUUUAUGGCGGUUUUGGCUCUUUUCUUUUGUAUUUUCUGAGUGGUUCCCUGUUUCCCGUUCUAAUUUAGAAAGCGUGAUCCGUGAAUUCCUUGGGAGAUGGUGUAUUGAUUUGGAGCAAAAUCUUGAACACAGAUGGGUUUUUGAUCUUCAAUUGGCAGUGUUUCAGAGACGUCCCUCUCACAUUUUUAAACUUUAGUUGGAAUUGCUGACUUUUCCAAAGUUGAGGCAAUCACGUGGGUGUGUCUUUGAUCCCUUGGUUUUGAAUCUUUCAAAAAUUACGGGCUGAUCUUUGAAGCCCAUUUCGAAAGUUUCCACAUCUGGGCUUUCUUUGGGCUGAGGCUUUAUUUCCAACAUUCUUGGUGUGAACUGGACUAAACAGUUAGUCGGACCAGACCGUCUACACAUAUGAACUGGACUCACAAGCCUAUGUUUUUUGAGCUCCCAUAUUGGUCGAAACUCAAAUUGAGGCACAAUCUAGAUGUGAUGCAUGUUGAGAAAAAUGUAUUUAACACAUUGGUGGGCACGAUUCUAGAUAUCGAGGGCAAGACAAAGGACACAAUCAAAGCCCGUCUUGAUUUGGAAAGAAUGGGCAUACAAAGGGGUUUAUGGAUGAACAGGGACAGUGAUAAAGCUAGAAGGGAUCUUGCAUUCUUUUCUAUGAAACCGAAUGAUAAAAAAGAGUUUCUAAAGUUUGUAUCGUCUGUAAAGUUUCCUGAUGGGUAUGCUUCUAAUAUCGCACAUUGCGUGAAUGUUGACGAGGGUAAAUUUACUGGACUGAAGAGCCAUGACUGCCAUGUGUUUAUGCAACGCCUACUUCCUGUGGGUAUUCGACAUCUAUUGCCGGAAGAUGUUGUGAAGCCAAUCAUGUUGUUGUCCAGAUUUUUUUCCCAACUGACGGCAAAAACAUUGCGAAAGACAGACAUAUUUCAGUUGCGCCAUGACAUUGUCCAAGUCCUAUGCAAGUUUGAGAUGAUAUUUCCUCCAGCUUUCUUCACAAGUAUGAUGCACGUGAUGGUUCACUUGCCAGAAGAGGCAUUGCUUGCUAGUCCUGUCAACUAUCGCUGGAUGUAUCCAAUAGAAAGGUAUAUAAUCUUUAUCGUUUGUGUAUGCAUCAUUAUCACAGACUUGCUAAUUUGUAUCAUAUCGUUUUAUUUUGACAGGCUUCUCGGAGAGCUGAAAAAAAGUGUACGCAACAGGGCGAAGCCCGAAGGAUCAAUUAUAGAGGCUUGGGUUCAAUAUGAGUCGCUUACUUUCUGUGGAAUGUAUUUAAAAGAUGUGGAGACGGCUUUCAAUCGUCCUCAACGCAAUAACGACGAAGGUAUGAGAAAGGAAAAACUUUCUGUUUUUGCCCAAAGUGCACGACCCUUUGGAGAUCCUGGACGAGGAGAGUCGUUUUCUAGAAAUGACAUGGAGGUAGCGCAUUGGUUCGUACUGAACAAUUGUGAUGAGAUAAUGGCAUACUUAGAUAAGCAUGAAGAGAUGAUGAAGCGAGAACAUCCAUCACAUUUAGUUGCCCAGAAACACCGUGAAUUGUUUCCACAAUGGUUUUUGGAUUCUGUAAGUUAUAAGUGUUUUGUAUUUGACAAAUAUAAAUUGUAGUAUUUAAUUUUGUCAGACUAACAUGUGAAUGGUUUUGUAUUAUAUUAGGUGAAUAAGUUGAAAUCAUCGAAUUCCCCCACUUACAGUGAUGAGUUAUAUAACUUGGCGUUCGGCCCAAUUCGCGCUGAAUUGUUUCGGGUUGUUAUAUUAAUGGCGUCAAAUUUUUGGGAGCCGCACGAGAUGACAAGUUGUGUAUGCAAAACAGCGGUGUCCAUGUCCCAGGUGGAGGCGAAAGUACGAACAUUGAUUUCUAUGGCAAACUCACAACUGUCAUUCAAUUGCUUUACAAAGAUCGAUACUAAGUGAUCAUGUUUAAGUGUCGAUGGUUUGAUAGCAACCCAAAUAGGCCGGGAAGUGUUAAAAUCAACCAUGGCUUACUAUCUGUGAACAUUAACAGAACUUGGUAUGAUGACGACCCUUACAUUUUGGCAAACAUGGCAACACAAAUUGUGUAUCUAGAUGACCCUAAAGCCGGGAGCAGUUGGAAAGUUGUUCAGAAGAUGGAUCAUAGGAACUUGUAUGCUAUACCAGAACUAGACCCAACUGACAAUGACGUCAACAAUGUGGCUGACCAACGUUUAGAAUCUUCAAUGGAAAAUGAUGCGGAAACACUUCGAGAUACACAUGUUAUACAAGAACCGUUUCAAAUACAAGGAGUGUCUUCAAUCGAAAUACCGAUUCAGUCAAUUACAAUUGACCUCGGGGAUCUUCCAAGAUUCGAUGUUGCAGUGAGCCCGAGCAACGAAGAUGAUGUAGUUAUAGAGGAGGAGGAGGAGGAUUGGGAGACUGAAAGUGAUGAUAGCGAAGAUAACGAAAGUUAUUAUAGUUCAGAUGAUGAAUAAUUAAAUUUUUUAUAUUUUUAUUAUGCUAGUGUACAGACUUUGUGUAAAACAAAAGUUUGAAUAUAUGUAGUUGUGAUAUCCAAACCUUAUAUAUGUGGACAACUGAAACAUUAUUAAAAUAAAUUUAGUUAUAAAACAUCGGUAAAUCAAUAUAUCCAAACCCUUUUAAUAUUCAUUUAAAAUUUUUUUUUUUGACAAAAACGUUUACAAAAUGAAAAUGAUAAAAUAUUUGUUAUAAAACAUUGAUAAAUAAAUAUAUCCAAACCAUUUUCAUACAAAGUUUGAAAAUUAUUGACAACAAACAUUUUUCAAAAAUGAAAAUCCUUGCGCGACGAAGUACACCUCGUCACGCAAAGUUUGCGCGACCCAGUAAACAGUCGUUGUGUAAAGUUAAAACAUUGCGAGACAAAUUAUCAUCCGUCACGCGAUAGAAUUUUGCGCGACGAAUAUUUACUCUCGUCGCGCAAAUGUAUAUUCUUUUAUAAUAUAUUUUAUAUACACAUAUAUAUUCGAAAUUGACGAUCGAGUUAGUUCAUUGUAUUCAUAUAGGGUCAUGGAGUGUAGCUGUAAAAAAUCAUCAAAAUCGGAGUUAAAAUAACUGUUAAAUCAUGACUUUUCAUUUAUAACCGUUCAAAAAUUUUGUCCCGAUACUUGAUCUCUGAAUGUUUUUUUUUUCCGAUUUUUGGGGCCUAAGAUCUCGAAGUAUAAACAAACACGUUUGACGGCUGGAUUAUUGAAACUACUUUCGUAGAAUGCGUAUGCCAUCAAAACUAUAUAUUCACCAACAAUGAAUAGUUUACUUAUACUUUCAUUAAAUAUAACAUAAGAUUAUGUGGUAUCACCCUAGUGUAAACAUCUUAAAUUGAAGAUCAAAUUCAGUAAUUGUAUUCAUAUAGGGUCAAGAAAAGUAGCUAUAAAAAAUCAUCAAAAUCGGAGUUAAAAUAACCGUUAAAUCAUGACUUUUCAUUUAGAUUCGUCGAAAAGUUUUGUACUGUUACUUGAUCUCUUAACGUUUUUUUUGUCAGAUUUUCGGCGUAUACGAUCUCGAAAUAUAAAAAAACAAGUUUGCCGGUUAGAUCAUUAAAACUAGUUUCGGGUUUAGGAUUUCUGCAGUUUAGGGUUUAGGGUUUGCGCGACGAAGCCAUUUCGUUGGUCGCACAAAGCCUGCAAAGAACAGUCUUGCGCUACGAAACUAGGAUUCUUUGUCACGCAAUCUCAACCAGCCCUUUCACCCUCUUCCUCCUUGGACACUUAGCCAAAAAAAGUUGCGAGUUUACAGAAAGCGGCUUUGCGCGACGCUGCCGGUAUUCGUCGCGCAAUAUGUAUGCCAAUAAAACCUAAAUCCCAAAUUUUGGCGAAUUACAACUUUGCGCGACGAAUAUGGGAAGCUUCGCGCAAAGUUUUCAAUCUUUCCCGCUAAACCCUAAGUCCCAAAAUUUUGGCGGAUUGACAACAUUGCGCCACGAAAGAAGGUACUGUGCGUCGCACAAAGUUUUCAAUCUCUCCCGCUAAACCCUAAGUCCCAAAAUUUUGGCGGAUUGACAAUAUUGCGCGACGAAAGAAGGUACUGUGCAUCGCGCAAAGUUUUCAAUCUCUCCCACUAAACCCUAAGUCCCAAAAUUUUGGCGGAUUGACAACAUUGCUCGACGAAAUAUGGUACUGUGCGUCGCGCAAAGUUUUCAAUCUCUACCCAAUAUUUUGCCGGAUUGACAACAUUGUGCGACGAAAGACGAUACUGUGUGUCGCGCAAAAACUACCCUGAUACCAAAUUUUGGGAUUAACAAUAUUGCACGACAGAAGUUAUACUUAUGUCGUCGCGCAAGUGUCAAUUAAAAUAUUUUGCGUGACGCUUUUGUUUGUUCGUUGCGCAAAAUCGAAUAAAAUUGCAGAAACGACGCGAUAGCCUCCUUCUUCCCCAGAUUUGUUUUUCUACCCUAACUCUCUCUCUCUCUCUCCGCCUUCAGCUCAGCCCCCUACCCCAGUGGAUUUUGGACGACGGCGCCACAACAGUGGUACCCCGGAGGUUUCCCGCCGUCACCGUCGAGCCAGCCGCCCUAAUUCCUCGAUUUUCACCGAAUCUGCGCCGCCGUCGUUCUCUCUCCUUCGGCGACCAAAUCCGACACCUGAGGUAUGGUUUCUGUCCUAUUUUUGAUGCUUUAACUGAUGGUUGGGUAGGAUUUGUGUAAUUGUUGCAAUAGGGCAGUGGAUUUGAAACCCUAAAUUUCGACCGAUUUUUGAAUUCCAAUUCCGGCCACUUCUGGCCAUUUUUCAGGGUAGGUCCGAGAACAAAAGUGGCUCCAAUUGAUGUUUUGAACCUAGGGUAGGAACCUUGGCCCUUAGUUUUAAGAAAUUUUCGACGAUUGGUAUCGCUUUGGACACCCACGCUCUGCCAGCGCUUGUGGUGGCGCGUGGGGUACUGUAGCAGUCUUGCAUUGGGUCCCAGUGCAAUCCCAUAUUUGUCACGAGCGCGUAGGUGUUUUCGGAUUGGAAUUUGGUUACCGUUUGAGUCUCGAACGGAUUUUGCCUAUUGUGCGAUUUCCGGGUUUGUUAUGUUCGGACCGUUGGAUCGAACUCAAACUCACGUAUGGUGUACCUUGUAUUUCUUGGAUCGUCUAGGAUUCGACGGAUCGUGGAUCGGAGUCCCGAAUACUCCGAACUCGCAAACCCUAGGUCAAGAAUCUUAAUAAAAUUGUAUGUGCUUUCAAAUAUUCGUAUGUUUUAUUAAUUUGUAUGUGUAUUAAUGAAAUUGUGUAGAUGUCAGACCUGAUUAGACGUCGUAGGGCGGUGACGACUACGCAGAGUUCUGAGCCCCCGGCUCAACUGACAUCUGCUGCCACUGCGCCAGCACUGAUGGACCACUUGGCAGUUGGUCCCGCGGGGUCCCAGGCUCCUGCUUCAUCAGCUUCAUUAGUGGCACAACCUGUUAGCGCCAGGAAGCGUCAUCGGCCUGCCAGCACCACCGACACCACAUCCACUGAUGCGUCGGGGUCACAGCCAGGUAUAGAUUUCCUUAAACUCCAGUUAUUUAUAUUUUUGUUUUUGUUUUUAUUUUUGUUUUUGUUUUUGUUUUUGUUUUUAUUUGUGUGUGUAUUUUAUAGUUAAAUUUGUUAUUUAUUUAACAUUAAUGUCAUCUUUCUUUGCAGCCAAGAAGAACACCCGAGGGCCGUGUCGGUAGUUGAAGACGGCGAAGGUCACUCGGGUGACCAACAGUCGUAUCAACAUCGGAUACGACAAGCGACAUCGGGCUGCACCGACGGCGGAGUUGCAUAGCUCCUUGGCCCACGACAUUGGUGAUGUCAUUCCGAGCCAUUGCCCGAUGAAAUGGAAGUCUUGGAAGGUGAUGCCUGACGAGACCAAGAUGGAGGUUCGCGGCCAGUUGUCAGUAUGUAGGCCUUUUAAUUCUUUUUCUUUCAAAUUUUAUAUUUCUAUUAUUUAAAUGUAUUUAAUUAAUUUAUUGCAGACGAACUACAACUUGGAGGACCUGGACGACGAGUCGUUGGCGUACAUCAACAGACUCUUCUCUGAGAGGUACAAAUAGUGGAAGAGCGACUUGCACCACUAUUUUGAGGCGUUUGAUGAUCCAGAAGUCUCUCUUCAGGAGGGUUGCCCGAAGGAGCUUGAGGGGCGGGAGGAUAGUUGGGCGUGGCUCUGCUCUCAUUUUCAGGCGCCCGCUUUUGUGGUAAUUUGUAAUAUGAAUUUCAAAUUUAUUAUAUUUUUCUUACUAAUGUUUUUUUAAUGUUUUAUAUUUAAUUUCAAUUUCAACUAAUACGUUUUAUUUUUUGUAUAACAGAAUAAAGCCAAAGUCAAUAAGGGCAAUAGGAAGAAGAAGACUCUUCUCCAUCAUUCGGGUUCCAGGCCCUUCUCCUAUAGGAUGGAUGCAUGGCGGCAGGUAAUCAUAAAAAAAAUUUUAUUUAAUUUUUAAUAUUUAAUUAUUCUUAAUUUAUUUUUUUGUACUAAUAUUUUUCUUCUCUUGUUCAAUUUAGGGGGGUCCAAAUUCCCAGAGAUCGACGUCUUUGGCGACGUUUAUGUUCGACCUGGGAAUGAGUUGGGCGAGUCCCUUCAUGUAAGUAUUAUUUAAUUUUAAUUAUUAUGUUACGCAUUCAAGUUUAAAGGUUAUUAUAUGAAUGUUUUAAUUUAUAUUUUAUGUUAUGCUAAACAGAUGACGAUGGUGGAGAGGAGCCAGUUGGUUCUUCAAGAGUCCGCCUCCCAACUUCCUUCCGAUACUCCGAUCGAGUCUGUGGAUCCUCCACAGGAUGCUGGGUUUCAGAUCUUGACGGAGACAUUGGAUCAGACUCUAGGGAGGAGACCGGGGAUAUAUUGUCGAGGGAUGGAGAAUGCCAGGCGGAGGGAAGCCAGACCCCGUUCAUUAGCGCAGUCAAGCAGUCAGGUCACUGCUUUGACAGCACAGGUGGCCACUCUUCAGAGUCAGAUGUCGGACAUUCUGCAGUCCCUCGCACAGUUCGGCAUUCCAGUCCCGCAUUUUGAUGCGCCGACCUCUGAGCCCGUCCAUCCUGAGCAUCCCCACCAGACGACGGCCCUUGUAGACCCCCAGACCUCUGAACCGCAUGUGCCAGACGACAAUGUAGAUUUUGGAACAUUAUGAUUAGUUUUUUUAUUUUCAUAAUUAUUUUUUAAAUAUUUCUCUUGCAGCAUACAUUUAUUUUAUAUAAUAAAUAUGUUCUUUACAAUUCUUUUUUUUAUUGGAAUUUCAUUUUAUUACCCAAAAAAAAAAAACCAAAUUUAUUUUUUUAUAAAAUAAAAUAAAAAGUAAUAUUAAAAUUAAAUAAUAAUUAUAUAUAUUAAUUUUGCGCGACGAAAUCUUUCUCGUCGCGCAAAUUUAUAUAUUACGAAAUAAAAAUGUUUCAUUUUUUUAAAUACAUAUAAUUUAUUCUUGCGCGACGAAUAUUUUCGUCUCUCAAAAAGGAUUUGCGCGACAACAGUUUUUCGUCGCGCAAAAUGUGUUGACACGAAUUGCACGACGAAGAUAUCUUUGUGCCGCAAAUAUCUACGACACGUAUUGCGCGAUGAAAAUGUUCGUCGCGCAAAAAACGUAUGCGCGACAACAAUGUUUCGUCGCGCAAUACGUGUAGACAUGAAUUGCGCGACGAAGAACUCUUGGUGCCGCAAAUGUGUACGAGACGUAUUGUGCGACGAAUAUUAUUCGCCGCGCAUCGUUGUGGCGACGAACCCGCUUUCGUCGCGCAUAAGUUUGUGCGACGAACUAUUGCAUCGUCUCUGAACCUUUUGUGCAACGAAGGGUAACCGUCGCACAAAUUUGCGCGACGAGUGAUACAAUCAGUCGCGCAAAGUCUUUCUUCACCAUCUUUGCACCACAGAUUACGCGCGACGAAUUUUCUGUCGUGCUUGAGUUUGUGCGACCAAAUUUAACUCUGCGCGACGAAAUUGGCUUCGUCGCGCAAAUCGUAAAAUGUAGUAGUGGAAGUUAUCAACAUCUAUAGGAACCCCAAUGAAAAGGCUGUUAACUAAUAAUGAAGUAAACCCCUCAAUGUUUCCGCGUAUCAGAUAUCUCUCAGAAUAUGCGAUUCCAUACUCAAUAAGCAACUCCACAUCCCCUGAGGUUUUCACCAAACCACCCAUUAAGGAAACAUACUGACUCAUGUGUAAUUAUCAUUACUCAUCGGGUAAUGCAAUUGUUCAAAGGCAAGGACAUUUCUCAUUAUUUCUGUAGUGAACCCCAAUGGAAAUGGUGGGAUCUUCAGAACCCCAUUGGUGCUACUGAAUUGUAUGUCAAAUAUGUUUUCACCUUGUCGCGCCUCAAACUUGACUCCAGCGUGCUGUAAUUCUGUCAAGCUGGGUAUGGAUGAUGGGAGUUCCCCUCCAGCUUUUGAUUCCAACGGUUGAUAGAGUUUAAAUAUUUUCCUGUAAAGAUCAACAAUAUGUGCCACUGAUCUAAAAGUCUCCAAAUUGUCUUCCAUUUUGUCAACAGGCAAUAGAUGUUCGAAGAAACUGAAAGAAAGACUAAUUAUUGAAAGCCCCUCAGUAAUGCAGUUAUUGUCAGCAUCAGCAGGGAGUGUAAUUUUCUGUGGGUCGAAAAGAUCCUCGAGAAUGAAGAAUGGCAACUGAUUUUCAAGCAACCACAUAUCUGUCCAUACAUCUUGCAACAUACCUGGUUUGUCAAAUAUGCGGUCAUUUUCAUCCCAAAAUUUGAAGUAGUCCUUCAAUAAGAGCUCAAUAACGAAGGCGGCAUCCACUAGAAUGAUUGUUACAAAUUCAUCACUGCUAAACUUGAUGGGUUCUCCAUAACAACGUCUCAAUCUUGCUUCGUGGUCCUUUAUUUUCUUAAUAUAAUCCUCCAAACUCACAUUGGUCCGACCUAUAAAAUCUUGCAGGUAUCUCUGUUUGUGCUCUUCCUAUACGACAUUCAAGCCUUCCUUUCCAUGGUGAAGUGGGCCUAUAGAGACCACCUGAGGUGUGCAGAGCUUUUCAUUCACACUUCGUAGUCGUUGAGGAACUCUGUAGAUACAGCACUUGGAGGAUGGGGGAGACAAGCUAUUGAACCCUUUUCUCAUCGAAUUUGCUAAUGAAAUGUAUGGGUUUUCUAUGUCAUUUUGAGCAGAUUGAUGGCUUCCUGCCAUUUUCCAGCUCCUGACUAUAUGUGGUGUUCCGAUUGUAACAGAUUACAAUAAUGAUGAGUAUGGAUAACUGAAUUACUGAUAAAACAAUCAAGAAACAUUUCGUUAUUUUCCAUUCCCAAUAACGAAAUCAAAAUGUUCAAGGAAAUAUAAUCAGGAUAUUGCAAUUAUAUAGCCAUUCAUAAGCUGCCUGGCAUGGAAUAAGAGGUGGAAACCAAAUCUACUUAUUGGCCAAAGUUCGAAUUCACUAUAUAUAGAUAUAUAUUUUGCCAAAAUCUAAAACUGACCAACCUUAGAUACAAAAACACGGUACAGCCCGGUUAAAGUAAUUCCAAGUGCGAAGAAAGAAAGGAAUUGAGCGUUUGUACCUCUACAGCUAGCCAAAUUUUCUAUUGAUUCUUUAAAUUUUAGAGAGCAAUUACUCUUAAUUUGGUAGGUGUAGGACUGUGCAACUUCAAGCUUUAAUGAAAGAAGCCAAGUUUAUUCUAAGGGGACAAGUCAGAGACAACGAAAUUUUGCUCAGCUUCAUUUUCAAAUUUGCUGCUUAAGAAGGAAAUUUAAUAUGUUUGUUUCACAAAUUGUAUUGUCAUCAAUGAAACUCGUGCACACCCAACGAAAUUUGCAUGGCUUAUUUUCAAAGGAGUACUGCUAUUUCCAUCCUCUGUCCUAUUUUUCCACUCACCUUAUCUUCAAAAUUUUAAAGACAAAAAUAAACCCCUUUGUAAAAUGCUUAAAAAGAAAUUUAAUAUGUUUGUUUCAAAAAUUGAUAUUGUCAUCAAUGGUUAAAGAAUUGCUGGUGACAACAUAUACUUCUUUUCUACUGUAUUAAUUUCUUUCUUUAUUUUUUCUUCAGUAUAGUUCUGCCUUUCUUUUACAUGUUUAUGCGCAUAUUUGACACGUUCAAGUAUACUUAUAUAACAAAUGCAAUGAGUUUGUAGUCACAAAAAUCAAGGAUUGAAAACAAAAAGUAAUAUUAUGUGCAAGAGAAACUUACCUGCAGAAACUGAAGAACUCCUCUAGUUUCUUCUCUGUCGCUAUGUACUCCCGCGUUCAAGUUAUUAUUCUUACAAUGUACAUACACUAUUAUAUAAUGGCGAGAAGGCUCUGAUUAACCUCCUUUUUGCUUCAUUGGAUGGGGCAAGAAUGGAAUUGUCACCGUGGGUGUGGAGGUGAUCUACCAUUUGAGCAAGAAAUUCCCACAUAUUCUUUAACUAUUUUUCAAGCAUGCAUAUUCCUCCCUAUCAAUCUUUGGUCUCUUCUUUUACUAUUUUUCAAGCAUGCAUACUUUGAUUUUAAAUCAUCUUUUCCGCACUAAUUUGCUUCAAUCAAGAAACAGUUAAUAUAUUUUGUAUCAUCAUUAGAGAACACUUGAAACUGCAUAAGUUAAUUUUGAAGAUGAUGGCAGAACCAAAAUGUGUAUAGCUUAUAACUAUAAUUUCUUGAUUACAACAAGAGGUUUCAAGUUUUCAACAACACAAAUAUGAAUCUCCCAAGCAAAGAUAAACAAUAAAGCAAGCAUACGGAUUGUCAAAUUGCCUUCAAUCACUCUAAAAUACUUCAUACCGUCCGACACUGGCUUCAAUUACUCUACAAUACUUCAAUUCAUAUAUUGUCCUAUUUUCACAUGUACAUCCUGCUUUUACUUAAGGGUUAAUUGUUGAUUUACCCCUUGAACUUGUACUCUACUUUCAAUUUGCACCCUCAACUUUUUUUUUUGAAAAUUAGGUGCAUGAACUAAUUUUUAUUGCCAAUUCCCCCUACCAACAUGUCAUCUAAUAGUCUGUCAAAUCAUUAAAAAAUAUAAUAUUUUUGGAAAAAAUUAAAGAAAAAAAAAUUCCUAAGGACCCACAGACCCAGAACCCACCCUCCGUUGCCCCCGCUUGCUGUUUUCUUCUCCUCCCAGUCCCCCAUGACCACCACCCUCCACUGCCACACCAAUCCCCUACCCAACAGACCCCUCACCCCUUCUUUUUUUUCACCCCCGAACCCAGCAUGAGUUAUUGGUUAAUACCAUUUUCUUAAUUGCCAAAUAAAAAAAAAAAACAGAGUUAACCCUCUGUUAAGCUAGCUGACUAGUGGGGCGAAAUGGAGGAAAAUCAAUAUGGAGACAGCGGAUCCGGUCCCGUGUAAGUGUAUCUGAUGGAAUAAAAGAAUGAUAUUAUUGGUGGUGGGUACGGUUAUGUGGAAGUAAUAAUGGGUAAGAGAAGAAACUUGUUCUCUUGUGAUAAUCAAAAGACAGAAAGUAGUGGGAAAAGACAGAAAGUAGUGGGACACUAUUUUAGAUAUGAUAAUGUUCCUUCCUUGAUUGAUGCAAAUGAAGAGAAAAGGGUGGCUUUAUAUAAUAGCCACUACCGACCUAACACAUUAAAAACACAACUAACACCAAACAUAGUUAAUUCAACUAACUUCUACCACACCAUUAAUUUAACACACAACUACUAACAAACUGCCAACUAUUUCAAAGUUACCAGCCGACUAUUAAUGAAGUCUAGAUUACUUUAACAUCCUCCCUUAAGCUAGACUUCAUUUACGCCAAUUAAUUUUCUCAUCUUGAUGAGCGGCUCUUUCUUCAACGGUUUGGUGAACAAAUCUGCCAGCUGAUCUUGGGACUUGCAAUACAGAACCUCAACUUCUUUAUCUUUGAUUAGCUCUCUGAUGAAAUGGAACUUGAUCUUGAUGUAACACCCCGACCCCAAAUUUUCCCAAAUUUUACCCUUAUUUAAUUAUUUAAUUAUUUAAGGGUAUUUUAGUCAUAUUUUUAACCGGAGAGAGUUUGGGACCGUGACUAGUAUUUUUGGAUAGGUCGAGCUGAGACGAGUUCAUAGACACGUAGUGGGCUCGAAUCGGAGUUGUAACGAGAGAGAUAUGGUCAAAAGAAGCCCAGUGGCACAAUCGUAAAUAUUUCGAAAUGGGAUUUUUUAUAAAAACUCAAAUUUUUCUCUCUCUCUCUCUCUCUCUCUCUCUCUCUCUCUCUCUCUCUCGCGACUCCUCUCUCUCUCUCCCGUCGGCCUCUCCUCUCUCUCUCUUCGUAACUCCGGCCACCGGCCGCGGCUGCGGACGGGGCCGGUGUCAAAAGAACCGGCUCGACCUCGGCAUCACGACCCAGCCCAUCCCCGCCAUCGGCCGCCGCUCCAGCCGCCGGAAAAUGGCGAUUUUCGCCCAGAUGUCGCCGGAACUUCAACGCCGUCGAUCUCCCUCCUCCGGCCACCAAUUCCGUCGACCCAGGUAUGGAUUUUGAACCUCUCGAGCUGCUCUAGCUGAUGGUUGGGUAGGAUUAGAUCGAUUCUUAGCGUAGAUCACUCGAUUUUCGAAUUGAAAAUCGGCCGAAACUUCGGCCGCCGUGAUCGGCCAUUUCCGGCCACUUUUUGGGGUAGGUCCAAGAACAAAAGUGGCUCCAAAUAGGGUGUUAUACCUAGGGUAGGAGUUUGGAGCCGUGGUUUUGAGAUUUUCCGGCGGAGCGUUAUCGCUUUGGGCACCCACGCGCUGCUGGCGCGUGCGGCGGAGCGUGGGCACUGUAUAAAAAGUAGCGAUGUAUUCCGAUGAGAUCCUUAGGUUGUCACGAGUGCGUAGGAUUUUGCGGAUCUCAAUUCGGACGUCGUUUGACUAUCGAACGAAUAAUCGCAUAGUGUGCGUUAUCCGGGUUCGAUAGGUUGGGACCGUUGGAUGGUCCCAAAUUUAAUAUAUGUUAAUCUAGGUAUUUCUAGGAUCGUGUAGGAAUUCACGGAUCGUGAAUCGGAACUCCGGAUGUUCCGAAUAAUAAUUUUAAGUUUAUAUUUUAUAUUAACCAUCAGAUCGUGCGAUCGUGAGCAAUCCGACCGUCCGAUCUGAACCAAACUUGCAGGACAAGUGUCCUACACCUGGUAGAACCCAUAGGGACUUCCGGAUCGGAAAUUGGAGGUCGUGGGUUCUGCAGGUCCGUUUGACCAGGGUUAGAGUAGUUUGACUCUUGGUUGACCGUGAGUCUCCCGGAGUAAUCUCACCCUUCCAGGGGGAAUUAUCGGGAGCUAGACUAUUGUGGAGGGUUACACAAUAUUAGAAUUAUUUAUAUAAAUUAUGUGGUUGUACAAGGGUACAACAGAGUCUAGAAUGUCAGUUUGGAGUGCUAUACGCACUACUCUAGGUACCUCCUCGGACUUUGGAAUUUCUACAAGUACCACCAAGUGAAAGUUAGGUCCCACGUGGCGUAGGUUAUCCGGCGUGUCGACAGACCCCAUACGUGGCGUUGGUUGUACCGGCGUAUGGGGAGAUUUGUGAUAUGAUAUUGAGGUCCCGCGUGGCGUAGGUUAUCCGGCGUUGGGACAGGCCCCAUACGUGGCGUUGGUUGUACCGGCGUAUGGGGAGAUAUUAUGAUAGUAUGGCAUGGUCGCACGUGGCGUAGGUUAUCCGGCGUGUCGACAGACCCCAUACGUGGCGUUGGUUGUACCGGCGUAUGGGGAGAUUUGUGAUAUGAUAUUGAGGUCCUGCGUGGCGUAGGUUAUCCUGCGUUGGGAUAGGCCCCAUACGUGGCGUUAGUUGUACCGGCGUAUGGGGAGAUAUUAUGAUAGUAUGGCAUGGUCGCACGUGGCGUAGGUUAUCCGGCGUGUUGACAGGCCCCAUACGUGGCGUUGGUUGUACCAGCGUAUGGGGAGAAUAUGUGAAAUACAGAGAAAUGAAAUAAGGUAUUGCCCAAGUGUGGAAUUGGGUUUUAGGGAAGAACUACUUAUGGCUUGAUCCCUCAAGGAGGGUACGUAGGCAGCCUAAGGUUAUUAGGUGCAGCCGCAGACUAAAUAUUAGUCAUAAAUUGUAAUUGAACUGUUUGGUAGUCGUUUGAGGAAGUAUUGAAAGGCCGAAGGCCAUUUGUGUGAAUUGCAUGAAAUUAUAUUGUGCAUGCUGCCAGUUGGGAAUAUUAAAUGCGUUUUUAUGCAGGUAUAAAUUUUGGGAAUGUCCAAUUUACAGGGGAGACUCUGCCAAAAUUUCGGCAGGAAGUCUCGGUUUUUAGUAAGUGGGCCUGGCAUCGGGGUGAUGUCAGGAAUUCCAAAGGGUUCGUCUCGGGUUUUGAGAAAAUUCGGGGCGGGUCCUUUCACUUGAUAUGCUUACUCUUGCUGUGAAACAUUGGAUUUUUGGAAAGACAAAUAGCUGAUUUGUUGUUGCAGAACAGCUUUGUAGGUCCUUCUUGAACUUGACCCAUCUCUUCUAAAAUACUUUUCAGCCACCUAGCUUGACAACCUGCUGAUGCAAGAGCAACAUACUCAGAUUCUGUAGUUGAAAGUGCCACUAUAGAUUGCUUUUUGGAGGACCAUGAAAUCGCACUUGAGCCAAUGCUAAAGACAUAACCAGAUGUGCUUUUGCAAGUAUCAACAUCUCCACCCAAGUCACUGUCACUGUAGCCAGUCAAAUUUAGAUUCUGAAUAGGAUAAUAAUGCAAACCAUAAUUGAUAGUUCCAACCACAUAUCUUAGGAUUCUCUUUCCAAGCUCCCAAUGAACAUCUUUUGGUGACUCCACUAAACGGCUGAGGAAGCUUACUGCAUAUGUAAGAUCUGGCCUUGUUGUAGUUAAAUACAAGAGGCCACCCACUAGACUUCGAAACAAAGUUUGAUUUACCAUUGUGCUUCCAUCAUUCUUACCUAUCUUAACACCAACCUCCAUUGGAGUAGCAAUUGACUUUGCAUUUUCCAACCUGAACCUUUUCAACAAUUCCUUUGCGUAUUUCUUUUGAGAAAUAUAGAUACCAUUCUCAUUUUGUUUGACUUCAAUUCCAAGAAAGAAAUGAAGCAAACCAAGGUCUGUCAUUUCAAAUCUUUGUGACAUAAUCAUCUUGAAAUUAUCACACAUUUGAGCAUUACUUCCAGUAAAUAUUAAGUCAUCCACAUAUAAGCAGACAAUCAAAAUCUCACCUUGAGAGUUCUUCUUGGUGUAAAGAGUAUGCUCAUAUGGGCAUUUGUGAAACCCAUACUCUUGGAAGAAUGCAUCAAUCCGACUGUACCAAGCUCUUGGAGCUUGUUUCAAACCAUAUAAAGCCUUCUUCAAUCUACACACUUUUGUUUCUUCAUUUCCCUGCACAUAACCUGGAGGUUGAGCAACAUACACUUCUUCUUCCAAAAAACCUUGCAAGAAUGCUGGUUUAACUUCCAUUUGAAAGACUUUCCAACAAUUUUGGGCAGCAAGAGCUAACACCAUUCGGAUGGUGUCAAAGCGUGCAACUGGAGCAAAAACUUCAUUGUAAUCAAUUCCAUAAUUUUGCUUGUAGCCUUUAGCUACCAAGCGAGCUUUGUAUUUCUCAACUUCUCCUUGAGCAUUCAGCUUGGUCUUAUACACCCAUUUUACUCCUAUAGGCUUCUUUCCUUGAGGAAGAUCAACCAGCUCCCAUGUGUCAUUUUUCUUAAUGGAAUCAAUUUCUUGAUCCAUAGCCUUCACCCAAUUUUCAUCCUUUGAAGCCUCUUCAAACAUAAUUGGGUCUGCAUCUACAAAUAGAGCAAAAUUUGUGCCACCAUUAGUGAUCAAAACAUAAUCACUAGAUGGGUACCUUGUGGAUGGUUGAUGAGCUCUUGUUGAUCUCCUUUGUCCUCUGCAAAUUUCUUCUUCCUCACUGCUAUCACUAGAAGAAGUUGAUGAUGACCCUUGUGAUGAAGAUUCCUAUGAUGAUAGAGUUGUUGGUGGAGUUAAAUCUGGAUUUUCAAGGCCAAUGUCCAACAGUAUUGGACUUUGAUUUUCAGCUUCACUCCAAUUCCAUGCUUCUUCUUCAUUGAACUUGACAUCACGACUAACAAUAAUCUUGUUAGUCAAUGGAUUAAACAACUUAUAUGCCUUGGCCUUUUCACUAUACCCAACAAGAAUGCACUUUUCUGAUUUGUCAUCCAAUUUUCUCCUUGUUUUAUCAGGAAUAUGAGAAUAAGCAAUGCUGCCAAAUAUCCUUAAGUGACUAAUACAUGGCUUGAGGCCACUCUAAGCUUCUUGAGGAGUCUUGCCUUCCACACUAUUGGACGAUGCACGGUUCAAGAGAUAUACAGCACAUGCCACUGCUUCUGCCCAAAAACGAUUAGGCAUUGCUUUUGCCUUCAACAUGCUUCUUGCCAAUUCCAUAACGGUCCUAUUUUUUCUCUCGGCCACACCAUUUUGCUGUGGGGUGUACCGAGCUGUGAACUGAUGCUUAAUCCCAUUUUCUUUUAGAAAAUUUUCGAACACAUUGGAUGAGAAUUCUCCACCUUGAUCAGACCGCAAGGUUUUCAAUGCAAAUCCACUUUGCUUCUCAGCCAAAGCUUUGAAAACUUUAAAGUAAUCAAACACCUCUGAUUUAUAUUUGAGAAAAUAGACCCAUGUCUUUCUGCUAUAAUCAUCAAUGAAUGUAAGAAAGUAGCGGUUACCUCCUGUUGAUGUUGUGUUCAUGGGCCCGCAUACAUCUGAGUGCACCAGCUCAAGAGGAUGGGAUGCUCUCCAAGAAUUUCCUGUAAGAAACGAAUUUCUCUGAUGUUUUCCCAGCACACAUGCUUCACAAACUUGUGUUUGAUGCUGUAUCGUUGGUAGGCCUCGUACCAUAUGUUGUUUCCCCAUCAAUGAUAGUGUAUUGAAACUCAAAUGCCCAUAGCGUAGAAGCCACAACCAUGAGGAAUCCUUGAUAAGUGCACUUAAGCAAGCAAAAGAUUCAUACUUUAUGUUCAGAGAAAACAUAUUGUCUCCUGACAUCUGCACCUUUGUAAUUAGAGAGUUGUACUUGUCUCUAAUUACACACUGGUCUUCCCUGAACUGAAUAUUAUGGCCUUUAUGAAGAAGUUGCCCCACACUAAGGAGAUUGUAAUUUAAAUCUGGAACAUAUAACACAUCAGAGAUUCUUUUUUGUUCUCCAGACUUGGAUAGAAAAAGAAUAUCUCCACAUCCUUUGGCCACUAGCUUUCCACCAUCACCAAUCCUUACUUCUGAGUUGUUGGUAUGCUUGAAAUUGACAAAGGCACUUUUGUUGCCUGUCAUGUGAUUACUACAUCCGCUAUCAAGAUACCAUUUUUCUGCACACACGUUUCCUUCCCUGGCAGCUGCAUAUGCAAGUAGAACCACAUUAUCAUUUUCCCUUUCAGAAGCUUUUUCAUGCACAAAGCUUGAUUCGGCUCCUCCAUUUGUUUUGUUUUUGCAUGUUGACUUGAUGUGCCCAUAUUGCUUGCAAUUGUAGCACUGAAUAUUAGAAAGAGAGGAACCUUGUUCUCUUCCUCUUCCUCUUGAAUAACCACCAUAAUCUCCUCUUCCUCUUGGAUAACCAUAAUCUCCUCUUCUUCUUGAAUAACCAUAAUCUCGUGCAGAGCCUUCAUCAUUAGUUUUUUUUAGGUCAUUUGCAUAGCCACGUCCUUGAUUAUUUCUUCCUCGUCCACGAGUAAAGCCGCCUCUUCCUCUUCUAGAACUUCCUCUGAAUGAGACUUGAGAUUGAAAAGCUUGCUCAACAGGGCCAGAGUCAAACUGCUUCAGUCGUAACUCAUGGGAUUGAAGAGAACCCAUUAAACUGUCAAGAGACAAAGUAGACAGAUCUUUGGAUUCUUCAAUUGCCACCACAAUAUAUUCAAACUUUCGGGGACAUACUUCGAAGAAUUUUUUCAGCAACUCUCUGAUCUUCAAUUUUUUCUCCAUUAAUUCUCAGUUGGUUGACUAGAGAAAUGACACGAUUGAAAUAGUCUUCAACAGAUUCUGACUCCUUCAUACGUAACAUAUCAAACUCACCUCUUAGAGUUUGCAGUCUUGCCAUCUUCACUUUAUCUUCUCCUUUAUAUGAUGCAAAGAGAGUGUCCCACGCCUGUUUUGAUGUAAUGCAUGAUGAGAUUCUUUCAAAGAUAGCUUCAUCCACUGCUUGAAAGAUAAAGAAUAAAGCUUUUUUGUCCUUCUUACGUGUCUCCUUCAGCUCUGUGAGUUGUUGUUGAGUGAGGACUGCUUGAUCAUUUGGCUCCACAAAGCCAUUUUCAACCACCUCCCACAAAUCUUGAGCAGCAUACAACACCUUCAUUUGGAUGCUCCAUUGACUAUAAUUCUUCCCUGUAAACUUUGGAAGCUGGGGCUGUAACAAGUUGUUGUUUGAAGCCAUAUGAUUCUGAGUUUCCAGCUCUGAUACCACUUUGAUGGAAUAAAAGAAUGAUAUUAUUGGUGGUGGGUACGGUUAUGUGGAAGUAAUAAUGGGUAAGAGAAGAAACUUGUUCUCUUGUGAUAAUCAAAAGACAGAAAGUAGUGGGACACUAUUUUAGAUAUGAUAAUGUUCCUUCCUUGAUUGAUGCAAAUGAAGAGAAAAGGGUGGCUUUAUAUAAUAGCCACUACCGACCUAACACAUUAAAAACACAACUAACACCAAACAUAGUUAAUUCAACUAACUUCUACCACACCAUUAAUUUAACACACAACUACUAACAAACUGCCAACUAUUUCAAAGUUACCAGCUGACUAUUAAUGAAGUCUAGAUUACUUUAACAGUAUCGAAUCUAGCUUUAAUAUGUAUUGGGUCCUCUGGACAAGAAUUCUAUCCUUUUCGUCCUAACUAAUAUGUAGGGGAAAAACAAUACAUCAAUUAUCCUUUUCGUCCUAACUAAUAUGUAGGGGAAAAACAAUACAUCAAUUAUGAAUUUUUUUUAUCUGGGUUCGAAAUUAAAUAUGAAUGGAGUUUUGGAGGCUUAAAAGUUAUAAGCUCAAGAAAGGAAGGAAACUAUAUGUACAUUUGGGUCGGAGGCAAAGGUCCAGUCAUCUACCGUCCAGGAUAUACAGUAUCAAAAAAGGCUUAAGAAUUGUAAUAAGGUGACAUACGCCCACAUACGGCCAACGCUAGCAUAUUUCGUAAGUGUAUUAUAUGUCUUCUAAGUAUAUCAUAGUUAUGUGUCAAUUUUAGAUCCAAUUGCACACCCAAAAUACAGAAACAAAAUCAUUGAGAAUACACUUUUUUUCACUUAUAUUUUGAAUAUGCAUUGCCUGUAUUUCAUGUGUAUGAUAUAGGGGCUUCACUUAUAGUUUUUGCACAAAACCUCCCUUGAUGAAGGAUGUCUUAGAUUAAUGACAUCAAUGAUUUGUUACAUUUGGAGUACCCAACAUAACAGCUCUCUGAUUAACAAUAAAGUUAUAAAAUUUCAACAGUUUCAUACCUAACAAGCAUAGAGAAACAAAUAAAACAACCACAUUGCUUCGAUCACUGUACAUGCACACAGCUCACUUUCACUAACUACAGAGGCUAUAUUUUCUACAUAUACACUAACUUUUUCUUUCUCCAGCUCUCUUACACCACCAGGCUGGUGACAAACCCAGCUCGCGUCAUGUGGAGGACCAAAAGGAAAUGACAAGGAGAAAACGGCUAAGGAGAGACUUACUCUCAACACUUAGAAGGCAGAGCAGAGAUAACAGAGCACACUGCUUGUAUAAAAGUGAGUAUGAGGAGAAAAAUAGCGGUAGCAAUUGAAAUAGUUGCCCAAGGUGUGUUGCAAUAGUUUUGUCUCAAGUUUGCCUGCCAUUUGUGCCAAGACGUUCUGCAGUACUUGUUGAGGUCUGCACAAAGAAUAGCAAAAUAGAAGUCAUUAGAGUCCACAAUGACCCCAUCUGCAAGGUUGUUGAUCAGAGUAGACCCUCCACUACUGUCACCGAGCAUAUUUUCGACGAUUCCUUGCUUAACAACCAACUCCACAUCCGUUGCGGUGUUCACAAAGCGAUCCACGAUGACAACAUAAUUGUUUAUGUAAUUCUCCAUGCAAUGGCAUUGUUCAAAGGCAAGGAGGUUUCUGAUUGUAAGCUCUGUCUCAUCACUUAUUGCUAAUUUUGGAAUUUCUAGAAUCCCAUUAGCGAAUUGUAUGUCGAAUAAGUUUUUGGGUGAUCCCACCUUAAACUUGACUCCUGCUCUGUGUAACUCUGUGAUGCUGGAUGUGUUUAAGAGUUUCAAGUCGCCCCUUAGCAGGUGGUUUCAAUGGUAGAGGUAGAUACAAAUUUCUACAAAAAUCUACAAAGUGUUCUACUUUAGAAGUACAUAAUUUCUCCAUAUUGCCAUCCGUUCCCUCUAUGUGCAUUAGAGUUUUGAAGAAAUUGUGGCAAAGGUUAAGCAUCGAAAGCCUCUCAAUAUUGUUAUUGUUAGAAGAGACUUUGAUUUUUUCGGGGUCAAAAAGUUCCUCAAGAAUGAAGAAUGGCAGCUGAUUUUCAAACAACCGCAUGUCAGGCCAUACGUCUGGCAACAGCCAUGGUUUGUUAAAUAUGCGGUCAAUUUCAUCCUGCAAUUCAUCGAAACGAUACCUCAACAAGACCUCAAUGAUGAAGGCGGCAUCCACUAGAAUGAUUCUCACAAAUUCAUCACUGCUAACCUGAAUGGUUUCUGCAUAACAACUGCGCAGUUUUGCUUCUUGGUCUUUUACUUUCUGUACAUAAUCGGCUAGGCUUACCCUGGUCCGACGUAUAUAAUCUUGUAAGUACCUCUUUUUGUGAUCUUCCAUGGCUUUUAGGCCUUCCUCGCCAUGAUGAAGUGGGCCUAUAGAGACUACCUGAGGUGUGUAGGCCUUUUCACUCACACGCCGUAGUCGUUCAGGAACUCUAUAAAUGCAACACAAGGAGGAGAGGGAAGACAAGCCAUCCAACUCCUCACUCAUUGAAGUUACUAAUGGAAUGCAAGGGUUUUCAAUAUCAUGUGGAGCUUGAUCGCUUCCUUCCAUUUUCCGCUGAUGUGUUUGUUGUUGUCAAUCAUAAUGGAUGAUAAUGAAAUGAUAGUCACUGACACAACAAUAAACAAAUUUUUCAAGAUGGCUGAGAAAAUUAAUACAAACAUUGCAAUUAUAAGACCAAACACACAAAGACUUUUGAUCCUUGUAACUCUUACAUACCACACUAGUGCCUUAAGAAUUCGAUUUGAAUGCACCAAAUUCAUUCAAAACUCUUCUGGUCAACUCUGUUUCUUGUAAUUAUUCUUGGAAGAUUCUAAUACAUUUUUGAUUGAAAAAUUCCUACUAAUCAUGUGAAUCAGUACCAAAGUUUAUUUCAAAUUAACAUACAAACCCCACUUUUUUUUUCCUACAUAUAUACUUCUUUAUUUCCCCUCAACUUAUUGGAGCUUCUAAUAAAGCAAAUUCUUUCUGUGAUGAUAUCAGAUAGUAGAUUAUGCUUCCAGUCAAAACAUAGACAAACCAAAAUCCCAUUAGAAGAGAAGAAAAUAAUAUACGACAUUCACAUAACCUUCUGCUCAAUUCCAAUUUCCAACUACAAUGAAACAUAAGACACUUAAAAGCUUCAAGAAAUUGGAUGUGCAAGCAAACAUAGCGAAAUUAUGAAAGACAGAGAAAGGUGUUGGGCAUUGAAAACAUACCUGAUACGUAUUGAAACACAAUUUUUUUUUGCCUUUGGUAGAUGGAGUAGCUAGAAAAGCUCAAUGCACUUGCUCUUCUGCUACAUUUCAAUAUAAGAACAUUGUUUGGAAGUCCGGUCAAUUCCUCAAAGCUUCCUUGCCUUUGUUUUGACAUGCCGAUGCCCGUCUUGGGGAAGUUUGAAUAAUCCAUUGCAGGCCCCAUGAUAGGAUUUUUAGUACUUGUGCAAACAGUGUUAAAAAUCACAUAAAAUACUUGCAAGAAUACAAGGCUAUUGUAGUAUAGAUGCUCAUGCAAGGUCGUUUUCCUCAAGGACUAAUUAGCAAUUUAUGUAAAAACAAAUUCCAAUUACUACUUAAAAUAAAAAGUCAAGAAAGAUGAUUAUAAAUUUGGUGGAUUCUAAAAAACAAAUAUUAAACAAAAACAAAUACGAUUGAAAGAAAGAGUUUUGAAUAUCAAUUUAUAAAAACACUAGGGUUUCACCAUCACCUAGCAAUCCUAUGAACUUUUACCAAUUACUUAUGAUUUGCACAUGCCACUUUGAAGGUUAGGUUUUCCUAAUGUAUAUUCUACUUGGAACCUCCAACACAGAACGUAUAUCCAACAUGCAACCCGUCCGGACGUUCGGAUCAAAUCUGAACAUGAAAGACUCAUUAAGUUUUGUGAAAACCCUUUGAAAAACCAUGCAACCCUUAAGACGUGGUGUUCAUCUUAAGUGAAAUUACAAUUAUUAAUCACAAGAAGCUAGCAUAAAUUUCAGGGAACCUUCCGACCAAAAUUGCAUCCAAUUACUUUUCUAAAGAUCCUAAUGGUGAUCAGGCAUUAAGACAAUUAGAUAGUUUAAAAUAGUGAUUAACAAUUCAAAAUACGCAUGCACUCAUCAUAAGCAAUUAAAUAAAAAUCACAUAUUCAUGCUAAGGUUCAAGGCUUCACCCUAGCAAAAGAAAUUUAGUUACGCAUACUCAUAAUUGAAAUCCAAGAAAAUAUCAUUAAGAAGAAAAGAACGAAAACACCUGAAAGUUGUGAAAACCCAAAACCCUAGCAAUUGCUCUCUACAAUGCAAAGUUCAAAAAUAAUUAAGAAGUCCUAAAUUCCUUGUGAGAAAGAGCUUAAAUAUCCCUUAAAACCUAGCUGCCAAUGUACAGCUUUUCUAUCCCUACAAGGAAACUAAUUAAAGUAAAAUAAUACUAGGAAAUAAAGUCCAAAUUGGAAUAGGAGAAUUUGCCCAAAAUCAGCCCAGCCACGUUUUGGCCCCAAAUCUCCUCCAAAUCUGGCCCAAGAUAGCUUUUUUUAAAGACACUACUACAAAAAGUGAAAAAGACGACCAGAAAACAACGACGGUCUAAGUGAAAACCGUCGUGGUUUUUAAAAAGACGACGGUUCUAAAAACACCGUCGUGUAAUACCACCUUAGACAACUAAAAAAUGGAGAUUCAAAUGGCUGUUCAAAAACAACGACGUACCUAAUUAAACAACCGACGUCUAUUUGAAACAGAUUUCCGCAGUGUAAAAUCAAAGCAAACAAAGAACGGCAGAAGUUAUGAAUAGACCGACGUAGAAAGUAAAGACGACGAUUUCAAUAAAAGCCGCCGUUUUUACUCAUAAAAUAACACGACGAGGUUUUCGUAUAAGACGCCGUAUAAUUACAAACAAAUCCACGGCUUUAAAAUACAAAAUAAUCUUAACAGAUGACACAGAUUUGCAAUCAGAGAGACAAUUUUUUGGAAGUUGAUCAACGUCGUUGAAAAUUUGCAAUCAGAGAGACAAUUUUCAACGACGGUUAUAUUAUACCUAACGACGUUUAAAAACAAAUCAACGUCGCUCAACAAAUAUAUUACGUCGUCUUAGUCUUACUUAAGACGACGAAAAACGACGACAGUAGUAAAAAAACAGUCGUUGUUUUUAUAUUCUUAUUUUAUUUAAAUCUGUCGUGUUAGUUAAAAACGACGGCAUAACAAAAAACCGUCGUUUUGUUUCAAACUGAAUUAAUUUAAAAUUUCUUCAGGAAAGCAAAAUCUAUUUAUAAUUUCCUCGGGUUAGUAAUAUUGUGUCGUGUUAGUUUACAAAUUCUAGAACAUUAAUUUCCCUCAUUUUAAAUUUUCUCGGGAAAGAAAAAUCUAUUUAUCACGCUUUGUAAUUGAAAACUAAAACUGAAAGAAUUCUGGAAAAAAAACUCUAUUUAUAAUUUAAAAAUAAAAUGCACGUCGGUUGUAGUACACUUAACGACGUUUAACAAAAUAAUCUACGUCGGUAAUUAUAAAUCUACCGCCAUCUUACCCUAAUAUAGACGACGAGAAAAGACGACGGUAGAACAGAAAACCGCCGUUGUUUCAGUUUCUUUAACAGUUUGGUCCUUUAUCUUUCUGCAGGACUUGUAUAGUUCAAAGCAUUGACAAUGUCUUCAUCAUAUCUCCCAGCAACUACUGAUUCGAUUGCUCAUGCUUUAGAGGCCAUCUGAAGCCAUUUCUAUUCUUUAUCGCAUUCUUGAAACCCAUCUUCUUCUUCUGAAGCUCUACGGAUAAAGGAANNNNNNNNNNNNNNNNNNNNNNNNNNNNNNNNNNNNNNNNNNNNNNNNNNNNNNNNNNNNNNNNNNNNNNNNNNNNNNNNNNNNNNNNNNNNNNNNNNNNNNNNNNNNNNNNNNNNNNNNNNNNNNNNNNNNNNNNNNNNNNNNNNNNNNNNNNNNNNNUUUUUUUUGGGGUUGGUUUUUUAUAGUAACCAGUUAUAACAGUAGUGGUUGUGCAAUGUUUGGUUCCCUUAAGCUUCGAUCCAACCGUGUAGCCAGCUUUAGGUCAAUGUCUCCCAAACCACUCGGGUUUUAGGGCACUAGGUGUAGAACACCCCUAAGGACUUAUUAACUCAAGCUGAAAAGGCUACGAAACCAACUAACCACCCUGCCUCAUGCCAAAACUCUACCUUUUGUCUCGAAAAUCACUGCUGAUUAGGCAGGACUGGCCCGGUUACUAGCAAAGCUUCGGGUGAGGCAAUUAUUACUUUAUAACACAUACUAACUUUAUUUAAAUUGAACAGAAAUUAAAACACACUUGGACAAAAAGUAAGUAUUCCAAUCUCACUCCCCAAAAACCAUAUUGGUGUGAUGUGCAAAUUUCAAAGUAUAAUUCAUGAAUUAGUGUCUAAGCAACAAUAAAUAGAAAAGACUCUACUGUGGGAUUGAUUUUCACUAUGUCCAUUUAUUCUAACGUUUAAAAUAAUCUAUGGAUAUUGACUGAAAAACGAAAAUUUUAAACAAGACUUAAAAAAAACUAAAAAUCUAAAAUUUACUUUCCCACCCCCUAACUUAAAUCACACAUUGUCCUCAAGGUGUGGUAAAUAAUCAAAAGAAACAAGAGCAGAAACAAAACGACUAAAUCCUAGAAAAUGAAAAUCAAAAAUAAAGAAAAUACUCUAAGAAAAGAAACUAGGAAGGAAAAAUAGAAGAAUAAUAAAAUAAAAUAAAAUAAGAAAGAAAAGGAGAAAAACAACAAUAGAAAAGAAAUAGGAAAGAAAAUACCCAAAAAUGAGACACCUUGGGGAUUCAAAGGCAGGACCAGGCGGAGUGUUGCGAAAAAGCGCUGACCAACUCAACCACGUCCACACUGGCAUCAAAUAGGAGCGACAGCUACAAUAUAACCUGCUGUAGCUGCUGCAUCUGUCAUUUGAAAAAUAUUGGAUUCCCUUCUCCUACCCCGAGCUCAGAGCCGAAAGGCUCUCUUCUGUCCAUUCCCAUUUUGCAGAAGAAAAAAGAAUAUUGCUGGAUAAACCAAAGCCUCCGCUGUGUCCAGAGAAUCAGAAAAGGUCUCUGAUUUCUCUCUUCUCAAGGCCAUCCAUCUCCGCCUUCACUCUUCUUCAUUCUCUCCAACACUCACGAUCCUUUCCUCUCUUUCAACCCAAUUACACCAGCGUUUUCAUCUGCGUGAGGAGGCCACAUUUGCAGCAAACACAACCAGUGAGGUUGAAUUAUCUGAUGCACCUGAAUUUUUGGAUGGUUUUGGAGUCCCUAGAUUCCUCAAAUUCAGAUCUGUCUCCAUCCAUGUCACCAGAUGCUAACUUGUUCCAAGAUGAAAACAAGCUGAAGCCGAACAAGAGUCUAUUCUCCACCAGUAAGGACCCCAGAUCUGUGCAUCCCGUAGGUAAACUUUCGAACCCCAGAACUGGUUUUUUUUUUUUUUUUUUUCCGUUUUUUUUUUGUUUUGAAAAUAAAAGAAGUAAAGAGUUUAGAAAAAUUGGGUUGCCUCCCAAUAAGCGCGCUAUUUUAAGUCUGUAGCUAGACUUUGCAGAAGCCUGGUGGUCAAAUCACUGGUUCCUUCAGAGUCAAAGACUCGGCUGCAAUGUCAAAGGGUGUCUCCACGUAGGGUUUUAGCCUAUGACCAUUCACCUUGAACGUGUUGCCUUUAUCUUCAUUAGUGAUUUGAACUGCUCCAUGAGGAAAAACUUGAGUCACUAGGUAGGGUCCAGUCCAGCGAGAUUUUAAUUUCCCUGGAAACAACUUGAGCCUUGAACUAAAUAACAGAACCUUUUGCCCUGGCUGAAAUUCCUUCCGUAAAAUUUGACUGUCAUGAAAUGCCUUAGUUCUUUCCUUGUAGAUGCGAGAACUAUCAUAAGCACCUUGACGAAUUUCCUCUAGCUCAUUUAACUGCAAUUUCCGCUUUUCCCCAGCUGAGUCAUAUGCAAAAUUUAACUCUUUAAUGGCCCAGUAAGCUUUAUGCUCCAGCUCCAUAGGUAGAUGACAGGCUUUCCCAUAAACAAGUCGGAAUGGUGACAUCCCAAUAGGAGUUUUAUAAGCUGUCCUGUAUGCCCACAAAGCAUCAUUUAGUUUGAAACUCCAAUCCUUGCGUGUAGAGCUCACUGUUUUCUCCAAAAUACGCUUUAUUUCUCUGUUUGAAACUUCAACUUGACCAGAUGUCUGUGGGUGGUAUGGUGUAGCCACGCGAUGAUUAAUCCCGUAUUUUGCCAGUAGGUUAGCAAAUGGUUUAUUAAUAAAAUGCUUCCCCCCAUCACUAAGAAUAACACGCGGUAUUCCAAAACGUGGAAAUAUAACCCCCUGGAGGAACUUCAGGACCACUGAUCCUUGAUUAGUUGGUGCUGCAAUGGCCUCGACCCAUUUUGAAACAUAUUCCACAGCCACUAAAAUAUAUUGGUGCCCAUUAGAAGAUGGGAAUGGCCCCAUGAAAUCAAUACCCCAAACAUCAAAUAGUUCAACAAUUAGGAUACUUUGUUGGGGCAUUUCAUUCCUUCUGGAUUGAUUGCCGACCCUUUGACACCGAUCACAUGCCUUGCACCAAUUCUGUGAAUCUCUAAAAAGUGUUGGCCAAAAUAACCCACUCUGUAGGAUUUUCUCUGCUGUCCUUUUCUGCGCAAAAUGUCCUCCUCAAGCAUAGUGAUGAGCAAACUUUAAAACACUUUCUUGUUCAGCCUCCGGAAUACACCUGCGAAUAAUCUGGUCUGCACAAUACUUGUAUAAGUACGGUUCAUCCCAGAAAUAGUGCUUUACAUCAGAUAAAAACUUCUUUUUCUGCUGGUAGGAAAAAUCUGGAUGCACCACACCCUUAGCCAAAUAAUUGACAAUAUCUGCAAACCAAGGUGUGUCAAUUUUGACAGCAAAUAGCUGUUCAUCUGGGAAACUUUCACUCAAUGGUAGAGAAUCUGCCUCUGUAGCUGCUGGAAUAAUUAAUCUAGAUAAAUGAUCAGCCACAACAUUCUCACUGCCCUUCUUGUCUUUAAUCUCUAAGUCAAAUUCUUGAAGUAAGAGAACCCAACGAAUCAAUCUAGGCUUUGCAUCCUUCUUAGACAACAAGUAUUUUAGUGCAGCAUGAUCUGUAUAGACAAUUAUUUUAGCCCCAACCAAAUAAGACCGAAAUUUCUCUAGUGCGAACACAACUGCCAACAAUUCCUUCUCUGUAGUUGCAUAGUUAAGCUGUGCAUCAUUUAGAGUACGACUUGCAUAAUAGAUGACAUGGGGAAGCUUAUCUUUUCGCUGCCCUAAAACUGCCCCGACAGCAUAAUCUGACGCAUCACACAUUAGUUCAAAUGGUAAAUCCCAAUUUGGUGCAGCAAUGAUGGGUGCCGAAGUUAGGAGUGCUUUCAACUUGUUGAAUGCUUCUAAACAGGCCUUAUCAAAAUUAAAUGGUGCAUCCUUAGCCAAUAAAGUGCACAAAGGUCGACUAAUCUUGGAGAAAUCCUUGAUGAACCGACGAUAAAAACCUGCGUGUCCUAAGAAGGACCUCACACCUUUUACUGAUGUAGGAGGUGGCAGCUUUGCAAUAACUUCAAUCUUUGCCUUGUCAACCUCGAUGCCUUUGCUAGAAAUUGAAUGACCCAAGACAAUUCCCUGUUCAACCAUGAAAUGCCACUUUUCCCAGUUUAGCACUAAAUUUGUCGCUUGACAUCUCUGAAGAACUAAUGAUAAAUUCUGUAAGCAUUGAUCAUAUGAAUCCCCAAAAACAGAAAAAUCAUCCAUAAAAACUUCCACAAUAUUUUCGACCAAGCCAGAAAAAAUACUCAUCAUACAACGUUGAAACGUAGCAGGUGCAUCGCAUAAUCCGAAUGGCAUCCUCCGAUAAGCGUAAGUACCAAAUGGACAAGUGAAAGUAGUCUUCUCUUGAUCCUCUGGUGCUAUUGGAAUCUGAUUAUACCCAGAAUACCCAUCAAGAAAACAGUAAAAAGCCCGCCCAACCAACCUUUCUAACAUCUGGUCAAUAAAAGGCAAUGGAAAAUGGUCUUUUCUCGUCCCUGUGUUAAGCUUCCGAUAAUCUACACACAUUCUCCAACCCGUAGUCAAUCGUGUAGGAACUAACUCAUUAUUAUCAUUUUUCACCACUGUAAUACCGGUCCGUUUAGGCACAACUUGAGUCGGGCUAACCCAUUUACUGUCAGAAAUAGGAUAAAUCAUACCUGCAUCAAGUAAUUUCAUAACCUCUGUUCUAACCACCUCUUUCAUAAUUGGGUUAAGGCGGCGUUGAGCAUCAACUGUUAGCUUUACGUCGUCUUCCAUUAAUAUUCUGUGCAUACAUAGUGCUGGGCUGAUUCCCUUGAUAUCCGCAAUUGUCCAUCCCAAUGCAUCUUGAUAUUUUCUCAAUACACGAAGCAAUUUAUCCUCCUCUGUCGGUGUUAAAUCUGCUGCAAUUAUAACUGGCAACGUCUCUGCAGCUCCUAAAUAUGCAUAUUUAAGAUGUUGUGGUAAAGGCUUCAGCUCCAAUUUUGGCGGCUGCUGUCUGGAUGGUUUAAGGGGCUGUUUGGGCUCCCCUAAACUCUCAUACACAUUCCUAAAUUUUGGCAACACUGUGGGCAGACUGUUCAAUGCGUGUAUGUACUCAUGAACACCUUCAUCUUCAAAAUCUGUCUCAAAUGCCCCCUGUAAAACAUGCAACAACUGAUCUGUUUUUGAAUUAGCAUAAAAUCUGUCCUGCACCAUACUGUCUACCAUGUCAAUACGCAUACAAUCUAGCUGUUCAGCAGGACGUUUUGUUGCCGCAAACAAAUUAAACACCACAGAUUGGUCCUGAACCCGUAAAGUCAAUGUUCCAGCUUCCACAUCAAUUAAGGUCCUAGCUGUUGCCAUAAACGGCCUCCCCAAAAUAAUAGGUGUUUGAAGGUCUUCAUCCAUGUCUAAAACCACAAAAUCUGCCGGUAGAUAAAGAUUAUCAACCUUAAUAAUUAGAUCUUCAAUAACACCUCUUGGAUAAGUGAUUGAACGGUCAGCUAGUUGAAGUAUAAUUGAUAUAGGCUUUAAAUCUCCUUGCCCCAAUCGCUGAAAAACAGAAAAAGGCAUCAAAUUAAUACUUGCACCCAAAUCAAUUAAAGCACUCUUAAAAUUAGAAUUUCCAAUAGUGCAAGAAAUAUUAAAACUCCCUGGAUCUUUUUUCUUAGGUGGUAGUUUGUGUAGCAAAACUGCAUUGCACUGUUCUGUCAAAAUAACUUUUUCCAAAUCUGAAAGCUUCUUUUUGCUGCUGCAAACUUCCUUCAAAAAUUUGGCAUAUGAUGGAAUUUUCUUGAUUGCAUCCAGUAAGGGAAUGUUGAUUUGAACCUUGGAUAAUGUCUGCAUAAAGUCCUUGAGUUGCUGAUCUUUUACUUUUGGCUUCAAACGUUCUGGAUAUGGAAUUGGGGCCUCAUAAACACGCUCAGGUACUUGUUUUGGAACAGUUUCUAGAUCUGCCAUAUUAUGUUUUUCUACAGGUUUGGCAGGUUCUGCUGCUGCAAAAUUUUCUGUAUGAUCCUCCACUGCAUGCUGCUCCUUUUCAAUGUUAUUUUCACGAUUGUCAUAGCUUUUUCCACAUCGUAAAGUCCGAACAACUUUGCAAUCUUCACGUCCAUUUGGAUUAGGAAUUGUUUGACUAGGAAAUUUGCCCUUUUAUCUGUCUGAAAUCUGUGUAGCUAGUUGUCCAAAUUGUUGCUCCAAACUUUUAAUAGAUGCUUCAACAUUUUGAAAUCUUUGAUUGUUGCCCUCGAUGAAUGAUUGAGUUGUUGCUGCCAGUUUAGCAAGUUGAUCUUCCAUAGAUGGUUUGGAGGGAACAAAAGGUUUUUGUGCAUGCUGGAAUGGUUUGGCAUUAGUCUGAUUGUCACCCCAUUUGAAAUUAGGGUGAUCCCUCCAUCCAGGAUUGUAAUGAGUUGCAUAUGCAUCAUUCCUAGGCCUUUGAUAGCUGUUCAUCAUAUUGACAUGUUGUUCAACAAGCUCUGGGUAAGAGUCUCUAUGUGGGCAGCCCAUUAUGUCAUGUGUAGCCAUACUGCAUAUAGUGCAAACUGUUGAUGUAGGUGGCUGCUGUGUAGAACUUGCUAUAUGUUGUAGAAGCAUAUCAAACUUUGCAUCAAUUUUCUUAUCCAUUUUUUCCAUUUGUGCAGACAUGUUGGGAGAACCUACUGAUAACUCAAAAAUGCCCCUUUUCUGUGAAUGUUCUGCUGCCCAUUGCUGAGAUUCUGUAGCCAUCAUAUCAAACAGUUCAAAUGCCUCUCUUGCAGAUUUAUUUGAUAAUGAUCCUCCAGCUGAUGCAUUCACAUGGCUCUUAGAUGUAGGAUUAAGCCCAUCAAAGAAAAUAUUCAUUUGUGUAUCUGAAUCAAUUUUAACAUGUGGACACUUUAUGUACAUCUUUGUAUAUCUCUCCCACGCUUCAUGAAACUCUUCAUUAGGCUUCUGUGUGAAUGUCAAAAUCUCCCUCUUGUAAUUCAAUGUCUUGGAUGCUGGAUAAUAUUUGUUCAGGAAUUUUGUGUGUAACUGCUGCCAAGUAGUAAUGCUAUUAGCUGGUAGAGUGAAUAACCAAGUUUCUGCCUUGUCCUUCAAAGUGAAAGGGAAAAGACGUAACUUAAUAGCCUCAGCAGAAAAACCCCUAAUCAAAAUAUUCUUGCAACCCACAAUAAAUUUUGCAAUAUGUAUGUUUGCAUCUUCAUUAGGCAAUCCCCGAAAAGUAGGUAGAAUUUCAAGCAUAUGGUGCCUGAUCUCGAACGAAUCACCCUCUUCUUGUUCAGGAUACACAAUGCAAUUGGGAACAUCAGUGGCACGGGCUUCCAAUGACUCCCUGAGUGGUCUACCUGCCGCAGGUAAUUCUAACGCCAUGUUACUCUCGUUUGCAAACAGAUCCUGCAGAAAAGUGCCCUGCAGUGAACAGUCCCAAGCCCAAGUAACUUCUCUCCGCUGUCUAUGCAGUGUGCGCUCUGGUUCUGGAUCAAAUUGUACAAUCUGUGUAGUUCCUGAUCUGGUCUGGACCAUGCAGUCUGCAAAAUCUGCAACAGAAACAAAAUUGUUCAAUUUCAAUUUUUUUUUUUGGACGAAAAUUAAAAAUAAAAUAAAAUGAAAUAAAUCAGAAAAAGGUUAAACAAAAAUUGUCUAAAAUAGUCCCCAGCAACGGCGCCAAUUUCUUGAUAGGAUUUUUAGUACUUGUGCAAACAGUGUUAAAAAUCACAUAAAAUACUUGCAAGAAUACAAGGCUAUUGUAGUAUAGAUGCUCAUGCAAGGUCGUUUUCCUCAAGGACUAAUUAGCAAUUUAUGUAAAAACAAAUUUCAAUUACUACUUAAAAUAAAAAGUCAAGAAAGAUGAUUAUAAAUUUGGUGGAUUCUAAAAAACAAAUAUUAAACAAAAACAAAUACGAUUGAAAGAAAGAGUUUUGAAUAUCAAUUUAUAAAACCACUAGGGUUUCACCAUCACCUAGCAAUCCUAUGAACUUUUACCAAUUACUUAUGAUUUGCACAUGCCACUUUGAAGGUUAGGUUUUCCUAUUGUAUAUUCUACUUGGAACCUCCAACACAGAACGUAUAUCCAACAUGCAACCCGUCCGGACGUUCGGAUCAAAUCUGAACAUGAAAGACUCAUUAAGUUUUGUGAAAACCCUUUGAAAAACCAUGCAACCCUUAAGACGUGGUGUUCAUCUUAAGUGAAAUUACAAUUAUUAAUCACAAGAAGCUAGCAUAAAUUUCAGGGAACCUUCCGACCAAAAUUGCAUCCAAUUACUUUUCUAAAGAUCCUAAUGGUGAUCAGGCAUUAAGACAAUUAGAUAGUUUAAAAUAGUGAUUAACAAUUCAAAAUACGCAUGCACUCAUCAUAAGCAAUUAAAUAAAAAUCACAUAUUCAUGCUAAGGUUCAAGGCUUCACCCUAGCAAAAGAAAUUUAGUUACGCAUACUCAUAAUUGAAAUCCAAGAAAAUAUCAUUAAGAAGAAAAGAACGAAAACACCUGAAAGUUGUGAAAACCCAAAACCCUAGCAAUUGCUCUCUACAAUGCAAAGUUCAAAAAUAAUUAAGAAGUCCUAAAUUCCUUGUGAGAAAGAGCUUAAAUAUCCCUUAAAACCUAGCUGCCAAUGUACAGCUUUUCUAUCCCUACAAGGAAACUAAUUAAAGUAAAAUAAUACUAGGAAAUAAAGUCCAAAUUGGAAUAGGAGAAUUUGCCCAAAAUCAGCCCAGCCACGUUUUGGCCCCAAAUCUCCUCCAAAUCUGGCCCAAGAUAGCUUUUUUUAAAGACACUACUACAAAAAGUGAAAAAGACGACCAGAAAACAACGACGGUCUAAGUGAAAACCGUCGUGGUUUUUAAAAAGACGACGGUUCUAAAAACACCGUCGUGUAAUACCACCUUAGACAACUAAAAAAUGGAGAUUCAAAUGGCUGUUCAAAAACAACGACGUACCUAAUUAAACAACCGACGUCUAUUUGAAACAGAUUUCCGCAGUGUAAAAUCAAAGCAAACAAAGAACGGCAGAAGUUAUGAAUAGACCGACGUAGAAAGUAAAGACGACGAUUUCAAUAAAAGCCGCCGUUUUUACUCAUAAAAUAACACGACGAGGUUUUCGUAUAAGACGCCGUAUAAUUACAAACAAAUCCACGGCUUUAAAAUACAAAAAUAAUCUUAACAGAUGACACAGAUUUGCAAUCAGAAGAGACAAUUUUUGAAGUUGAUCAACGUCGUUGAAAAUUGCAAUCAGAAGAGACAUUUUCAACGACGGNNNNNNNNNNNNNNNNNNNNNNNNNNNNNNNNNNNNNNNNNNNNNNNNNNNNNNNNNNNNNNNNNNNNNNNNNNNNNNNNNNNNNNNNNNNNNNNNNNNNGGAAGUUGAUCAACGUCGUUGAAAAUUUGCAAUCAGAGAGACAAUUUUCAACGACGGUUAUAUUAUACCUAACGACGUUUAAAAACAAAUCAACGUCGCUCAACAAAUAUAUUACGUCGUCUUAGUCUUACUUAAGACGACGAAAAACGACGACAGUAGUAAAAAAACAGUCGUUGUUUUUAUAUUCUUAUUUUAUUUAAAUCUGUCGUGUUAGUUAAAAACGACGGCAUAACAAAAAACCGUCGUUUUGUUUCAAACUGAAUUAAUUUAAAAUUUCUUCAGGAAAGCAAAAUCUAUUUAUAAUUUCCUCGGGUUAGUAAUAUUGUGUCGUGUUAGUUUACAAAUUCUAGAACAUUAAUUUCCCUCAUUUUAAAUUUUCUCGGGAAAGAAAAAUCUAUUUAUCACGCUUUGUAAUUGAAAACUAAAACUGAAAGAAUUCUGGAAAAAAAACUCUAUUUAUAAUUUAAAAAUAAAAUGCACGUCGGUUGUAGUACACUUAACGACGUUUAACAAAAUAAUCUACGUCGGUAAUUAUAAAUCUACCGCCAUCUUACCCUAAUAUAGACGACGAGAAAAGACGACGGUAGAACAGAAAACCGCCGUUGUUUCAGUUUCUUUAACAGUUUGGUCCUUUAUCUUUCUGCAGGACUUGUAUAGUUCAAAGCAUUGACAAUGUCUUCAUCAUAUCUCCCAGCAACUACUGAUUCGAUUGCUCAUGCUUUAGAGGCCAUCUGAAGCCAUUUCUAUUCUUUAUCGCAUUCUUGAAACCCAUCUUCUUCUUCUGAAGCUCUACGGAUAAAGGAAGAGGCUAUCACAAAUCUGACGGAUCUUCUUAGUCAAAAAAAUCAAGCAGAGGAUCAGGCACAUCUGAUCUUCAGAUUUCCCUGAGAAGCGAACUUUCCUUCGACAGCGAGUGGAGGCCAGGCUUGCAUCUCUUUUGAUGGAAAGCAAGGAGUAUUCAGAAGCACUAAGUGUCCUAUCAGGCUUGAUCAAGGAAGUGAGAAGGCUAGUUGACAAGCUUCUUCUUGUCAACUAGCCUAAAUGUAAGCUCAAUUUCUCUUUGAGAAAGACCUCCAAAUUAUUGUCUUUGAGAUGUGAGAGACAGUGUCUCUGAGAGAGGAAGAACUUGGAACCCUAAAUGUAAACCGCGAAAAUGAAUGAAAGCGACAAAUUUAUAGAAUAAAUUUUUAAAACCAACGGCGGUACUUACCAAGAAACCGCCGUUUCAAUUGUAAAAUCAACGUCGGUAUUACUGACGUAUAUUACAGAACUCCACGUCGGUACAUUAAUAAUCACGACGUCUUAAAUAAUCUACCAUGACGCGAGUUAUUACUUAUGUACUUUAAUUUUUGAGUUUACUACGACGGUACCUACAACACUACUGUCGUAUUUAUUUACCACGUCCGAAGUUAAAUUUACCGACGUAUUUUGUACUUUAUACGUCGUAGUUAUAUGUAACCGCCGUAUUAUUUUUUUGAAAUGGUUUUAUAUGUAAGCAACUUUUCGUCUACUUGACUUACACAUUAGUUGUUUUUAUAUUCUUAUUUUAUUUAAAUCUGUCAUCCAAAAAAGAAACUUUACAUAUUGCAGAAUAUUAAUUUCCUUCGUUUUAAAUUUCCUCCGGAAAAAAAACUCUAUUUAUAACGCACUGUAAUUGAAAAAUAAACUGAAAGGUCACGGGAAAAAAAAUUCUAUUCAUAAUUUAAAAAUUAAAAUCCACGUCGGUUAUAUUAAACCUAACGACGUUAAAUGAAAUGAUUCCACGUCGAACGAAAAAUAUUUCGUCGUGUUAGUUAAAAACGACGUAGUUAAAUGUAACCGCCGUAUUAUUUUUUUGAAAUGGUUUUAUAUGUAAGCAACUUUUGGACUUACACAUGCACUGUUUCCAAACCCGAUUAAAAAUUUCAAUCUCCAGAGAAACCUUUUCGUCUUUUUUCCUUGUCAGAGCAUUAUCAGAGUUUCUCAUCGUCUUCCUCUCGUCUUCUUCGUCGUCCUUGAACUUAAACAUCGAUCAUCUUCCUCUUGCUUUCAUUGCACGCAAAAGGUAAGCUUUCAUUUUCACUAUUUUGGUUACUGUUUUGCAUGCUCAUACGUUUUUUGUUUGAAAAAUCUUUUUACCUUUUUUCUGGCCAAAAUCAUUUUACUUCUUUCCAAGUUUGAUAAAAUAUACAGACAAAAAGGGAAAGUUUCCAACUUUGAAGACAACUACCUCAACUAAAUGAGACGACGGUAGACCACGACGGUUCGUCAGUUGUUCUAGCGUCGUCUGAAAAUUGACAAAGUUGUUUUUAAAAUAAUAGUCUUUUUUUAUAUGCUUGUUUAAUUGCAGGUUUGAUUUCUCUGAACAAUGGUUUUUGUUUUUCCCUUAUUUGAUAAAAUAUAAAGAAAAAGAAACUAGGGUUGGUAUCUAAUAUAGACGACAAAAUAUCUUAUUGUUUUACGUCGUGUGAAUGUUAAUACCACGACGGUGUAUUACUAUUAACGUCGUAUGAACAUAAAUACCACGACGUUAUAUAAAUAAUAGUUUACCACGACGGUGUAUUACUAUUGACGUCGUGUGAACAUAUAUACCACGACGUUAUAUAAAUAAUGGUUUUAAACAUUUAUUACGUCUGAGAUUAUUUCAUUGCGUCGUCUAAAAUCAUAUCAUACGUCGUAUUUUUUUAAUACCGUCGUUUGUGUUCUUAAUGUUUUCCUGAAAUAUUUUCACUUGCAGUUUUGUCUGUUAAAAUGGUUUCUCAACAACAAACUAAGGAUUCUGGCUCCAAGAAGCUUGGAAUGGUAGCUCCUCAAGACAAGUCUUCGAAGGAGAUGAAGUCUUCGAAGAAGAUGAAGUUUGCUUCAUCAUCUGCUGAGACAGAACCAACCAGCCAGACAACAAUCUCUGAUGAUUCAAAGACUGGUCGAGGCAUGAGCACAAUGCCUCGUGUUGUGAAGAGAAAGCUUCAGAAACUGAGGCCAAUUGUUGAGUACAAUAAAAGGGGGAAAGGUGUUGGCCAAGCACAUAUUGAGAUGCAGUCGUAUAUUGGUGUGUUGGCACGCUCCAGGAUCCCACUUGUGGACAAGAAAUGGUCCCAAAUCCCCAAGGAUAUAAAGGAGCAGAUUUGGGAAGCAGUUGACAUGGCUUUUGUCGUAGGCCAAGGGGGCAAGACCUCUGUUUUAGCUUCUGCUUCCAAGAAAUGGAAGGAUUUCAAGUCUACACUAACGAGGCAUUAUAUCCUUCCAUACACCAAUGACAGGGAGAAAUUAAGCCAACCCCCUGAAACAUAUAAAUUCAUAGAGAAAGCACAAUGGGAUGCCUUUGUAGCUUCAAGGCUAUCCAAAGAUUUUGAGUCUGUGCAUUCUCAACAUGCACAGAUUAGGGAGAAACUCGAGUACAAUCAUCGAUUGUCUCGAAAAGGAUAUGCUGGAUUGGAGGAUCAAUUGGAGGAAACCAUGCCUGGGGUAGAAAUUGAUCGAUCUACCUUAUGGAAGAGAGCUAGACAGGACAAACAUGGUAACAUCCCUGAUCCAAAGGUGGCAGAGAAAGCAAAAUUAAUUGUAAGCCUACUAUCACUCUGUUUUAAAUUUUUAUUAAACUGUGAAUUAUUCUUAUUACGUCGUAUGUUAUAUUUUUCGUCGUGUGAAUGAUAUUACCACGUCGAAAAGUUUUUAAAAACGUCGUUAAAGGUCUAAAUAGGAAUCACUACUAAUUUUCUGUAAUUAUAGCAUAAGACGUCGGUGGUUCAUUUUCGCGUCGUUUGAAUGAUAUUACCACGUCGAAACUUUUUUAAAAACGUCAUUAACGGUCUAAAUAGGAAUCACUACUCUGUUUUCUUUAAUUAUAGCAUAAGACGUCGGUUGUUUAUUCAUUUCGUCGUUUUAAAUAAAUAACCACGUCGGUAUAACUACCGUCGUGAUAAGUUAUAAUAACGUCGGUUUAUACGUUAUUGCGUCGUGUGAAAUUAUAUAAUACGUCGUUUGUACAUAAAUAACCGUCGUGUGUUUUUUUGUUUAUCUUUGUUUUAGGAUGAAUUGCAGAAACAAGUCUCGGAAGGCAAAGUCAGAGUAGAUGGCAGCAAUGAUGUGCUGACCAUGGCUUUGGGCCCCGAGCAUCCAGGCAGAGUGAGGGGAGUUGGUGCUGGUGUUUCCCCAAGGCAAUAUUUCAAUUUGCCCAAACCACAGAGGGUGAGCUUUGACGACCAUUUGAAGGACAGUUUAAGAGUUCUCCUUCAAGAAGAGACUAAAAAGAUGGAGGCUAAGGCAAGGGAAGAGGCCUUAAGAAUGGAGGCUAGGACAAAACAAUUGGUAGAGGCUGAGAGGGAGCAUUUCCUGAGUCAGCUUUCCCAAUUAAUUCCCAAUUUUGAUCCAAGCAUGCUUAAACCAAGAAUUAGCCAAAGCCCCAAAAAUCCAAUGUCUGACAAAGCUAGCUGCUCUGGAGGUGAUGUGAGAUCCCUACAUUUGGAGGAUGAUACUGCCAAAAUGGGGAAACAUCAGCCAGAUGAAGAGAAGGAAGAAGAAAAAAGAGAUGAAGAGAAGGAAGAAGAAAAGGAGAAAGAAGAUGAAGAAAAGCAUGACGACAAGGUAUGUUCACAUAACUUUGCCUUUUUUAUUUGUUUUUCAAAAUUUCAGACGUCGAUAUUUUUAUUUAAUCCGUCGUUUGUUUAAAACUUAGACGGCGGACUUUUUUUAAGACGUAAUAAAAUAUUUAAACGACGGUUUUUGCACCGUCGUUUAAAUGGUUUCAGACGACGCUUUAUUCAUAAAAUCGUCGUCUUUAUUGAAUUACCACGACAGUUUUUUCACCGUCGUUUAAAUACUUUUAAGACGACGUUUUAUUCCUUAAACCGUCGUCUUUGUUGAAUUACCACGUCAUUUUUUUUAUUUCUUUAAACAGGUUAUUGAAGUUGGUGCUUAUUCAAAUAUGGAGGCGCCAUCUUCUUUAAAAACCCUUUGUCGUUUUGUGGAAACGACACUCCUGCCUGAGGAUAAGACACUCCAAUUUACAAUUGAUAAGGAGGUGUUUGGUGGUGAGCGCGAUACCUUCCUCCUGCCUGAAGAUAUUACACAAUUUGCAGGCAUGGAAGAAAUUGGAGCUACUGUAUUGGCUGUAUAUAUGAGGUUUGUACUUCUAAAAUAAUACCUCGUUGGUUUAUAUAUUGCGUCGUCUUAACUAACUAACCACGUCGUCUUAACUAACUACCGUCGUGAUAAAUAUAUUAUAACGUCCUCAUCUAUUUCAGUACGUCGUGUGAAAUAUUAUAAUACGUCGUUUUUUUAUACAUAACCGUCGUGUUUGUUUGUGCUGACUUGUUUAUAUUAUUUUAUGUAUUUAGGUACUUACACGAUGUUUUGAAACAAGCCAAUAUGUGCAGCAUGGUUGGCUUUAUCGACCCUGCUACAGUUAGUGCCAACUCUGGCACAAUAACUGAAAGAUCACGACUGGUAGCAGCUCGACUUCAGAAGACAGACGGUGAACAGAUUUUCAUGAUGCCUUACAAUCCAGGGUUAGUCUCCUUAGGAUUUUGUUUUUAUGAUUUUCAAUAAAUGACAGCUUAUAAACUAACCACGUCGGUGUUUUAUUUUAUUUAGUCGUUUGAAACUACUAACCACGUCGGUAUUUAUUUAUCGUCGUGAUAAAUAUAUAAUGUCGUCGUUAUCUACUUUAUUUCGUCGUGUGAAAUACUAUAAUACGUCGUUUUUGUAAAUAACCGUCGUUUUUAUAUUCAUUUUGUGCAGCCGUCAUUGGAUCUUGCUGAUUGUAAGAGCAAAGAAGGAGACCGUCUAUUUUCUGGAUCCUCUGCCAGGUCAUCGUGUGGUCGACGAAGAGGCGAAAAACAUCGUGAACAGUGCUUUAAAAAUAUAUAAUACCCACAUAGCCCGAGCACGACGUAAAAAUGUAAUUUGGAAAACUCUCUCAGGCACACCAAAGCAACCCAGCAAUGUCGAAUGCGGGUACUAUGUGAUGCGCUUCAUGAGGGACAUCAUCAUGGAUCCUUCCUUGGGGUUUGAGAAUAAGGUAAGAAGAAAUUACCUUCAUACAUUUCACGUCGUUUUUUGUAUUAUCAACGACGGUCAUGUAAAAUUAACGUCGUUGAAUGGAUAUACUACGUCGGUUAUGAAAAAUAUCGUCGUCUGUGAUUGAAUUUCUUUUUAUUUAUAAACCCUAAUAGUCAUUGUUUAUGCAGUAUGCCAAGGGAAACCAGGAAGCUUCAUACCCCCAAGAAGCCAUUGAUGAAGUCCGGAAUGAAUGGGCAGAGUUUGUUUUCCAAAUUAUUAAACAGGGCAAUUAUUGAACACUUGAUAUUUAUGUAUAAUGUACAAAUUUUCUCUAUAAUAUGUAAUGUAAAAAUUUGUUGAGGUUUUCUUAAAUUAAAAAAAAAACAAACAUACAAAUUGCUUAACCGACGUGUAAUACUUUUCCAACGACCUAAUAAAGUCAAAAACCGUCGUAUUUUGUUGUUUCGUGUUUUAAACAAAUACGACGUAAAAAUAUAGUUAGACGACGUUCUUUGAACAAUUGAGUCGUUUAUGGUUUACAACAUCUUCAAUUUCUUAAGGGUUCAGGGUAUCAUCGACGACGUUUAUGUAACGACAGCGGUUAAGUCGUGGAAUAUAUAUUUUACGUCGUAUAGUUAAAUAGCCGCCAUGGUUUCUCAUUUUAACGACGUCAUUUUAACGACUUAGUAGUCUAUUACAAUUUACAACGUCUACAAUUUAUUAACACCGACGUGGUUUGUUGUUGUGGUAAGAAUAUUUUAUUAUUUUUAUAUCAAAAUAUUCAAAAUAAAUUUAAAAUAAAUCAGAAAAUUGAAAAGUCAUCUCCUAUGAAGUCAUUGAUAUAUUUUCUUCCACAUAAACCUUGAAAAAAUUCAUUUUGAAUAACAAAAAUUUAAAAUGACCAUCCAAAACAAAAUUGUUUUGAUGAGUCAUAAAAUCACUUCUAGUUUUAUGGUUUAGGGUUUAGAGUCUAGGGUUUAGAGAUUAGGGUUGUUAUUUGUUGGGGUUUAUUUUUAAAGUAUAAUUUUUGGGUAGUCUAGGGUAUAUGUUAGGCUUUAAAACCAUAAAACCUUUUAUAAACUUAAUUUUUUAAAUUGUAUAAUUUAGUUUUAUGGGUUUAGGGUAUUAAUUUUUAACGACGGUGGUUGCGUCGUGGAAUACAUAUUUUACGUCGUACAGAAAAACAUACGACAUGGUUUACGCUUUAAACGACGUCAUUUUAAUAUGUAAGUCGGUUUAUAUAAUUUACAACGUCUUUAAUUUCUUAACACCGACGUGGUUUUUCAGUCGUCGUUAUAUAAAAAAUUCAAAAUAAAUUUAAAAUUAAUCCGAAAAAUGAAGCUUCAAAAUGAACGGCCUUACGUUCUUAAUCCGAAAAAUGAAGUUUCCGUCGUGGAAUAUUAAAUUUACGUCGGUACUUGUAGAACUUUCGCCUUGGUUUUUCUUUCGACGUUUUAAAACGCGCGAGCUCUAAAAAUUUUCGCGUGACCUAAAUUUUUUUAGAUUUGGCUCUUAUUCUUAUACUUCGAACCCUGAAACCUAAAAUUUUCAGAUUUCGCUCUCUCACUUCUGCUCUAAUUAAAAGUUGCACUCUCCAGGCUUCGUCGAAUCUGUGAGCUCGUCCAACCUGUAAGUACAAACCCUAUCUUCCCCUUGUAAAUUCAUUGAAUGAUAUUAGGUUGUUUUGUUAAAGGGUUUUAUGUGUAUGCUUUGCGAUCUGUUAAUAAUGUGCUUAUAGGUAUGGGUUCAUAGAUUUUCUGUUUAAUGGGUUCAUGGAUUACAUUAUCUGUUAUGUUGAAUUGGGAAUGGAUUUAAUUUUGUCGUAUCUUUUAAUCACCCUAUGUUAUGUUGAAUUGGGAAUGGAUUUAUUGUUUUCAUGCUUGGUUUCAUGUAUAUGUUGGUUUCUUGCUUGGUUUCAUAUAUAUGUUGUGUUCUUAAUGGGUUUUGUGUUCUUGAAAAUAAACUGAGACACGACAAAUUUUAAGGCAUACGACGACGAUUACACGACGGUUUUUUUAAACUACCGUCGUUGUAUUACUUAUACAAGACGGUUUUUUCAUAAACCGUCGUUUGUAUUACUUAUAAUAGACGACGUCUGUUGAAAAUCCGUCGUCUAUAUAUGCCAAAUACGUCUGUUUUUGUUUAAAACCCGUCAUCUCUGUUGUGUAUUACUUGCGAUUAGAUCAUUGUAUAAUCUGCUAUAGUGAUGGUCAUUGCCUGUAUUUUCACUUUAUUAUAGAUAAUAGGUUAUAGUGUCGGAGAUGGAUAAGUCAUGGAUGCACUCGGAUAGAAGAUCGAAGGCAUAUGAAUUUGGGGUGGAAGCAUUUUUGAACUUUGCUUGAGAAGUACUUUCCCCCUUCAUUCUUUGAUAUCAUGGUUCAUCUAGUAGUACAUCUUGUCAGAGAAGUUCGUCUAUGUGGGCCAGUAUAUUUUAGGUGGAUGUAUCCGUUUGAAAGAUAUAUGAAAGUGCUGAAGGGGUAUGUUCAGAAUCGUACUCGUCCCGAAGGUUGCAUUGCUGAGCGGUAUAUAGCUUAAGAAGCGGUAGAGUUUUGUACUCAGCAUUUAUCUGAUGUUAGUACAGUUGGAGUGCCUUCAAGCCAAAAGAUGGGACUUUCAAAGCCAUUAUCAGGUUGCACAGUGAGCGUAGUUGAUCAGGACCUGUUGAAUCAAGCACAUCUAUAUGUCUUGGAGAAUACGGAGGAAGUCCUACCUUAUAUCGAGUACGUAUGAGCUUUAUUCUUUAAGUUUCCAUUUUAAAUUAUUUCUUAUGUUUAUCUUCUAUAUUUGGGACCGUAAUGCUUGAAUUUUUCGUGUCAUGUAGGCAACAUAUGAUCCACAUCAAGAUUGCUUAUCCAAAAUUUAGAAAGAGAACAAAGUGGCUGCAGGAUAAGCACAAUAGCACUUUCAUUCAAUGGCUACGCUUCAAGGUAUAUGUUGUUGAAUAACAUAUUUCUCUUUUAAUUUUCUUCUUAUUUAUAUGUUAGAUUGAAUUAAGAUAUGAUUAAUUUGCAGGUUCAAAGUGAACUUGAGGAAGACAAUCAUGGCGUAUCAGAAAAUUUAAGGUGGCUAGCAGCUGGUCCAAACAUGUCAGUGCCAUUAUAUAGGAGCUAUCUUAUUAAAGGUAUUAAAUUCAAUAUCAAGGCACAAGAUGAUGUGCGGACAACUCAAAAUAGUGGAGUUUAUUUACUUGCACAUACCAUGCAAGUUGCUAGUGCCAAGGAUAAAAACCCAAUUCUCUCAAACAUGGGUUUCUAUGGUGUCAUUCAAGAAAUUUGGGACCUUGACUACCAAAAGUUUACAAUCCCAGUCUUUAGGUGUGAUUGGAUAGAUAGUUCUGGUCUUGUAGUCGACGAACUUGGAUUUACCCUUGUAGAUUUGAGUAAAAUUGGACAUAGGAAUGACCAAUUUGUUUUGGCUUCUCAAGUCAAACAAAUAUUUUUUGUUGACGACCCGAUGCAUCGUGGUUGGUCGGUAGUGUUAUCAAUGCCUAAUAGAGAAUAUAAUGAUGUUAUUGGUGAUGAAGUCUUAGGUGAUGUGAUAAUUGAGUGUGAGCCAUUUACUAGAGGGAUGCCAAAUGUUGACACAUUUGAUGAACUGGUGGGUGAGUUAGGCGGUCAAAAUAUUCGAGAUGGGUGUGAAGAUAUAUGGAUUGAAUGAUGCUUAUGUAAUUGGCAGUGUAUGACAUUAAUUUUGUAAUAUAUUGUAAUGUGAUUUCUUCACUUUCUACGUUCAAAUAAAACACGACGUUAUUGUGAACCAGUUAUUCAGCAUAUUUACCGACGUCUUAAAGCAACGUAACAAUGAAGAACCACGACGCUAUUGUGAAGCAAUUAUUCAGGAUAUCACGUCGGGGAAGGAUUAAGAACCGCCAUGUAAUUCAAAAUAACACGACUCCAAUCCCAUAAUACCGACGUCUAAAAAACGAGAUAUAUAAUCUGAACGUUAAAAAAUACGACGUCAUCAUACAUUUUCCACAUCGCAAGUUCUUUUAUAAACGAAGAGGAACGAAAUGAAUUCCGACGGAAAUUCAUUAUAACCGCCGUCUAAUAACAAUUAAACGACGUUAUUUGUAAUACGGCUCUCAUCAUAAUCAACGCCGUCUAUAUGUUCUGUAAUACGGCUCUCAUUUAUUUGGAACCGACGUUGUUUAGAAGUUCAACGUCGUCUAUAUUAUUAAGUGCGUCGUGAGUAAUGAUGAUAGAUAUAAAUACAACGUCGACUAUAUAAAUGCCACUGACGUUGUUUCGCAUUUCAACGUCAACUGUAUAAAUACAUACGUCGUAAAUAAUGACACUGACAACUAUUUCCACGUCAUCUUUUUUAGAAAAAUCGAAGUGGAAAAUUUAUUUCACGACGGUUGUUUGUAAAUAAGAGACGUAGUAUAUUUCAAUAACGUCGUCUUCUCAUGUAUUUAAAGACGUCAUAUUUUUUCUUGUCGUGUAAAUUAUAUUUAACGGCGUAGUAUUUUAGUUGUCGUCGUUGUAUGUAUAUCUUGCGGCCUUGUUCUUUUAACAUGUGUCAUAUUUUUCCUUUUUAACGACGGUGAUUUGUUUGAGUUGGUCGUCUAUUCUCAUCCUCGACUAUUUUCUAGAACUUUAGCAGACUAAACACGUCUGUUUUUAUUGUUUUCCGACGUUGUUUUAUUUAACAACGUCUAAUAUUUAUCGUCGUUGUUUGUUUCUGAAAAUAUGACGUAUAAAUUUUGUAAUACGACUCUCAUAUAUUUGUAACCGACGUUGUUUCGUUUUUCAACGUCUACUCUAUAAAUACAUACGUCGUAAAUAAUGACACUGACAACUAUUUUCACGUCAUCUUUUAUCGAAAAAUCGAAGUGGAAAAUUAAUUUUACGACGGCUGUUUUUAUAUAUGCGACGUAGUAGGUAUCAAUAACGUCGUCUUCUAAUGUAUUUAAAGACGUCAAAUUUUUUAUUGUCGUGAAAAUGAUAUUUAACGGCGUCGUAUUUUUAUUUUCGUCGUUGUAUGUCUAUCUUGCGGCCUUGUUCUCUUAAUAUGUGUCAUAUUUUUCCUUUUUAACGACGGUUUUUUUAGAGAGUUGGUCGUCUAUUCUCAUCCUCGACUGCUUUUUUAGAUCUUUUUGCAGUACAAAGACGUCGUUUUGUAUUUGUUGAUGACGUUGUAUAUUUUAACAACGACGGUGAUUUUGCGUCGUGGUUUAUGAGGGAAAAGAUGACGGUGGAUUCCACGACCAUUGAAAAACCGAAUACACGACGGUGAUUUACCGUCGUCUUUUUGCUUUUUUGUAGUAGUGAGAUAAAAAUGUUCUGAACACUUCUCUAGAAGGCCACGAACCCAUCCGAGGUCAUCUUGGGCUCCAAAAACACAAUAAAAGCCCAACACGUCACUAUUCCAGCACCGCGCACUGCUCAUUUAUUUUAUUGCCAGAAAAUAACCGCUUGGAAGAAAAAUCUGAAAUUUUGAUACGAUCAAGCUAAGUGACUCAAGAACGUCCUCCAACUGGAAUUACUCCAAAAUUCCUCAAUUUGAUUAUGUUUUGCUCCAGAGAGAGUCGAAAGUCCUAUAUUGGAAAUAUAAUUCAAAGUAUCAAAAUUCUUCCAAAAUAUUAACCAAAAUAUACUAAGAAUGAGGUUAAAUAUAUAAUAUAAAAUAUGUCCAUCACCCCACAACAACUAAAGAACCAACAUUUUGUAGAAGGUUUUGUCUAUACCUUUGACUGUAAGUAAAUCUCUUGUAUCUGCUCCUGUGGUUCGGUGAAGUUUCUUUGUGUCCUUUCUGCGGAGUCUCCCAUGCUUGUUCCAUGAAAAUGUUCUAGGAGAAAAUACGGUUGUUUCUUACUAGAUUCAAAUGAUUAAGAAAAAUAAAAACGCAAGAAAAAAGGUAUUUUCUUGAUGGACUUGGUGAUGAAAAAUAUCACUCUCUUUAUAUGUCGUCUUCCUUGGACUUUGAGACCUUGGGUUUCGAUUCUUCUUGAGGAUUGCAUAGGGUUUCUAGGCCCAAGAAUACUUUGAGUUAGUUUUUGCGUUUUGGGCUUUGAGACUUUGAGACUAUAAUGAGUGGAAAGUUAUAAGGGGUAAGUUAUAAGGGGGUCACUUUAUAGCCAUCAGAUUAAUCCAAGGGCUGGGGAGAAUUGAGAUAAAGUUUCACAAUUGGGUAGGUGAGGAACCCAAACCCGAAUUGAAUAUCCAGCACGUCCAAAAAGAAGAAGAAGAGGGAAACACGUCCGAAAAAGAAGAAGAAGAGGCAAGUUCGAAGUUUGAACAGAAAGAACUCAUCUCUCUAAAACACAGAGGUCUGAGAUACCCAAUGAAGGCAACGGCUAACGACAGUUGAAGGCAACAAUUCGCCACUCCGUUCUCCAGACCCCGAAAAAGUAUUUAUUUGGAGUAGAAGGGGCAAAGGUGUGGAUUCCAAAUCAGUGAAGGGGCGAAGCAGUGGAAGGGGAAGGGGAGAAGCUGUAUUCGUUGGAAGUGUAGGUUCCAUUUGUGGAGCAAAGAAAUAGAAAGACCCCACACAGACACCUUGCAAUAACCAGCAUUUGGUGAGUAAUUUAUGGAAUUUGAGUUUAGGGUUAGAGUAAUGGUUUUCCCCAAUUUGUACCAUAAAUUUUGUUGGAUUUGGCAUCUCUUCGUUGUGCUUCAGUUGCAUGUUAAUUUUUGCUUAGGUAUAUGUUAAAAAAGGAAUGAAAAUUAAGUCAAUAACAAGUGAAUAACAUGUCAAUAAUGAUAUGAAUAAGAUAAUGGUGUUGAAUUGGAGGAGGCCCUCAAAACCUUCCACAUUUGAAGCAGUGCAUAGUGCAGAUUAAGAAGAGGCGCUAGAAUAUAUAUAUAUAUUUUAUGAAGUAAAUAUGAUUUCCUUUGUUACUAAAUUUGCCUGAGAAACAUUUGAACAGAUAAUAAUAAACUCAUGAAUAGAACUGCAAAGCAUUUGAUGAGCAAUGUAAGGAAUUUAAGUUUAGGGUUAGAGUAAUGGCAUCUCUUAUUUGUGCUUCAAUUGCAUGUUAAUUUUUGCUUGGGUAUAUGUUAAAAAAUGAAUGAAAAUAAAGUCAAUCACAUGUCAAUAACAUCUCAAUAACAUGUCAAUAACAUGUCAGUAAUGAUAUGAAUAAGAUAAUUGUGUUAAAUUGGAGGAGGCGCUCAAAACCUUCACAUUUGAAGCAGUGCAGAGUGAAGAGUACCUCUCUGGCACUAGAAUUUAUAUAUUUUGUGAAAUAAAUAUUAUUUCAUUUGUUACUAAAUUUGCCUAUGAGAAAUGAGAACAGAUAAUAAUAAACUCAUGAAUAAAAGUGCAAAGCAUUUGAAAUGAAGGUUGAUCUAUGACGAUUGUGGGUGACUGAAGAAAAAGGUAGAAAGAAAGAAGGAUGUGGCAAUUGCUUAGCAAGCAGAUAGCAGAGUACAUGCUUUGCUUUGCUUCCUUCCACUAUAUUUCUUAUUUAUUUAUUUUGGGUUGUGUAUGAGAUGACAAUAAUUGUCAUGUGUGUGAAGUGCAGAACUUGCCUACAUUGCACUCACACGAGUAUGGAUGCAUAAAUAAAACACGUGAAAUUGUUUGUAAUUCACAUAAUCAUUGCAUUAACAGGUAUUUGCACAAAAAUUGUCAUAUUGCUUUGAUGAUGUUAAAGGCUGUGAUGAGUAAUCCCUAUGCUCAUGUACUUUGUAAAAGUUGUAAUGUGCCUGGUUGACUAGUUGUGAUUGUGCAAAUACGUGGUAGUAUAUAUGUUCACGUUAUUUCACAUUGUAUUUGAGGAAAUGGGAUCCAACGUGGAGCUGGUAUGGCCAGAGGCAGAGGUAUAUUCGUCACGGGUGAACAACUGCUCACAUGCAAAUUCAUCUCUAGCUGCAAUUCGAGCGAAGUUGAGUGCGGAACAAUUAGAACAAUUCAAGACAUCAUGCUUUGGCCAUCUUCUGAAUAUAGAUAAGAUUCAGUUUAGCGGGCAGAUUGUGCAUGGGGUUGUGUUGCGUAGAGUAGCGGGGCAGGGUGUGAAAGACUUGGAUGGACUGAGUUUCUUAUUAGGGUGUGACGUUGCUCAGUUCACUCGUCAGGAUUUCUGUUUGAUCACAGGGCUUCGUUUUGGGGAAGUGCCUGAAGUUUCCAGUGGAGAGAGUGAUGAAAUCAGACUUCAGAAAAGAUAUUUUAUAGACGAAGGAAUUACAUGCAAUGCUUUAGAAGAAGCAUUUGUGAGGUGCACAGAGGAAGAUGACAUCUACAAGCAAGCUCUUGUUUACUUUGCUGAGUUAGUGGUUUUGGGAAGGGACAAACAUUUGAACAUCAAUCUAAAUUACCUGACCCUUGUAGAGGACUUGGAUGCGUUCAACAGGUAUCCGUGGGGUUCGGUGUCCUUUGACAAAACCCAAGACAGUCUAUUUUCUGCACCAACAAAGUAUGUGAAAAGCUUGGAAAAUGAAGAGGGAAGAGGGAAGGGGAAAAGUAAGGUAACGGGAACAAGCCGGAGAAAUGAGAAGGGCAAGAAGGAUAAGCAUGGUGAAGCGCAAAUGAGUGGCUGGAGUUUUAAAGGUUUCACGUAUGCUUUCCAGGUACAUGGUAAUAAUGUUCAUGUCAGUUAUGUUUUGUUUUUCUUUAAAACAUAAAUAAUGACUUUUGUCCUGUGAAUUGUGUAGAUUUGGGUAUAUGAAUUAAUUCCUAGAAUGGCGGACCUGAAUUACUGCAAGGUUGUUGAUCCGACCGUUGUCCCGCGUAUUUUGCGAUGGAGAACUACUACGUCUGUUCCAGAGAUGAGAAAGUUGAACAAUUAUUUUUUCCAGAGCAAAGAGGUUUGGUUUGCAGCCCUUGGAACUAUUGAUAAGAUUGAAUGAAAUUAUGAAGUAGAAUGAUUUGAUAUGACUCUUGUCUGUAUUCUGAAACAGUCAGUUCAGUUGCGGGCGCUAUGUCCGAGUGAAGAGGAAAUGAGACAGCCAUAUUGGAGUUGGCCACAGGAUCGCCCUGCUGUUGUCUCAGCAGAGUCAAUUCCUUCUUCAUGUGGUGAUCUUGAUGAGUUGAACAAGGUGGUAAGUUGGUUGAGGUCCGAGUUGUUUCAAGUAAAGCGGGAAAAAGACGUCCUUCACUUAAAGGUCAUACGGAUGGAAAAACUGUUGGACCAAUGUUUAGGUCCUCAGUUUGAGCAGGAAGUAAGGAGGGACCUAGCUUUACUGAAACAGAGGACGAAUCGUUGUGUCAUCUCACAUCUAUUUAAGGGAUAUGGGGAAAUGGAUGACAUUCAAUGGGAUGAAGGGCCAAGUAACAGAAAUGAGGGAGAGGAAAAGGAAGAUGAAGGGAUUGAAGGGGGUGAAGGGCCAAAUAAUAGAAAUGAGGGAGCACAUAAGGAAAAGGAGGGGAUUGACGGAGAGGAAAAGGAAGAGGAGGGGAUUGAAGGGGGUGAAGUGCAAGGAAAACCAAGUGAGGUAGAGGAAGGGCAAAGGAAAAGAAGUGAAGGAGAGCAAGUGCAAGUAAAAAGUAGCAAAGGAGAGGAAGCCCAGAGACAGAGCAGUGAGGGAGAGGAAGUGAAAAGAAAAAGCAGUAAGGGAGAGAAACUGCAAAGGAAAAAAAGGGAGGGCAAGGAAGUGAAAACACAAACAAGUGAGGAAAAGGAAGUGCAAAGAAACCAAUGUGAGAAAGAAGAUAAUGAAGUUAUGUUGCUUGGGGGUGACAUUGGCGAGAGCACGGAGGGGACACUGCUUGAGUUUACUGUCGGGGACAUUGAUUUGGAUGAACCUACAGCUGUGCUAUCUCAGUUGAACGUGUGGUUGAAUGAUAAAGGUAAAGCUCUGGCACAAGGGGUCCAAUUACGGAAAAGGAAGAGGAUCAUUCCUUUGUGGAAGAUCAUUGAAGGCAGUGAAUUGGUUCCAAAAAUUGGGGCACAGACAACCGGACUGAAGAUGUUAGACCCAAUGAAGGCGAUUUCGCAUGAUGAUCUGGUGAAAUUGCUGAAACUUUGUUGGGAAUGGCGCCAGGACCCAAAGUAAGUCCCUUGCAAUUAUAAGAUACAAGCAUGACUGUAUAUAAUUUUUUAUAUACAGUGUUCUAAAACUGUUUUAUAUUCAUAGUUUGGUGAUGCAAUUUGGCAACGUGGAAGCUGAGAUUGAAUUCUUCGCUUCCCUCGUGAAAGCUGAUGGUUGGCUGAAAGGAGAUGUAAGUGUAAUUGAUUAUGCAUUUGUUUUAAUGUACAUACAUUAUGAGAUUGACAAGAAAAACAUGUUGCAGCACAUUGAUUUGGGGUUGUAUCUCAUCCGGAAGCGACAACAACAGUUGGAGACAGAUUCGGUAGAAGUAGCGGACUGGACAACGACCGAUGUUUUUUUUAUGGUAUGUCAUCGGCCUUGACCAAGUGCCGUUAAUAAUUACACAUUUUCCAUACACACACUAGUGGAGGUGUUUAACCAUUGAUUGUUUUGUAUUUCACAGAAUCACAUUCGUACUUGCUUUGCGGAUAAUAAAAGAAAAAAACAGCAGCUUGGGUGGAAAAUCAGGAAAAGUUUACUAACCGUUGUAAAUGGGAAGGUUCCUCCGUGUGGGUUGGAUUGGCAGACCGUCUAUAAGGUGUAUACCCCAUUUAUGUUGACGAAGUACAAGCAUUGGGUGGCUGUAAUGAUUGAUCUGGUAUUGUGUGAAAUCAAAGUGUACGAUUCAAAGGUUUCACUAAUUCCAGAUGACAUCGUAAAGGAAGAACUCGGCCCGCUAUCAAUUACGCUUCCAAAUCUUCUCAACACCAUCGACUUUUAUGAAAAAGGUGUUUAUGCAAACAAUUGCAGCCAAGAUUAGUGGUGUCCGUGGCCAAUAGAGCGUGUGGAUGUUCCACAACAGUCUAAUGAGUAAGCACAACUUGCAAUUUAAUUUUAUUACUUUCAAUUGUCAAUUACGUUAGAAUGUCAUUAGUUGAAUUGAUCGAGUUCUUGUUUUGCUUCAGAGGCGAUUGUGGCAUGUUUGUGUUAAAGUACAUUGAGCUUUUCAGCGCUGAGCUUCCGUUAGCUACUUGCACCUCGCACAACAUGCCUUUUUUUCGGUUGAAAUUGGCUGCGGAGAUAACAAGGGGAGAUGCUUACUUCCCAUGAUAUUGGUUGAAGAUGACAAAUGGUACAUGAGAAGGUUUUGGGAAUGUCCAUUCUCAAACUAAUGUAAAUACACAAUAGAGAAGUACGGGUCCUUAUCGAAUUCUACCGCUAACUCCUUCAUGACAUUUACAUGUUUGUUAACCAAACUGCAUUGAAUUGGAAUUUUAAGACUGCAUAUGUGAAUUGGGAUUUGAAGAUGGCUUUUUAAGUGUAUUACAUCAUUGCAAAGUGAUAUGUCAUUGUUGAUGCAAGCCACCAUUAAUCGCAAUGUGUUGCAUCAUAAUAGGUGUCUAAACAUGCGAAAGGUUUUCCGCAGCUCAGUAGCAUAAAAGUAGAAACAAAGACAAUAUACACAAAAUGAACAACAAUUCACAAAUGCACCGACAAGCAAUACACACACAACAGACAAACAAUAUACACAAACUUGGCCUGCCAUAUACAGAGAAUAGACAUGCAAUAUACACACAGUAGACAUGCAAUAUACACACAAUAGACAUGCAAUAUACACACAAUACUCCCUUAACACACACAAUAGACAUGCCCUUGCCCACAAUAAUGAUGCAAUAUACUUCAGUCCCCAAGUACACCAACCAUAGGGAAGUCGUAUUGAAUAGGAUAUUAAACUUAACAGUUGUUCUUCCUACUAAAAGAAAGAAUAAGGUUCGUUUCCCCCCUUCAUUCUUACUUGAGUGAUACUUGUGGCCCCAAUAAACAUCCAAUUUUGGGGCAAUGAUAUUCCAUAUACAUGCAGCAAACUAUCAAUAAACCUUCAAUAAACCUUCAAUAAACAUUCAAUAUCGUUUCUAUAACAUGCGAAAUACAUGCAGUUACCAAAUAUUACAAAAUGGGUUUAGGGUCUCAUUGGUGGUGCGUGCAACAUGUCUUGUGCGGGAGAACUUUCACAAUCUUUUAAACCGUGCAGUUAAAUGAUCAUUAAAAGAACAAAUAAAAUGACAAUUGAUACAACUAAUAAAACUAAUACCAAGUCCUUAAUGGACUUCAGCAUGUUCAGCACUCUAGCAUCAUACGUGUCAUCUUGAUGUUCUGCUUCAGCGGAGGUUACAUCAACCCAUUCGAAUCCAUUGCAACUGGUGGCUCCCUAAUUGCAGGCAUCAUAUAUGGAAUAUAAUUCUGUCAGAGUUAGACAUAGGUUUUUUUUCACCCACAUACAUAUUCUUUAAAUUAAAACUUACAUAGGAGGUUAGACACUUCCAGAAUGGCUUCCCUCGAUUUUUGUCAGAUUUUGAAACCCGAAGCACCAUUGUAGCUCCACAAUACUGACACCUCUUUGUUUGAGCGGGAGAUGAAGAUGAAGACAUGUUUAAUCUUCUCAGUUGUACCUCUUCUCACUCAGAUCUUCUCACUGAAACCUCUUCGGACUCAUACCUUCUCACUCAUAGUUGUCAUUCAUACCACUUCACUCAUAACCCUAAACUUGUCACUCAGCUCUCUCUCAUCUCUGCCCAAAUCGAGUUAUAUUUCUUUUUUUUGGGAUCAUUUGGUGGGUUGGUCACGAUGUCGACACCUGUACCGUCAGCAUUGUGACAUCUUUUAGCCCGAAAAGCAAUAUAAACUACUUCACUACCAAAUAUAUUUUCUGAAUAAUGACGGGACACUGCUUCAAUUUUAUUAAUUUAUUUAUAUUUCAUUAAGGCAACUAGUUGGAUAAGAAUCCGUCAUUAUUGGUUCCAUUUUAAUAACAUUACUAGGGGUAAUUGGGUGUGGGAAAAUGAAAAAGUAUAUGAUGGGACCUUCUGUCACUAGUCAGUAAUCCAUCACAUUUGUAUCAAUGAAUUUGAUAGUGGGAUAAACCCAAAAAUGGCUAUGCAAAUAGCCAUUUAAUUAACUUUUUGACUGUCUGACUCUGUAUGCACCGUUAUGACGUUUUCCCUUCUUUUGUCUUAAGUUUUAAUUCACUGGGGUUCAGUUUCUUUCAAAAGGGUCAACUUGGAAAAACCCCAACUGGAAACACCUUUUCAAAACACUAUAAACAGAGGCUAAAACAAAACGUGUACCCCAAAUAUUAUCAUUUAUCCCCUCUGCCACUCCUCAAAUCGUUCCAUUCCAAAAACUUUUCAAUGAAUUCGAAACACUUCACUACAGUCGGAGGAAAGAGAAGGAAGCAUGUCCAUUUCGAUAUGCCCGAAGCCUUCAUCCCGGAGUCCGCUUGGUUUCAAGUCAUGUUAUACGUGGCAACCGAAUCAUCGGAAGAUCUCUUCCGUAUGGCAUCUGUGUGACGAUUGUUCCGAACUUUGGCAAACAGUUCACAAGUGUGGAACACCAUUUCAAUGGCAAAGUACCCAGACCAUCCUAUAUGGUACCGUGCCAGACCUGCGGUCCAGCAUUUCUUGCAACAAUGCAGGGCUUGCGAUAACCCUGAGUCCAUAUUUAGAGAAGCAUUCGAAGGUUUUUUCAGGCACGGUAAGGUGGAAGCGUUGUAUGGGAUGCGCAUUGCAGCCACGGCAGGCCAUAUGGAAGCGGCAUAUGUAGUUGGACUACUUGGUAUGUCCGGAAUUGGUCAGUCAAAAGAGGAUGCAUUACAAUUCUUGUGUUCUUUGAAUCAACGUAACAACAUUGAUAUGAAAGGAACCAGGGAUGCUUUGACAGGAAGAUUUCACGGAGCAUUUGUUGCAAGACAUAUCGUAGAUAUGUUUGACUAUGGGAAGAUUAAGUUCAAUCGGUGCAGCGCUUGUAACAACAAUGAAUGGUAUUUUGUUAUUCCAGGCUGGCCUAGUGAAGACAAGAUAAAUCCUGCGUUGUGGACUUGUUGCAAUCGAUGCAAAUGGCACCGUGAGAGUAUUUUUUGGUGCAAACUGAUGCGUGAGUAUGUUGUGCGAGGGAAUCACGUAUUUUUGCAUUAGUUUUAGUACGAAUUUACGGUUUUGAUGCAUUGUGGACUUGCUUCUCUUCACUUCUAGGUUGGCUGGCUACGUUAUACCUAUCUCAGUUUAAAUGUUGUUCAAAUGUUGGUAUUUUGUCAUAAACCGUUUUAUAUAUAAAUGUAUAAUAUUUAUUAUAUAGCGGAAUUAUUACUUACAUCAUAGACGGCUAGGAAUGACAUUUUACUGACACAGAUAUUUUGCUCACCGACCCCAAUCUUCAUAUUUGAUAAACGAAAAGUUAUGCAUGGAGUAAAUAGGUGUCUUUUCACCAGUGCUUGGGAAUGACAUUUUCCCACUUAGCAUAUCCGAAAGGAUUUGGUUACACGUUUCUUAACCUAGGGGGUUGAACAGUGAAUGACGUAGACUAUUUUUUGUGUGUGGAAGGAGUACAAUGGAUGACUUGUAUAUUUCCAUAUUAUGUUUCAAAACAUCCCUUCAACCUAAAAAAUAAAAAAAUUAACAAAUUGAAGAACAGAGAAACCGAUGAGCACUACAAAUGGCCUAUUCGCACGGAAAAUAAAAUUGUUUUCAACAAGUUGGACUAAAUAUAAUUAACAAAUGGACAGCCUAAAAAGUAAUAUCAUAAUAAUUAUAAUAAUUGUGGAUAAAUAAUAAUAAAAUACUAAUGUAACAUAACCAUUAAACAGGGAAUGCAGUAGGAAGAUGAAAUCGCAAUAAGUUCGUAGAAAUUUUGGGAUCGUUUUUCUAAUUUUUGUGUAUUUAGUUAUGAAUUUUCCAAGAAAAAAGGUAAUAAAAUAAUAAUUUAGGGUAAAAUGGGAGGAUGUGGCCAUGUUCGGUAACGUACACUUGUGCAAGUAGUCAAAAGUGACGGGCUGAGAUCGCGCCAGGUGUCAUAUUCUUGUUAAUUUUGGAUUCUUUUGUUAAAAAAUCUUUGAAACUAGGUAAUAAAUAGUAGGAAAAUCGUAAAAAUGGCCCAAAAAUUACUCCGGCCUCCUUUUGACGUCCUAAAACUAGGAGAACCUAUAAAUCAUUCGUCUCGCAAUGAAAUAAUCCAAAUUGUGUUACAUAACUCACUUUCCUCUUAACCCUAAGUAUUGAUGUUUGUUAACUUCAACUUGAAUAACCUACUUCAACAAGCAUCUCCCGUUAAUAUUGGGAAUUAAUUUUACAAAUGCGUAACAAUGAAUCGGAGAAUUCAGCAACGGAGAUGGAGUGUCAAUGAGUUCGUAGCAAUUUUCGGAUAAUUUUUUUAUUUUGUGUGUAAUUAGUUCUGAUUUUUGUAAGGAAAAGUAAUAAAAUAAUAAUUUAGGGUAAAAUGGGAGGGUGUGGCCAUGUUGACUGACGUACACUUGUGCAAGUAGUCAUCAGUGACGGGCUGAGAUCGCGCCAGGUGUCCUUUUGCUAUUAUUUUGGCUUUUUUAGUGCAACAAUCUGUGGACAUAGGUAAUAAAUUCUACGAAAAUCCAAAAAAUGCCCGGAAAAUGAGAAAAUGAAAAUUAUUUGUACAUAACUCACUUUCCUCUUAACCCAAAUUCACGUUAACACGUAUAUUUCGGAUAAUAUUCGAAAUAUAAUUUCUAAUAAUACAAUAUUUAGUUUCACUAUAUACAAUAAUAUGUUUUUUUUAUAAUAAUGUACAUAAAUAAUAAUUGCACAUGCUUUGAAGCCAUCAUUGCAACUACGCCUAGAGCUUUGAAGACGUCAGUUCGUAUUCAAUAAGUUGUCCACAUGCAACUGCACCUAGAGUUUUCAACACGUCAGAGGUAUUCAAUAAGUUGUCCACAUGCAACUGCACCUAGAGUUAUUAACACGUCACAGGUAUUCAAUAAGUUGUCCAUAUGACGCCGCAUUGGGAAUCAGUAAUAUAUUUUCAAUCAUGUCAAAUCACAUAAAUAAUGCCAUACUUUUUCUCAAUAACCUCACACAAGUGAAGCAAUUUUAAAACCCUUAGUGAAUAUUUAUCCUAGUCUAUAUGAGUGAUUAUAUAAUCAGUUGCAUAAUAUUUUUUUCACAGUAUAUGUUAACUUUGAGAGGGAUUCCACAAACAUAAAAUAUAAAGAAAGCAAGAAAUAGUAGGAAAUGAACCAGUACAAAAAACAAUAUAUAAAGUGUACAUAAUAAUUCCAUAACCUUGUCACAAACGCACUCACAAAAGCUUUUCCAUAAACCUUGUCCUAACAUAUAAUAAAUAAAGGCAACAUUGCAUAUGAUGCAACCAUGUCCAAAUCUGAUAAGUGAUCAAAAACAAAUGGACAUGGCAGCAACAUAUGAUUGAAGUAGAUGGGCUCUUUGCAUCUUCUGUUUUCGUAAUUAAAGACAUCAAAAUAUUAAGGUUUAAAUCUUCCAUAGUAGUUAGCAUCAAAAUAGCUUUGAAGCAGAGUGUAACGAAAAUUCCAAUUCCACUUAUUUGCCUCUGCUCAAACACGAGAACCAAAAUGGUUACUUCCCUUGCUGAGUAUAUUUGGUGACGUCGGAAACGGUAAUAGAUGACCAAUCAAACCCGGGUACGACGAGUUUUGCAUAGGAUCGGAAGUAGUCGAAUCCAGCUUGCAUCACACGCUUCUUUGACUCCACUACAUUAGAUGAGUUCUUGUAUUUUUGAACAGCUACACUCUGAAGUCGUUUGUGUCUACGCUUCAUGCGCUGCAACUUCGCCCUAUCCAGAUUGGCCUGCCUUUUGUCAUCUUCAAUUUGGCCUUCCACAAAUUCCAAACGUGCCCUUGCCCUUUGGAUUUCAUCACCAAGUUGAAGAUGCCUCUCCUUCCAAAAAGCAACAACUCUUUCAGACUCAAAACUUCCAACAAAAUGGUCAUUCUGUCUAGCAAUGUGACAUUGCUUGUCUGGUGACUCACUUGCGUGUCGAAGCCGGUCUUUGUUUGGAGGGGUGUUUAUUAUACUCACAUCAAACUUGGUUGUGCUUAUGCUCAUUCUUUGGGGGGAAUGAGUUUGUUUGCUUGAGAGAGUAUCGGUAGAUGGAGACAGAUUCGGUGGAGGAGUGAGUUUUGUGUGGAAGGAGAUUUUAUAUGAAAGGGGUGAUAGUAAUACCAAGAAAAGGGUUCCCGCCAAAAAAUAUUUGGUUGACAAAGUAGAAAUUAUUUUUUUAGUCUGAUACAAUCUAAGUUUAAUCCUAACUAGUUUGGUUGAGUUAACUAAGUAGAUGUCACUUCCAUUGACUUUCUUUCAACAACUAUCAGUGGUGUAAGGAGAGUGUGAGGUUGACAUGCUUGAAAAGCAAAAGCUGACACCUAUUUUUAAAAAAUUCCCGCCAAAAAGUACAUAUGUUGACUACACACAAGCUUUGGUAUGUUGGUCUAUAAACCUAUGUUCCCUUUCUCAAACGAAAUUGCAUAUGCAAUCCUCAUCCUCCCAAAACAAAGAGGAUUAUUCAAGCAUGUCAACCUCUUCAGGCGCCAACAACACAAUCGAACAUGACAAAUUGGAGUCACAGGUUCUAUUUCCACAUUGUACUCGCCGACCCCUUCCUUUUUCAACAUCAUUUGGGAGUGAGGGGGACUCCGAUGAUCCAUUAGAGGCAAUACAUGCAGUCAGUGGCAAGCUGGAUUAUAAUUCCAGACUGAUCAAUUCAUGGCACGAGAAAUGUGUUGAAGACGAGGCAAUUUUGGCUGAUCUUAACAUUAGGGUGAGCAAAGCGUUAUCCCAAAAGAACAAGUACUUGAAGCUGAGUCAUAGCAGGAAGCUGAAAGCUGAGGAGUUGGAUACAGUAAUGAAUGAUGAAAUGAAAGGUUGUUUGAUGAACCAUAUGCGAUGCGAACAGCACCAUACUGAACUGGAGUUGGCAUUCAACGAAGGAUUCGACAAAUUCCGAGCAUUUGCGGCAACUACUCAUACAAGUUAUGAUUGGAACUAUGUGUCCCCUGAUGCUGUGAGAGAGAUACUAGACGAUGGGGGUGACAUGAAUGAGCAUAAGCACGUCAAAGCUGCUCGGAAGAAGCCGACCGAUACGACUAAGUGAUUGCGGCUACCGCUGUUCAGUUAGUUGAGGGUGACCGUGGUAUUGCACAUAUACUCCCUUAAUGUCAUUAUCUAACUUAAAAUAACACAAAUAUCAGUUUCAUUUGCUUGAUAUAUAAUUAUUGGGACUAUGUAUUGCAAGUCAUCAUGUGUUAUAAUGUCUAACAUUAUAUUUUGCAAAUAUGGAAAUAUUAUUCAAGAAGCAGUCAAUAUCACAGAAAGCCGGGAAUCAGUAAAUGCUCCUUAUCAUGUCCAUUUACAUUAAAGAGCUGGAGUACUAAUGUGUUCAAAAAAAACUGACACGUGAGUCAUAAGUAACAUAACAUGUGCUAUACAUUGUUUACUGAAUGGUUUAUGGUUUAUUUGUAUAUAAUAAAAUUUCAAAUAUUGCUGAAGAUUUAUUUCGUGUAUAUCACUAGGGAUAUGAGUGGCCAUAAGCAUGUGAGACCUGCUAAGAAGAAGCUGACGAGUACGACCCAGUGAUUGGCUACCGUUGUUCAGUUGGUUGGGGAGAUCGUGGUAUUGCUAUGAGGAAGCACACAAUAUGUUUUGCAAUCAAAUGUUCUUUUGUGUGUGGAAUUAUGAGUAUUUAUGUAAGUUAGUGUACCCUUUAAUAUUUUUCACCUAAGUAUCGAAAUGCAGUUUUUGAAUGUUAUGUUUUUUUUUACCCGCUGCUUUCUAUUUGCUCUGUUCCAACAAAGUGCUUCAAGUAUCCUUCACUUACAAAAGUGUACAAAAUCGUGCCCCUAAUAACCAGUCGGAAAAAGUGGCUACUGCUGGAAAUGAUUACUGGUAAUGGAAACAACAGCUGGCUGCUGUAAUUGCUGCAUUACCGUGAGGAUUUGAAAAAUGAAUCUCUGUUAAAACAAAUUUCACCCUAAACUGCCCAUUUUACAUGGUAAAAGUCAUUGCUUCUUCAAAUCUUUUGCAGCUACACGAUGCGUGGUCAGAAUCUUUGACAUAUACGACUUCUGCCACUCUUGUUUCCCAAUUUUUUCUUUCGCUCACGUUGAACACAACUUUACAAGCAUCCUCUGUUUUGAGCUCUAGGAAACAUGCUGUACUUUGUAUUAGUUCUUGCUCAAACUUUUGAAACAUUGUCCUUGUGUACAAGGUAGCCAUUUGUUUGUUCAUUGGCAUCGGUAGAAGACAUUGAGCCACUUCAAAUGCAUCUGCGUGAUCAGCAACUAACUCUUUUUCACGUUGAUGAGAAAGUGCCCUCUCAAAUCGUAUUAUGAAAUCCAUCAACGAAUUUCUCCUUGAUAUGUAUUGCUUGAAAAAACCAUGAGAACCUUCCGCUCUUUGGCUGCUUGACAUUCCAGCGGCAAAAAAUUGUCGUGCGUAGGCUGGAACCCAAGAUUCCCUUAAAUCAAACAUUGAACUUAGCCAUGGAUGGUCAGUCAAACCAGCCUUUGUAACCACAAUAUUCCAUUUUGCAUCAAACUCAUCCUUAUUGUCAGUAUCCCAUAUGGCUUUCUGAAAUUCAGGCCAAUACUCCUUAUAAGCGUCACGUGGUAACUUAACAGAGAACUUUGAUGUGAUGUGCUAUAUGCAAAGUCGAUGAAAUGUACUCGGGAAGGCUAUUGAAAUCGCUAUGGCCAUUGCCGCAUCUUGAUCUGUAAUGAUCGUUUUAGGUUCCCCACCUGGCAUGGCUUUCUUAAACUCCUCAAACAUCCAAACAAACGACUCAGUCGUUUCCUUGCUCAAAAAUGUGCAUGCUAACACAAUUGUCUGACCAUGGUUAUUAACUCCCAACAUUGGUGCAAAUGUCAAGUCGUAUCGAUUCGUGUUGAAUGUGGUAUCAAAUACAACAACAUCUCCAUAAAACCCAUACGCCCGUCUAGAAGUUGCAUCUGCCCAAAAACAUCGACUAAACCUAUCAUGCCCAUCUCCCUCAAUCUUGAAAUAAAAAGCCUCAUUUUUUUUCUGUUCAGCCAUAAAAUACUCGGUCACUAGUUCAACAUCGUGGUUCCUCAGCUUCCCAAUCACACUACAUUCAAGAUUGUAGAUAUCUUUUUUGAUAAAACCGAUUUUAUCCAUUCCUCCGGAUUGCACCUCGAAAAUACUUACCUUCUGAUGAAUGGGAAUAUUAACUGAACCCAACUGUUUUGUGAGUACUUUUGUAGAAUCUGAAAUAUGACGGUGUGAUCUCAAUAAAUGCAUUCUUUCUAAGGGUGUCAUCUUAUGAUUGUGUCCCUCUGCAAAAAGAGAAAUGUUAUACUUGUUGCUCCCAUUUGUCUUCACAACCACAAUCUUUGCUUUGCAAUUGCAUCUACUUAUUCCCCGUUGUCUUUUUCUCUCCCGAGUUUCAUCCUUCCUGUAUGCACCUUGUUUGCAACAUACAAAUUCUUUCCUCAAAAUCUCUUUCUUAUUUUUCCCCCAAAAGCUAGAAUGAAGUCGAAUACCAAAGCCAGCCAAGAAUGCAUAUCUAUUAUAGAAAUUGUAAACGAGGUCAAGCGAGUCAAACUUCAUCCCAACUGCUGGUGUUUCCUCAUUUCUUACUUCAGGAAUAUAAACCCUCCCAUUAGCUGUUGCACAUUCAUCACUCUCUGAGCCCCCAGACAUUUUAUCUACGUAUAUUAUUGAUCCACUUCUAUAUUACUGCAUAGCAAUUAUUCAUUCAUUAAUCAGUCAUUACUGCAUCACAACAUAUCAAUGCAUUCCACUUACACAAAACAUUGCCCAAAUUGACACAAAAUACGCAUAGCCUAACUUCCGAUUACACAAAACACAAGCAAAAUUUCAUAAAAGUUACGUCAUCUCUUGUGAAAUAAUCUGGUCAAAAUAACAUUAGAACCAACAUGUUCAACUAAGAACACAAAUGUAAUUCAAACCACCAAUUACAGAACUUCACCCAAUAUCCUCUCCAACUGCUUACUCCUAAUGUCAUUAAGCCUAAGUUUAGGUUCUUUUACCUACAUUUCAUAAUUUUUCACCCCGACCAACAACAAUGAACUAAGUAUAUUGAAUAUUCACAAGGAAAUGACACAUUAUUGAUGCCACAAAUGACGAAUUUCCCACCCUCACAAAAAAUAAACCUAACCCAAUAAAAUCAAUCCAGCAAGUGAACUUACCUCUCAAAAUCAAUCGAGAGCUCUGAAGUCAGUCAGCUUGAAAGAAUGUGGUGGACAUUAGAGAAGACUCUUUGGUAUUUGAGACUCCAUCUCUAUCAAAAUCGAGGAACAACUGCUGCUGCGGCUUCUAGCUACAAAAACAGAUAUGCUACUUUGCUUUCAUCUAGAAUCUUGUCAGCUGAAUGAAAAAGAGAAGGGGUUUUCACUUGAGCCAUAGAAUCAAAACAGGGCAACAGCUAGGUAAGAGCCAUUCUUCGUAAUACCCAGGAUACCAUAGAUCGCAGGCCUCCCAACGAGCUAAUGACAGUGGAGUGACUAUAAGGUUUGGGAGAUUUGGAUCCUUCUAAUUGUGGGUUUGCUUUACAUUCAAAAAGAAAGGAUUGUGUUCUUCAGUUUUUCACAGAGAGGGAAAGAGGGGAACAACUGAAGUUGGGUUUCUAACGGGUUAGAUUUCAACCCGAUUCUACAUGCACCCUCUUUUAAAAACUCACCGUUGGAUGAAAUCCAACGGCUCUUACAUACCCCUCAAAAACACCCCUUAUAACUUCCCACUCACUAUAGAAGCUCCCCCAACUAAAUCCCAAAAGGGAAACAGAUUUGAACAACAUACAAAUUUGAAGGACACACAAAUAUGAAUCUCAGCACCGGUGAGAAAUUAAUUUUAGUUGAGGUUGGUAGGUAGGCAUUGGAAGUUUUUAUUGUUUUUGCUCCAAGUCCCUCCUCCACUCACUAAUACAGAUUACUCGCAAAUGAACUAAAGUCUGCAGGGAUAUAUGGACUCCCCUGUCCAUACGAAUGUUGGAAGAAAUGUGUGUUAAAUUUUAGAGAGACGGGUCUGUGACCCACCACUAGCAACGUUGAUAUUGUCUCCAACUUAACUACAUGUUUAGUAGAUGUGGGGUUUUAUACAAAAAGUAUUGAUGUUAUUGGGAAUGGAACCACUUAUUAUAAGUUAAAAUUUAUUUAGUCAAGUUUCCUAUGUGGGACUUUCUAUUCUUCAACAAGCCCCUUCAUGUGGGACCACCACAUAGUGGGCCACACGUAGAGCCAAGUCCACAUCGGAGUCAAUCAUUCAAGCCCAAUACCUAAACACCACGUAUUGUGUGAGGGGUAGGGGUAAACAUUCAAGCCCAACAUAUGAACACUGUAACAUCCCAACUCCAAAUUUAAUCCCUUAUUUAAAUUAUUUAAGUGAAAUUACAAAUUUACCCUUGGGGUAGGGAUAUUUUGGUCAUUUUCUUACCCGAAAAGAGUUUGGGGCAGUGACUAGUAUUUUUUGGUAGAUCGUACUGAGAUGAGUCUGUAGACAUGUAGUGGGCUCGAUUCGGAGUUGAAACGAAGAAGUUACGAGCAAAACAUCACCAAUGGCAAAACCGUAAAUAUUUCAAAAUGAAUUUUUAAUAAAAAAAACCUGAAAAACCCUCUCUCUCUCUCUCUCUCUCUCUCUCUCUCUCUCUCUCUCCUGCGCACAGCCCCUUUCCCCCCUUCGUUUUUUCUUUCCGUGGCUUCCAAGAGCCACCAUCGCCACCACGAAUCACCACCGGCCAUGAGGCCGGACUCGUUCGAACUGCCGCCGCAUCCUCUUCCUGUUCCGGUCGCUCCCAGUCGCUGCCAUCCGCUGUGCUGGCCGGAAAUCGAAGAAAACCAGCCGAUUUUUGUCAAACUUUCGGCCGCUCGUUCUCCCACUUCCGGCCACCAUUUUGGCCAUCCAGGUAUAGAUUUUGAACCUCUCGAGCUGUUCUUGCUGCCUGUUGUGUUAGAUUUGGGAGAUUUCCGCGUUUUGAAGGUCGAUUAAACGAUGGAAGUUUGGCUGGUUUUUGGCCUCCGAUUCCGGCCACUUUCGGUCACUUUUUGGGGUAGGUCCAAGAACAAAAGUGGUUCCAAAUAGGGUGUUAUACCUAGGGUAGGAGUCUUGAGCCGUGGUUUUGAGAUUUCUCGGUGAUGCGUAAUCGCUUUGGACACCCAUACGCUACCGGCGCGUGUGGUGGCGCGUGGGCACUGUAGAAAUGGGGUAUUGUGUCCCGAUGCGAUCCCCUUGUUGUCACGAGUGUGUAGUGUGCUCGGAUUCCAAUUUGGUUGACAUUCGAACCCCGAACGAAUUUCUCCUAUUGCACGUUAUCCGCGUUUGAUAGGUUUGAACCGUUGGAUAGUCUUGAAUUUAAUAUAUUUAAUCUAAGCAUUUCUAGGAUCGUGUAGGAAUUCACGGAUCAUGAAUCGGAACCCCGGAUGUUCCGAUUUAAUAAUUUAAAGUUUAUGUUUAUAUUAACUGUCAGAUCGUGCAAUCGUGAGCGAUCCGACCUUCCGAUCCGGACCAAACGUGCAGGACGUAUAUCCUAAACCUUGUGGAACCUAUAGGAACUUUCGAAUCAGAAUUUAGAGGUCGUGGGCCUAGUGGCCCCGUUUGACCAAGUGUGGAUAGUUUGACCCUUGGUUGACCUUGAGUCUUCCAAGGUAGUUUUCCUUCCUAGAAGGAUUAUAAUGACCCUAAUGACAGGUCUUGAGCGUUGUUGAGCCAUGUUGACUAGGUUAAGAUUUUUAGAGUGUUUAUUAUUGUCGUAGGAAACUCUUGGACAUUAUUUUAAUAAUUGGAAUUAUAAAAGUGAGUUUUGGGUUCGGCUAUGACUUUAGUGAAUGGACUUUAUUUUUAAAUGAAUAGCAUGGCUUUGUGAUGGAAUUUUUAGGCAUGUGAAUUUAAUGGUUUAUUGAAAUUCAUUUUUAUAAUUAAUAGUUAAUUUAGCAGUUUUGGUAAAGUAUUAGUGAUGUGUGGGGUACUUGGGAUUUUGUUGAGGUUUAUACAAUAUUAGAGAUUAACUUAUAUAUUUAAAUAUAGGUAUGAAUGUAUGAAAAGAGUUUAGAAUGUCAGUUUGAAGUACUAUACGCACUACCCUAGGUACCUCAUCGGAUUUUGAUUACACUAUAAGUACCACCCUGUGAUUGUCAGGUCACCCAUGGCGUAGGAUUUUCCGGCGGAAUGACAGACCCCAUACGUGACGUUGGAAUUUCCGGCGUAUGGGGAGAUGAUAUUAUGAUUGUUAAGUCACACGUGGCAUAGGUUAUCCGGAGUGCUGACAGACCCCAUAUGUGGCGUUGGAAUUUCCGGCAUAUGAGGAGAUUAUGUGAUUGUUAAGUCCCACGUGGCGUAGGUUAUCCGGCGGGAUGAUAGACCCCAUACGUGGGGUUGGAAUUUUCGGUGUAUGGGGAGAUGAUAUAAUGGUUAGGUCACAUGUGGCGUAGGAUUUUCCGGCUUGAUGACAGACCCCAUACGUGGCAUUGGAAUUUCUGGCAUAUGGGAGAUUAUGUGGUUAUUAGAGAGAUGAAUUAAGAUUAUUAUACUGAGUUGGGAACGAAUGAUGUUUGAAAAAGAUUUUGUUUGGGAUUUCUGCAAUUGAUUGCAUGUUGAUGGACUUGGAAAUUUUGUAUGAAAGAACUACGUGUGGCUUGAUCCCUUAGUAAGGGUACAUAUGCAGCUUAGGGUAGUGCCUAGGUGCAGCCGUGUGCUAAACUUUACUCAUGUUGUGUGAUGGAGAUUCGUUCGGACCUUGUUGUUAGUCCUGAAUUUUAGGUGAAAAUGAGAUGCAGUCUUGUUAGGAGGUUUAAAUUUUCUACGUUUAAUAUUUGGGAAUUUAGAUGAUGGAAAUCGCAUUUGGCGUUCAUAAAUGUGUUUGAGUUUAUAUUUGCAUUGUUUAGAGUUAGUUGGUGGUUUCGUUUCGAAUUAUUUGAAGGCCGAAGGCUGAUUAUGUGAUUUAUAUGAAAUUAUCUUGUGCAUACUGCCAGUUGUGAAUAUCAAAUGUGUUUUAUGCACGUUGAAAUUUUUAGGAUUGUUCAACUUACAGGGGAGACUGCCGAAAUUUCGGCAUAAAAUCUCGUGCCCUUAUUCCUUAUUGGGAAAAAUGAUUUAGUUUUAGAAGUGGGUUCGACAUCGGGGUGAUGUCGGGAAUUUUCACAGGAUUCAUCUCGGGUUUCGGGAAAUUCGGGUCGGGUCCUGUCAAACACCACGUAUUAGGUAAGGGUAAAGGCUCAAUUCAGGCCCAGUCAAUCAACCCAUUAUGAUAUCAUGUUAAAUUUCAGAUAGACGGGCCUGUGGCCCACCACUAGUAACAUUGAUAUUGUCCCCAACUUAACUACAUGUUUAGUAGGUGUGGAGUUCUAUACAAAAGAUCUCGAUGUUUUUAGGAGUGAAACCACUUAUUAUAAGUUGUAAUUUAUUUAGUCAAGUUUCCAGUCAACCUGACUUUGAUACCAUGUUAAGAUUUUAAAGGGACGAACUCUUGGCCCACCAUUAGCAAUAUCGACAUUGUCCCCAACUUAACCACCUGUUUAACAAGUGUGGGGUUUUAUCCUAAAGAACUCGAUCUUAUUAAGAGUGGAGCCAUUUAUUAUAUGAAACUUUCUAUUUUGUUAACUCUGUGUAUUCUUCAUCAAUGUGAACACCCCUAAACCAAUCAUACCUGAUACGGAUUGAAACACAAGUUUGUUUUUUGCCUUUGGUAGAUGAGUAGCUAGAAAAGCUCAAUGCACUUGCUCUUCUUCUGCUACAUUUCAAUAUAAGAACAAGGUUUGGAAGCCAGGUCAACUCCUCAUAGUUUCCUUGCCUUUGCUUUGACAUGUCUAUGCACUUCUUGGGGAAGUUUGAAUAAUCAAUUGCAGGCCCCACGACAACUAAGGAACCAACAUUUUGUAGAAGGUUUUGUCUACACCUUUUGACUAUAAGUAAAAUCUUUUGUAUCUGCUCUUAUGUUUCGGUGAAGUUUCUAUGUGUCCUUUGUUGAACGAAAAAAUGAGGUUGUUUCUUACUAGAUUCAAAUACUUAAAAGAAAAAAAGAAAUUAUUGUUUCUUAAUUGAUUUUAUGGUGAACAAUAUCAAACUCUCCUCUUAUACGUCUUCUUCGUUGGACUUGGGGUUGUUUUCCUUAUAUGUCCCUUAUAUAUAUAGGGCCUUUGGUUGAGCCCACAAAUACCUUCAGUUAGUUUUUGGGUUUAGGGGCCUACAGAACCUGCACUAAACAAUAAAAGAAAAUACCUAAUUAGUUUAGUACGAAUUCUAUAAUGAAGGCUUUAUUAGGUAAGAUUUUAUUUCUUAAUCGUUAGAUCAAAUUUGACAGGACCCGUUCCUGAAUUUCUCGGAAAUCAGAGCGAACCCCGUCCUUGUUUCGACAUCACCCCGAUGCAGGGUCCACUUACUAAAAACCGAGACUUUCUACCAAAAUUUUGAUAGAAUCUCCCUUGUAAAUUGAGCAAACCCAACAAAAAUUUCAGCCUGCAACAUACAUAAAAAUAAUCCCAACCAGCAGCAUGCUUACAACAUACAACAAAACGUACUAAAUGGCCUCCGGCCUCACAAGUAAAAUUUAACAUGGGUAAUCUACUGAUGUAAACGAUUCGGCCUUCGAACACUGCUUGCAACCUUCCUGAAGCGACUACUGGCUAAGGGGCGCAAAACAGAAAACAUGUGAGUGGACAAAAACAAGAUUCAAUUAAAACAACAUAGUAACCCCACCGUGUAAAAAUAAUGCUCAAGACAUGUAGGUUUACAAUUCAUAAUUAAAUAUUCAAAAACAAAUUUCAUUUAAAAUUCUUUAAAACCACAAAUCACUCCAUCCAUAAAACCUCAUGCCCACAAUUUUACUGCUCCUACCAACCCACUGUAUAGACUCUAAUUUCUUCACAAUCACAACUAUAUAUAAAUAUAUAAAUUGUAUCAUACAACAUACUCCUCACACUACUUAGGUACAGGGGAAACAAUCCAACCGGAGGAUCGUUUAACUAGCCCGCAGGAUUUUCAGGUGCUAUCCUGAGUCUAGGAAUGAGUGGUCCAACCAGGGGACGAAACUCUAUAGCUCACACACCGGAACAUCCAACGCCACGUGUAGCUCCAAUACUAAGUCCUACAGGCACAGACUGGAUCACCACACACCGGAACAUCCAAUGCCAUAUGUGAUAAUCCCAAGCAAUAUACAGAGUCUUCCCAUACGUCGGAACAUCCAACGCCGCGUAUGGAAAGUGUUCACACGCCGGAACAUCCAACGCCACGUGUGGGAAGCCUAUUAACUGGGGAAAGUACUUACAUAGUGUAAUCAUACAAUUUCUCUCAACAACUCCUCAUACUCAAGUUCUUCCACAAACUCACCUCAACAAUCCCAAGUACCCCACCUAUAGACAAUAUAUAUAUAACUUCCCCAAAAUCUAUACAAAACAUACUCUCGAUAUCCAAAUAUGCCAAACUCACAAUAUAUUGCCAAAGUGCAAUACAAACAUCAAAAUCAACACAUGAAUAUAAUAUAUAUUCAAUAUACCAUUUAAAACAUUAUGCGUAAAUCUUUCAUCAAUAAAACCAUGCGUAUGAUUGAAAACAAAGUCCACUCACAAGUAUUCCUACGCUGCUUGACCACGAGAGAGUCCUGCCUGCUGAGUACGUGCAGUAGGAGCACCUAUUUUGAGAUACAAACCUUUAAUUAAUAUAAAAUUACUUCAAAACGGAAAACACAAAUUAAAUACUUAAAUCCCCAAGUUCCCAGUACAUGUACGUUGAACGAGGUAUCCUAAGGUCUAGUUACAAGUUUGGGAAUCGCUCACGAUUGGACGGUUAUCGCUAACCCACAAAUUUUGAAUUAUUGAAUCGGAACAUUCGGGGCUCCGAUUCACGAUCCGUGAAGUCCUACGUGAUCCUAGGAAUACCUAAAACAACAUAUUUUAAUUGGAAAACGCACAAUAUGCGAAAAUCCGUUCGAUAGUCAAACGAUGUCCGAAUUGAGAUUCGCAAAAUGCUACGCACUCGUGACAACCUGAGGAUCUCAUCAGGACAAAGUGCAACUUCACCACCCUCACCCACGCGCCGGCAGCGCGUGGGUGUGUAGAGUAAAUUCCGGCGAUGGAAAAACUCCACACCUACUUGAGGUCAGGAUCUCAUCACUCAACUACAGGGAGGUUCAAUUAGGACGGCAACUGGCCGGAAUUUCACUUUGAAAUCCAGCCAAAACUUAGGUUUUCUAAUCGGUUCCUAGACAACAAAUCGAUCUAAACCUAUGCAACAGUCAGCUAGACUAAGGAAAAAGAGGAAGAAACCUCACAUUUUUCACUGGAAUCGGAAGGGAGAGGCGACGGGGCGACGUCGGGAAGACUCGGGUUUGAACCAGUCGAUGCCGUUGACGAUUCUCGCAUUUUUCGGGGGGACUUUGGGUGGUUCGGGUUAGUGGCUUCACGACGAGUCGAACGGGACCGGUCUCGGGGGCUGGGGUGGUCGGGUGUGGUGGCGGUGUGGUGGUUUUCGUCUCGGUGAACAGUAACAGGGGAGGGUUUCGCACGCGCAGAGAGGGACUCGGGAGAGAGAGAGAGAGAGAGAGAGAGAGAGAGAGAGAGAGGAGAGAAAAGAAAAAUUAGAUUUUUACUCUCCUCUUUUCAAAAUAUUUACAAGUUUGCCACUAAUGAUGUUUUGAUCGCCAUUUUCUUGUUACAACUCCGAUUCAAGCCUACCGCAUGUCUAGGAAUUCAUCUCAGUACCACCUACCCAAAAUUACCAGUCAUGGUCCCAAACUCUUCCCGUAACAGAAAAUGACUAAAAUACCCCUACCCCAAGGGUAAAUUCAUAAUUUCACUUAAAUAAAUUAAAAAUAGGAAUCAAAUUUGGAGUCGGGGUGUUACAAAAUUGGUUAGUACGAUCCAACGGUUAAUAGAUAAAACUUUACAUAAAAGUCAUAUAUAAGGCCCUCACUAUAGAAUGACUCGUUAGUUUAGUCUCUUGUUACAUAUCAACUGUUAGAGAUAUUUUUUUAAUAAGGAUCUACCAUACCACAUAGUUGGAUAAGACAUUAUACACAACUUUUGUAAGAGCAUCUCCAGCGAGCCAGGCCAGCCCAAGCAGCAAGGGGCCUUAAGCCCGGUAAGCAGCUCCAGCGCUCAAGAUUCAGCCCAGGCAAGGUGUGGAACCCACAAGGAGAUCUGGCCCGUCACCUUGCCUUUGGGUUUCAGUCAGGCUGAUGUCAACGAAAGAAUUUCAAAAAAAUUUUGCCGUUGCAAUGCACGCGCCAACGAUAAAUUUUCUUUGGAUUUCUUGCGUUGAUCCACAGCUACCAAAAACCAACGGCUACAAGCCACGUGGCUUCUCCAAGAGCCUCUGAUCCAAAAAUCUUGUCAAAUCUAACGGCUGUCCAUUUUUUGGCUAAAAAAAUAUCAAAAAAUUAUGGAAACAUUUUCUAUAAAUACCUACAAAUAUUAUUCACUUCCCACACCAAACCUUCAUACAAAUUCAUAUCCUUUCAAUAUUUUUCACUUUCCACACAAGAUUUUCUACUACUAAAUUUCAUUUGUGUAAAAAUACAAGUGGCCUCUUCUAUCAAAGCCGGAGGCGCGUGGACAACCGUGGAAGAUAUUUUGUUGUGUGAGUGUUGGGUCAAAGUUGGUCAUUGCCCGAUCACCGGCAAUGAGAUGAAGUCCUCUCGUAGGAGUUUCUGACAUCGCAGCGAAAGUAAGAUGUGAUAUGAGAAUGUAAGGAAUUUGAUGAGAGGAAUGGGAUUUGAGGAGUUUGAUGUAGGAAUUGAUGUUGAAUUGGAUUUGGGAGGUAUGUAUAUAUGAUUUGAGAGUAUGUGUUUAGGGAUUUUGAUAGGAGGAUUUGAGGAAUUUAGAUUUGAGGGAUUUGGAUUUGGGGAAUUUAAAUAUGAGGAAUUGAUUUAGGGUUUGGGUUUGAAUAUGAGAAAUUUGAUAUGAGAGUUUAGAGACAACUGAUGAUUGAUUGCUCUAAUACCAUGCUAAAAUAUAAAUAUGGUUUGAAUACUUUAGGUUGAGUUUUAUUCUUUUCCAUAAGGAGGUAUAUAUAGCAGUUUACAUGAGUGUUUUACAAGGAAAUAGAUACAGUAAUCAAUUAGGAUAAUAUCUCCUAAUUAUACAAUAAUUUGUCAACUAUAUAGAAUAGGAAAGUAAAUUCCUUAAUUAAUCAAGAAAAUAAAUCUCAUUGAUUAAUUAAGAGACUAACGUCAACAUUUAUAAGCCAUGGAAGAGCAGAAAAAGAGGUACUUAGGAGAUUUUAUACGUCGGACUAAGGUAAGCUUAAAGGACUAUAUCAAAAAAAUAAGGGACCAAGAAGCAAGACUGAGAAGUUGUUAUGCAAACCCAUUAAGUUUAGCAGUGAUGAAUUUGUAAAAAUCAUUCUAGUGGAUGCUGCCUUCACUAUUGAGUUCUUAUUGAGGUUCUAUCUGAAAGGAUGUAGACAUGAAGGAGACCGCUUAUUAAACAAAUCAGCUCCCAUUCUUUAUUCUUGAGGAUCUUUAUCACACAUACAUAAUAACCGACUCUUUUAGGAAUUAUUACAGUACUCAUGAUCAUGAGAGGCUUUCAAUAAUUAAUAUUUCUAAGAAUUUCGUCACAGCUGGAAUAUUGAAUUUGGAGGGGAAGGGAGACAAAUGGAACAGAAUAUCAUCUUCUUCUAGUGUUGGAAAUUUUAUAUUAUUUAAUAAUAUUUAAUUUCUAUUGUGAAUGAAAAAUAAGUUUCUUUAAGAAACGUGUGUCUUAGGCCAGUUUUUCUAACUGGUCGGCUUCCUUAGAUUUGUGCCUAUUGCUUUUCAAAGUAUAAUGAUGCAAUGGUUGUAUCUCGUUCAGGCAAAUGGAAGGUAUAUAGCAAUUUAUAGAACAAUACAGUAAUCCAGAAGAAAUAUUAUGAAAUGAAAAGAAUAAAAAGUAAAAAAAGAGAAGGAAAGGAAUUCCCACCUGCAAUGUAUAUGUAUGAAAGGAAGGACCAAGUUUGUUUUAAAAUGGUAAGAACAAGUUGAUUUAUAAUUGGGUUCAGAUCAACUCAUGGAUUUCUUGCCUUUUCUAUUCUCCUUCCUUGGACAUGAACUGUUUAAUCUUGGCUCUUCCCCAUCAUGUUGGGCCUAUCUUCUUCUUGAGGAUUGUAUAGGCCCAGGAAAUGCUUCAAGAUAGUUUUUGUGUUUUGGGCAUUGGGACCUAACUUCACAAAAAGAAAACAGAUUUGGCCAAAAAACAAAUUUGAAGGACAUUGAAAUUGUACCUGUAGGAUAGGUUAAAACACUGUAAGGGAGGUAAAUAGUACGUUUACAUAGUUUAAGUGUAAUAAAGGAAUAAAAACAUGCCCAGAGGAUUGAUAAGUGAUAUCAAUUCUUGAAUAUAGAGAACGUAAAAUAAAGGAACACGUAUAAAAUUAUUUUAUGUGGUAAAACCCCAUCUCUAGGGAAAAUCCACGGGACUUCUUAGUCCAAAACAAAUCUAUUAUAGAACGAUGAUUACAAGAAGUACUCACACACUUAUCCUAGACACAUUCUAGAUAAUGUUUACUGACCUCUUCGUAACUCAACUUCUGUCACAGGAUGAUCUUUCGACACUUCUUAUGUUGAACGCAAUACUAGUCACGAUUUCUUUCAAGCUCAUUGGAGAAAAACCGCCACAACAGUCUCGGUGCCCUCAAUCUUAUGAGUCACUGAACAUGCAAAUGAAUACAAUAUGAAUGAUAAAAGUGUUUGAUAAAUCACCAAGUUAUGGAACACUUGAUGAUUUAUUUCAAGUAAAAAUUCAGCUUUCCAAAGUUUAUGAAUUGAAAAUAUGAUCGUUAAAGCUCUCUAAACAAAAAAAACGAAGGUCUUAUUUUAUAGACUUUUUCUUUACAAGAAAGAAAACACGUUGAAAACCAAAUCUCCAAUUUCAAGGCUUGACAGAAAAUCACAAAAGUAUCUUUCCUAUUCUAGAGAUUGGUCACAUGAAGUCCAACCAAUAGGAAAUGAGAUAUUUAAGAAAGGAAGAUUUUGAUCAAUAUCAAUAUCAAAUGAAUUCUUAUAUGCCUAGUCAACUAUUAAGGGUAUCUUAACUACUUGAUAUUAUGAUAUGAUUGAAACAUGAUUUCCACGUUAGAAAAUUAAGGGGAUUUUAAAACAUGAAAGUAAUAGGAGAAUCAAAUUGAUUUGGACCAAAAUUGCCUAAAAAGAAAACACUCCUAAAUAAACUUCAAUUCACUUUUAAAAACAGUAAAACUUGAUUGAAUCGUUCUUUAAAACAAUUCCCUAAUAUACAUGCAUGAUAGUGACAUCACUUACCUCUGAAUCAGAUGCCUUUUACGAGUCAAGCCACAAGUUUGUGUUUUGGGGAUUGCUGAGCUGCAUCAAUCCUGCCAAUGUCAAUUCUGCCCCUAGGCUCUCUCAAAGCACGUUUACAAUCUAUGCUAAUAUAUACUAGAGUUUAUGCUAGUAUCUAGAAAAUGCCAACACUAAUUUCGUAACACGUAGAAAUUGUUAGAGAUUGGAAGUUUUUUUCAUUUUUUUCUUCCAGACUCUCCACCACUCACUAAUACAGUUUACUCAUGUGAUGAAUUUACAAAACCUAUUUCUCUACUCUCACAAAGACUAUACUUAGGGGGGGUGUAUUCAAUUAGGAGUCUAGAGCGUUUAAAAAGAUUUUGUUUAAGUGCCAGCUUUCAUAGAACUUGAUGGAACUUUAUAAUUCGUAUAGAACUUGAUAGACUUUCAGAAGACUUCUGUAUAAUUUGUUAAUAAAACUUUCUUAAGCUUUCAUAGAACUUGAUAGGCUUUUAUUCCAGAAUUAUGUAGACAGUAUAUUUCAUUUUAUCCCCAUCCUUGUCAUUUAAAGAAAGAAACUUGAAUGUUUUCAAUCAAAUUUGUUUUUGUUACCAAAGCAAAAACAAAAAGUACUUGUUUGCGAAGGAAGAACAUAUGCACAGUUCAAAAUGAAAAGAAUAAGAAGCAAAGUACCUAUUGGACCAAUGAAUGCUGUGUCAACUAGAGAAGCAAUUGGAUCGGCUGUCAAAGCCAAUGCUACAGGCAAUGCAUCGAUGGUCCAAAUUGCAAUAAAAAAUAUUUUGUAUAAUGGUUCUUGCAGACAAAGACCACAUAAAUUCUGGACUGGUCCAGCUUGAAUAAUAAGGUUAGAUUAGCCGAUGGAUGAGAGUAAAAGCAAAGAAAGUUGAUGAAUUCAUCACCAAUUAUUUAAUAACUGUAACAUCCCACAUUGACCAACGGAGAGGGGGUGAUGUGCCUUAUAUGUACAUGCCCACUUCCAUCUAGCAUGAGUCCUUUUGAGAGCUCACUGGCUUCGGAGUCAUGGGAACUCUGAAGUUAAGCGAGUUGGGGCUAAAGCAAUCCCAGGAUGGGUGACCCACUGGGAAGUUGCUCAUGAGCUUUAGAAACAAAAAUCAUGAGGGCAUAAAGGGAGGCCCAAAUUGGAUAAUAUCGUGCUACGGCGGAGCCGAUCCCAGGAUGUGACAAUAACCAAUAGAGUAUUUAAACAUAAACAACAAUGUUUGAUAAACAAAACAAAUAGUCCAAAUAUUAUCCAAAAAACAAUUCUAAAACCAAUCAUUCCAAACAAACUAGUCAUUCCCAAAAACUCUCAAAAAACCCACUCAUUCCAAAUUAUAGGAUAUCCAAUUUGAGCGCUCCUCAGGAGACAUUUUCAAAAAUGCAUCCUUUUUUGUGUUACUAUGCAACAAAGAGAGCGCUUUAUAAUGAGCACGUUCAUCCAAAUUUGAGGUCUCCUUAAUGGCAUCCCACAUAUAACUCUGCUGCUCUCGCUCUUUUCCCCUUUUUGCCAAUAGGUUAUGGACCUCCCGGAAGUCGGUGACAAUUGAAUCAAUGCUAAGGCUAAUUCUUCCCAUAGCUUGUUGGGUGGUCACAUUUGAGAUGGCAUUCCCUUCCAAAUCUAUUCUAGUUCGUUUCCUCUAGUAACAAGCAUAAAUCCUAGUAACAAGCAUAAACCCUAAUCCCAACCUAUAACCUAAUAACAAGAAAAACACGAUGAAAAAAAAAUCAUGGAAAAAGAAAACCCAACGAGGUAUUGAUCAAAAAAAAAAAUAGGGAGCAUACCUUCACAGAUGGAGGAAGGAAGCUGUUUGUCUUCACAGAGAGAAAAGCUAGGGAAAGAGAAAAACGUCUGAUGAAAUACUUUGGGGGGAGGUUGGAUUUCUUUUGGUCUUUGAUAUUUAUAACUCUCCCCUUAAAACCUACAAAAAUUUAUCACUUAAUGAAAUCCUUCCAAAUAUAUGACCUUUCGAAUACACCUAGAUUUGAUUCAACUUUUUUAUAAUCCUAAUUGAAUACACCCAUAUUUGAGUGGACUUUUUAAAAGUUCAUAUAAGUCCGAAUUGAAUACACCCAGACUUGUAAAACCUCUUUUAAAGUUUGUAUAAAUCCAAAUUGAAUACACCCGGAUUUUUAAAAUAUUUUUUAAACGCUUUAUAAUCCUAAUUGGUACAUCCCCCUUAUUCUCAAAAGACUAUAUCACUUUACCUCUAUCUCUGUGAAAUGUAAAAAGUUGAAACUUUAAUGUCAAACCUCGACAAAAGAUGAACUUCCAUCAGUUGCGUUGAAUUUGGAUUUGUUGAACUAAAGUGGUUUUACUUUCUCUGUCAGUGUUUGAUGACUUAAUUUGGUAUUUACUUCUUUUUUUCCUUGGAAAUGUGUUCCACCAACGUGAGGAAGAAAAAUGUGCACAAAUUAAUAUAUUUAAUAAAAGCCCAAGAUUUCGGAAGCACAUAAUUUCUACAAAAAUCUAGAAAGUGUUCUACUUUACAAACUUCUUAUGUCUAUCAAUUUCUACUAAAAUUAAUUUCUCUGUGGUGCUCAGAUUCAUCAUAUGUGUGUCCUUAAUUUUAUUGGAAAUUAGAAGUUUCCAUAAUUUUUAUUUUUUGGGAAUUUUCUGAACCAAGAAAAAUCAAGUAAAAUUAAUAAAGCUUAAAUUGGAAAGGGAAAAUAUCUAGAGGACGCAUUGUAGGAUUUCUCAUGCCGAUAAUUGUACCCUCUAAAUAUAUAGGGACAUAUUUUUUUUGUUUUCAUGACAUGUGGUCCUAAAAUUAUUGUUCCUAGCGGGCUCUCCACCCCCUCUCAAAUUUACGUGGUCCAUUAUGAUUAACCAUAUAUUUUAUUGACCAUCCAGCUGUGAGGUUUUAUCCCAAAAACCUUAGGUACAUUUCUCAAUUAUGUCUGAUACAUCACAUCAUGCCACAAUUGUAUAUUCACAAUUAUGUCUGAUACAUCACAUCAUGCCACUUGCCUCAAAUGAAUUUAAGUGAGUGUGGCAGUGGGAAGUAAUUACUUCUAGGUGCCCCUCAUCAUUCGUCUAUAAAAUGGUGAAGCCAGUGGCUAUAAGAGCCAGCUCCAACUUUCUUUUAUUCGUCUAUAAAAUGGUGAAGCCAGUUGCCAAGUUAAUUUCAGUCCUAAUGGGGUUUCAUCUCCCACUCAUCUUUGCUAUUCUCAGUGUAAGCUCUGCAAUUUGAUUAACUUUUCCAUUCUCUCUCAUUGUACUCUAUAUAAACGAAAGUUUUGUGUUCCUAUAAUUCUCUUUGAUUUUAUUUAGUACGUACUUAAGUGUCGUCCACUAAUUAAUUACAGUUUGUGAGAUUUGAUUUUAAUUAGAGUUCGAAUUAAUGUUGCAGCUAGCAGUGGUUGCACUGGCAAACCAUGCUGCUCAACCAGCACCUCAACUUUACUGGAACUCCGUCCUGCCAAACACACAAAUGCCAAGAUCUAUCAGUGAACUUCUGCAUCCUGGUUUGUGUUGAGCUCUUUAGAAUCUUAGAUAUCUCUUCUACCUGCCAUUUUACUAAAAUAUGUUCGACCACAUAUUUAUCAGUUAACUACUGUCAUUACAUGAGUGACACUUAUUCACAAAUCGGCUGAUCACUUAUUUUCCAUUUUACAUGAGUGAUAUAUAAUUUGCAGACUCCACAAAUGAAGAAAAUAUCGUGAAUGCUGUUGGGAAUGGAAAGCGCAAACCUGAAAUUUUCCCAUUGAGAAAUAUAAAUUACGUUCAAAGCCAUUAUGGAGUGUUAAAUAGAAAUUACGUUCAAAGCCAUUAUAAAAAACGUCCUCCUCCACCUGAAAAUAUCCCAUUUGCAAAUCGAAAAAAGUACGCACUAGGUUCUCCUCCAUCUGACAAUCAACUACUCCAUUAUAAAGAGUUAGCUAUUUUCUUCUUCGAGAAGGACAUGCGCCCUGGCGCAACAAUGAAGUUCCAAUUCCCUAGAAAUUCAAACACGGCUACUUUCCUGCCACGCGAAAGUGCUCAAUCGAUCCCCUUCUCCUCUAACAAACUACCAGAAAUUUUCAACCAUUUUUCAGUGAAGCCAACAUCUGUGGAAGCCAAAACAAUUAAGCAAACAAUCGAAGAGUGUGAAGCUCCAGGCACUAAGGGAGAGGAAAAAUAUUGCGCCACAUCUUUAGAAUCAAUGGUUGAUUUUAGCACUUCGAAGCUUGGAACAAGAAACGUUGAAGCAGUCUCGACGGAGGUAUUGGAAAAAGGAGCCACCAUGUCCAUGCACAACUAUACAACAAUGCCGGGACUGAAGAAGUUGGCAGGUGACAAAGUCGUUGUGUGUCAUAAGGAGAACUAUCCCUAUGCUGUGUUUUUCUGCCAUGCAAUAAAACAAACAGCAGCUUAUGUUCUCUCCCUGAAAGGCGAUGAUGGGGAGAAGGUUAAAGCAGUAACCAUCUGCCAUCUAGACACAUCAGAAUGGAACCCAGAGCAUUUGUCCUUCCAAAUCCUCAACGUUAAGCCCGGAACCGUUCCCAUCUGCCAUUUCAUUUCCACUGAUGCUAUUGCCUGGGUUCCAAAACACAAAUUUGCAUGAUCAUCACUUAGCACUGUGGUGUAAGAUAUAUGAUGAGAUAAAGUUUUUGGUAUUAGUGGUCGGGUUGCCUGAAAAACACAGAUUACAGAAACUGCUUGAAAUUAACCCGAUCAUGUUUUCUCUUGUAAGACUUCAACUUGUACUCCUAAAGCAAGUUAUAUUUAUGAAGAGAUAUUAAUCUAUAUAUAUUUUAUGUAUAUAUAUAUAUAUAUAUAUAUGCUUUGGCUUUGUGGUUCUACCCAGUGUUUGAGUGUUGAAUUGUUACGUUGGAAUAGGCUGAUAAUGCGUGUAGUUAGAGAAGCCUUCAUUUAUAUCAAAGUCCUCAAACUAUCAAGAACUAAUGUAUCCAGAAACAUAUACCAAGACGCAAAACAACAUAUUUUCCAUGCUCUGUCUGUAACGCCAAAGCAAACUUCCUUUAUCACAUCAUUUAAAGGAUCAAAUUCCAGUACUAAUCUAAUCCAUCAUGUAAAGCAUACAAGUGCCUCCCUAAAUUUGUCCAUUGGAUAUAAAUGUUGAGAAAAUUAGAGUACACAACUCUAAUAUGAUAGUUGUACACAACUCUAAUAUCAUAAAGCAAACAAAAUUUCUAAGUUAGUUUGCUUUAUGAUAGUUGUUUUUUGAAGGGGUCCUUAGAUCCUAUCUCAAAAAGUUUGGCUUUUAUUAGGUUUAACUCUGGUUUUUAUCUCUACCCACUAACUUUUAUCUCUCAUUUUUAUUACCCAUUUUACCCUUUAAAAUAAAUAGGGCAAUAAACUAAAAAUUCUGAUUUAAUGCAUGUUUUACUCAUAAGAGAACUAAAAACUAAAAAUUCUAUACUCUAACACAAAAAAUGAAAACUAAAAACUAAAAUUGAAAUGGUUUCAAGCAAUUGCAUGUCAGGCGCUAUAUAUAAUGUAUUAGCCAUGGUUUGUUUAAUACGCGGUCAUUCGUCAUUUUCCCAUUCAAAAUAUUGAAAUUACGAACUACAUACCAUGAAAGAUAAGAAACUAAAAGCUUCAAGCAAAUAGAAAUGUGCUACAAACAUAGUAAUGAAGAUGUGGAAGCAUUAUCUCAGACGAAUGAUUCUGAAGUGGAAAAAACAAGAACAAAAAAGGAAGUGAGUUAAAUUUGCACCUGCUAUGUUCAAACGACAAAGUUGGUUUCCCUUUGGUCGAUUACAAGAGAAGCUCAAUGCAGCUUACUUGGUUCCUCUGGUAGAUGAAAAUAUAAUUUUUCUCCUAAUAAUAAGGGUAUAGUGCAAUCAAUGAUGGGCUGUAUAGAACAACUUUUUUGUUUUAUGUGUUUAUGUGAGACAUGUUUUGCCAGAUUGAAUUAAUGUCUUCUAGCCAUGUACCUUAUCUUUUUGCCGGGCCAUGAGUUGAAUGUAGAGGCAAAGUAUGGACUUGGGGUCAAGUUUGACUUGUAAAAUAAUUAGGAAUUGAAUGGCUCCUACGUUCAAUUAUUUUAAUUUUUUUUCCCGAGCCAUUCAAUUCCUAAUUAUUUAGAUUUUCGAUUUAGUGAGCAUCCACAAUCAUGCUCUCUAUUUUUAAGUUAAAUUUUAGUUAAAAACAUAUAAAAGUUAUUUAGGAGCUCUCUAUAAAAUUUAAACUUCAAUCGUUUUCUAUAGUUUAGGGAGUCAUAAAUGUCAUAACUCUUUUUUGAUUGGUCCAUCUCUAUUAAAAAAUAAAAUAAAAAAUAGUUAGCAUGAAAUAAAGGUUUGAAAUACUCAUUAAAUAAAGCAGCAUUAAAUUAUAGGGAGCCACUAAGAGUCCUUUCUCUCUCCUCAAGUUUAGGAGCUCCUAGAGGUCUCCCUAUUUUAAGAGGUGGAUAGGGAGUAUGGUUGGAAUUGUAUUUUUACAAUUCCUCCCUAAAAAUUUUCUAUGGAUAGGUGGUUUUAAGGAACCCAUUGUGGAUGCUCUGAUCUCAAAGAAAGAAAACCUCGAGUUUGCAAGCAAGUUUUCUACGUAUGUAUAUAUGAAAAACUGACAUUUAUGAAAAUAAUAAAUCCAUAUUUUUAUGUAAGCCAACUUUCUAAAUCCAUGUACUAUAUUUAUUAGGGAAAUAUUGGAGAAACUGAUUAUUUUGAAAAAUUAAAUGUGAAAAACUGAACAAAAAUUUGACAGGUUACAUAUUUCAACUCAUUCAGCAGCUUAGGUUGUGAAGACCUCAGAAGAGGCUAUGCAAUGAGCCUAGCUAGUGCACUGUUGAUCACUUCAGUGUUUACCGAUCUGUAAUUUUUCCAGAUUGGUUAUAUUUUCCUUUACAUAUUCUUAUAUUUUUCCCAGUUGGGGAGACUUAUAAAUAAACCCAAAAUGGGUACAAUAUCUAUACAGAAGGACAAAAUUAAAGUGUUUGGACAAUAAUCCCCUAUUCAUUUUGGGAUUGCCUAAGGAAUUCUUUUUCUGAUUUUCAAUGAUGCAAAGGACUGUUGUUUGAUGCUUGCCGUAUGGAGCUAAGAAAACUUGCUUUGAUAGUUUUGGACAGAUGCAAGCUACUGUUGUUGGUAGGGGUGGGCACGGUCCGGAUUGGUUCGGUUUUACUCUCAAACCACAGCUGAACCAAUAAGAAAAUAACGGUUCGGUUUGGUUCGGAUUAGCCUAAAAUCAUAAUGGAAACCGAACCAAUCCAAACCACUUGUAAUCGGUUUGGUUCGGAUUGGUUCGGCCGGUUUGUGCCUAACACAAAACCAUGCAUUUUUCAACCUGCUCUUACAUUAUAAUGCUAACAUUUUGCCAUUAUAUCAUUCCAUUCCAUUCCAUCAAAGGCUAAUACAACAUCAUUCCAUUUAUUCAAAGGUUGUCCAAUGUCUAGCAUGCAUCUAAGUUCACAAUUUCCAUCAAAACAAACAUAUACAUAAUUUGCAUUAACCAAGUAGCAUUACAUUUACUCAUUGCAUUCAUCACAAUUCAUAAGAGAUGAGAACGAAUCAAUUUUACUUUAACAUAUUAAACAAAUGCAUUCUUUGUAAUAGUUAAACAUUCUCACAUCAUGAAUAUCGGCAAGCUUAUAAAGCUGCUGCACCAACUUGCUAAUUGAUUCGUCUGUACCAGGAACAACAGUAGUAAUGCGAGAGAACCCCUCAACUUCUGCAUGGCCAACAGCUAAACUCUGGAAACGAGAAACCAGCUCAAUUAUAACAAAUGCCUAAAACUUCUACCUUAACAGAAGACAAAGGAGGAAAUAACAGCAGAAGGAAACCAAAUUUCUCAAUUUAAUAACUGAUAUUUCCAAAGGAUUCUUAAGUCUAAAAUUCGACCAAGACUUGAUUAACUAUUCCAAUGUCUAGCAUGCAUCUAAGUUUAUAACUUUGUUCCUUCUUUAACAAAAAGAACAAGGAGAAAAAGCUAAUAAUAAGGUAUCCUUCUUUAACAGGCAUCAAGCAUAUCACAUAAGCAACAUUUUAUAUACAUUAUUCUAUGAACAAAACUAAAUCAAAGCAAGGUAUGCUACAGUCUUUUUGUACAAUAAAAUAGAUUAACAUAUUUUAUAACCAUAAAAAUGAAAAAUUAGGCCUCAUAGAAAAUACCAUUUUAUUUUUCAACUCUCUAACUUUUUAUAUAACCAGUUAUUGGAGACAAUACAAAAAAUAAAGUAGUAGACAGAACUAGCAUAUUUUACAAACCCAGCUGAUGAUGACGAUCCACCACCAACAAUAUUCCCAUAAUCAAUCCUUGCAUAACCUGAUGGUCGAUGAUGGAACUUGGGUUUUGUAGAGAUGGAUUUCGCUGAGGACAAAUGGGUGGGUUUCGCCGAGUUCGAAUCAUGUUGGCUUGAGUUAGCGUCGAGGGAGAGGGAGAGGGAGAUGUAGCAGAGAGACAAAGAGAGAGGGAGAGGUAGCAGAGAGAGAUGGAGAAAUAAUGAGAGGGAGUUGCGGCUAGGGUUAAGAGACGAAGGAAGGGAGAUAGGAGAGAGGCUCUUCUGAGGGAGAGAGAAUGGUUAGAUAACUUAGAUGUGUCCGUGAGUUGUAGUUUUGGAGUCCAAUCAAGUGUUGCAGGGUACAUGGUACACUCUUAAAUAACCACUCAAACCUUGCCACAUGUAAACUAAAUUAAAUAAAUAAUAAAUUGAUUUAUAAUCGGUCCGGUUCGGUUUAGGACAGUUUUUAAAACUCUCAAACCACAGCUGAACCAAACCAAACCGGUUCGGUUCGAUUUUUCAAAAUGUUGACUUUUUCUUUGGUCAAAACCAAACCAAACCAAUCCAAUAUAAUCGGUUCGGCUGGAUUGACCUGAUCGGCCAGAUUGAUGCCCACCCCUAGUUGUUGGGAUGAUCUUUUCACGUGAAAUGAGGAUGACGAUACUUCUACACUACACAAUCCAACGAAUUCACAUUUCUAUUUCAGAUACAUGUAUAAACAGACAAGGCUUUAAAAUAUGGGAUGCUGCACUGUUGUUGCUGCUGCUGACACUGUUACUGUGUUGCUGCUACUGUUACUGCGCUGCUACUGGAAGAAGGACAAGGACUUCACAUGUUGCUUUCGUCCUUUGUGGAGGAGAGAGACCUAGGACUUGCAUGUCUUAGAUAUUUAAGAUAAGGGGCUUUCGUGCCAUUUUGAAAAUACUUUGGGUGUUUUUGAAAGCUGCUUGUUUCUUUUGGGUUUCUCACUAAAUUUCGCUAUUAGAAGGGAAAAUAAUAAUAAUAAAAAUACAGCUCUUAUUAGCAACAGGGUUACAAAUUCUUCUACAACACACCAACUGUUGUAAAAGUUUGAAGGUGGAGCCCACAGAGGAAGUUUCCUUGCAUCUUCCAGGAACUUUCCCUUCCCUGUAUUUAUCAAUUCAGGAAGUUUCCUUGCAUCUUCCAGGAACUUUCCCUUCCCUGUAUUUAUCAAUUGAGGAAGUUUCCUUGCAUCUUCCAGGAACUUUCCUUCCAUGUAUUUAUCAAUUCAGGAAGUUUCCUUGCAUCUUCCAGGAACCUUCCCUUCCCUGUAUUUUACCAAAACCUUAGCCUAUAAAUAGGCUUGCUCAUUCACUUGUAAUACACACCAAAAUGAAGAGAAGAAUGAGUGAGGAAAGAAAGAAAGGAAGAGAAGGAAGAAAGAGGGUGAGUAAGUAGAGAGAAAAAUAGAGUGGAGAGAAAUUAGUGAGCCACAUAUAUUGUAAACACUAAAGUUGUAGCCCUAUUAUUUUACAUAGUGGAAAAGUUACUACUGCUGCUCUCCGGGGACGUAGGCAUAGCCGAACCUCGUUAAAUACUGUGUCUCAUUUACUUUACGUGCAGCUCAAUAUUCAUACAUAUUCCAGGUUAUUUUUAUAACACGUUAUCAGCACGAGAAGCUCUCAGGUAUAAUUUUUGUGCUGCACUAUUAUCUAUACUACUAACCACUAACAAAAAUGGACCCUUGGUAAUACUAAACAUAUUAUCAGUGGGAGACCGUUACUAAUACUAACUUUUUCUUAUUUUAUUCGGUGGUGGUUUUAACCCCACAUUUAUUUACUGUAUGGUGUAGGUUUAUUACCCAUACAUGCACCUUUACUUUAUCGCAAAUUUAUUUUACCGCAUAUUUAUUUUAUUUACUGUAUGGUGUAGGUUUAUUACCCAUACAACAGUAUUUAUUUAAAAGGGUGGUGCGAGUUUAUCGUCCACGCCUUUGCUUUUAUUUAAAUGUAUGGAGCAGAAUUAGUGCCCAUACAAGCACAAUUUACUUUACCGCACAUUUAAUUUUAUUUAAAGUAUGGUGCGGGAUUAACGUCCAUACAGCAAGCAAUUUAAUUUAUGAAUUUAAUUUACCGCACAUUUACAUUUAUUUAAAAGGGUGGUGCGGGUUUAUCGUCCACGCCUUUACUUUUAUUUAAAUGUAUGGAGCAGAAUUAAUGCCCAUACAAGCACCUUAACUUUAUGAAUUUAAUUUACUGCACAUUUACAUUUAUUUAAAGUGUGGUGCGGGUUUAUCGUCCAUACCAGUAAUUUAUUUAUCAGCAAUUUAUUUUAUGGAUUAAUUGUUUAUUUAUCAGCAAUUUAUUUUAUGGAUUAAUUGUGCUGUAUGAUGAGUUUUUCCAGUAUGCAGAUCAGGACCAGAAGUUCCUUGAUCCUCAUCAUACAAUUACAUCAGGACUUGAAGAUCCUUGAUGAUGAUAUUAAAAUGAGAGCUGGCAGUCUCACCGGUACUGUAUUUGUAAACAUGUGAUUGGACUUAAAGGUCCUUGAUCCCUGACAUGUAAAUAAGGACCUAGAGUUCCUUAAUGAUGUAACAGUACCGUAUUGGUUCAUAGUGCCGUACACAUUGAUGAUAACUGUACUGGCAGAUGAAUAGAUACGUAUUCAUGACUUGAUGAAUAGUACUAUUCACAUGAAUAGUGACGUAUGCAUAAAUAUUAACCAUUUUGGGUAAACCGUCACUAUAUACAAAAGGGAACCUGCAGUUCCUUAAACUCAUGGAUGAGCAAUUAAAUGAGAUGCCAGAAGUUCCUCAAAAUAUGGACAAUUAUGUAAGGGCUUGAAGUCCCGAAAUAUGUACAGAAAAUUGUAAAAAUGUCCAUACCAUGAGAAUAUGUGGCUUUGGCCUGAAGUUCCAAAUUUAACAGUGUUGAGAACCUGAAGUUCCAACAAUUAAAUGGACAACCCUUGAGGUAUUAUUGCAAAUUGUGGUAUGCCACAUAUUUCUUUGGCAUAAGAAGAUGAUGAAUUUAAUAAAGUUCGAUUUUGUUAUAAUCGACACCUCAAGGAAGAAAUAUAUUUUGUGAAUUCCGGUUGUUAAGAAUACACCGCGAAAUGGAUAAUAUUAAUAUAAACCUCAAAUAAUGAAUUGAGACUCCCCACAUAUUUUGUUAUAUCUGGGCCGGAAGCCCAUGGAUCCAAAUAUAUGAGAGAUCCUAAACUUGAAGUUGUGGGUAUAUAGUAGUUAAUGCUCUUCACUACUAUAUUGCGAUAUUAUCAUGGCUUUUACUCAAUUCAUAUUUCAUGUCCAUUUGAAAAGGGCAAAUAAAUUCUGAGUUUGUGCCCAGGCCAUAAGUUCCGGGCUACCAUACGUUGAAAUAUGAAAUUUGGGAGAGUCGAUGUGGUUAUUUGAACCUAUAAGGCACAAGGUUCCAAAUCGUCAUUUUGAAAAGACGUAAAAACCAAAGGUGCAAGUUUAAGAAUGUGCGCAAUUAUUAUUACAGGAACAUACAACAGAUAGAUUUUUUCCACUUGCAAUGAAGGUGCAGGCCCUGUAAAAUCUAUAAAAUUACAUUAUGUUCUGGAAGCCUCUGAAGGAAGAGGACGGCGCCUCUUAAGCUUAGCCAUGAGCUUCUCAUGGUCUCCCAAAAUUCUUUCAUUGGAGACCUGCAGCAUGUCUAGCCUUCUCAGUGUAUCAACAGAGUACGAACUCACCAGUUUCAACAAGGAAUUAUUCUCUCCUUUAAGUUUCUCAACCUCCUGUUGAGACUCAUGAAGCAUUCUUUGGAGAGACGAAUUUUCAGUUGUUAAAUUCUCAACCUCGUUUGCUCUGGCACGCAAACGAUCAGCCAUGUUAGAAACAGAAACAGCACUCUGAAUGCUAAAAGCCAUUGAGUCAUCAAUAGCCUCUUCCUCUGAUCUCCCCGUCAACAACAUUUCAUCCAUUGGAGUAAUGAAAUUCCUAGCUACUAUGACAGCAGUAGCAUCAUUCAUCAUCACAGAAUCAUUAACUGUGAGAUGACGAUUUUUGGAUACAAAGGAUGGACGCCAAACUUGGGCGUCACUGGUAGUUGUGGGAGUAUCAUUUAAAUUGAAAUAAUUUGGGCAGGAAGAAGAGGAAGCCAUUUUUAAGAAGGUUUCGAAGAAAGCCUUAGGAAAACUAAAGUUUCAUAAAAUGAAGGAAGUUAAGUUGAAACGCAAUUGCUCCAAUCAAGUUUUGCAAAGGCAAUAUCUAUAGACGAAAAUAUGGCAAUAUCUUCAGGAUUCCAAUAUCUUCUCGAAUCCCCAUAUUAUCUUUUUCUUUCCCAGAGUCCAAAACUUCACGUGGCCUCUAAUAAUGCCUGUCGGCACUUUCGGCGUUUUUCAAAGUAUUAUUUUCAAAGCCGAUCUUGCUUUACGGAUUUCACGGAACUACUUUUUCAAAAGUAUCCCGAGAAUCUCGCAAUUUUCCUAUGGUUAAUUUGAAAUUCACCGGUUCUACCUAUUUAUUGUAUUUAUGUAUAAAUGUGUUACUAACGAAAUUUUCUUUGCAAAAGACAUCCAGUUUUCUCCAUACCUAGUGAUGCGAUAUCUACUUAUUUUUCUUAUCAGUGAGCACUUAAUAUGCCUGAGAAGCAAGACUAUCUCUGAUCAUACAUUCAGGAAGCAAGACUAUCCCUGAUCAUGUUUCCGCUACAUUAGGGAACUGUGAAGGUGACCUUAUGCUCCAAUCUCCUGAGGUCUUUCUAGACUAGGAGAAAUGAGAGCUUGUUGUUUGCUCCCACCAGCUUCCUUCCUUGAUUGCUUACCUUACCUUGCAAUCAAUAUCACAAUCUUUUUGCAUUUUUUCUCUUUUUAUAACUCUCUGUUCAUAAGAGAUUUUAUUUCUUUAGAAUGAACAUCUGAAGAAUGAAUCCAUGAAGUAAUCCUAACUAUGAGGGUUAUUUGUUUUGACAGAGGCAAAAGAGUUGUGAUUUUUGCUCUUGCAGGAUAUAACUAGAUCAUCAAGCGCUACAUUAUAUUUACUGGGCUGAUAUGAGCUUGAAUGAUACUUGAGAAAAGUUUCUCCCACCUAAGGAUGUAAGCAAUACUUGUGUUAUUUUAUGCUUAUAUACCUAUUUGAUAUUUUAUCUUGAAAGGUAACUAAAUGGGGAGAUAAGUCCGUUCCAAAAGAAUGACUUGUAUGUAUCCAUGAAUUAUUAAUGCAAAUUUUACAGAUUGCAAGUUGGAUACAUUGAUAAUACACUGCACAGAUUAAAGUCCCAUAAGAACAGAAUAUGGGUAUAGCAGUGAUCAAUAUGAUGCACGCCUAUUGCGUAGCAAAUGAUAUGGAUUGAAGUCCCGAAAGGACAAUCCUUUGACAUUUCAAUAUUGAUAUUAUGCACGCCUAAUGCGUAGCAAAUUAUAUGGGUUAAAGUCCCAUAAUAUGGGUUAAAGUCCCAUAAAUUAAUUGACAUGUAUGUAUUAAUCUGUGGCAUGCCUGCAGCAUGACAGAUAUAUGGGUUCUAAAUGUUCCAACUCCCUAAAUGGAGAUUAUCCACGCCCUACUAUAAAAUAACGCUCCAUUGGAGGUUAUAAUCCACAUUCUCACAUAAUAAAAGCCCCCUGCAGUGGCUUGGGUACCCAAAAGCAAAGAAAUGCUUAUAAUUGAUGCAUGCGCAUGCACAUGAGAAUGGUGGGAUCAUGAAUUGAUGAAUGACAAUUUUUGAUCAUGAAUUGAUGAAUGACAAUUUUUGGUUUUAGAGUAGCUACUCAAAUCAUCAAUGGGCUGUGUUGAUUGGAACCACGUUCAAUUAUUAAAUGUCGACAAUAUCAUUGGCCAAAAUGGAACGAGGUAAUUCCAUUAUAAAUGAGAAUGAACGUGAAAGAACAAACCCACAAUACGAACCCCAAAAUUUGUUAAUACUAAAAGUUAUACUUGGGUGUUCGGAAUAAAAGGAAAUAUAUCUACUUUGUAUGACACACUGUUUCUGGCAGAAACAAGGAAUGUUGGGUUUUCUCCAUAUUUACAGAUUCAAUUGUGCCCCCCUUAUUACACAAUUACGGAGACCAACAUAUUAUCUUUAAGGGUUAUUAAUGCACAGAGCAUAUCGCCAGAAGCGAUUUCCUAAAGAUGUAUAAAUAGCUGGGUAAAAGCUAUAUAAUGUGUCAUAAAGUUUAAUCCCUUUUAACCAAAAUCUGUUGAGAGGAUUGAUAUUGCAUAGAGCAAGUCCCUAAAGAACAUGUGCUUGAAGCACAAAAUUUGUACUCAAUAUUAAUAUGCAUAAAUUACCUCAGUGAGUACAUUGAUUAUAAUGUGAUUGCAACACAUUAAAGCUUCUGCAGAAUUCAUGAAAUAUUUGUCUCGAUCGAGCAUUAUGCCAACGAGAUUCUUGCUUAUACUAAGAAAGUAUUAAAGUAUUUUUAUGAGGAUUAUCCGUUGGACACUUUAAUGAUUUUCCGGAAGUAUAUUGGACCGGACAUCAUAUUUUCCAGAUAGGGCUCAACUCCAUCACCAUCAUUUUGGGAUGAUGUGAGGUAUAUUUGAUGCUAUCUAAGCAUAACACCAUAUAGGGGCAUAUUUUUUUAGUGAACUUAUAAAUAGCCCAAGUGUUCUAAGAUAUGCGGACUCAGGAAAUCUCUAUGGUCGCUUACUGGAAAAAGCUAGUCAUGAAGUUUUCAGGGGGAGAUAUUCAUCAGGGAGAGCAUGGUAUUAAUAAAGACCUUCAUACACUAUUGACUCACAGCAGCAGUGUCAACUAUGAUAUUCAGACAGAUGAUCAACAGUAUGGCUUAAAGAUAUUUUGCCAAGCAUCAGGGGGAGCGUGCUGUCAAUACAGACCCUUACCCACUGUACUCUUUUUCCUUCGUCCAGGUUUUUAUCCCACUGGGUUUUUCCUGGCAAGGUUUUAACGAGGCAGUGUCGCACGCGCGUCAAUAUACACAGAAUUUUAUGUUACACGUGAUUAUGUACUCUUUUUCCCUUCGACCAGUUUUUGUCCCACUGGGUUUUUACUGGCAAGGUUUUUAACGAGGCAUAUUCCAUAUCAUUUGUGGUCUCCAAGGGGGAGUGUUGUAAAAGUUUUAAGGUGGAGCCCACAGAGGAAGUUUCCUUGCAUCUUCCAGGAACUUUCCCUUCCCUGUAUUUAUCAAUUGAGGAAGUUUCCUUGCAUCUUCCAGGAACUUUCCUUCCGUGUAUUUAUCAAUUCAGGAAGUUUCCUUGCAUCUUCCAGGAACCUUCCCUUCCCUGUAUUUUACCAAAACCUUAGCCUAUAAAUAGGCUUGCUCAUUCACUUGUAAUACACACCAAAAUGAAGAGAAGAAUGAGUGAGGAAAGAAAGAAAGGAAGAGAAGGAAGAAAGAGGGUGAGUAAGUAGAGAGAAAAAUAGAGUGGAGAGAAAUUUCUCCAAGAGAGAAAAAUUAGUGAGCCACAUAUAUUGUAAACACUAAAGUUGUAGCCCUAUUAUUUUACAUAGUGGAAAAGUUACUACUGCUGCUCUCCGGGGACGUAGGCAUAGCCGAACCUCGUUAAAUACUGUGUCUCAUUUACUUUACGUGCAGCUCAAUAUUCAUACAUAUUCCAGGUUAUUUUUAUAACACCAACAUCAAUCUAGCCCUGAUCCACUCUUUUACAUACUUGAAAACAAAACAAAACACGAAAAACAAAAAACAACAGGGAGAAAAUGGCUCCGGAGAGACUUACUGCUAAUACUUGAUCAAUAACAGAGAUAAUAGAGCACACUGUUUGUAUGGCAGUGAGUAUCAGAAGAAUAAUAGCUGCCCAAGGUGUGUUGAAAUACUUUUGUCUCAAAUUUGCCUUCCAUAUGUUCGUGGUCUUCUCGCAAUACUCGUUUAGUUUGCCAGCAAGAUCACCAAAAUAGUAGUUUCCCUGGUUAAUCAUAAUGGAAACCUUACUGUUGUCACCUAGCGUGUUUACAACAAUUCCAUUGUCAACAAGCAACUCUACAUCCUUUGGGGUGUUUACAAAUUUAUCCAGGAUGAAAACAUAAUCGCUUAAUUAUUUAUUAACGCAAUGGCAUUGUUCAAAGGCAAUGAGAUUUCUAAGUGUAAGCUCUGUGUAAUCAUGUAUUUCAAUUUUUGGAAUUUCCAAGGUGUUUUUCAAGAACUGUAUAUCGAAUAAGUUCUUGCUUGAUUCAACGUUAAACUUAACUCCGGCCUGGUGUAGUUUUGUCAUGCCGGGUGUACUUUGGAGCCCUACAUUUUCUUUUAGGGUUGGAUCUGGCAGAUGUAAAGUUCUAAUAAAAUCAACAAAUUGUACAGGUUUUUUAGGAUCAGGAGGCAUAAAAGACUUACGGAAGGCUGGUGAGUUCUCCAAGUUUUCUAAACGCAGUGCCUGUUGGAAGAACCUGUAAGAGAGUUCAAUUAUUGAAGGCUCCCCAGUCUGGGCACCUGUAAGAUUGUAAAGAUCCUCGAGAAUGAAAAAUGGCAGCUGAUUUUCUAGCAUAAGCAUGUCAGGCAAUAUAUUUUGUAGCACCCAUGGUUUUUUAAAUAUCCAAGCAUUAUCAUCCGGCAAUUUUUCUUCCUGAAAUUUUUCUUCGGAUUUAUUCCUCAACAAUAGCUCAAUGACAAAGGCGGCAUCAACUAGAAUGAUAUUCACAAAAGCGGCAAUGUUAAACUUCUUAGUGUCUUCAUAAUAAUGACGGAGUUCAACUUCUCUCUCCUUUAGGUACCUGAGUUUGUGAUCUUCCAUGGCUUCUAAGUUUUUGCUGCCAUGGUGAAGUGGGCCUAUUGAGACUACUUGUGGUGUGUAGGCCUUUUGUUUUACGUUCCGUAGUCGCUCAGGCACCCUGUAGAUACUGCAGGCAGGGGACAGGGCACGGAAGUUUGUCAACUGAUUUUCCAUGGAAGUUGCUUGGUUUUCUAUGUCAAAAGAAGCUUCAUUGCUGCUUUCUUCCACUUUCUUCCUCCGCAUUAUGUGUUGUUCUGAUUGUAAGUGACGAGGAUGGUGAUGAUUCUAGACACCAUAAUCAACAAAUGUUUCAAUCAUAAUUGACAUUUCAAGAUGCUCCGACAAAAAAUUAGAAAACAUUCAUCACAAAAUGCGAACUCAUACAACAGAUGGGUUGAGAAGAUCCACACAUUGCAAUCAUACAAUCCAAUUGAACAGGGAUUACUCCCUAUUCUCCUCUCUCUCUAAAAAAGAUUUUCAUAUCGAUAACAUCUUAUUGCAAGGGACUUGUACAUCAAGUGGUGAAGAACAGAAAUUCAUAUUCUUUCAAUCAACAAAUUUCGAAGAAGUUUGUUUGUUUUAUUUUUGGGGGAAAAAAAUCUGAGCAUAUAUAGAUGCAUAUUAUACGUAGACCUAAGGUGAAAACAUACCAGAUUUUUACUCCAUUUUUCAUGAGGUUUAAGUUCUUGAUGUAUAUAUUUAUCUCAAGUGUAACAUCCCACAUUGAUCAACGGAGAGGGGGUGAUGUGCCUUAUAUGUACAUGCCAGCCUUCAUCUAGCACGAGGCUUUUUGGGAGCUUAUUGGCUUUGGAGUCAUAGGAACUCUGAAGUUAAGCGAGUUGGAGCUAGAGCAAUCCCAGGAUGGGUGACUCACUGGGAAGUUGCUUGUGAGUUCCCAGAAACAAAACCGUGAGGGCAGAGAGGAGGGCCCAAAGCGACCAAUAUCAUGCUACGGCGGAGCCGAUUCUGGGAUGUGAUAAUUUGGCAUCAGAGCUACUCUGCCGUGUGGUGUGAGUGUGCCGACGAGGACGCCGAACCCUUGAGGGGGGUGGAUUGUAACAUCCCACAUUGACCAACGAAGAAUGGGUGAUGUGCUUUAUAUGUAUAUGCUUGCCUAUAUCUAGCACGAGGCCUUUUGGCAGCUUACUGGCUUCCGAGUCAUAGGAACUCCGAAGUUAAGUGAGUUGGUGCUAGAGCAAUCCUAGAAUGGAUGACCUACUGGGAAGUUGCUCAUGAAUUCCCAGAAAAAAAAAGCUGUGAGGGCAGAUAGGGGGGCCCAAAACGGGCAAUAUCGUGCUACGGCAGAGCCGAUCUUGGGAUGUGACAUCAAGAAUUUAUAUCCUCCCUUUUCAGAUCUCAUGUUCCAGUCAAUACAUAACGAAACAUAAGAAACUAAAGUCUUGUUUAUACCCAUCCUCCCACCCACCCACGGCCAUCCACCCCUACCCCCUAUCUCCAUUAAAUCUACAAGUAGCUCAUCAAUUUCUCCACCAUCCCAAGUUCAAUAUACCACCCAACAACCAUCUUACCCAUCUUCUCAUUGAUCUUCCACCCAACAUCCAACACUAUCUUCAUAAACUCUUUAGCUUAAUCUCUCUGUUGCUUUUGUUUUUUGUUUUUUAGAAAUUAAAUUUUUUAGUUUAUUUUUUUGUUGGUACAAAUUCAAUGAUAAAGAACAUCGAACUCGUCGCAACAUCCUGUUCUAGAUCCAAGCUCUACCACCAUCACAACCCUCUCUUGACCUCCGACCAACCUUAACACCCAACUUCAAAUCUAGGUUGUUUGAAACCCAGCCCCCAACAACCCCCCCAAGUCAUCCCAUUGCAACUGACUUGUAGAUGAAGUAGUAAAGAACAAAAAGUCAUAUUCUUCCAAUCAAAACGUAUCAAGUCAAACAAAAUUUCUAGUUAGUUUGCUUUAUGAUAGUUGUUUUUUGAAGGGGUCCUUAGAUCCAAUCUCAAAAAGUUUGACUUUUAUUAUGUUUAACUCUAGUUUUUUGCAAUUUUUUUUUAUCUCUACCCACUAACUUUUAUCUCUCAUUUUUAUUACCCAUUUUACCCUUUAAAAUAAAUAUAGUAAUAAACUAAAAAUUCUGAUUUAAUGCAUGUUUUGCUCAUAAGAGAACUAAAACCUAAAAAUUCUAUACUCUUACACAAAAAAUAAAAAAUAAAAACUAAAAUUAAAAUGGUUAUCAAACAGACCCUUAUAUUACAAAAAACCUUAACUGACCACCUUAUAUGGCAACUGAUNNNNNNNNNNNNNNNNNNNNNNNNNNNNNNNNNNNNNNNNNNNNNNNNNNNNNNNNNNNNNNNNNNNNNNNNNNNNNNNNNNNNNNNNNNNNNNNNNNNNUAGCAUUCUAAAAAAAGUGGCCUCAUGGCAGCAUUCAUUAAUUGACAUGGCAUGACACAUCAGUUGCCACAUAAGGUGGUCAGUUAAGGUGGUCAAUGUUGUGUGUCCAAAUAGCAUUACUAAAAAAAAAUCAAAUAUUGAACUCAUCAUAAGAGAACACAGAAAAACCUCACUGCUUGCAACUCUUACACCACCACUACACGAACAGAACAACUGCUAAUUAAAAUGAGUCACAUGUCACAUGUCACAUGUGGUACUUAACUCUAAAAACUUAUUUAGAUUAUAUAUCCAUAUUUAUAUAUCCUACUCCUCGAUCAAAACAACCAUGAAACAUAAGUGACUUAAACCUCUAGGCAAAUGGACGGUAUAUAGCAAUUUAUAGAACAAUACAGUAAUCCAGAAGAAAUAUUAUGAAAUAAAAAAAAUAAAAAGUAAAAAAAGAGAAGGAAAGGAAUUCCCACCUGAUAUGUAUAUCUAUGAAAGGAAGGACCAAGUUUGUUUUGCCUUUGGUUAAUGACUAGAAAAGCUCACUUGUAUAUUGCUUUCUCCGGCCGUAGAUGCAAGAGAAAUUUUCUCUUAAUAAUAGCACAAUGAUCGGGUAAUCGUAAGAACAAGUUGAUUUAAAAUUCAGGUCAACUCAUAGAUUUCUUGCCUUUUCUAUUCUCCUUCCUUGGACACGAGCUGUUUAAUCUUGGAAUCUUCCCCCAUCAUGUUGGGCCAGUCUUCUUCUUGAGGAUUGUAUAGGCCCAGGAAAUGCUUGGAGGUAGUUUUUGUGUAUUGGGCCUUGAGACCCAACUUCACAAAAAGAAAACAGAUUUGACCAAAAAAACAAAUUUGAAGGACAUUGAAAUUGUACCUGUAUGAUAGGUUAAAACACUGUAAGGGAGGUAAAUAGUACGUUUACAGAGUUUAAGUGUAAUAAAGGAAUAAAAACAUGCCCAGAGCACUACUACAAUUUUUCCCUGUCCUGGCAACCCUUUGUGAUCGGUAAAAACACCAUUAUUGACGGAACUUCGUCAGUAAUUGCUUCUUGACGACUGCAGCGACGAAAAUGAGUAUAGUCAGUAAAAGUCCCGUCAGUGUUACUAUUACUGACCAACUUUUGCAACUUAUUCGUCAGUAGAGGUGUGUCUCUGACACAAGUCAUGAAGUGACUCUAAAUUAUUACUGACAAAACAAAUAGCCACUAUUAAACAAGCUUUUGUCAGGAUUAUUAUUUUAGGAUGGAGUACUAGUGGCAAAGAUUUGUCAAUAUUGUUUUCAACAAAAAAAAAAAUUCAGUCAAUUUGCUUCUGAGCUGAUGCGCCUUUAGAUAUCCUUUUCUGAAAUGUCUUUUGUUUUCUAAUAUAAUGGAUGUUUUUCUUUAAUAAAAAUUUAAUGGAUUCUGAAAAUGUAAUAACAAUUAUAAAUACUCAUAGAUUGAACCAUUCAACCCCCAUCCUUAUAAAUAUAAACUACCAAUGUCGAUUACAAUAGCCAAAUAUUACAAAGUCUGCCUACAUCAGUAGAGUUCAAAAACUUUAGGUGCCCUUACUAUACAAAAGUAUGCAAUUCCAAAUAUUCAACAAAUACACUACAAAAGCAUGCAUACCCCAAUAGGGUCCAAAAUACAACGUCAGCAACUAUAUAUACCAAAAAUGCAUAACACUAAGUAACUGCAUCUAUUCAAGUCCAUGAGUACCUUGAUCUGAUUCUAAAAAGUCUGUCUCACUUGGGUAUGCAUCCCCCCUCAGCAAUCCAGUUAACCCACCAAUAGGAGUAACUGACCUGGCUUGAUAAGGCAUUUGAUGGAACAUCUGCGGCGAGUAAUAUGACAUAUGGAAUGGGUUUGGCAGCUGCUGGUACAAUGGGUGAUGCGAAGCUGACGAGCACGAUAACAUCUGCCUCAUUUCCUCAAUCUCUUGCUGGUUAUGCUUCAGCAACUCUUGCGUCGCCUUCAAUUCAGAACGCCAAUGAUCCUGGUCAUGUUUGUACCUUUCUUGUAACUCUACAUACUGUGACUCAAGGUGAACAUAGUCGUGCCCUCGCAAUCUCUUGGAUGACCCUGCUUUCGUUUGAAUCCAAGGCACCUGAUGGGGUUUCACCCCAAGUCCUUCACCACGAACACUAUUAUUUGUCUCAGGACCCAUUGCCUCAACAUAAGCCCUUCUUCGUGUCUCUAAAUUAUCAGGACAUUCAUCUUCAACCAAUUCCUUCAACUUUUCCUGCAUUUCAGCCUAACAAAAACAAAAUAUAUAUCCUUCUCCAUCAAAUUGUGGUCAUCAUAGAACUAGCCCAAUAAACUCUACAAUGAUGAAUUGCAUUAUGUAAUAAAAAUUUAGGCCAAUUAGUCUUCUGGACCUCUACUGUUUUGUUUUUCAUAUGCUUAAACAAAUAAAAGAACAUAAAGAAUAGUGAACAAGAAAAAAAAACUACCUCCAAACAACUUUCCAUAUGCUUAAAAAAAAAAAAAAAAAAAAGUCAACCAAAACAAAAUAAGAGAAACAUCCUGGACUAUGGCUAACAAUUCCUCAUGAAAAUGAACUUAUAUAUAAUUAUUCCAAUAUAUAGUCCAUAUGCUUACAUAUUUCUGCUCAGCCACCAAGUUAACCCAUGAUCGAUCUUCGUCACGCCGUGUAUGCUUAUCUUGGAAAAACCAAAUAGGAUCGGGGUCUUCACCAUGUUUCUUAUUCUUAGCAUGCAAUCAAUAAAAUAAAAUAAGAUAAUCAAUUAGCUAACACGACCUCAUAUGCUCAAUAUUUGAAUAUAGUAAAGAGUAAACAUUCAAGUGCAUCAUCAAAACUGACAUAUUGUGCUUUGCUGCGAGCAUAAGACUUUGUUCUAGAUGUGUGAUUCAAUGUUUGUUUACUCCGAUUUUCAACAUUUCUUUUAGCUUGCUCCUUUUAUUAGCAAAAACAAAACAUACUUAAUCAUUGCACAGAUUAUAUAUACUGAGUGUUGUGUAAUAAUACGUACUGCAAUCUCAUCUUUUUCCCAAUGUUCAACCAACACCCUCCAUUGAUCUGGGUCUACACGAGAAUCCCCACAUUGCCACCGUCUUUUACUUCCUGUGAAAGGCUUAUAAUAAGCUUUCUUCAAAUCACUCUUGAAACUUCUCCACAAUUUUUCAAUAUUCUUCAUUGUUACAUCCUUGAAGACAUGAAUCAUAGGUUGUUGUUCAGGACGAAAUUCAAUGGUGCCCUGCAUCCACAAUAAGGUAGUCUUACAUCAAGUUGAAAUAUACCUAUUAAACUCAAUUUCAUGCAAUAAGUAUUCAAUAAUUUUAGGAAAACCAAACCCGUAGAGUGUCCCAGACAUCAAGUUUGCAAGAGUCUGGUACUUUUUCCCAUUUUAAAUACUUGAUCGGAAUUAGAUUGGCAUCCCGCGCCAAAAUACCCAUGUAUCUAGAAAAAUGGGGACUAUUGUCACUAAUAACUCUGCCAAAUGGAGAUAAAUCAACUGACUCUUUUUUGUUAUUUAGAAACCAGUUGCAUUUCCCUUGACCUCGACCUUGCUUCGCCUCCUUGCCUACAUGAAAAGUUAAUUUUAACUGAUCAAUACAACAAGAAAAUAAUAAGAAACUGUAAGGUAAUAAGUUUCUCACACAUUAUUCAAAUGAAAAAUUAGCAUAGCUAUUUGGAGAUGAUGUGAUCGUGAAACAUCCCAUAUUCAAUACAUUUGUAUAUGAUUAAAACAUACCAAUUUAUUAAAAGAAAAAGGAAAAGAAAACCAACAUACCAGUAGCACUUAUAGAACCAUCUCCCUCUAGACUAUCCCUAAAGUCAGCGUUGGGCCCUUCUUGUGAACUAUCUUGAGAACUGCUCAUCUAAAAAAUUUGAUAUGCAUAACAGUGAAGGGGUAACAAAUUAAUCAGACAUCAUUGGUAAAAGAAACUAUUACUUCAACAUUCUAAUACAAAACAAUCUACUAAAGAAAUUCUUGUACAAUAUUCUUAAAAUUACGUAGUCCAUUUAAGCUGACAGCUCAUCAAAAUACAUGAAAAAUUCAAUACUCCAUGUCAUCAUAAAGCUCAUCCUCGUUUUCAGUAGAGAGAUCGUCUGAAGACUGUUCAUCUUCUUCAUCCUCAUUUCCGGGCUCAUGCUCAUCUACCAUCUCAUCCAUAUCAACCCUAAUAUGAAAUUCCUCAUUGUCUAGCAGCUGAUCAUCAAGAUUCGGAAUGGCAUAAUUAUCAGUAGCACUUAAAAGGGUUAUCUAUAGUUGGAGCUAGAUCACUAUCUUCUAGCACAUCAAAAAAAUCUCUUGGUUGAGUUUGGGUUGGCACAUGCCAAUGACUGUCUUCUGGAUCUACAACAUAAAACACUUGUGUAGCUUGAGAAGCCAAUAUGAAAGUGUGUCUUUCGUUUGUCGCAACCGAUUGAAACUAACCAAAGGGAAACCAUACCCAUCAAACCUCAUCCCCCUAUCACUAGCAGUAUCAACCCAAUCACAGUUAAAUAAUGUAAUUUUCCGACCAUUAUCAUUCUGUUCUAUUUGACCCCCGUAAUUAAGUUCAUAAAUCUCUUUAAGAACACCAUAAUAAUCAACAUUGCCAAUUACUGGAUUGCGAUCUCUUGCGCUUGAGUAACUAGAUGUCUCUGCACAUUGAAAUACACCACUAUUCUGAUUCUUCUUUUUAUCGUCUACUGAUUUAAUCCGGAACCUACACCCAUGAAUUAUGUGAUUCUUAUACUUGUUCACAAAUCUACUAGGACCAAUUGAUAGCCAACGCAAGUCCUCAGAUAUUGACAGAUCAUGGGCUGUGUACAAUUUAGUAACCUAUAAUUUAAAACAACAACUAAAGUAAAUAACUUUAAUUAAAAAUAUGGUGCAGCAACAUAAAAUGAAUCAUAUUACAACUAAACAUACUUACAUGAUCCUUGAACCAAGUUGGAAAUAUCUUAUUUCUCAUCCCCUCAAUUUCCUGUAUGGUCUUCCGUCGAUUACUUUGUCUCAAUUCUUGGAAGCAUUUUCUGUUUUACAAUAUAAUAUAAUGACUUGUUAGUUAUUAAUUCAUAAUUGAGGAUUGAAAAAAAAAAAUAUCAACAACUUGCUUGUUUUUAUUCAUAAAUAUCUUACUCUAAAAAAGGGGAAACUUCAUCGCAAUUGAACAAGACCACUCUGCGACAUUGGUCCCAAACAUCUUUGUCAAGAUAUAUUUGUUCAGCUGAACCCUUAGAAUGACAUGAAGAGUCAAAAACUUUUAGCUCCCCAAUGACACCACGACCAAUACCAUCAGCAUUUCGACCCUUUCGAUUCCUUCGAGUCUCAACGUUGCUAAGAUACAUGGUACACAUAGCUAAUCCCUCGUCGACAAGAUAUCCUUGUUCCAUACUUCCUUCAGGAUAACUCUUAUUCUGAACAUAUUUCUUUAAUGUUUGUAGGUAUCUAAAGAUAUGGCAAAAUUGAACAUGUUAAUUUACAAUUAAAAUGGAAAACUAGAAAUAAUAAAUAAGAUUUGAACUAAUUACCUUUCAAUGGGAUACAUCCACCGGUAUGGGGCAGGCCCUGCGAUUGCAGCCUCAUCUGCCAAAUGCAUGAUUAAGUGUACCAUCACAACAAAGAAGGAAGGAGGGAAUAUCUUUUCCAUCUGGCAUAAUGUCACUGCAAUCCGAGGUUUUAAAGCCAUGUAUGACGCUUCAUAUUCCUUCUUACUACAUAACCGUCUAAAAAUUGCACUUAGCUCAAGCAAAACAAUGGUAACAGCUUUUGGUAAUACUCGUCGUAUUGCAAGGGGCAGCAGCUGUUGCAUUAUAAUAUGAUAGUCAUGACUUUUCAAUCCGUGUAUUUUUCUCUCAUUCACAUUAACACAUCUAGACAGAUUUGCAGAAUACCCAUCAGGAACUCUCACAUUUGCCAAGACUUCGCAAAACAUUGUUUUUUCCCUUUUCCUCAUGUCAAAAAGUGCUGGAUCAAAAACUUCCUUACCUUUCCCAUUUAUAUAAGGGUGCUGUUUUCUCCUUAUAUUCAAAAUUUGAAGGUCCUUACGAGCUUUUAUUCCAUCCUUUGUCUUCCCAGGAAUAUUUAACAGUGUACCUAAAAUGUUUUCACAAACAUUCUUUUCAAUAUGCAUUAGAUCAAGGUUAUGCCGUAUCAAAAGAUAUUGCCAAUAUGGUAACUCAAAGAAUAUGCUUUUCUUCUUCCACUGAACUUUGUUACUAUUUAUAUUCGUUGUGGGAUAGGUAUUUGUAUUCCUAAUGGGACAAGAACAUUUUUUGGGUUUUCCUUGCCCAACAAAAACAGCUGACUUCUUUUUGGGUUUUCGAAAUGUGAAUGUCAAACUUGACAAUUUUUCUAAACACUGUGAACCUGUCAAGGGAAUAGGUGGAAGAGCAUGUUCUUCCUUACCGUUAAAGGCUGCUUUAUCUCUUCGAAACCUAUGUUGUAUAGGUAGAAAUCUCCGAUGACCCAUAUAACACAUCUUACUACUAUUUGCCAAAUGCAUUGAGACUGUAUCAUCCAUGCAAUGCGGACACGCUUUCUUCCCCUUCGUGCUCCAUCCUGAAAGAAUUGCAUAUGCGGGAAAGUCAUUAAUCGUCCAUAACAAUGCAGCCUUCAUUGUAAAAGUUUGGUUGGCAAACACAUCAAACGUCUUAAUACCAACCUCCCACAACUCUUUCAACUCAUCGAUUAAAGGCUUCAAAUACACGUCAAUAUUAUUGCCAGGCCCAUCAGGACCAGGAAUUAUUAACGAUAACAAUAAAUUUGGUUGCUUCAUACACAUCCAUGGAGGCAAAUUAUAAACUGACAGUACAACAGGCCAUGUACUAUGGGGUUUGUUCAUAUUUGAAAAGGGAUUAAACCCAUCACUUGCAAGCCCCAAUCGCACGUUGCGUAUCUCCGAAGAAAAUUCAGGGUAUAAGGAAUCUAAAUGCUUCCAUGCACGAGAAUCUGAUGGGUGCCUCAUGAAUCCAUCUUUAGGACAUUCGGUUGCAUGCCAUCUCAUAUCUUCAGCGGUAUGCUUCGACAUAAACAAUCUUUGCAACCUUGGUUUUAAUGGAAAAUACCGAAGAACCUUGGUUGGAACCUUAGCUGAUGUGUUCUUACUCAAAGAACCUCCCACAAUAUUGACUUUGUACCUUGAGGCACCACAAAGUGCACACUCAGUCAAGUCUGAUGUAUCUUUCCAAAACAGCAUACAAUCAUUGGGGCAAACAUCAAUCCUCUUGACUGUAAGUCCCAACUCCCUAAUGAUUUUUUUAGCAUCAUAAUUAUUUUUUGGUAAACAAUUCCCCUCUGGCAACAAUUGUUUAACCAAUUGUAACAGCAUUGUAAAGACAUUAUCGCUUCCCUAAACAUUUAAUCUGGAACAGUCUUACAACAGAAUACAAUUUCUUAUAUUUACACCUAGGGUACAACUCCAUAUCUGCUUCUUCAAGUAACUUAUAAAAUAUUUCAGCCUCAGGUGUUUGGCCAUCAAAGAUAGGUGGCUCUGUCGAAGUCCCAACAGUUUCUCCAAUUAUUGGUUGCACAAAGGCUUCAUUGAGAAAAUCAUGAAUGUCAUCUAUACAAACUUCUUCAUUAUGAACUGAUUCUAUAUCCUCUUGGAAUGGUAAAUUUGUCAUGGGCUCCCCAUGAUGCCUCCAAGGGCCAUUCAUAUAUGUGGGAUCCAUUCCUUUUUCUAUAAGAUGAAGCUGGAUGAUGUUUCUUUCAUAGUGAUAACGGUUACAACAUUUUUUGCAAGGACAUAUGACCCUCUCUCCAAAACCCACUUUGGCAAAGACGUCAUCUAAAAACAUUCUCAUUCCGUCUGCGUAUUCCUUACAAUUUCUCCUUAAAUGUACCCAACUUUUAUCCAUAGUUCACCUAUAUUGAGUGCAAGGCACCAAAUACAAUUAUUCAGCACAGAUCAUCCCUCAUACUUAUUGUCUAUAAAUUCCUAUCAGGUGGGUCAAUUUAUUAUCCAUUAGAUGACCCUCAUGACCAUCUACAUCAAUUCACAAGAAAAACCAAAUUAAAAUAACAAAAACCUGAGUCUAAAGAAUAUAUUAACUAAGAAAUUGCACAUUCAUUCAACUGAAGAAAAGAACUAUAACACCAAACAACUAGACCCACUUAAUAGCUAAAGAAACUCACGUCAUAACAACAAAGUAUACAUAUUAAACAACAUAUCAACUCAUAGAUAAAAGCCCGAUAAUCUCAAUACUAUGAACAAUCUUAUUCAAAAAUAAUAAGAUAACAGCAACAUAAUAGAAAAAAGUAAAGGGAAACACACCUGGAUUCUAAGUUUCCAACAACAAUUCAACACUCCUGCAGUAGAUUAAUACAUACAUACCCACAUAUCAAACUUCACCAACAAAUAAUAAAAAAUUAAAACAAGAGCUUUGAAAAAUCAAAGGAUUCGUGUCACAUCCCGGAAUCGGCUCCGCCGUAGCACGAUAUUGUCCGCUUUGGGCCCCCCUCUCUGCCCGCACGGUUUUGUUUCUAGGAGCUCACGAGCAACUUCCCAGUAGGUCACCCAUCCUGGGAUUGCUCUAGCCCCCAACUCGCUUAACUUCGGAGUUCCUACGACUCCGAAGCCAGUGAGCUCCCAAAAGGCCUCGUGCUAGAUGGAUGCGGGCAUGCACAUAUAAGGCACAUCACCCCCUCUCCGUUGGUUGAUGUGGAAUCUUACAAUCCACCCCCCUUAAGGACCCGACGUCCUCGUCGGCACACUCGCACCACACGGCAGAGUGGCUCUGAUACCAAAUUGUCACAUCCCGGAAUCGGCUCCGCCGUAGCACGAUAUUGUCCGUUUUGGGCCCCCCUCUCUGCCCGCACGGUUUUGUUUCUAGGAGCUCACGAGCAACUUCCCAGUAGGUCACCCAUCCUGGGAUUGCUCUAGCCCCCAACUCGCUUAACUUCGGAGUUCCUACGACUCCGAAGCCAGUGAGCUCACCCCCUCUCCAUUGGUUGAUGUGGGAUCUUACAAUUCGUUUAUAUCUUGGAAUAAAAUCAGUAUUCUAAUUUUUAUAUCUAAUUGGAAGGAUUCAUGGGUCAUUACCUACACUAAAAUACUUGAAAAAAUAAAAUAAACAAACAAAAUAAGAACAAAAAUUUCACCAGAACAGAGGCACAAAAAUCUCACCAAAACAGAGGGCCUCUUUAAUGAAGGACAACCAAGUCAGCCCCAAUUGAAAAGAGCAAAGAACCCCCAGAUUUAAUCUCUCUCUCAAUCUGAAUCAGCAACCCCAAUUGAGAAAAGCAAGGAAAACCCCCCAAAUUUAAUCUCUCUCUCUCAAUCUGAAUUAGCAACCCCAAUUGAGAAGAGCAAGGAAAACCCCCCAAAUUUAAUCUCUAUCUCUCUCAAUCUGAAUGAGCAGACACGAAAAUCACUACCACACAUGACUCCAACUCCAUUAGCUAUGAGGAAGAAUACAAUUCAUUCUUCAAUGAAAAGAAGAGGGAAGAGAUGGCCGGUUUGGAGGAAGUAGAAAAGCUCAAGUAAACAAUUGAAGUUUUUUAUAUAUCAAUAGGAAAAUUUUGAAGUUAAAAAUUAUAUUUAAGAAUAGUAUUGGCAAUCGAACUCGUCAGAAAAAAAGUUGGCUUCCUGGUGUCUGAAAAUUUAGGCGCUUAUGUUUUCACUUCCCGCGUUAAAAGAGACUGGCGCAGUGUCUCGUCAGUAAAGGUAGUAAUGACAAAAGACUUUGUCAGUAUUAUUUACUAGUGAAAAAUCACUUUAUUUUGCUAGUAUUUGGUCUCAGUACUGACUAAGCUGCUCUUUCAUCAGUAUUAGUCCGUCAGUAUAAGCUAAAAUUGUAGUAGUGAGAGGAUUGAUAAGUGAUAUUAAUUCUUGAAUAUACAGAAUGUAAAAUAAAGGAACACGUAAAAAAUUAUUUUAUGUGGUAAAACUCCAUCUCUGGGGAAAAUCCACGGGACUUCUUAGUCCAAAACAAAUCCAUUAUAGAAUGAUGAUUACAAGAAGUACUCACACACUUAUCCUAGACACAUUCUAGAUAAUGUUUACUGACCUCUUCGUAACUCAACUUCUGUCUCGAGAUGAUCUUUCAACACUCCUUAUGUUGAACGCAAUAUUGGUCACGAUUUCUUCAAGCUCGUCAGAGUUCUUCCAACUCUCCUAAUAUUGAAUCCGAUACUAGUCACGAUUGAUUCAAGCUCAUCGUAGAAAAACCGUCACAAUGGUCUUGGUGCCCUCAACCGUAUGAGUCAUUAAACAUGCAAAUGAAUACAUAUAUGAAUGAUAAAAGUGUUUGAUAAAUCACUGAGUUAUGGAACACUUGAUGAUUUAUCUCAAAUAAAAACUCAGCUUUAAUGCUUUCUAAACAAAGAAGACGAAGGUCUUACUUUAUAGACUUUUUCUUUACAAGAAAGAAAAUAAGUUGGAAACCAAAUCUCCAAUUUCCAAGGCAAAAUCACAAAAGUAUCUUUCCUAUUCUAGAGAUUGGUCACAUGUAGUCCAACCAAUAGGAAAUGAGAUAUUUAAGAAAGGAAGAUUUUGAUCAAUAUCAAUAUCAAAUGAAUUCUUAUACGCCUAGUCAACUAUUAAGGGUAUCUUGACUCCUUGAUAUUUUGAUAUGAUUGAAACAUGAUUUCCAAGUUAGAAAAUUAAGGGGUUGUUAAAACAUGAAAGUAAUAGGAGAAACAAAUUUAUUUGAACCAAAAUUGCCCAAAAAGAAAACACUCCUAAAUAAACUUCAAUUCACUUUAGUAAAACAUGAUUGAAUCGUUCGUUAAAACAAUUCCCUAAUAUACAUGCAUGAUAAUGACAUCACUUACCCCUGAAUCAAAUUUGUUAAUGUAUGCAUUUUGAGUUUUUUUUUCUUUUGGCUUCCCUUGACAAUUUUGUAAUAGGAAAAUCAUUGUAGUUUCUCAAGCUCUAAGUUUAGAUUAAGAAUUACUUCUCUAGGUGUUCUUAUCUGCCUACAUUCUGAUGGAAAACAAUGCGUUUGACAAAGGUAAAUUCUGCAUUACACUACAUUGCAUUCACUAAAUUUCUUAAGAUUAUGACUAGUCAUCUUUCUUUCGUAUGACUAGUCAUCUUGCAUUCGUAUGACUAGUCAUCUUUCCUUCGUAUGACUAGUCAUCCUUUGUUUCAAUUAGGAUUUCCAGCUCACUGUUUCCAGCUGGGGCUUAAGCAUUUUUUUGUCCUUUUCUACGAAUUUCUCAGCUUCCAUGUGUCUAUUCUGACCUAGGAAUUUUUGGUAAAAGCCAUAGAAUUCCUCAUUUGGCAGCCGUCACUUUUGGGGACAAGUUGUGGAAAGUUUCAUAGCAAACUUUCGCUUCUUCUUCCUCAAGAGUAACCUUCAUAUUUUUCAUCUUUGAGUUCUCUAAAUUGUUUCUUUUUGAAAACUGCAUUUGAAAUAUGAAAACUUCAUCUUGCUAGAUCAAACACUCUAUCAUAUACAUCUAGGUCAGAUUCAAGAUUGAUUUCUUCAAGAGUAUGGUUUCUUGAAGAAAUUGGUCAUUUUCUCCAUGAAUCCAAAUUUCAUUUCUGUCUGAGUUAGAGCUUGCAAGCUGGUGCCAUGGGAUGAAUGAGCUGAAGAAGGAGCUGCCAUUGCCAUGAAGAACUGAGCUUCAAGCUUUGCUAAGUUGGAGAAGAAGAUUGCACAAAGGAGAUAUAGCAUCUUCCUAAAUAGACCUAGGAAUUUCUUGAGCUUGCUAGUGUUCUUUGUAAGAAUCUUUUUGCUUAGUGGAUUGCCUGGUCGGUUGAUGACCCCCAGUUUUUCCCAAUGGUGGGUUUCUGGGUGAACAAUAUCUGGUUUCCAUCUCUGUAGAUUUUUUGGGUUUGUGUUCUUGAUAGUUGACUAGUCAUCUGAAUUUGUGUGGUUGACUAGUCAUCUUUUUCUGCUGUUUGGUGUUUUCUUGAUUAUGUUGUCUUCACACACUUUUACCAUAGUUGUUGCUAGCACAAGGGAUGCCUAGAUUGAUGGGUCCUUCUGAGUGCCUAGGUUGUCACUAGUAAUUCUCUAGGCCUGCAGGUACAUCUUGGUAUGCUUUGUGUAUGUUAUUGUUUGGUUUAAUUCAUAUCUAACAGUUGACUAGUCAUAAGAGUAUUUGGUCAAGGUCUAGAGUGUGUGAAGUUUGUUGCGUUCUUGAUUGAAUAUCUUUUAAAUUUACCCUUCGUCACCUAAUUACCAAUUUGCAGACUCCACAAAUGAAGAAAAGAGCACAAAUAUCGUGAAUGCUAUUGGGAAUGGAAAGGGCAAACCUGUUCAAAAAGGGUAUGGAGGGGGCGUUAGACUUUACGUUCAAAAAGGGUAUGGAAAACGUCCUCCUCCAUCUGACAGUCAACUACUCCAUUAUAAAGACAUAGCUAUUUUCUUCUUCGAGAAAGACAUGCGCCCUGGCUCAACAAUGAAGUUCCAAUUCCCUAGAAAUUCAAACACGGCUACUUUCCUGCCACGCGAAAGUGCUCAAUCGAUCCCCUUCUCCUUUAACAAACUACCAGAAAUUUUCAACCAUUUUUCAGUGAAGCCAACAUCUGUGGAAGCCAAAACAAUUAAGCAAACAAUCGAAGAGUGUGAAGCUCCAGGCAUUAAGGGAGAUGAAAAAUAUUGCGCCACAUCUUUAGAAUCAAUGGUUGAUUUUAGCACUUCGAAGCUUGGAACAAGAAACGUUGAAGCAGUCUCGACGGAGGUAUUGGAAAAAGGAGCCACCAUGUCCAUGCACAACUAUACAACAAUGCCGGGACUGAAGAAGUUGGCAGGUGACAAAGUCGUUGUGUGUCAUAAGGAGAACUAUCCCUAUGCUAUGCUAUGUUUUUCUGCCAUGCAAUAAAACAAACAGCAGCUUAUGUUCUCUCCCUGAAAGCCGAUGAUGGGGAGAAGGUUAAAGCUGUAACCAUCUGCCAUCUAGACACAUCAGAAUGGAACCCAGAGCAUUUGUCCUUCCAAAUCCUCAACGUUAAGCCCGGAACCGUUCCUAUCUGCCAUUUCAUUUCCACUGAUGCUAUUGCCUGGGUUCCAAAACACAAAUCUGCAUGAUCAUCACUUAGCACUGUACGUAUAAUAAGCUUGGUUGGGUUGCACCCCUGUAUAAUUAUCUCCCUACUUAUUUCUGCCUCUUCAUCAUGUGGUGUAAGAUAUAUGAUGAAAUGAAGUUUUUGGGAUUAGUGGUCGGGUUGCCUGAAAAACACAGAUUAUAGAAACUGCUUGAAAUUAACCCGAUCAUGUUUUCUCUUGUAACGAUAUAGACUUCAACUUGUACUCAUAAUAAAGCAUGCUAUAUUUAUGAAGAGAUAUUAAUCUAUAUAUGCUUUGGCUUUGUGGUUUUACCCAGUGUUUGAAUGUUGAAUUGUUACGUUGGAAUAGGCUGCUAAUGCAUGUAGUUAGAGAAGCCUUCAUUUAUAUCAAAGUCCUCAAACUAUCAAGAACUAAUGUAUCCAGAAACACAUACCAAGACGCAAAACAACAUAUUUUCCAUGCUGUCUGUAACACCAAAGCAAACUUCCUUUAUCACAUCAUUUAAAGGAUCAAAUUCCAGUACUAAUCUAAUCCAUUAUGUAAAGCAUCAGGGACAGACUCAAGAUUUCAAAAUGGAGUGGGCUAGAUUUUAGGUCCGGCUAAACUUUAUAGGGAGACUUAUGAAAUUAAUCAUAAUAUUAUAUAAAUUUAAUUUAAAAACAUAUCAUUUUUAUUUUAUUUAUUUAAAGAGUCCAAUUUUACACCAACAAUGUCAUCAACAAUUGAUUAUAUAUGCUUAAAAUUAACAUUAGUUGACAACUCACAACUCAUAUUGCAACUUAUUUAGUAUAUGUGUUUUAUACUAACAAUAACAAAAGAAAAACACUUGACUGGGCUAUAGCCCAGUUUGUACACAUUGCAGGCCCGUCCUUAUAAAGCAUACAAGUGCCUCCCUAAAUUUGUCCGUUGGAUAUAUAUAUGUCACUUUUUAUUUUUUGAUAGAGAUAUAAAUGUUGAGAAAAUUAGAGUACACAACUCUAAUAUCAUAAAGCAAACAAAAUUUCUAAGUUAGUUUGCUUUAUGAUAGUUGUUUUUUGAAGGGGUCCUUAGAUCUAAUCUCAAAAAGUUUGGCUUUUAUUAGGUUUAACUCUGGUUUUUGCAAUUCUUUAUCUCGUAGUGGCAAUGUUCAAAUGCGAUGAGAUUUCUAAUUAAUACCUCUGUAUGAUCGCUUAUUUUCAAUCUUGGAAUUUCAAGAGUCCGGUCAGCAAAUCUAAUAAGGUAUUCGUUGAUCCCUCAUUCAACUUGAUCCCUGCCCUGUGUAGCUCUGUGAUGCUGGGUGUGUUUAUAGUUAUGAGUUUCCUGUCAUCAAUUUUUAGGGCUAUUCGUUAUAUGAGUCCCUGAACUUAGACUCGAUUUGCAUUUUAGUCCCUCAAUUUCCAAAAUCGUUUCAGUGGUCCUUCAACUUCAGUUUCGUUAGGACAAAUGGUCCUGCCAUCAAACGAUUAUAAAGUGGAAAAAACAAGAACAAAAAGGGAAGUGAGUUAAAUUUGCACCUACUAUGUUCAAACGACAAAGUUGGUUUCCCUUUGGUUGAUUACAAGAGAAGUGAAAGGACCCGCCCGAAUUUUCUCAAAAUCCGAGACAAACCCUUUGGAAUUCCUGACAUCACCCUGAUGCCAGGCCCACUUACUAAAAACCGAGACCUCCUGCCGAAAUUUCGGCAGAGUCUCCCCUAUAAAUUGGACGUUUCCCAAAAUUUAUACCUGCAUAAAAACGCAUUUAAUAUUCCCAACUGGCAGCAUGCACAAUAUAAUUUCAUGCAAUUCACACAAAUGGCCUUCGGCCUUUCAAUAAUUCAUAUCCAACUACCAAACCAUUCAAAUACCAAAUAUGACUAACAUUUAGUCUGCGGCUGCACCUAAUAACCCUAGGCUGCCUACGUACCCUCCUUGAGGGAUCAAGCCACACGUAGUUCUUCCCUAAAACCCAAUUCCACACUUGGGCGAUACCUUAUUUCAUUUCUCUGGAUUUCAUAUAAUCUCCCCAUACGCCGGUACAACCAACGCCACGUAUGGGGCCUGUCAACACGCCGGAUAACCUACGCCACGUGCGACCAUGCCAUACUAUCAUAAUAUCUCCCCAUACGCCGGUACAACCAACGCCACGUAUGGGGCUUGUCCCAACGCCGGAUAACCUACGCCACGCGGGACCUCAAUAUUCAUAUCACAAAUCUCCCCAUACACCGGUACAACCAACGCCACGUAUGGGGUCUGUCGACACGCCGGAUAACCUACGCCACGUGCGACCUCACACAAUAUCACAAUAUCUCCCCAUACGCCGUACAACCAACGCCACGUAUGGGGUUUGUCUCAACGCCGGAUAACUACGCCACGUGAGACCUGAAACAUCAUAUUACAAAUCUCCCCAUACGCCGGUACCACCAACGCCACGUAUGGGGCCUGUCCCAACGCCGGAUAACCUACGCCACGUGGGACCUAACUUUCACUUGGUGGUGCUUGUAGUGAAUCCAAAAUCCGGGGAGGUAUCUAAAGUAGUGCGUUUAGCACUCCAAACUGACACUCUAGACUCUGUUGUACCCUUGUACAACCAUAUAUAAUUAUAGUUAUAUAAAUUAAUUCUAAUAUUGUGUAACCCUCCACAAUAGUCUAGCUCCCGAUAAUCCCCCCCUUAGAAAGGUGAGAUUACUCCGGGAGACUCACGGUCAACCAAGGGUCAAACUACUCUAACCCUGGUCAACCGGACCUGCAGAACCCACUACCUCCAAUUUCCGAUCCGAAAGUCUCUAUGGGUUCUACCAGGUAUAGGACACUUGUCCUGCAAGUUUGGUUCAAAUCGGACGGUCGGAUUUCUCACGAUCGCACGAUCUGACGGUUAAUAUAAGAUAUAAAAUUAAAAUUAUUAUUCGGAACAUCCGGGGUUCCGAUUCAUGAUCCGUAAAUUCCUACACGAUCCUAGAAAUACCUAGAUUAACAUAUAUUAAAUUUGGGACCAUCCAACGGUCCCAACCUAUCGAACUCGGAUAACGCACACUAUGCGAUUAUCCGUUCGAUAGUCAAACGACGUCCGAAUUGAGAUCCGCGAAAUCCUACGCACUCGUGACAACCUAAGGAUCUCAUCGGAACACAUCGCUACAUUUUCUACAGUGCCCACGCACCGGCAGUGCGUGGGUGCCCAAAGCGAUAACGCUUCGCCGGAAAAUCUCAAAACCACGGCUCCAAACUCCUACCCUAGGUAUAACACCCUAUUUGGAGCCACUUUUGUUUUGGACCUACCCCAAAAAGUGGCCGGAAAUGGCCAAUCACGGCGGCCGAAGUUUCGGCCGAUUUUCAAUUCGAAAAUUGAGUUGCCUACGCUAAGAAUCGAUCUAAUCCUACCCAACCAUCAGCUAGAGCAGCUCGAGAGGUUCAAAAUCCAUACCUGGGUCGACGGAUUUGGUGGCCGGAGGAGGAGGAUCGACGGCGUUGAAGUUCCGGCGACAUCUGGGCGAAAAUCGCCAUUUUCCGGCGGCUGGAGCGGCGGCCGAUGGCGGGGAUGGGCUGGGUCGUGACGCCGAGGUCGAGCCGGUUCUUUUGACACCGGCCCCGUCCGCAGCCGCGGCCGGUGGCCGGAGUUACGAAGAGAGAGAGAGGAGAGAGAGAGAGGAGAGGCCGACGGGAGAGAGAGAGAGAGGAGUCUCGCAGGAGAGAGAGAGAGAGAGAGAGAGAGAGAGAGAGAGAGAGAGAGAGAGAGAGAGAGAGAGAGAGAGAGAGAGAAACCAGAUUUUAUAAAAAAAAUCCCAUUUCGAAAUAUUUACGAUUAUGCCACUGGACUUCUUUUGACCAUAUCUCUCUCGUUACAACUCCGAUUCGAGCCCACUACGUGUCUGUGAACUCGUCUCAGUACGACCUAUCCAAAAAUAUAAGUCACGGUCCCAAACUCUCUCCGGUUAAAAAUAUGACUAAAAUACCCUCAAAGCAGCUUACUUGGUUCCUCUAGUAGAUGGAAAUAUAAUUUUUCUAGCUAAAUUUCUCAAAUGGUCCUCAAACUUGUACGCGAUUUACAUUUUGGUCCAUCAAUUAAAUUAUUAGUCCAAAUGGUACAUAAACUCUAUUUUAAUCGCCCAUUUGAUCGAACCGUCUAAUUUUCUGUUAGAUUUAACCAAAUUUUAGGGUAAAUAUGACUUUUCAUAAUUAACAAAUAAAAUAGGAUUAAAAUAAUUAAAUACAAAAUUAGAAAAAAAAAAUGAAGAAAAGGAGGAAGAACAGAAGAGGAAGAAACCCAGAAGAAGAGGAAGCGGACAAGGUUAUUGCAAUGGCUUUCUUAAGUAAAAUUGGGAAUAUACUCAGAUGGACUGCAAAGAAGCAUAUCUGAUCUGAAUUAUCUCCUUUCAAACUAUCUAUCCAUCAAGCAGUAAGAUGCAUGUCAAACAUGGUGAGUUCAAAACUCUUAUUGGAGGUAUUUCGUACCAAACAGAUGAGCAGAGUCUGAAGGAAGCUUUUGCAAAAUAUGGUGAAGUUAUUAAUGCAAGAAUCAUCAGUGACCGUGAAACUGGUAGAUCUAGAGGAUUUGGGUUCAUCACUAGCGAGGAGGCAUCCAGUGCAAUCCAGGCCUUGGAUGGGCAUGAACUUCAUGGCCGUCGAGUAAGGGUGAAUUAUGCUACUGAUAGACCUCGCCCUAACUUCGGUGAUGGAGGUGGUUUUGAAACUGCUAGCACUGGAGGUGGUUUUGGCAAUAACAUCAAUUUGGGUGUUGCUGUUGCUGUUGGUGGUGCUCAUAACUUUGUUGGCGGUGCUGACAACAGCUUUGGCAGUGGUGGAGCUCAAUUGGGAGAGAACAAAGGUGGUUUCAGCUUGCAUGAUCCCUUGAAAGGAAAUGAUAAGGAUGAUGAUGAUGAUGCCGGCAACUUUCUCAAGAGGGCUUGAUAAUAUUUAGAUAAGAGGAGCGAUUUAGUUUGCUUCUAUGCAGAGCUACUAGUAGAUUGUCUUUUUGUUACAGCUGCAUGUCCCCCCUCCCCGUCUUUCUAAACUAUUAAUUUCAUUUGGCGGAAUUUUCUGUGAAUUUCAUGCACCUUUUAGUGUGCUUUGUCAACUAAGGACCUGGAUUGUGGGAAAAAAAGAAGCAAAAAAAGAAGAAACCAGGAAGAAGAAGAAGAAACCCAGAAGCAAAAGAAGAAGAAACCCAGAAGAAGAAGAGAGAGAGAGUUGGUGGAUGCAAUGACCAAGUUGCCCUCAUAUUUAACGGAAAUAUUGAUAGAAUGUAACGGUAGGAUCAAUGAAGCGAAUAAUAUAGAGUUGAUGUACCAUUUGGACUAAUAAUUUAAUUGAGGAACCAAAAUGUAAAUCGAGUAUAAGUUUGAGGACCAUUUGAGUAAUUUACCCUAAUUUUUCUCCUAAUAAUAAGGGUUUAGUGCAAUCAAUGAUGGGCUGUAUAGAACAACUUUUUUGUUUUAUAUGUUUAUGUGAGACAAGUUUUGCCAGAUUGAAUUAAUGUCUUCUAGCUAUGUACCUUAUCUUUUUGCCGGGCCAUGAGUUGAAUGUAGAGGCAGAGCAUGGACUUGGGGUCAAGUUUGACUUGUAAAAAAUUAGGAAUUGAAUGGCUAAUACGUUCAAUUAUUUAUUUAUUUAUUUAUUUUUGUCCGAGCCAUUCAAUUCCUAAUUAUUUAGAUUUUCAAUCCAGUGAGCAUCCACAAUCAUGCUCUCUAUUUUUAAGUUAAAUUUUAGCUAAAAACAUAUAAAAGUUAUUUUAGGAGCUCUCUAUAAAAUUUAAACUUCAAUCGUUUUCUCUAGUUUAGGGAGUCAUAAAUGCCAUAACUCUUUUUUGAUUGGUCUAUCUCUAUUAAAAAAUAAAAUAAAAAAUAAUUAGCAUUAAAUAAAGAUUUGAAAUACUCAUUAAAUAAAGCAACAUUAAAUUAUAGGGAGCCACUAGGAGUCCUUUCUCUCUCCUCAAGUUUAGGAGCUCCUAGAGGUCUCCCUAUUUUAAGAGGUGGAUAGGGAGUAUGGUUGGAAUUGUAUUUUUACAAUUCCUCCCUAAAAUUUGUCUAAGGAGGUGGUUUAGGGAACCCAUUGUGGAUGCUCUCAUCUCAAAGAAAGAAAACCUCAAGUUUGCAAGCAAGUUUUCUACGUAUGUAUAUAUGAAAAAAUGAUAUGAAAAUAAUAAAUCCAUAUUUUUAUGUAAGCCAACUUUCUAAAUCCAUGUACUAUAUUUAUUAGGGAAAUAUUGGAGAAACUGAUUAUUUUGAAAAAUUAAAUGUGAAAAACUGAACAAAAAUUUGACAGGUUACAUAUUUCAACUCAUUCAGCAGCUUAGGUUGUGAAGACCUAAGCAACAAAUCUGCUACUGGGGUGUUGGGGUUUUCUACGUCAUGUGGAGCUUCAUUGCUGCAUCCUUCCACUUCCAUUAUGUGUUGUUCUGAUUCUAAGUGAUGAGGGUAUUAUUGGCACCAUAAUAAACAAAUCAUUUCAAGAUGGUUCCUUCAAAAAUUUAGAAAACAUGCAUCACGAAAUUUUUUAGAAAACAUGCAUCAUGAAAAAAUUACGUGAACAAUAUACUUACACCAUGGGAUCACUCCCACAUAUUGUAACACCCCGACUCCAAAUUAAAUGAUUAUUUUAAUCGAUUUUUAUAAAAUUACGAAUUUACCCUUGGGAUAGGGGUAACUUGGUCACUUUCUUCUUCGGAAGGAUUUUUGGACCAUGAGUGGUAUUUCUGGGUAGUUGGUACCGAGACGAAUUCGUAGACAUGCGGUAGGCUUGAAUCGGGGUUGUAACGAAAAAGUUACGGGCAAAAUAGUGUCAGUGGCAAACUUGUAAAUAUUUCGAAAAGGGUUAGGGUAAAAAUCAGAUUUUUCCAGUUUUACCUCACUUUCUCUCUCUUCCUCCCGAUUCUCUCUCUCUCUCCCGCGUCUCUCUUCCUUCUCCGAUCUGCAGAUCGCAGAGCCGCCGCCACAGGCCACGGCUAGCCCCGAGACCGGACCCAAAACGAUCGGCCAAACCUCGCCGACGUCCCCCGACCCAUCUCCAGCCGCCAGCCGCCGCCUCGUCGCCGGAAACCACGGAUUUCAGGCCGAUUCUUGUCUGAGCUUCCAGUCGAUCGUUCUCUCUCCUCCGAGCACUAUUUCAGACGGGUGAGGUAUGGUUUCUCAUCCAAUUUUUGAGUUCUAGCUGAUGAUGGUAUAGGUUUUCAUUGAUUUUGAGUCUAGAAAACCGAUUAGGAAUCUAGGUUUUGGGCCGAAUUUCAAAAUGAAAUUCUGGCCAGUUGCCGGCCGAAUUGGAGCUUCUCGUAGUUGAAUGAAGUGAUCCUGACCUCGAGUAGAAGCUAGAGUAGGAAGGGUGAGCUCGGGUGUGGAGUUUUUCCGUCACCGGAAUUACUCUGCACACCCACGCGCUGCCGGCGCGUGUGGCGGUGCGUGGGCGAGUCUGGUGAGGAUGUAAAUUGACCCGAUGAGAUCCUUAGGUUGUCACGAGCGCAUAGGAAUUCGCGGAUCUCGAUUCGGAUGUCGUUUGGCUAUUGAAACGGAUUUUCGCAUAUUGUGCGUUAUCCGGGUUCGAUAGGUUCCGACCGUUAGAUCUUUCCCAAAUUAAAAUAUGUUGUUCUAGGUAUUCCUAGGACCGUAUGGGACUUCACGAAUUCUGAAUCGGAGCCCCGGAUGUUCCGAUUCAAAAAUGCAAAGUUUGCGGGUUAGCGAUAACCGUAAAAUCGUGAACGCUUCCUAAACCUGUAAUCGGACCUUAGGGUACCAUCUUCGACGUGCACGUAUGGGAAUUUGGGGAGUUAAGCAUUUAAUUUGUAAUUUCCGCUUAGACGUGGUUUUUAUAUUAAUUAACGGUUCGUAUUUCGAAAUAGGUAUUUCGACUGCACGCACGCAGCAAGCAGGACCUUCACGUGGUCAGGCAGCGAGGGAAUACUUGUGAGUGGACUUUGUUUUAAUCAUAUGCCUGGUUUUAAUUAAUGAAAGAUUUUGCAUAAUGUUUUAAUGGCUUCUGGAUUUUAUGUAUUAUAUGCAUGAAUUAAUUUCAAUGGGUGUAUAGCAAUUGGCAAUAUAUUAUGAGUUUGGCCUUUUGGGUUUUGAGAGUGUAUUUCAUGUAUAGAUUGGGGAAGUAUAUUUUGAUAUAUAUAUAUUCUUUUAGAGGAGAUAUUUGGGUUGUUGGAGAGUGAUAUGGAAGAAUGUGAUUAGAGAGGAGUUGUGGGAUUACACUACGUAAGUACCUUCCCCGGUUACUAGUCUCACUCGCGGCGUUGGAUGUUCCGGCGGGUGAGACACUUUCCGUAUGCGGCGCUGGAUGUUCCGGCGUACGGAAAGACUGUGUAUAGAGUUUAGGGUCAUCACCAUGGCGUUGGAUGUUCCGGUGUGUGAUGAUCCAGUCUGCGCGCGUAGGACAUAGUUUGAGAGCUACACAUGGCGUUGGAUGUUCCGGUGUGGGAGCUUUGGAGUUUCGUCCCCCGGUUGGACCGCUCAUCCCUAAACGCAGGAUAGCACCUGGAAAUCCUGCGGACUAGUCAAACGAUCCCCCAGUUGGAUUGUUUUCCCCGGUACCUAAGUGGUGUGAUGAGUAUAUCAUAUAGCUAUUUAUAGUUAUUUAUAUAUAUAUAUUUAUGUGUAUAUUUAUUGAAUAUGUAUAGUUGAGUGUGAAAGGAAUUGGAGUUUGUUUAAUAGUUGAUAGGAGUGGUGAGUUUGAGAGAAUGGGGUUCUUUUUGAAAGAGAUAACUGAUGUUUUUAGAUGAGUUUUACUGAAGCAUAUUUUGAGUAAUUUCUUAUUGAAUUGUGAACCUGCAUGACUUGAGCAUUAUUUUACAUGGUGGGGUUACUAUGUUGUUUUUAACUGCAAACCUGGUUUUUGUCCACUCACAUGUUUUCUGUUUUGCGCCCCCCCAGCCAGUAGUUGCUCUUGGAAGUGCAAGUGGUGUACGAAGCGGAAUCGGUGCAUCUUUCUAAUUAGGAAUUGUGUAAAUUCUUCUACUCAACUGUUCUUGUAAUCUAAAUUCAGUAGAUGCUCUGUAUUUGCCAUGGUAGAUUUUACUUGUGAGGCCGGAGGCCACUCUAGUAUGACUUAUGUAUGUAUGAAAGCAUGCUGCUGGUUGGGAUUAGUAUUACUGUGUGUGCAGGUUGAAUAAAUUUUGUUGGGUUUGUUUAAAUUGCAGGGGAGACUCUGCCAAAAUUUUGGUAGAAAGUCUCGAUUAUUUAGUAGUGGGCCCGGCAUCAGGAUGAUGUCGGGAUCAAGACGGGGUCCGCCUCGGUCAACGGGAAAUUCCGGGGCGGGUCUUGUCACAUAUUUGAACACAUAACACGUGUUCAAGGUUAUAUAUUUCAUUACCUUCACAAUAGGUACCAAACCGUACCAUGGGAACAUUCAUAUACGCACAACAUACUUAUAACAUACUUACACUCGUGUAUAUUUGAACACAAGAAGACGUGUGCACCACCGUGCACGGUUCACAUGAAGUAAGAAGAUGAAGAGGAAAUAAAGAAGAAUACAAAAGAAAAUGGAGAUGAGAAGAAAAAAAAAACACGAAUAAUGAAAAAUGAGUUGACAAUUAUAUAUGGUUGACAUUAGAUGUAAUAUUAUAUGUAAUAACUAAUGAUCUAAAAUAAACAUUUAAUCUAUUCACUCGUUUCGUGUUUACUCCUGUGAUGGAAGGGCAAAGUUCCCCAUUGCCUUGAAAACCAUUGACUGGUCAACAAGACAACUUUCUUUGGUGUGCGAGCGUGCCACUACUAGCAAUAAAAAACAUAGCAGACUUCUUUGAAAUAUAUAACUUGCGUCCUAAGUUACUAAUUUCUAAACAAGCGAUCGUGAAUUUGGGUGAGGAAUAUCUCCCAAGUAAGUUCUUUUCUUGCCUCAGACUGGUGAGGACUUCACAAUUUAUCUUAGUACAAGAUUGGUAGUUUUGGCCAGAAUAAAUGAUAAUAAAGUGGACUUUUUUAGGCAGAACUGCCUUUUACAAAACUAGAAAGGAAAAGAUCAACUCUAGAAAGACAAAAAAAUGGCUGAAAUUCCAUUUCUGCCUGGAUAGAAGCUUCUGAUCCGGGCUGGACUGGGUAUGUUUGUUCUGGACUGAAUUGUCAACAACUUCAACUACUAAGCUUCAGCUGUAAAUCGAUACCAAAGUUUGAGUUUGGCAGAGUUUUAAUAUAUUUCAAGCCCUGGAAGGCUUUUCGAACGGGCAGAACUGCAACUUCUUUGGUCUGAACGGGGCAGAAGUGGCUGGACUUAAGGAUUACUAAGCCGGAACUGCACUAUGGUACCUGUUCUGCUUGAUCCGGGCUCUCUAUAAAUUUGUUGAGGUUUCCAUAUUUGUGAAAACUCAAACUCGGCUUGUCUUGGCUUUUGCUGAACCAAAUUUGUAACGCGAGAAGUCUCGUUUUGAAUGACUUAUUUAUCUGAGUAUGAACUUGGAAGUUCGAUCUAUAGCUGGCUUCUUUUGUGGCUCGAAUGAGUUUUUGGUUGCUCUAGUUUGUUUUGAAGGUUCUCAAUGAUCAAGUGAUCAUUUUGAGUUUUUGCCUUUGGUUGAUUUUUGAUUGUUUGAUUGAUUGUUGAAAAAUGAGUGUGUUUUGCUCUGUUCACCCUCUCCUAUAUUUAUAAGAAAUGCUUUGGAGUAGGGUUUCUAAUUUUUUAGAAAUCGGCGGCAGAUUUUCUCAAAAGAUCUUUCAUUUUUUAAAAUGUAAAGAAAUAGGGGUUUUAUCAAUUCUGGUAGAUAAGCUCUCAAUGGUCAGUUUCUUUAAGUCAAUCACUUCUCUGUUUUUUGAAAGAAAACUUAAUCCCUCUUUAAUUCCAACUGCCCCUUGUGAGAGCUCAAACUGUGAUGGUUAGUUUGAUUUUCCAGUUUAAACAACUUCCUGUUUCAUGCUUUAUCUUUUUUUAGAAAACACAGUCUGCGUAUCCUGAAAGAUGGUGCCUUCUUUGGAGUAUAAACAAUAUCUCUGAAUAUAUAAAAGGGUUUUGAUCUUCUGGUGGCAGAGAUUUCAGAGACAUCCCUUCUUUUCGCCUGCCUCUGUCAACUCUUUAUUAACCUAGUUGAAAUUGUUGACUUUCCUAAAUCAGAGAAAAAGAUUCACUUUGGUAUGUUUCCUUUUGGGCUCCUUCUUCUCUUUUAAUAUGCCCAAACCCUUUUGUUUUUCCUGGAGCCAUGAGCUGAUUGCUCUUUUUUUCUUUUUUCGAGGCCCAAGUUUAUUUGCAGAGUCCAGACUGCUUGGGCCCUGUGGUUUGUCUUUGUUGUUUUUGGGCUGGGUGUGUCAAAUUAGGCCCAAACAAAGUCAAACAAUAAUUAAAAGAUUUGACAAUAUAAAAAUAUAUUGAGAACAAAAAAAGGCAAAAACUUUUGAAAAAUGGAAACAAUAAAUAUGAAUUGAGUCAUCAACUCACCAAGGUAAGUUUGCUGAUGUGUAAAAAUAGUCAAUGGACUACAUCGAAAAAUAAUUGGCUUACAUCAAAAAUUAAAAUCACGUGGUUUAUUCUUAAGAAACCUUAAUAUUUUUGGGUUCAUAUAUUUUUUGUAUUUUAAAAAAAAAGAAAAAAAAAAUCUGACCAUGUAUGUAUGAUGAUGAUAUGCAUGUUAUUUUUAGACCUAAGGUAAAACAAACAAACUUUUUACUCCAUUUUUCGUGAGGUUUAUCAAAAGAAUUAAACUGUUAUAUCCUCCAUUUUAGAUUUCAUGCUUCCAUUUAAAGAAAAGAAUAUCAACAACAAAAAAAGAAUAAAGUUACAACAUUGAUCAAUUCAAAUGUCCAACUAUCGGAUCAUGAGCCUCUGCACUUAGAGACUACGCAUUUACCCGUAUUUCGUUAAAUUUAGACCAUUAUAAUAAUCUAACCCCUUAGAAUGGGACACAUCAUCAAGUUUUUUUUCCUUUCACUAAACAGAAGAGUUAAGUUUUAUUUGUGGGUAACUAAACUCUUGUUUAGAGCAUGUUUUUUAUUUAUUUUUCUUUGUUCUGUGUAAAUUAUAAUAGGUUAGAUUAUUAUUUGUGGGUGACUAAAAUCUUGUUUAACAAUAAUAGUUAACGUUUGUUUAGAGAAGAAAAAAAAUUUGAUGAUGUGUCAUGUUCUAAAGGGUUAGAUUAUUAUAAUGGCCUAGAUUUAGCGAACUGUAGAUAAACGCGCAGUGUCUUAAUGCAGAGGCUCGAGAUCCCCAACUAUCAUUGAAACAUAAGAAACUAAAAUCUUCAAGAAAAUGCUAUCAAUUGAAAAAACAAUAAUUAAAAAACAAAAAAAGGAAGGGAAUUCGCAGCUGCUAUGCAAAAAAGAGCAAGUCGGUUCAAUGAUUUUUUCUUCUUCUUCUUUUUGUUAUGGAAAUGAAAAGCUAAAUGAUGGGCUAUAUAUGGGAAGAAGCUCAAUGAUUGAAUUAAUAUCUUCUAUCUACAUUCUACCCUCUUCCUCGCUACAUACACAAAUGGUGCACGUACAUGGACAUGGGUUGACAUGAAUAAGAACAGCGACGCGUACUUGUUUUUAUUUUUGGUUCUUUAGAUCCAGUUGCACGUACCAAAGAAAGAAAACCACAGGUAUGCAAUGCAAGCUCUUUUCCCAUGUUUUCCUCUGUUUUCUCCUAUUUUUCUCUCUUUUUUAAAAAAAAAAAAAAAGAUAUACGGAAGUGAUUAAAAUACUCCUCUAACUAAGCUUGUUUUGCGUUCGGUGGCCGACUGUAAAAGCUCUGCUCAAACCUAACGUACUAGGUAUUUAUUUUAUUGCUCUGUUCAGACCUAGUGAUUAAAAUGCACUUGCGAUUUUGUGUUUCAAUUCCCUCUCCCCUAAUAUUGCUUGUAUAAAAAUAAAAACUUUUAAAAAGACAUUAAUAUUGUAUUCUAUAUUCUAUAAAGUGUUGGACAUGUUUUAUAUUGUUGACAACCCCCUAAUAUUUUGGUGGUGCCCAGUUAUAUUCAAUUCGUAUGUAUUUAAUUUGCCACUUACAUUCUUGCCUUAAUACAUUUAGGCUUAUUUUUAUACAAAUUUCUCUAACAUAACUUUUGCACAUUCUUUUAGUCUCUAAUAUAUAUAUAUAUAUAUAUAUACAGAGAGCUUCCAUUGAGGGAUCCCUCAAAUAAACUUAUUUGAGGGACACUCCUUGUAGGCCCCACUCCGAAUUGUAUUUCACUAAUACAAACCGUCUAUUUUGUAGAUACUCAUUCAAAGAUCAUCUCUACAAAAAAUCACUUGAAUCCGAUAUCAUUUGACCACUCAAUUAAGUUAUUGAAAUUUUAGCAUUUUCUUGAAGCACCGUGUUCAUUGAUUUUGUAAGACACAAUUGGAUGUCGAAACGGUUUCCGAUUUGUCUAAUUUUUUGUAAGGAUGAUCUAUGAAUGAAAACCUAAAAAAUAGGUAGUUUGGAUCAUUGAGAAAAAAAUUGUAUGGUACCUUAAAGGGCGUCCCUCAAAUAAAAUUAUUUGAGGGAUCCCUCAAUAGAAGGGGACUGUAUAUAUAUAUAUAUAUAUAUUUUCUAAUAAAUAAUCUUACCCAUUUGAGUUAUCAGCUAUUUUCUUUUAGCCCGGAAAAUCGACAUUUUGACAGAGAGUUGAAAAGAACUCCCCAAUUUUAAUGUCAGCCACUUGAAAAAAAAAACAUAAAUUUAAUGACAACAAUUACAUUUAGCAAUGCAACCUAAAAACUCAACCUUUGCGCCCCUUUCACAACGUAGAUAGCAGAGUAAGGAUAUUCGGAUAAGAACCAAGACAUAAGCCAGAGAAACUACGAUAGCCAACCAGGGCCUUCAUUUCUUACCAUCUGAACAAUGCCACCAUUUUGUUUGGUAAGUAUUUAAUAACAUUUCUUGCUCUUCAUAAAGUAAUAUUAAAACGAAAUUUGCCUAAAUUUUUCUUACCAACAAUGCAUACGAAAAAAAAAAAGGAAGAUUCACUAUUAUACUCAAUAUAGGAGCCCAAAUUAUUUAUAAUUAAAAAAAAAACCUUACAUGAAAUGGACUUUAGAAACACACUCAAAACCUAUUUACAACAAAACAAAGACUUUUAACUUCUUUUAAAUUACAAAACUAUCAUUGAUUUCUUAAACAAACCCAACCCCAAUACCUCAUAAAAAAACCCAAAAUACUUGAUAAAGCAUCAAAGUAAUUUAAUAAUCAAAAUUAAAUUCAAUAGGACCAGCAGUUAUUUUUUGGGUUUUUUUUGUUUGUUUAUAGAAAUUAAAUGGUGUAGGAUCUAUCUAUAUUAUUAGUGCUAAGAAUGGAUAUGUGACUAAAUAAUUCCAAAAAAAAAUUAUAAUAAAUCUACAAUUUUUCUUUUUAUAAAAAAAUUCUACAAAAAUUUAUUAGAUUAAUAGGCACUACUAGAAAAUCUCCAUAUAAGCCACUAAUACACCCAUGACAGUUGUCCAAGCGUAGUGUUGUCAUUCAAUAUUCCCCACAGCAACCAGCAUCCAAUAAAGGGUUGCCUCUCUGUAUGUAGCUAUUUGAGAAUAUAAAAGAAAUAUUUUUUAUUCAACAUGGACGCAGAAACUGUUGCUAAACUGCAAACUUCUUAAAAUAUUUAUCUAACUUUCUAGAUCCAUGUACUGAGAUUUAUUAGGGAAAUAUUGUAGAAACUGAUUAUUUUGAAAUAUUAAAUGUGAAAAACUGAACAAAAAUUUGAUGGGUUACAUAUUUCAACUCAUUUCAGCAGCUUAGAUUUUGAAGACCUCAGAAGAGGCUAUGCAAUGAGCCUAGCUAGUGCACUGUUGAUCACUUCAGUGUUUACCGAUCUGUAAUUUUUCCAGAUUGGUUAUAUUUUCCUUUACAUAUUCUUAUAUUUUCCCAGUUGGGGAGACUUAUAAAUAAGGGAAAUAGCCCUAAAUGCCACCAAUUUUAUAAUUUUUUGUCAAAAUACCACCCCUCCCCAAAAUUUUUAAAACUACCACCUAUAAAUACAUCUUUAUUGUAAAUUAAUUGCACCCAUAUCACUUUUUCAGAAAUUGGGUUCUCCCUCAACUCUCUUGGCUCUGUCUCUCUCUUUAGCCUAGCUCUCUCUCUCUCUCCGACAUAGUCAUCUUCCUCCCUCAGCCAUCCAAGCUUAACUCCACAGUUCACAUCCACGAGGUACUGUUCACGUUCCUUUUCUUAGAAAUUUGGGGUUUUUGUGAAUUUGGUUUAUGAUGUAUGGAUUUGUAUGAAAUUGGUUUAGGGGUUUCUUCCAAAUUGGUUUGGUAAGAAGGUGAUGUUGUUGUUGCUGUCACUGACAGACUAUUUUUCCUGGGUUGUGGUUGGUGGGUGUUACUGCGAAUGCUUACAAGGUUGCUGAUUCUCCUUCUAAGGUCUCUCUUUCUCUCUAUUUCUACAAAUUCUAAGGUUUUUUUUUUUUUUUGGGUUACUUUUUUUUUUUUUUUUAUUUCUUUUGCUAAUUGUAAUUGGGCCUUUGUUGCAGAGGUGGAUUUGUUUUGUGCCCAAAAGAUUGUGACUUUGUUGAAAGUUCGUAAAUAGAAAAGGCAGCUGCCCCCUGCGGCUUGGAACGCUCAAUUCGGAGGUAUUAUGCCUUGAAUUUUUACAAAAGAAGAAUUGAAACUACCUUAUAGAAGGCAAAACAAAAAUAUAUAAGAGGAAAAAAGGAGAAAAUUUAUCUAAUUUCCCUUUUUUUAGUUGUAUUUUUNNNNNNNNNNNNNNNNNNNNNNNNNNNNNNNNNNNNNNNNNNNNNNNNNNNNNNNNNNNNNNNNNNNNNNNNNNNNNNNNNNNNNNNNNNNNNNNNNNNNNNNNNNNNNNNNNNNNNNNNNNNNNNNNNNNNNNNNNNNNNNNNNNNNNNNNNNNNNNNNNNNNNNNNNNNNNNNNNNNNNNNNNNNNNNNNNNNNNNNNNNNNNNNNNNNNNNNNNNNNNNNNNNNNNNNNNNNNNNNNNNNNNNNNNNNNNNNNNNNNNNNNNNNNNNNNNNNNNNNNNNGGGGGAAGGGACACCCUAUUUCGUUACAGGGUUUAUUGACUGCAUUCUUCCUUGUUCUAGAAGACCUCCUCAGUUCCAUUGAGCCGACAAACCUUAUGAAGUUGAAUGUGAAGUGUUACCUUGCAUCUACAUGUUUCAUCUUUUAACUUUAUUUUCAUGUUUCACACUGAUGCUUGUAGUUAUUUCUAGUUUUGCAUACAGAUUAGCAAAUAGGUUAUGCAUUUACUGUUUAGUCAUCUAAUGAUUUGAUAUCUAAUAUUUAGGCAUAUGGGAAUUUAUAGAUGUACCGAUUAUGCAUACAUAUAGGUUUUGUGCUUGUAUUAGGAAGUUAGAUUCUUGUGGUUCCUCUUCAAUGGCAUGAAUUUAAAUUGUUGUGCUUCAUGAUUAGGGUCUGAAGAACAACCAUGUAGUAAGAAAGUUGGAGAAACGUCAACAGAUUUGCACCCUUGACCAACAUAUUGAAGAGUAAUUUGGUGGUGGUCGUCUAUUGGCUUGUAUCUCAUCACGACCUAGAUAGUGGCUGUGCUGAUGGGUAUGUGACUUUAUUUGCCUAUGUCUGUUUCUAGUCAGCCGAUAUGUCAUUGGCAUAUUAGUGUAGUUACCAUAUUGCAAGGGCUGAAAUCUGGAUGAUAACAGCUUCUUUUUAUUGUUGUUUUAAAGUGAAGUAUGUAUGGAUCUUAUGAAAUUUUUACAGAAAUAUAUUGGAGGGCAAAUAAUUUUAUUUUAGUUUUUUUAUUCCCAAAUGAUACCCAAAACAUGUAAGCUUCACACUAUGUUAAUUUCUGCAGGAUGGGAAAACAUUGGACAAUGAGUUGGAGGUUGUUAAGGGAAUGAAGCUAGACAUGGGCUACAUAUCCCCUUAUUUCAUCACCAACCAGAACAAUUAGAAAUGUGUAAGUUUUGGUUUGAUUCAGGGAUGACUAUGUCUUGAAACUGUUAGAGGGCUGCUUGUUAAAGUUAGUAGCACCUCAAGUCCCUUUUUUAUUGAUGCUGAUUAUCUUCAAACUUGUGUAUGUGCUGAUAGGAAUUGGAAAAUCCUCUAAUCAUAAUCCAUGAGAAGAAAAUCUCAAGUAUUAAUGCUGUGGUUAAAGUAUUGGAGUUGGUCUUGCAGGUUAUCAUUUCUCUGGUUAGGUUCACUAGUUUCUUCUUUUUUAUCAUGAAUUGGUUGACAAACUUUUGCUCUUUUUCAAAAGCAAAGGUCUUUGCAUUUUGUUAUAUCUUUCAGAACCAAAGUUAUAAAAGAAAAUGGUUUUCCUCUUUGUUAAUUGAGAAUCAUCUGCAGUUAUGAUUUCAGAUCUAUAGAUAACUUGUUGUUGCUGAUAUUGCUACACGGGAGGAGAAUAGAACAGCUUGAAAAAUGUGCAAGAAGAGAGAGCUAACUCAUACACCGAAGAACAAAUUGGUGAAGUUAAGAUCAAAUUAGUAGAAUUUGUGAGCUCUCCAUUAUUUAUAAUUAUAGGUAGGAAGUAUGUAUGUAAUAGAGUAAAGAUUGGUUGACUAUGUAAUAACAAUUGAAUUUUCAAGUUUUAUGAAAGAAAUAAUUUUUGAGCAUAUAUAUUUGUUAAUAAAGCAUUAUAAUUGGUUUUCUAGUUAAAAUCGUUGUAUAGAAUCGUAGGAAACAAAAACCUAAAUAUAACAGCUUGGGAACUUAUUAGACGACAGAUUUAAAGAUAAUAAAAUGUAGUCUGAAUUGUUAGGGUUCGGUGGCGAUUUAUUUUGCAUGUCUAAAUUGUAGUCUGUAAUAUAUGUGUGUGUAUUGUAUGUAGAUUGACUUAAUAUUGCUAUCCUAUUGCAUGCGUAUUGUACUAAUAUUGCCUUUGUAUUGCAUACAUAUUGUAUGCAUAUUGCCACCCUAUUGCAUGUAUAUUGUGAUGUUAUUGCUGUUGUAUUGCCGUUAUAUUGCCCUAAUAUUGCCUCUCUAGUGUAUGUAUAUUGGCCUAAUAUUGCCAUUAUAUUGUAUGUAUAUUGACUAUGACUCAUCAAUGGGUUUACGGUUUAGGCCCUACUUCAUUCAAAAAGAAGACGACGACGAGAAAGAAACAAUGUGCCUUUCAAAAACAAGCAGUCAGGUGCAUUAUAAUUGCACCGUAAGACAUUGUAAGAAAUUAUUUUAAAAGAUAAUAACAACUAAAAAAUAAUUUACCAAAAAAGGAAGGUAUGAAUAAAUAUGCAAAUGCUUCGUCAUGGGUUGAAGAAAAGGAUGAUUACAUUUGGUGGUUUGAUUAUGUUUGGUGAUAUGAUAUGUUGUUCGUCUGAAUCUUCAUAUAUGUAAUUGUUAUGUUAAUACUUGACACAAAUUCAUCUCGUAAUCAUCCAAUUAUUAAAGCUAAGUAAAUGAAAUGAAACAAAAGAAGAAGCCCAAAAUAAACAGAAACAGCAAUUUCUAGCACCCAUUUAUCGCUUCUGUAUUACCACUGUAUCACCAACGUAUCACCAGCUUAGCGUUGAUGACCAUUAGUUCAAACAUUAUGUGAUCUAAUAGGGAUAACUAAUUUUUGGAACAACUAAUGAAUCUUCAAAAAGAUAAAGAACAACUAGUAAACUAAUGUAUGCAGUUUAACUUUGCACGGGUCAUAGUGCUCAACAUGAUAUUUGGCAACCAUCUCUACACUUGGUGUAUAUUGCAGGCUUCUAUGCAUUCCAAACCUUCAUUCUUCUGUGAUAAAACUGUUAAAUUACCAAGAUUUCUAACACAUGGAAGUAAACAAACGAAUCUGCACAUUUAUUUGUACAUACACACUGCGUAUUGCACAUCUGCGCAUCUAUUAAUCACCACACCAAUGUUUCAAAGAUUGAUUCAGAGGGCAAAAUGAUUGAUUACAUAUUUCAAAUUAGUCAUCUGCUCAUAAGAACUUGGCCCUAAAACUGUACUAAUGGUAAAUAUACUGACAUAAUAGCUAUUAAUGAAAAAUUCUAAACAAACGAGGGACUUAUUUUUCUAAUAUUGUAGUGGAAGCAUGUUAAGUGAUUUUCCACAUUUGUUCAUGGGGGUAAAGUAUAUCUUACCCCUUUCUAAACAUUAUGAGGUUUCAAAUUUCAAUAACAACAGAAUGCUAAGCAGAAAAGUAGAAUUGCUACAUAAAUUACUUAGAAGGAACAAAGUCAAAACUAAUUUGACAAAUCUUAAGAAAGCUGUAUGCUUCACUAAGUCAACUAACAGAUUCCCAGUGCAGGAAAUGAAAUAUACCUAUAUCACAUAAAUUGCAAAGAAAACCACAGAGACUAAAUGUUAACAAUGGAUACAAAAAUGAGUAGAAUUCAGUGGAAACGAACACAUCGUUUCAAACAAGUAAAUUGUUAUAUGUCCAUAAAGAGCAACUAUGUUUAUAUAUGGAGGUGUACGAAAUAGUUCAACUUCAAAAUGGAAACAGUUUAUGUGCCAUGUAAGGCAAUGAACAUAUAACAAGGUGAGUCUUCAACAAAUUAAAAGUAGACAAUUAUUUUCAAACAAUCUGACAGCUGCCCGAGAAAACUGAGGGAGUUAAGGCAUGAGAUGCAAACAUGAUAAACACUGUUAAGCACUCGGACGAACCCAUGCUAUAAUACAAGCCAACAGACAAUCACCACCACCAAAUUGCUCUUCAAUAUGUUGGUCAAUGGUGCAAAUCUGUUGAUGCUUCUCCAACUUUCUUACUACAUGGUUGUUCUUCAGACCCUAAUCAUGAAGCACAACAAUUUAAAUUCAUGCCAUUGAAGAGGAACCACAAGAAUCUAACUUCCUAAUACAAGCGCAAAACCUAUAUGUAUGCAUAAUCGGUACAUCUAUAAAUUCCCACAUGCCUAAAUAUUAGAUAUCAAAUCAUUAGAUGACUAAACAGUAAAUGCAUAACCUAUUUGCUAAUCUGUAUGCAAAACUAGAAAUAACUACAAGCAUCAGUGUGAAACAUGAAAAUAAAGUUAAAAGAUGAAACAUGUAGAUGCAAGGUAACACUUCACAUUCAACUUCAUAAGGUUUGUCGGCUCAAUGGAAUUGAGGAGGUCUUCCAGAACAAGGAAGAAUGCAGUCAAUAAACCCUGUAACGAAAUAGGGUGUUCNNNNNNNNNNNNNNNNNNNNNNNNNNNNNNNNNNNNNNNNNNNNNNNNNNNNNNNNNNNNNNNNNNNNNNNNNNNNNNNNNNNNNNNNNNNNNNNNNNNNGAUAUGAAGAAACAAAAUGAAUCUCCCACAAGCCUAACAGGCUAAUACCAUUAACAAGGUCUGAAAUUGACUCUAUAUCAUGUACAUAUAUAUAUAUAUAAACUCCAUCUUUACAUAUUGGAACUACAUCAAUGUAAACCAACUAGAUCGACCCUGCAUCCUGAACACCACCCCCCCUCCCAAAAAAAAGACCGAGAAAAAAAAAAUACAACUAAAAAAAGGGAAAUUAGAUAAAUUUUCUCCUUUUUUCCUCUUAUAUAUUUUUGUUUUGCCUUCUAUAGGGUAGUUCCAAUUCUUCUUUUGUAAAAAUUCAAGGCAUAAUACCUCCGAAUUGAGCGUUCCAAGCCGCAGGGGGCAGCUGCCUUUUCCAUUUACGAACUUUCAACAAAGUCACAAUCUUUUGGGCACAAAACAAAUCCACCUCUGCAACAAAGGCCCAAUUACAAUUAGCAAAAGAAAUCAAAAAAAAGUAACCCAAAAAAAAAAAAAAAAAACCUUAGAAUUUGAAGAAAUAGAGAGAAAGAGAGACCUUAGAAGGAGAAUCAGCAACCUUGUAAGCAUUCGCAGUAACACCCACCAACCACAACCCAGGAAAAAUAGUCUGUCAGCGACAGCAAAAACAACAUCACCUUCCUAUCAAACCAAUUUGGAAGAAACCCCUAAACCAAUUUCAUACAAAUCCAUACACCAUAAACCAAAUUCACAAAAACCCCAAAUUUCUAAGAAAAGGAACGUGAACAGUACCUCGUGGAUGUGAACUGUGGAGUUAAGCUUGGAUGGCUGAGGGAGGAAGAUGACUAUGUCGGAGAGAGAGAGAGAGAGCUAGGCUAAAGAGAGAGACAGAGCCAAGAGAGUUGAGGGAGAACCCAAUUUCUGAAAAAGUGAUAUGGGUGCAAUUAAUUUACAAUAAAGAUGUAUUUAUAGGUGGUAGUUUUAAAAUUUUUGGGGAAGGGUGGUAUUUUGACAAAAAAUUAUAAAAUUGGUGGCUUUUAGGGCUAUUUCCCUAUAAAUAAACCCAAAAUGGGUACAGUAUCUAUACAGAAGGACAAAAUUAAAGUGUUUGGACAAUAAUGCCCCUAUUCAUUUUGGGAUUGCCUAAGGAAUCCUUUUCCUGAUUUUCAAUGAUGCCAAAGGACUGUUGUUUGAUGCUUGCCGUAUGGAGCUAAGAAAACUUGCUUUGUGUUAUAAAAAUAACCUGGAAUAUGUACGAAUAUUGAGCUGCACGAAAAGUAGAUGAAACACAGCAUUUAACGAGGUUCGGCUAUGCCUACGUCCUCGGAGAGCAACAGCAGUAACUUUUUCACUAUAUGAAAUAAUAGGGCUACAACUUUAGAGUUUACAAUAUGUGAGGCUCACUGAAUUUUCUCUCUCUUUCUUCUUCUCUCUUUUCUUUCUUCUUUUUCUCUUCUCCCCUUUCUUUCUUUUCUCCGUUGGUCACACUCCCCUUUACAAUUGGUAUGCCUAUUUAUAGGCUAAUGUUUAGGCAAAAUACAGGGAAGGGAAGGUUCCUGGAAGAUGCAAGGAAACUUCCUGAAUUGAUAAUGUCACACCCCGGACCGACUCCGCCGUAGCACGAUAUUGUCCGCUUUGGGCCCUCCUCUCACUGCCCGCACGGUUUUGUUUCUGGGAGCUCACGAAGCAACUUCCCAGGGUGGUCACCCAUCCUGGGAUUGCUCCAGCCUCCCACUCGCUUAACUUCGGAGUUCUUACAACUCCGAAGCCAAUGAGCUCCCAAAAGGCCUCGUGCUAGAUGGAUGCGGGUGUGCCAUAUAAGGCACAUCACCCCCCUCUCCGUUGGUUUGAUGUGGGAUCUUACAAUCCACCCCCCUUAAGGGUCCGACGUCCUCGUCGGCACACUCGCACCACACGGCAGAGUGGCUCUGAUACCAAAUUGUCACACCCCGGACCGACUCCGCCGUAGCACGAUAUUGUCCGCUUUGGGCCCUCCUCUCACUGCCCGCACGGUUUUGUUUCUGGGAGCUCACGAAGCAACUUCCCAGGGUGGUCACCCAUCCUGGGAUUGCUCCAGCCUCCCACUCGCUUAACUUCGGAGUUCUUACAACUCCGAAGCCAGUGAGCUCCCAAAAGGCCUCGUGCUAGAUGGAUGCGGGUGUGCCAUAUAAGGCACAUCACCCCCCUCUCCGUUGGUUUGAUGUGGGAUCUUACAGAUAAAUACAGGGAAGGAAAGUUCCUGGAAGAUGCAAGGAAACUUCCUGAAUUGAUAAAUACAGGGAAGGGAAAGUUCCUGGAAGAUGCAAGGAAACUUCCUCUGUGGGCUCCACCUUCAAACUUUUACAACACUCCCCCUUGGAGACCACAAAUGAUAUGAAAUAUGCCUCGUUAAAAACCUUGCCAGUAAAAACCCAGUGGGACAAAAACUGGUCGAAGGGAAAAAGAGUACAUAAUCACGUGUAACAUAAAAUUCUGUGUAUAUUGACGCGCGUGCGACACUGCCUCGUUAAAACCUUGCCAGGAAAAAUCUAGUGGGAUAAAAACCUGGACGAAGGAAAAAGAGUACAGUGUGUAAGGGUCUGUAUUGACAGCACGCUCCUCCUGAUGCUUGGCAAAAUAUCUUUAAGCCAUACUGUUGAUCAUCUGUCUGAAUAUCAUAGUUGACACUGCUGCUGUGAGUCAAUAGUGUAUGAAGGUCUUUAUUAAUACCAUGCUCCCCCUGAUGAAUAUCUCCCCCUGAAAACUUCAUGACUAGCUUUUUCCAGUAAGCGACCAUAGAGAUUUCCUGAGUCCGCAUAUCUUAGAACACUUGGGCUAUUUAUAAGUUCACUAAAAAAAUAUGCCCGUAUAUGGUGUUAUGCUUAGAUAGCAUCAAAUAUACCUCACAUCAUCCCAAAAUGAUGGUGAUGGAGUUGAGCCCUAUCUGGAAAAUAUGAUGUCCGGUCCAAUAUACUUCCGGAAAAUCAUUAAAGUGUCCAACGGAUAAUCCUCAUAAAAAUACUUUAAUACUUUCUUAGUAUAAGCAAGAAUCUCGUUGGCAUAAUGCUCGAUCGAGACAAAUAUUUCAUGAAUUCUGCAGAAACUUUAAUGUGUUGCAAUCACAUUAUAAUCAAUGUACUCACUGAGGUAAUUUAUGCAUAUUAAUAUUGAGUACAAAUUUUGUGCUUCAAGCACAUGUCCUUUAAGGACUUGCUUUAUGCAAUAUCAAUCCUCUCAACGGAUUUUGUCUAAAAGGGAUUAAGCUUUAUGACACAUUAUAUAGCUUUUACCCAGCUAUUUAUACAUCUUUAGGAAAUCGCUUCUGGCGAUAUGCUCCGUGCAUUCAAUAACCCUUAAAGAUAAUAUGUUGGUCUCCGUAAUUGUGUAAUAAGGGGGGGCACAAUUGAAUCUGUAAAUAUGGAGAAAACCCAACAUUCCUUGUUUCUGCCAGAAACAGUGUGUCAUACAAAGUAGGUAUAUUCCCUUUUAUUCCGAACACCCAAGUAUAACUUUCAGUAUUAACAAAUUUUGGGGUUCGUAUUGUGGGUUUGUUCUUUCACGUUCAUUCUCAUUUAUAAUGGAAUUACCUCGUUCCAUUUUGGCCAGUGAUAUUGUCGACAUUUAAUAAUUGAACGUGGUUCCAAUCAACACAGCCCAUUGAUGAUUUGAGUAGCUACUCCAAAACCAAAAAUUGUCAUUCAUCAAUUCAUGAUCCCACCAUUCUCAUGUGCAUGCACAUGCAUCAAUUAUAAGCAUUUCUUUGCUUUUUGGUACCCAAGCCACUUCAGGGGGCUUUUAUUAUGUGAGAAUGUGGAUUAUAACCUCCAUCGGAGCGUUAUUUAGUAGUAGGGCGUGGAUAAUCUCCAUUUAGAGAGUUGGAACAUUGAGAACCCAUAUAUCUGUCAUGCUGCAGGCAUGCCACAGAUUAAUACAUACAUGUCAAUUAAUUUCUGGGACUUUAACCCAUAUUAUGGGACUUUAACCCAUAUAAUUUGCUACGCAUUAGGCGUGCAUAAUAUCAAUAUUGACAUGUCAAAGGAUUGUCCUUUCGGGACUUCAAUUCAUAUCAUUUGCUACGCAACAGGCGUGCACCCAUAUUGAUCACUGCUAUACCCAUAUUCUGUUCUUAUGGGACUUUAAUCUGUGCAGUGUAUUAUCAAUGUAUCCAUCUUACAAUCUGUAAAAUUUGCAUUAAUAAUUCAUGGAUACAUACAAGCCAUUCUUUUGGAACAGACUUAUCUCCCAAUUUGGUUACCUUUCAAGAUAAAAUAUCAAAUAGGUAUAUAAGCAUAAAAUAACACAAGUAUUGCUUACAUCCUUAGGUGGGAGAAACUUUUCUCAAGUAUCAUUCAAGCUCAUAUCAGCCCAGUAAAUAUAAUGUAGCGCUUGAUGAUCUAGUUAUAUCCUGCAAGAGCAAAAAUCACAACUCUUUUGCCUCUGUCAAAACAAAUAACCCUCAUAGUUAGGAUUACUUCAUGGAUUCAUUCUUCAUAUGUUCAUUCUAAAGAAAUAAAAUCUCUUAUGAACAGAGAGUUAUAAAAAGAGAAAAAAUGCAAAAAUAAUGUGAUAUUGAUUGCAAGAGAAGGUAAGCAAUCAGGGAAGGAAGCUGGUGGGAGCAGACAAUAAGCUCUCAUAUCUCCUAGUCUAGAAGGACUCCCGGAGAUUAGACCAUAAGAUCGCCUUCACAGUUUCCUGAUGUAGUGGAAACGUGAUCAGGGAUAGUCUUGCUUCCUGAAUGGAUGAUCAGAGAUAGUCUUGCUUCUCAGGCAUAUUGAGUGCUCACUGAUAAGAAAAAUAAGUAGAUAUCUCAUCACUAAGUAUGGAGUAAACUGGAUGUCUUCUGCAAAGGAAAAUUUCGUUUAGUAACACAUUUAUACACAAAUACAAUGAAUAGGUAGAACCGGUAAAUUUCAAAUUAACCAUAGGAAAAUUGCGAGAUUCUCGGGAUACUUUUGAAAAAGUAGCUCCGUGAAAUCCGUAAAGCAAGAUCGGCUUUGAAAAUAAUACUUUGAAAAACGCCGAAAGUGCCGACAUGCAUUAUUAGAGGCCACGUGAAGUUUUGGACUCUGGGAAAGAAAAAGAUAAUAUGGGGAUUCGAGAAGACAUUGGGGUCCUGAAAAGUUGCCACAUUUUCGUCUAUAGAUAUUGCCUUUGCAAACUGCGUUUCAACUCAACUUCCUUCAUUUUCCGAACCUUUAGUUUUUCUAAGACUUUCUUCGAAACCUUCUUAAAAAAAUGGCUUCCUCUUCUUCCUGCCCAAAUUAUUUCAAUUUAAAUGAUGCUCCCACAACAACCAGUGACGCCCAAGUUUGGCGUCCAUCCUUUGUAUCCAAAAAUCGUCAUCUCACAGUUAAUGAUUCUGUGAUGAUGAAUGAUGCUACUGCUGUCAUAGUAGCUAGGAAUUUCAUUACUCCAAUGGAUGAAAUGUUGUUGACAGGGAGAUCAGAGGAAGAGGCUAUUGAUGAAUCAAUGGCUUUUAGCAUUCAGAGUGCUGUUUCUGUUUCUAACAUGGCUGAUCGUUUGCGUGCCAGAGCAAACGAAGUUGAGAAUUUAACAACUGAAAAUUCGUCUCUCCAAAGAAUGCUUCAUGAGUCUCAACAGGAGGUUGAGAAACUUAAAGGAGAGAAUAAUGCCUUGUUGAAACUGGUGAGUUCGUACUCUGUUGAUACAUUGAGAAGGCUAGACAUGCUGCAGGUCUCGAAUGAAAGAAUUUUGGGAGACUAUGAGAAGCUCAUGGCUAAGCUUAAGAGGCGCCGUCAUCUUCCUUCAGAGGCUUCCAGGACAUAAUGUAAUUUUUAUAGAUUUUACAGGGCCUGCACCUUCAUUGCAGGAAAAAAUCUAUCUGUUGUAUGCCCCUUUUCUGUUAUAAUAAUUGCGCAUAUUCUUAAACUUGCACCUGUGGUUUUUACGUCUUUUCAAAAUGACGAUUUGGAACCUUGUGCCUUAUAGGUUCAAAUAACCACAUUGUCUCUCCCAAAUUUCAUAUUUUAUCGCAUGGUAGCCCGGAACUUUUGGCCUGGGCACAAACUCAGAAUUUAUUUGCCCUUUUCAAAUGGACAUGAAAUAUGAAUUGAGUAAAAGCCAUGAUAAUAUCGCAAUAUAGUAGUGAAGAGCAUUAACUACUAUAUACCCACAACUUCAAGUUCAGGAUCUCUCAUAUAUUUGGAUCCAUGGGCUUCCGGCCCAAAUAUAACAAAAUAUGUGGGGAGCCUCAAUUCAUUAUUUGAGGUUUAUAUUAAUAUUAUGCAUUUCGCGGUGUAUUCUUAACAACCGGAAUUCACAAAAUAUAUUUCUUCCUUGAGGUGUCGAUUAUAACAAAAUCGAACUUUAUUAAAUUCAUCAUCUUCUUAUGCCAAAGAAAUAUGUGGCAUACCACAAUUUGCAAUAAUACCUCAAGGGUUGUCCAUUUAAUUGUUGGAACUUCAGGUUCUCAACACUGUUAAAUUUGGAACUUCAGGCCAAAGCCACAUAUUCUCAUGGUAUGGACAUUUUUACAAUUUUCUGUACAUAUUUCGGGACUUCAAGCCCUUACAUAACUGUCCAUAUUUUGAGGAACUUCUGGCAUCUCAUUUAAUUGCUCAUCCAUGAGUUUAAGGAACUGCAGGUUCCCUUUUGUAUAUAGUGACGGUUUACCCAAAAUGGUUAAUAUUUAUGCAUACAUCACUAUUCAUGUGAAUAGUACUAUUCAUCAAGUCAUGAAUACGUAUCUAUUCAUCUGCCAGUACAGUUAUCAUCAAUGUGUACGGCACUAUGAACCAAUACGGUACUGUUACAUCAUUAAGGAACUCUAGGUCCUUAUUUACAUGUCAGGGAUUAAGAACCUUUAAGUCCAAUCACAUGUUUACAAAUACAGUACCGGUGAGACUGCCAGCUCUCAUUUUAAUAUCAUCAUCAAGGAUCUUCAAGUCCUGAUGUAAUUGUAUGAUGAGGAUCAAGGAACUUCUGGUCCUGAUCUGCAUACUGGAAAAACUAAUCAUACAGCACAAUUAAUCCAUAAAAUAAAUUGCUGAUAAAUAAAUUACUGGUAUGGACGAUAAACCCGCACCACACUUUAAAUAAAUGUAAAUGUGCGGUAAAUUAAAUUCAUAAAGUUAAGGUGCUUGUAUGGGCAUUAAUUCUGCUCCAUACAUUUAAAUAAAAGUAAAGGCGUGGACGAUAAACCCGCACCACCCUUUUAAAUAAAUGUAAAUGUGCGGUAAAUUAAAUUCAUAAAUUAAAUUGCUUGCUGUAUGGACGUUAAUCCCGCACCAUACUUUAAAUAAAAUUAAAUGUGCGGUAAAGUAAAUUGUGCUUGUAUGAGCACUAAUUCUGCUCCAUACAUUUAAAUAAAAGCAAUGGCGUGGACGAUAAACCCGCACCACCCUUUUAAAUAAAUACUGUUGUAUGGGUAAUAAACCUACACCAUACAGUAAAUAAAAUAAAUAUGCGGUAAAAUAAAUUUGCGAUAAAGUAAAGGUGCAUGUAUGGGUAAUAAACCUACACCAUACAGUAAAUAAAUGUGGGGUUAAAACCACCACCGAAUAAAAUAAGAAAAAGUUAGUAUUAGUAACGGUCUCCUACUGAUAAUAUGUUUAGUAUUACCAAGGGUCCAUUUUUGUUAGUGGUUAGUAGUAUAGAUAAUAGUGCAGCAUAAAAAUUAUACCUGAGAGCUUCUCGUGCUGAUAACGUGUUAUAAAAAUAACCUGGAAUAUGUACGAAUAUUGAGCUGCACGAAAAGUAGAUGAGACACAACAUUUAACGAGGUUCGGCUAUGCCUACGUCCUCGGAGAGCAACAGCAGUAACUUUUUCACUAUAUGAAAUAAUAGGGCUACAACUUUAGAGUUUACAAUAUGUGAGGCUCACUGAAUUUUCUCUCUCUUUCUUCUUCUCUCUUUUCUUUCUUCUUUUUCUCUUCUUUUCUUUCUUCUUUUCUCUUCUUCUUCUCUCUUCUUUUUCUCUUCUCCCCUUUCUUUCUUUUCUCCGUUGGUCACACUCCCCUUUACAAUUGGUAUGCCUAUUUAUAGGCUAAUGUUUAGGCAAAAUACAGGGAAGGGAAGGUUCCUGGAAGAUGCAAGGAAACUUCCUGAAUUGAUAAAUACAGGGAAGGGAAAGUUCCUGGAAGAUGCAAUGAAACUUCCUCUGUGGGCUCCACCUUCAAACUUUUACAACACUUUGAUAGUUUUGGACAGAUGCAAGCUACUGUUGUUGGGAUGAUCUUUUCACGUGAAAUGAGGAUGACGAUACUUCUACACUACACAAUCCAACGAAUUCACAUUUCUAUUUCAGAUACAUGUAUAAACAGACAAGGCUUUAAAAUAUGGGAUGCUGCACUGUUGUUGCUGCUGCUGACACUGUUACUGUGUUGCUGCUACUGUUACUGCACUGCUGCUUGAAGAAGGACAAGGACUUCACUUGUUGCUUUCGUCCUUUGUGGAGGAGAGAGACCUAGGACUUGCAUGUCUUAGAUAUUUAAGACAAGGGGCUUUCGUGCCAUUUUGAAAAUACUUUGGGUGUUUUUGAAAGCUGCUUGUUUCUUUUGAGUUUCUCACUAAAUUUCGCUUUAGAAGGGAAAAUAAUAAUAAUAUUAAUAGUACAGCACUUAUUAGCAACAGAGUUACAAACUUCUUCUACAACACACACCAACAUGAAUCUAGCCCUGAUCCACUCUUUACAUACUUGAAAACAAAACAAAACACGAAAAACAAAAAACAAGAUAGGGAGAAAAUGGCUACGGAGAGACUUACUGCUAAUAGUUGAUCAAUAACAGAGAUAAUAGCGCACACUAUUUGUAUGACAGUGAGUAUCAGAAGAAUAAUAGCUGCAAAGAGAGAAAUAGCUGCCCAAGGUGUGUUGAAAUACUUUUGUCUCAAAUUUGCCUUCCAUAUGUUCGUGGUCUUCUCUCAGUAACUCGUUUAGUUUGCCAGCAAGAUCACCAAAAUAGUAGUUUCCGUGGUUCAGAGCAACUUUACUGCAAAGCUUGUUAAUCAUAAUGGAAACCUUAUUGUUGUCACCUUGCAUGUUUACAACAAUUCUAUUCUCAACAAGCAACUCUACAUCCUUUGGAGUGUUUACAAAUUUAUCCAGGAUGAAAACAUAAUAGCUUAUGUAUUUAUCCACGCAAUGGCAUUGUUCAAAGGCAAUGAGAUUUCUAAGUGUAAGCUCUGUGUAAUUAUGUAUUUCAAUUUUUGGAAUUUCCAAGGUGUUUUUCUUGAACUGUAUAUCGAAUAAGUUCUUGCUUGAUCCGGCCUGGUGUAGUUUUGUCAUGCUGGGUGUCCUUUGGAGCCCUACAUUUUCUUUUAGGGUCGGAUCUGGCAGAUGUAAAGUUCUAAUAAAAUCAACAAAAUGUAAAGGUUUUUUAGGAUCAGGAGGCAUAAAAGACUUACGGAAGGCUGGUGAGUUCUCCAAGUUUUCUAAACGCAGUGCCUGUUGGAAGAACCUGUAAGAGAGUUCAAUUAUUGAAGGCUCCCCAGUCUGAGCACCUGUGAGAUUGUAAAGAUCCUCGAGAAUGAAAAAUGGCAGCUGAUUUCCAAGCAUAAGCAUGUCAGGCAAUAUAUUUUGUAGCACCCAUGGUUUUUUAAAUAUCCAAGCAUUAUCAUCCUGCAAUUUUUCUUCCUGAAAUUUUUCUUCGGAUUUAUUCCUCAACAAUAGCUCAAUGACAAAGGCGGCAUCAACUCGAAUGAUAUUCACAAAAGCAGCAAUGUUAAACUUCUUAGUGUCUUCAUAAUAAUGACGGAGUUCAACUUCUCUCUCCUUUAUUUUCUCGAAAUAAUCCUUCAAUUUUACAUUAGUCCAAUCAAGAAAACACUUUAGGUACCUGAGUUUGUGAUCUUCCAUGGCUUCUAGGUUUUUGCUGCCAUGGUGAAGUGGGCCUAUUGAGACUACUUGUGGUGUGUAGGCCUUUUGUUUUACGUUCCGUAGUCGCUCAGGCACCCUUUAGAUACAACAGGCAGGGGACAGGGCACGCAAGUUUGUCAACUGAUUUUCCAUGGAAGUUGCUUGGUUUUCUAUGUCAAAAGAAGCUUCAUUGCUGCUUUCUUCCACUUUCUUCCUCCUCAUUAUGUGUUGUUCUGAUUGUAAGUGACGAGGAUGGUGAUGAUUCUAGACAACAUAAUCAACAAAUGUUUCAAUCAUAAUUGACAUUUCAAGAUGCUCCGACAAAGAAUUAGAAAACAUUCAUCACAAAAUGCGAACUCAUACAAUAGAUGGGUUGAUGAUAUAACCAUUAUUUCGUACAUUUUUAUUAUCUUUCUCUUAGAUUCUUGCUAUGGUUCUUGAGUGAGUUUAGUCCAUUUUUACUUAGUUUUGUGUUUUACUAGGUUUGAAGAGUAAAGAUGGAAAAGCAAGCAAAAGGUGCAAUUUUGGUAUUGAAAUAUAAUGUGAAAUCCUAGGAGCAGAAUGUGUUGUGCGGAUCGGACAACUUUACAGAACAUACUGUACUUCCUCAGAGCGAACCAGAUGUUGAACCUUAUAUCAUUGGAAAGAUACGGAUGUUCGCCUUCUGUAGAAUUUCGCGGUUCAUGAUUCGGACGUGUGUGGAGAGAGUUGUGGCCAUUUUAGUACGGACAGUUCGGGCAGAAUGUGUUCUGCGGGUUUUGCAAAAUAAUCCAUUUGAAGUCCAAUCCUUGGAGUUUAAUUUGUGUCAAUUACAUUUGGGAAGUGUCUACAAGGAUGUGGAGUUAUUUUCUGAAGUCUGACCCUUUAUUUAGUAGGAUUAUGGAUGCCAACUCAUCAAAGACAAUGAAGCCAAACUAGGAAAACAUAGUUACCAAGUCAAAAGAGGAUUUGUUCCUUAUUUAAAGAAGACCAGAAAAUAGGGUUCUCUCAUGCUGGAAUUUGAAGGAGAGUUAAAGAGCCGCUGCCAUCGUCAAGUUCUCAAGCAUCGUCAUAAUCCAUAAGUUCUAUUUUAUGUUUUCUAGUUUUUCAAUUAUGUUUUCUUUGAACAUGAGUAACUAAAUCAUUCUCUAGGGCAAGGAUGACGCCCGAGCAUGGAUAGUUAUGAUUUUUAAUGCUAUUUAAUGAAUUCCAAGUUUCUUUUAGAUGAAUGUUUAAUCACUAUUUUAAUUGUUGCUAUUUGUUUAAGUUCUUUGAUUGAUCACCUUAUGACAUGACCCGCCCCGAAUUUUUCGAAACACGAGACGAAUCUUGUGGAAUUCCCGACCACACCCCAAUGCCGGGCCCACUUACUAAAGACCGGGACUUUCUGCCGAAAUUUCGGCAGAGUCUCUCCUGUAAAUUGAACAUUUCCCACAAUUUCAACCUGCAUAAAACACAUUUUAUAUUACCCAACUGGCAGCAUGCACAAUGUAAUAACAUGCAAUUCACAUAAACGGCCUUUCGACCUUCCGAUAAUCCACAACAAACCACCAAGCACGCUAUCAAAUCAAUUCAUACCUUAAACAAGGCAAACAAUAAAUUCAAUCACACUUAAGAAUGUCAAAGCAAUCCACUACAUUUAAUUUUUCUCAACACCCAACAUACGAGGUUUUAACAUCCUAACACAAUCACAUCUAUGUCUGCGGUUGCACCUAAUAACCUUAGGCUGCCUAUGUACCCUCACUGAGAGAUCAAGCCACACGUAGUUCUUCCUACUAAAUUCCGAUUUCCAAACACAUACAAUACCUUUAAUCAUCUCUAUGAUAAUCACAUACUCUCCCCACACGCCGGAAAUUCCAACGCCACGUAUGGGGUCUGUCAUCACGCCGAAAAAUCCUACGCCUCGUGUGACCUAACCAUCAUAUCAUCUCCCCAUACGCCGAAAAUUAUAACGCCACGUACGGGGUCUGUCAUCCUGCCGGAAAAUCCUACGCCAUGGGUGACCUGACAAUCACAUAAUCUCCCCAUAUGCCAGAAAUUCCAACGCCACGUAUGGAGUCUGUCUCAACGCCGGAAAAUCCUACGCCACGCGAGACCUAACAAUCACAUAAUCUCCCCAUAUGCCAGAAAUUCCAACGCCACAUAUGGGGUCUGUCAGCACGCCGGAUAACCUACACCACGUAGGACCUAACAAUCAUAGCAUUUCCCCGUAUGCCAGAAAUUCCAACGCCACGUAUGGGGUUUGUCCUCAUGCCGGAUAACUUACGCCACGUGGGACCUAACAAUCACAUAAUCUUCCCAUAUGCCGGAAAUUCAACACCUCAUAUGGGGUCUGUCAGCACGCUGGAUAACCUACGCCACGUGUGACCUAACAAUCAUAGCAUAUCUCCAUACGCUGGAAAUUUCAACGCCACGUAUGGGGUCUGUCAUCAUGUUGGAUAACCUACGCCACGUAGGACCUAACAAUCACAAGGUGGUACUUAGGGUAGUGCGUAUAGCACUGACAGAAAAUCACAAAAGUAUCUUUCCUAUUCUAGAGAUUGGUCACAUGUAGUCCAACCAAUAGGAAAUGAGAUAUUUAAGAAAUGAAGAGUUUGAUCAAUAUCAAUAUCAAAUGAAUUCUUAUACGCCUAGUCAACUAUUAAGCGUAUCUUGACUUCUUGAUAUUGUGAUAUGAUUGAAACAUGAUUUCCAUGUUAGAAAAUUAAAGGGAUGUUAAAACAUGAAAGUAAUAGGAGAAUCAAAUUGAUUUGGGCCAAAAUUGCCUAAAAAGAAAACACUUCUAAAUACACUCAAUUCACUUUUAAAAACAGUAAAACAUGAUUGAAUCGUUCUUUAAAACAAUUCCCUAAUAUACAUGCAUGAUAAUGACAUCACUUACCUCUGAACCAAAUGCCUUUCACGGGUCAAGCCACAAGUCUGUGUUUUGGGGAUUGCUAAGCUGCAUCAAUCCUGCCAAUGUCAGUUCUGCCCCUAUGCUCUCUCAAAGCAUGUUUACAACCUAUGCUAACAUAUACUAGAGUUUAUGCUAGUAUCGAGAAAAUGCAAACACUAAUUUUGUAACACGUAGAAUUGUUAGAGAUUGGAAGUUUUUAUCAUUUUUUUCUUCCAGUCUCUCCACCACUCACUAAUACAGAUUACUCAUGUGAUAAAUUUACAAAACCUAUUUCUCUACUCUCACAAAGACUAUACUUCUUCUCAAAAGACUAUAUCACUUUACCUCUAUCUCUGUGAAAUGUAAAAAGUUGAAACUUUAAUGUCAAACCUCGACAAAAGAUGAAUUUCCAUCAGUUACGUUGAAUUUGGAUUUGUUGAACUUAAGCGAUUUUACUUUCUCUGUUAGUAUUUGAUGACUUAAUUUGGUAUUUACUUCUUCUUCUUUUUUUCCUUGGAAAUGUGUUCCACCAACGUGAGGAAGAAAAAUAUGCACAAAAUAAUAUAUUUAAUAGAAGCCCAAGAUUUCGGAAGCACAUAAUUUUUUCAAAAAUCUACAAAGUGUUCUACUUUACAAACUUCUUAUGUCUACCAAUUUCUACUAAAAUUAAUUUCUUUGCGGUGCUCAGAUUCAUCAUGUGUGUGUCCUCAAUUUUAGUGGAAAUUGGAAGUUUCCAUCAUUUUUGUUUUCUGGGAAUUUUCUGAACCAAGGAAAAUCAAGCAAAAUUAAUAAAGCAUAAAAUGAAAAGGGAAAAUAUCUAGAGGAUGCAUUGUAGGAUUGCUCAUGCCAAUAAUUGUACCCUCUAAAUAUAUUGGGACAUAUUUUUUUUUGUUUUCAUGACAUAUGGUCCUAAAAUUAUUGUUCCUAGCGGGCUCUCCACCCCUCUCAAUUGAAAACCUAUUGUGUAAAUCUUCAAUCCUGAACGAUGAACGAUGCACCUAAAACACAUGUUGCAAUACACAUCCACCCAUUCUCAGGCCAAUUAUUGUUCCUAGCGGGCUCUCCACCCCCUCUCAAAUUUAAGUGGUCCAUUAUGAUUAAUCAUGUAUUUUAUGGACCAUCCAGCUGUGAGGUUUUAUCUCAAAAACCUUCGGUACCUUUCUCCCACAUGCCACAAUGGUAUAUUCACAAUUACGUCUGAUACCUCACAUCAUGCCACUUGCCUCAAUUGAAUUUAAGUGGGUGGAGUGUUACUUCUGGGUACCCCUCAUCAUUCGUCUAUAAAAUGGUGAAGCCAGUUGCUACUGUUACCAUAAGAGCCAGCUCCGACUUUCUUUAAUUUCUUGUUUCGUAUCCACUAGCUACAUCUGUUGCCAAGUUAAUUUCAGUCCUAAUGGGGUUUCAUCUCCCACUCAUCUUUGCUAUUCUCAGUGUAAGCUCUGCAAUUUGAUUAAGAUUUCCAUUCUCUCUCAUUGUACUCUAUAUAAACGAAAGUUUUGUGUUCCUACAAUUCUCUCCGAUUUUAUUUAGUAUGUACUUAAGUGUCGUACGUCCACUAAUUAAUUACACUUUGUGAGAUUUGAUUUUAAUUAGAGUUCGAAUUAAUGUUGCAGCUAGCAGCAGUGGGAAACCAUGCUGCUCAACCAGCACCUCAACUUUACUGGAACUCCGUCCUGCCAAACACACAGAUGCCAAGAUCUAUCAGUGUACUUCUGCAUCCUGGUUUGUGUUGAGCACUUUAGAAUCUUAGAUAUCUUUUCUACCUGCCAUUUUACUAAAAUUUGUUCGACCACAUAUUUAUCAGUUAACUACUGUCAUUACAAAUCGGCUGAUCACUUAUUUUGCAUUAUGACGUUGAUAUAUAAUUUGCAGACUCCACAAAUGAAGAAAAGAGCACAUAUAUGAAUGCUGUUGGGAAUGGAAAGGGCAAACCUGAAAUUUUCCCAUUGGGCAUUAGACGUUACGUUCAAAAACGGUAUGGAGGGGGCAUUAGACGUUACAAUCAAGAACGGUAUGGAAAAGGUCCUCCUCCAUCUGACAAUCAACUACUCCAUUAUAAAGACUUGGCUAUUUUCUUCUUCGAGAAGGACAUGCGCCCUGGCGCAACAAUGAAGUUCCAAUUCCCUAGAAAUUCAAACACGGCUACUUUCCUGCCACGCGAAAGUGCUCAAUCGAUCCCCUUCUCCUCUAACAAACUAUCAGAAAUUUUCAACCAUUUUUCAGUGAAGCCAACAUCUGUGGAAGCCAAAACAAUUAAGCAAACAAUCCAAGAGUGUGAAGCUCCAGGCCUUAAGGGAGAGGAAAAAUAUUGCGCCACAUCUUUAGAAUCAAUGGUUGAUUUUAGCACUUCGAAGCUUGGAACAAGAAACGUUGAAGCAAUCUCGACGGAGGUAUUGGAAAGAGGAGCCACCAUGUCCAUGCACAACUAUACAACAAUGCCGGGACUGAAGAAGUUGGCAGGUGACAAAGUCGUUGUGUGUCAUAAGGAGAACUAUCCCUAUGCUGUGUUUUUCUGCCAUGCAAUAAAACAAACAGCAGCAUAUGUUCUCUCCCUGAAAGGCGAUGAUGGGGAGAAGGUUAAAGCAGUAACCAUCUGCCAUCUAGACACAUCAGAAUGGAACCCAGAGCAUUUGUCCUUCCAAAUCCUCAACGUUAAGCCCGGAACAAUUCCCAUCUGCCAUUUCAUUUCCACUGAUGGUAUUGUCUGGGUUCCAAAACACAAAUCUGCAUGAUCAUCACUUAGCACUGUACGUAUAAUAAGCUUGGUUGGGUUGCACCCUAGGCCUGUAUAAUUAACUCCCUACUUAUUUCUGCCUCUUUAGCACUGUACAUAUAUAGACUUCAACUUGUACUCGUAUAGCAUGCUGGAAAAAAAAAGGACCAAUAGGGAGAAAAUGGUGAACUAAGGAGAGACUAAUACUUCUGGUUCUUAGAAGGCAUAACAGAAAUAAUAGAGCACACUGCUUGAAUGCAAGUCAAUAUUGUUAGAAAAUUAGGAGAUUUACUUCCUAAUAUAUUAUGAUUCUAUUUAUUUCCUUUUGUAUUGAUAUUAUGUAAUUAGGACUUUAUCUUAGUUUCCUAGUAUAACCCUACUAGGGUUUGUACUCUUGUAUUAUAAAUACCUCCUUUUGGAGAAUGAAGUAUAAUCUGAAAAUAUUCUAUCCACUUUGUUUGACAUGGUAUCAGAGCAAACUUUUCUAGUGACCUGUGUGUUGUGCCAACCCGUAUUCUAGCCCCAUAUUUUUUCUCUACCUAUGCCGUGUGUGCCCCCCCUCUGGGUUUGUGGGUUGUGUUGUCGUGUUGGUGUCAUUCCUAUCUUCGUGCAUCUGCCGUAUUUGAGCCUUUGCUGUGUUCCGCUGUGUACUCUGUUGUGUUCAUACCUCUAUUGUGUUCGUGCCUGUCUUCGUGCAUCUGCUGUAUUUGUGUCUCUAUUGUGUUCCAUUGUACAAUCUGCCGUGAUCUGUUGAAUUUAUGAUGUAAUCAUAGGUGAUAACUCAUUUGUUGGUGUUGUUGUUGCUGUUUCUGGAAAUUUAUGUGAUUCAGACUCUAUUCCAUUUACUGGCUACAAUACUUAGAUAAUUGAUACUGGUACUUAUGAUCAUAUUGACAGGACUCGCCCCGAAUUUCCUGAAACCCGAGACGAAUUCUGUGGAAAUUCCUGACAUCACCCCGAUGUCGGGCCCACUUCUAAAACUAUAUCCUUUUUCCCCAAAAGGAAUAAAGGCAUAAGACUUUCUACCGAAAUUUCGGUAGAGUCUCCUAUGUAAAUUGAACAUUGCCCAAAAUUUUAACCUGCAUAAAACACAUUUUAUAUUACCCAACUGGCAGCAUGCAUAAAGUAAUAACAUGCAAUUCACAUAAACGGCCUUCGGCCUUCCGAUAAUUGGCAACAAACCACCAAGUACGCUAUCAAAUCAAUUUAUACCUUAAACAAGGCAAACAAUAAAUUCAAUCACACUUAAGAAUGUCAAAGCAAUCCACUACAUUUAAUUUUCUCAACAGCCAACAUACGAGGUUUUAACCUCCUAACACAAACACACUUCGUUCUCACUCAAAUAGCAGGACCAACUUCAAGGUCCGCAUCAUACUCAAUAAUACACAAGUAAAGUUUAAACCGCGGCUGCACCUAGGCACUACCCUAGGCUGCCUACGUACCCUUAUUGAGGGAUCAAGCCACACGUAGUUCUUCCUACUAAAUCCUGAUUUCCAAACACAUACAAUAAUACCUUUAUUCAUCUCUCUGUUAAUCACAUAAUCUUCCCAUACGCCGGAAAUUCCAACUCUACGUAUGGGGUCUGUCAUCACGCCGGAAAAUCCUACGCCACGUGUGACCUAACCAUCAUAUCAUCUCCCUAUACGUCAGAAAUUCCAACACCACGUAUGAGGUCUGUCAUCCAGUCGGAAAAUCCUACGCCACGGGUGACUUGACAAUCACAUAAUCUCUCCAUACACCAGAAAUUCCAACGCCACAUAUAGGGUCUGUCUCAAUGUCGGAAAAUCCUAUGCCACGCGAGACCUAACAAUCACAUAAUCUCCCCAUACGCUGGAAAUUCCAACGCCACGAAUGGAGUCUGUCUCAACGCUGGAAAAUCCUAUGCCACUCGAGACCUAACAAUCACAUAAUCUCCCCAUAUGCCGGAAAUUCCAACGCUACAUAUGGGGUCUGUCAGCAUGCCGGAUAACCUACGCCACGUGUGACUUAACAAUGAUAACAUCUCCCCAUACGCCGGAAAUUCCAACGCCACGUAUGAGGUCUGUCCUCACGCCGGAUAACCUACACCAUAUGGAACCUAACAAUCAUAGGGUGGUACUUAGGGUAGUGCGUAUAGCACUUCAAACCGACAUUCAAAACUCUAUUUAUACCUUUAUAAAUUUAUAUAAAAAUAUAUAUAUUAAGUUCUAAAGUUGUAUAAGCCUCAACCACAAUCUAGCAUCCGAUAAUCCCCCCCAAUUUAAAACAAUAAAUUAAUAUCAUAAACCCACAUAAUCAACAUAACUUAACAACGCUCAAGACCUGUCACUAGUGUCAUUGUAAUCCUCCUAGGAAGGUAAAACUACUUCGGAAGAGUCACGGUCAACUAAGGGUCAAACUACCCAAACUUGGUCAAAUGGGCCCACGGGCCCCACGACCUUCAAAUUCCGAUUCCAACCUACCGAAAUUUCUUAUGGGUUCUACAAGGUUUAGGACACUCGUCUUGCAAGUUUGGUCCAGAUCAGACGGUCGGAUCGCUCACGAUCGCACGAUCGGACGGUUACUAUAAACCUAGCCCUAGGGUUGGUAUUUUCGGAGUAUCCAGGACUCCGUUUUACGAUCCGUCGAAUCCUAUACGAUCUUGAGGAUGUCCAAACUAACAUAUAAUAAAUCUAUGACUAUCCAACGGCUCAAACCUAUUGAACCCAGAUAACGCACAAUAUGCGAAAUCUGUUCAAUAGUCAAACGACGUCCGAAUUGAGAUCCGCGAAAACCUACGCACUCGUGACAACUUGAGGACCUCAUUAGGACAAACUGUAGCUUCACCACCUUUGUCCACGCGCCUGCAGCGCAUGGGUGUGUAGAGUAAAUUCCGAUGAUGGAAAAACUCUACACCACCGCUCACCCUUCCUAUCCUAAAUACUACUCGAGGCAAGGAUCACUUCAUUCAACUACGGGGAGGUCCCAUUUGGACGGCAACUGGCCCAAAUUUCACUUUGAAAUCCGGCCAAAACCUAGGUUUUCAAAUCGGUUUUCUAGACAUCAAAUCGAUCCAAUCCUAUCCCAUAGACAGCUAGAGCUCAGAAAAUAGAUGACAAACCAUACCUCACCCGACGGAAUUGGUGGCUGGAGGAGAAAGAUUGAGCGAUGAGAAGUUCUGUCAAAACCGACUCGUUUUCGACUGAUUCCAGCGAGCACAGUUGACGAUGAUGGCUAAGACUAGUCGGGAAAAGACAAGGGAGAGGUGGUGAUUCGAACGGGACCGGUCUCGAGGCCAGUCGUUGACUGUGGAGGCUGCAAUAGCCUUGAAGGGUGGCGGCUGUAAAAACGAAGGGGAGGGGGGCUGUUCACGAUGGAGGAGAGAGAGAGAUAGAUAGAUAGAUAGAGAAAAAUCUGAAUUUUAUAAAAAUUCCAUUUUGAAAUAAUUACGAUUGUGCCACUGAGUUUCUUUUGACCGUAACUUCCUCGUUACAACUCCAAAUCAAGCCCACUAUGUAUCUAUGAACUCAUCUCGUCGAGCUCUACGCAACGGUAGAGCUGAAAUUCUCAAAUUUCUUCCUGAUCAAAAAGUCAACUUUAAACCCAAUAAAAUAUUCUAUGGGUAUAAUGGUCUUUUAUCUACAUAAAUUAAUAAUUUCCAAUUUAUUUAGGACCGGGUCGUUACACAUAUGACUUAUGAUGCUAUAUUUUUUUAUGAGUUGUCUAGUAAUACUCGUGACCCAUACAUAACUAGUGCUAAUGGCUUGCCCUAUCCAAUUACUGGCGAGGGCAUAAUCUCUCACUCCUACUCUGUCCUUGUCUCGUGUGUUACUCGUUCCCAAUAUCCAUUGUAACUUGUUGUUUGUUGGCCGAUUACUUGAUACACUUAAUGCUUAUGCUACUUUCUAUCCUACACAUUGCUCUUUUCAGGAUCUCAAGACUUGCGAGACGAUUGGGCAUAGUAAACGGAUAGGGGGCUUAUAUUAUUUGACAUUGUCUUCUGCACCAAUUCGUGGUUGUGUCAUUCAUACUGUUCAAAGUUGUAGUGUCAAGGACAAAUAACAAAUUUGGUUAUGGCAUCGUCGCUUGGGACACUCGUCGUUCGGCUAUCUUAAGCGUCUGUUUCCAUCUUUAUUCCGCUCUUGUGACGAGUCCAGUUUUAAGUGUGAGACAUGUAUUUUGGCCAAGAGUCAUCGCACUGUGUUUCUUUUAAGUGACAGUAAAGCUGCAAAACCUUUUGAUUUAGUAUAUUCGGAUGUAUAGGGACCUGCUCGUGUGACUUCUAAUGGUUUCUAUUGGUCUAUUACUUUUAUUGAUGACUGCACUCUCCCCAUAGUCCGGAAUUACCAACGCCACGUAUGGAGCCUGUACGCACGCCGAAAAAUCCUACGCCACGUGGGACCUCAUCAUCAUAUCACAUAGUCUCCCCAUACGCCGGAACUACUAAAGCCACGUAUGGGAUUCGUCUCAACGCCGGAAAAUCCUACGCCACGUGAGACCUUACAAUCACAGGAUGGUACUUACACAAUGUAAUCAAACCAUCUUUAUCUCUUUAAUAUAUAUAUAUAUAUUCCCAAUUUCCCCAAGUUUAAAACAAUAAACUAGUUCCUUAAACCCACUAAUUAACAUAACUCAACUAAUGAUCAAGACCUAUUGAAAGGACUCGCCCCGAAUUUUCUCAAAACCUGAGACGAACCCUUUGGAAGUCCUGACAUCACCUCGAUGCCAGGCCCACUUACUAAAAACCGAGACUUCCUGCCGAAAUUUCGGCAGAGUCUCCCCUAUAAUUUGGACAUUUUCCAAAAUUUAUACCUGCAUGAAAAUGCAUUUAAUAUUCCCAAUUGGCAGCAUGCACAAUAUAAUUUCAUGCAAUUCACAUAAAUGGCCUUCGGCUUUCCAAUAAUUCUUAACCAGUUACCAAACAAUUCAAAUACCAAUUAUGACUAACAUUUAGUCUACGGCUGCGCCUAAUAACCUUAGGCUGCCUACGUACCCUCCUUGAGGGAUCAAGCCACACGUAGUUCUUCCAUAAAACUCAAUUCCACACAUAGGUGAUACCUUAUUUCAUCUCUCUGUAUUUCACAUAAUCUCCCCAUACGCCGGUACAACCAACGCCACGUAUAGGGCCUGUCAACACGCCGGAUAACCUACGCCACGUGCGACCAUGCCAUACUAUCAUCAUAUCUCCCCAUACGCCGGUACAACCAAUACCACGUAUGGGGUCUGUCUCAACGCCGGAUAACCUACGCCACGCGAGACCUGCACAUCAUAUCACAUAACUCCCCAUACGCCGGUACAACCAACGCCACGUAUGGGGCCUGUCCCAACGCCGGAUAACCUACGCCACGCGGGACCUCAACAUCAUAUCACAAAUCUCCCUAUACGCCGGUACAACCAACGCCACGUAUGGGGUCUGUCGACACGCCGGAUAACCUACGCCACGUGCGACCUCAACACAAUAUCACAAUAGCUCCCCAUACGCCGGUACAACCAACGCCACGUAUGGGGCCUGUCUCAACGCCGGAUAACCUACGCCACGUGAGACCUAACUUUCACUUGGUGGUGCUUGUAGUGAAUCCAACAUCCAGGGAGGUACCUAAAGUAGUGCGUAUAGCACUCCAAACUGACAUUCUAGACUCUGUUGUACCCAUGUACAACCAUAUAUAAUUAUAGUUAUAUAAAUUAAUUCUAAUAUUGUGUAACCUUCCACAUUCAUCUAGCACCCGAUAAUCCCCCUUAGAAAGGUGAGAUUACUCCGGGAGACUCACGGUCAACCAAGGGUCAAACUACUCUAACUCUGGUCAACCGGACCUGCAGAACCCACGACCCCCAAUUUCCGAUCCGAAAGUCUCUAUGGGUUCUACCAGGUAUAGGACACUUGUCCUGCAAGUUUGGUUCAGAUCGGACGGUCGAAUUUCUCACGAUCGCACGAUCUGACAAUUAAUAUAAAAUAUAAACUUUAAAAUUAUUAAUCGAAACAUCCGGGGCUCCGAUUCACGAUCCGUGAAUUCCUACACGAUCCUAGAAUUACCUAGAUUAACAUAUAUUAAAUUUGGGACCAUCCGACGGUCCCAACCUGUCGAACCCGGAUAACGUACAAUAUACGAUCGUCCGUUCGAUAGUCAAACGACGUCCGAAUUGAGAUCCGCGAAAUCCUAUGCACUCGUGACAACCUAAGGAUCUCAUCGGAAUACAGUGCUACUUUUUCUACAGUGCCCAAAGCGAUAACGCUUCGCCGGAAAAUCUCAACAUCACGGCUCCAAAAUUCCUACUCUAGGUAUAACACCCUAUUUGGAGCCACUUUUGUUCUUGGACCUACCCCAAAAAGUGGCCGAAAAUGGCCGAUCACGGCAGCCGAAGUUUCGGCCGAUUUUCAAUUCGAAAAUCGAGUUGUCUACGCUAAGAAUCGAUCUAAUCCUACCCAACCAUCAGCUAGAGUAGCUCGAGAGGUUCAAAAUCCAUACCUGGGUCGACGGAAUUGGUGGCCGGAGGAGGGAGAUCGGCGGCUUUGAAGUUUGGACGACGUCGGCCGCUUCAUCUCCAGAUUCCGGCGAAUCCGCGGCGGCUGGCGGCGGGAGGUGGCUGGGGUAGGAAGAGGACGACGGCCCGGUCAUUUUGGUACCGGUCCCGUCGUCAUUGGUGGCCGGAGGAGAGCACGGCCGGCCAAAACGUGGCCGGCGGUCGUCGCGCGCGAGAGAGGAGAGAGAGAGAUCGCGCGGAGGAGAGAGAGAGAGAGAGAGAGAGAGAGAGAGAGAAAACCAGAUUUUUAUAAAAAAAAGUCCCAUUUUGAAAUAUUUACGAUGUGCCACUGGGCUUCUUUUGACCAUAUCUCUCUCGUUACAACUCCGAUUCAAGCCCACUACGUGUCUAUGAACUCGUCUCAGUACGACCUAUCCAAAAAUACAAGUCACGGUCCCAAACUCUCUCCGGUUAAAAAUAUGACUAAAAUACCCUUAAAUAAUGAAAUAAUUAAAUAAGGGUUAAAUUUGGGGUCGGGGUGUUACAUCUAUCACCAGGAUCAUUAUAAUCCUCCGAGGGAGGUGAAACUACCUCGGAAGACUCACGGUCAACCAAGGGUCAAACUACCCAAAUUUAGUCAAACGGGCCCACGAGACCCGCGACCUCCCGAUCUGAAAGUUCCUAUGUGUUCUACAAGGUUUAGGACACUCGUCAUGCAAGUUUGGUCCAGAUCGGACGAUCAGAUAGCUCACGAUCGGACGGUUAUUAUAAACAUAAACUUUAAGUUAUUAAAUCGGAACAUCCGGGGCAAAGAUUCACGAUCCGUGAAUUCCUACACGAUCCUAGAAUUGCCUAGAUUAACAUAUAUUAAUUUUAAGACUAUCCAACGGUCUGAACAUGUCAAACCCGGAUAACGCCUAAUAUGCGAUAUGCGAUAUCCGAUCGAUGAUCAAACAAUAAUCAAAUUCAAAUUCGAGCAUACCGUCACGCUCGAGACGACGAGAGGGUUAUUUUAGAACUCUAAGACAAGCCACCACAUGGCCCACGCGCUGACAGCGCGUGGUUGUCUAGAGAAAUUUCCAGCGGCGGGAAAAACUCCAAACCGCCAGCCAAGACUCCCAGGUUAGGUAAAUCACAUGUAGUGGAACAACUUUUGUUCUUGGACCUACCCCAAAAAGUCGACGGAAGUGGCCGUCGGAGGCCGAAACUGGCCUAAACUUCUAUCGCUUAAUUGACAACCAAAAUGCAGCAAUUGAUCCUAAAUAACCCAACCAGCAGCUAGAUCAGAUUGAGGGGAUGGAAAAGCAUACCUAGAUCGCAUGAUUUGGUUACCGAAAACGUCCGAACGAGCUUCCGAAAAAUCCGCAAAAAACCUUUCGGAUUUCUGCAAUUUCCGGCCAGCACCAGCAGUUCCAGCAGCUGAGGUUGGUCGGAAAAGGAAGAGGAGGUGGCAGCGGUUUGAACAGGUCCGGCCUCGUUGCCGGUGGUGAUCCGUGGUGGCAACUGUGGCUCUUGGAAGCCACGGCUGUGCAGAAAAAUGAAGGGGGAGGGGGCUGCGCGCGUGGGGAGAGAGAGAAAGUGAGAGAGAAUCAGAUUUAUCAAACCUUUUUUUGCCAAAAGUACGAGUAUGCCACUAAGGGUAAUUUGAUCGUAUCUUCUUCGUUACAACUCCGAUUCGAGCCCAUUACGUGUCUACGAACUCAUCUCGCUGUGCUUUACACAACGGUACGGUUGAAAUUCCCAAAUUCCUUCCCAGUCAAAAAGUCAACUUUAAACCUAAUAAAAUAUUCUAUGGGCAAAAUGGUAUUUUCUCUGAAUAAAUUAGUGUUUACUAAUUUAUUUAGGACCGGGUCGUUACAAUACCCAAAAAUUUCCUGUGUCAGAAUCAACACAUGGCAGCAGAGAAAGAAAGGGGAAUAGGACAAAAUAGUUGGUUAUCCAGCUGGAAAUCCUACAGAGCAAGGAUGACUAGUUAUACGAGAAACAGAUGACUAGUCAUCAUUUUAUGAAAUCAAUUUAAUGCAAUGUGAUGGAAUGCACAAUUUACCUUUGUCAAUUUGCUUGAACCUCUAUACGAUAGUUGUUAGUUAAGAACACCUAGAGAAACUAUUCUUAAUCUAAACUUGAGCUUGAUAAAAAUAAUAAAAAUCUUAUUACAAGAUUAUCAAGGAAAGUGUUGUGUCUACCCAAGUGCAAGUAGUCACACGUAGUAAUAAUCUUGGAAGUCCAAGUAUCGUAUCCUCAAGGAGCAGGUAGGCAAAUAUCUGCACACAAAGAAAUAAUUAAACAUACCACAAUAAAAGUGACAAGCAAAAUGGAAAAGUUAUUUAUUUGAUUGUUGUGAAAAUUGAAUUUAAAAAUGAAAUAUCAAUAAUGGAAAUGCUAAGGCAUCAAGGUUCAAUUCUUUAAACAAAAUAUGUUUCAUGCUCUUUACUCCAGAUUAUAACUCGAUUAAAAUCAUCAUCGAGAAACUUUAACCGGAAGAUAAAGAAAUUAAAACCAAUUUAAUUUUUCAAUGUAAUCUUUUAUUAAUGAUUGUUCAGAAAAUGGAAUUGCUUAAUAUCUACUCUUUUAAUUUAAAAGCAUGCCAAGUCAGUUCUUAACAAUGAGAAAAAUAAAAUUGAACUCAUGAAAAGGUAAUAGCACUUAACAUCAAUCAAAAUAAAAGGAUAUGAAAAUAUUGAACAACCAAAAAUAAAAGAAUUUAGCAAUUCAUACCGUAUAUUGGAUUAAAGAACAAUUCACAAACUUACUUAAAGAACAUUCCCUUUAGCCUUAGCUAGAGUUCUAGCAACUCAAUUACAAAGGAAAACAUAAACUAAAUGGAUAAAGAAAUCAGUCAUAGUGGUGCCCUUGCCAAAGAAGUUGAUGGGUAAUUUAUAGUGAAUGAGGUGAGUGGGAAGUUAAUACAUGGGUAAUGAAGGGUUUAAGUAAGGGAUUAAUUGGAUUAAACAUUGGUUGAUGGUGGAGAGUUAGUGGAAAAGAAAUAACGGUGAGGUAAAUAGGCGUUAAAUGGCUAUGAAUGACAUGAAAUAGGCUCUUUAGCUUCAACGGUUGUGUCUUCUCUUCUCCCUCUUUACUUCUCUUUAUAAUCACAAUAAUCCAACAAUCAAUUCUUCAAUAAAAUCCGCCAGCAAUUCUCUUCACACCUAGCUUGAACUUGGACAAAUGUAUGUCUUCAUCUUUUGGCUUUCUAACUUCCUACCGAAGAUAAAUUCACCUAAUAAGUUCACCAAAUUAAUAUAGAAAAUUCAUAAAUCCAGUUGAUGAGAAUAAAAUGUAACAAUAAGUGAAAUUAUAUUUAUUAAGUCAAAAUUAUAUCAUAAAGUCUCCAAAAUAAUAUUAAAAAUAUAUAAUUUAAGACUCUCAUCACAAAGCCAAAAGAAAAACUCAAAAUGCAUACAUUAACAGUUUUGCCAUAUUGAAUUAAUGUCUUCUAGCUAUGUACCUUAUCUUUUUGCCGGGCCAUGAGUUGAAUGUAGAGGCAGAGCAUGGACUUGGGUCAAGUUUGACUUGUAAAAUAAUUAGGAAUUGAAUGGCUCCUACGUUCAAUUAUUUUAUUAUUAUUAUUAUUUUUUGUCCGAGCCAUUCAAUUCCUAAUUAUUUAGAUUUUUGAUCUAGUUAGCAUCCACAAUCAUGCUCUCUAUUUUUUUUUUUUGGUCAUAAAUGCCAUAACUCUUUUUUUAUUGGUCCAUCUCUAUUAAAAAAUAAAAUAAAAAAUAGUUAGCAUUAAAUAAAGGUUUGAAAUUCUCAUUAAAUAAAGCAGCAUUAAAUUAUAGGGAGCAACUAGGAGUCAUUUCUCUCUCCUCAAGUUUAGGAGCUCCUACAGGUCUCCCUAUUUUAGGAGGUAGAUAGGGAGCAUUGUUGGAGUUGUAUUUUUACAAUUUCUCCCUAAAAUUUGUCUAAGGAUGUGGUUUAGGGAGCCCAUUGUGGAUGCUCUCAUCUCAAGGAAAGAAAACCCCAAGUUUGCAAGUAAUUUUUCUACGUAUGUAUAUAUGAAAAACUGACAUUUAUGAAAAUAAUAAACCCAUAUUUUUAUGUAAGCCAACUUUCUAAAUUCAUGUACUGAUAUUUAUUAGGGAAAUAUUGGAGAAACUGAUUAUUUUGAAAAAUUAAAUGUGAAAAACUGAACAAAAUUUUGACGGGUUACAUAUGUCAACUCAUUCAGCAGCUUAGGUUGUGAAGACCUAAGCAACAACCCUAGUGCACUGUCGAUCACUUCAGUGUCUACCGAUUUUCCUUUCCAUAUUGUUAGAUUAUUCCCUGCUGUAACACUUGCAUUUAGAAAAUAAUAGUACAGCUCUUAUUAGCAACAGUUUUACACACUUGCAUGAAUCUCACUAUGUUAAAGCAAUCACAUAGCACACCUUUAUUGAAAACAAAGCUAGCCCUGAUCCACUCCUUUACAUACUUAAAAACAAAACAAAACGAAAAAAAGAUAGGGAGAAAAUGGCUACGGACUUACUGCCGACAAAAAGAGAUAAUAGCGAACACUGUUUGUAUGACAGUGAGUAUGAGAAGAGUAACCGCUGCAAAGAGAGAAAAAGCUGCCCAGGCCCAGGGUGAGUUGAAAUACUUUUGGCUCAAAUAUGCCAACCAUCUGUUCCUGCACUUCUUGCAGUACUUGUUUAGAUUGUCAGCAAGACCACCAAAAUAGAAAUUUUGCUGGUCCGGAGCAACCCCCUUGCAAAGUUGGUUAAUCAUAGUAGAAACCUUAUUGUUGUCACCUAGUGUGUUUACAACAAUUUCACUCUCAACAAGUAAAUCUACAUCCCUUUUGGUUUUUACAAAUUUAUCCAGGAGGAAAACAUAAUCGCUUAAGUAAUUGUCUGUGCAAUGGCAUUGUUCAAAGGCAAUGAGAUUUCUGAGUAUAAGCUCUGUGUCAUCACGUAUUUCUAGUUUUGGAAUUUUCAGAGUUCCAUUAUGGAACUGUAUCGCGAAUAAGUCGUUGCUUGACUCCAGACGACUUGAUUCCGGACGAAACUUAACUCUGGCCUGGUGUAGUUUUGUCACGCUGGGUAUACAUGGGAGUUCUCCAGCUUCUGAGGUACCGGUAUCCAAAUAUUGCACAUGUAAAGUUCUAAUAAAAUCAACAAAAUGUAAAGGUGGUUCAGUCCCCUCCACUUCGUCUUCCGACCUCUGUAAACCCACUACCUUUUUGAAGAAAUGGUAAGAGAGCUUAAUCAUUGAAGGCCUCUCAGUCUCAGAAUUCUUAACUCUGACUUUGCUUGCAUCGAAAAGAUCCUCAAGAAUGAAAAAUGGCAGCUAAUUUUCGGGCAAAAGCAUGUCGGGCACUAUAUUUGUUAACAUUUAUGGUUUUUUAAAUAUCCAGUCAUUAUAUCGUCUCGCAAUUCUUGGAAAUGGUACCUCAACAAUAGCUCAAUGACAAAGGCAGCAUCAACUAGAAUGAUACUUACAAACUUGUCGCUACUCUUGAAGUGCUGAGCGUUUCCAUAACGACCACGGAGUUCAUCUUCUUGGGCCUUUAUUUUCUCUGCAUAAUCCUUCAAGCUAACCUUAUUAUUCCGAUGAAGAAAAUUUUGUAGGUACCUCGGUUUGUACUCUUCCAUGGCUUCUAAUUCUUUGUUGUCAUGGUGAAUUGGGCCUAUUGAGACUACUUCCGGGGUGUAAGCGUUAUUUCUGCCCCGUAGUCACGAAGGAACCCUGUAGAUACAGCACUCAUCAGAGGGCCUAUUGAGACAAACUAUCCAACCGCCGCUUCAAAUCUGCUACUGGGGUUUUGUGGUUUUCUACGCCAUGUGGAGCUCCAUUGCUGCAUCCUUCCACUUCUAUUAUGUGUUGUUCUGAUUGUAAGUGAUGAGGGUUAUUGGCACCAGGGGCGGAUCUAGCCCUUUUUUGGCUAGGCAGCCACCCAGUCGAGAAUUUUCAUAAAAACAAAAUAGGUACGUAUUGUUGUAAAUGUAUGAGUUGGUGGAUGACCACCAUACCUCUUAGCAUUCACCUUUUCUAAUUCUAUGUAACUAUACACUAAAUGCCAUAGUUAUGGACUUGUAACUUAUGAGUUGUUAAUGUUUUCUUACGUGUAAGCCUAUAAAUAAGAGGGCUAUCUUGGCAUAUGUGUUCGUCACUAACUAUAUAAUUUAAGUUGUUUUCAGUGACUAAUUUAAAUAAUUGUCAGAAAAUUUGGUCAUUAAAAAUUAAAAAAUAAGGGUCAAUUAUUUUAGUGACCAUGAAGUAUUAUUAGUCAUUAAAUUCAUUGUAUUUGUGACCAUUAUUUAUGUGGAAUUGGUCACUACUGACCUUUUUUCUUGUAGUGUACAUUCUUGCCUUAAUACAGUUAGGCUUAUUUUUAUACUAAUUUCUCUAACAUAACUUUUGCACAUUCUUUUUAUAUUAUAAUAAAUAAUCUUACCCAGUUGAGUUAUAAACCAUUUUCUUUUAGCACGGAAAAUCGACAUUUUGACAGAGAGUUGAAAAGCACUCCCCAAUUUUAAUGUCAACCACUUGGAAAAAAAAAACAUAAAUUUAAUGACAACAAUUACAUUUAGCAAUGCAACCUAAAAACUCAACCUUUGCGCUCCUUUCACCACGCAGAUAGCAGGGUGAGGAUAUUCGAAUAAGAACGAAGACAGAAGCUAAAGGAAUUGCGAUAGCUAACCAUAGUCUGCAUUUCUUACCAUCUGAACAAUGCCACCAUUUUGUUUGGUAAGUAUUUAAUAACAUUUCUUGCUCUACAUAAAGUAAUAUUAAAGCGAAAUUUCCCUAAAUUUUUCUUACCAACAAUCCAUACCCAAGAAAAGGGGAGAUUCACUAUUAUACUCAAUAUAGGAGCCCAACUUAUUUAUAAUAAUUAUAAAAAAAAACCCUCUAUGAAAUGGACUUUAGAAACACACCUAAAACCUAUUUACAACAAAACAAAAAGACUUUUAACUUUUUUUAAAUUACAAAACUGUCAUUGAUUUCUUAAACAAACCCAACCCCAAAACCUCAUAAAAAAGCCCAAAUACUCAAUAAAGCAGCAAAGUAAUUUAAUAAUAAAAAUUAAAUUCAAUAGAGUCAGCUGUUAUUUUUUGGGUUAUUUUUUAUUUGUUUAUAGAAAUUAAAGAGUGCUGCUAAAAGAACCCUAACAUUAACUAAAUACACCAAAUGAUCUAAGUACACCCUAAUAUUUUAAUUAAAAUACAAAAUUAACUAAGUACACCUUAUUUAACUACCAAAAUUACCCGUGUUACACCCUAAUACACUCUAUCACUGUUCACCCGUUUAGUUUUUGCUCCUGUGAUGGAAGGGUAAAGUUCCCCACUGCCUUGGAAACCAUUGACUGGUCAACAAGUCAGCUUUCUUUGCUAUGUGAGCGUGCCACUGUUAGCAAUGAAAAUCCUAACAGACUUCUUAAAAUGGAUACUUGCGCCCAAGUUACUGAUUUCUAAACAGUGAUUGUGAUUUGGGUGAGGAAUAUCUCCAAGUAAGUUCUUUUCCUGCAUCAGGCUGGUGAAGACUUUAUAAUUUUCACAGUAUAAAUUGGUAGUUCUUGCCAGAAUAGAUGAUAUAAAGUGGACGGUUUUUAGGCAGAACUGCGUUUUACAAAAUUAAGAAGGAAAAAUCAACUCUAAAAAGACAAAAAGAUGGCUGGAAUCCCACUUCUGCCUGGGUAGAAACUUCAGAUCCGGGCUGGACCGAAUACAUUCAUGAUGGACUGAGCUGUUAACAACUUCAAUUGCUUAGCUUUAGCUGUAAAUCGAUACCAAAGUUCAAUUUUGGCAGAGCUUUAAUCUACUUCAAGCCUUGGAAGGCUUUUGAGCGGGCAGAACUGCCGUCUCUUCUGGCUAAAAGAGGCAGAAAUGGCUGAAUUUGAGGUUUACUGAGCUGGAACUGCACUGUUGUACCUGUUCUGCUUGGUCAGGGCUUUCCAUAAAUUUGUUGAGGUUUUCAUAUUUGUGAAAAACUCAAACUCUGCUUGUUUUGGCUUUUGCUGAACCAAAUUUGUAACGAGAGAAGUCUUGUUUUGAAUGACUUUUCUCUAAGUUUGAGCUUUUGAAAUUCUAGGAGAGAGAGAGAGAGAGAGCUUUUGAUUGCUCCAGUUUGUUUGAAGGUUCUCAAUGAUCAAGUGAUCAUUUUGAGUUUUUGCCUUUAGCUUAUUUUUGGUUGUUUGUUUGAUUAUCCUUUGCUCUAUUCACCUUCUCCUAUAUUUAUAAGAAAUGCUUUGAAGUAGGGUUUCUUUCUUUUAAUAAUGGGCGGCCAAAAUUCUCAAAAGGUCUUUCAUUUUUUUAAAUACGAAGAAAAAGGGGUUUUCUCAAUUUUGGCAAAUAAGUUCUCAACAGUCAAUUCCAUUGAAAGAGAACCUGACUUUUCUUUAAUUCCCAACUGCCCUUGUGAGAGCUCAAUCGUGAUGGUCAGUUUGCUUCUCCAUUUUGAACAACUUCCUGUUUCCUGUUUAUCUUUUUAGAAAAUACAAUCUGGGUAUCCCUUGAAAGAUGGUGCCUUUUUUGGAGUAGAAACAAUGUCUCUAAAUAUAAAAGGGUUUUUUUUUUAUCUUUUGGUGGCAAAGAUUUCAAAGACGUCCCUUCUUUUCGCCUGCCUCUGUCAACUUUUUAUCAACCCAGUUGAAAUUGUUGACUUUCCUAAAUCAAAAAAAGAGAUUCACGUGGGUCUGUUCCUUUUGGCUCCUUCCUCUCUUUUAAUCAUGCCUAACCUCUUUUGAUUUUACUGGAGCCAUGGGCUGAUUGCUUCUCUUUUCGAGGCCCAAGUUUAUUUGCAGAGCCCAAACUGCUUGGGCCCUGUGGUUUUGUCUUUGUUGUUUUUGGGCUUUUUAGGCUGGACGUGCCAAAAUUAGGCCCAAACAAUGUCCCCUAAGUUUGAAUCGUUUCUAGAACGGUUCGAGAUUUAAUGAUUUUGGCCAUUAAUUCGUGCGCGCCAACUUCUUUCGUUUAAUGCACGUCUGCCUACCACGAGCUAGACUUCAUGGGAAACUGUUUUGUUACUAGCUAGUUACUUAGCUAGUUAUUAUCAUAUGGCGUCUCGUCUUCCUCUUCCCACGAUUUCAAGCCCCUUUUUUAAGAAAUUCGAAACUCCAACUUCUGUUUAUUUCAAAAACUAGCUUCUUUUUAGACCUCGACAAUUCUUAGUUUUCCCCAGAAUUCUCACUUUUUCUUCGACCAGACUCUGCCUUUCUUAUCAUUUCCUUUCCUAGUUCAACACUUCUGAUCAUGUCUUCUCCCAAGACUCGUGCUCAAGGUUGGUCCUCCUCAGUUCCUCCUAAUUACAUCACUGGGACUGGGAUUGACAAUCACGCGAUAGAGGUUAGAAGCAAACUGAUAGGACCCGCCCCGAAUUUUCCAAAACCCAAGGCGAAUCCUGUGAAAUUUCCGACAUCACCCCGAUGCCGGGCCCACUUACUAAACACCGAGACUUUCUGCCGAAAUUUCGGCAGAGUCUCCCCUAUAAAUUGGACAUUUCCCAAAAUUUCAACCUGCAUAAAAACACAUUUAAUAUUCCCAACGGGCAGCAUGCACAAAAUAAUUUCAUCCAAUUCACAUAACGGCCUUCGGCCUUUCAAUAAUUUUCAACAAACUACCAAGCACACUAACAAAUCAAUUCAUGCCUCAAACAAGGCAACCAAUAAAUUCAAAUAUGCAUUAUGACUACCAAAUUUCGACAUGCAUCAUUUUGCUUUUCCAAUCUCAAUAGAUGAGGUUUUAACCUCCUAACACAAUCACAUCUAUGUUCGCGGCUGCACCUAAUAACCUUAGGCUGCCUACGUACCCUCACUGAGGGAUCAAGACACACGUAGUUCUUCCUUAAACCCAAUUCCACACAUAGGCAAUACCUUUAUUCAUUUCUCUGUAUUUCACAUAAUCUCCUCAUACGCCUGUACUACCAACGCCACGUAUGGGGUCUGUCAACACACUGGGUAACCUACGCCACGUGCGACCUCACCAUAUUAUCACAUAAUCUCCCCAUACGCCUGUACUACCAACGCCACGUAUGGGGCCUAUCGACACGUUGGAUAACCUAUGCCACGUGCGACCUCAACAUAAUAUCACAUAAUCUCCCCAUACGUCAAUACAACCAACGCCACGUAUGGGGUCUGUCUCAACGCCGGAUAACCUACGCCACGCGAGACCUGAACAUCAUAUCACAAUAGCUUGCCAUACGCUGGUACAACCAACGCCACAUAUGGGAUCUGUCGACACGCCGGAUAACCUACCCCACGUACGACCUCAAUAUAAUAUCACAUAAUCUCCCCAUACGCCGGUACAACCAACGCCACGUAUGGGGUCUGUGUUAAAGCCGGAUAACCUACGCCACGCGAGACCUGAACAUCAUAUCACAAUAUCUCUCCAUACUCCAGUACAACCAACGCCACGUAUGGGGUAUGUGGACACGCCGGAUAACCUACGCCACGUGCGACCUCGAUAUAUUGUCAGGUAAUCUCCCCAUAUGCCGGUACUAUCAAUGCCACGUAUGGGACCUGUCCGCAAGCCGGAUAACCUACGCCACGUGGGACCUAACUUUCACAGGGUGGUACUUGUAGUGUAACCAAAAUCCGGAAAGGUGCCUAGGGUAGUGCGUAUAGCACUUCAAACUGACAUUCUAGACUCUUUAUACCUUUACAAACAUAUAUAAACAUAUAUAAUUUAAUUCUAAUUGUGUAAACCUCAACAAUAGUCUAGCACCCAAUAAUCCCCCUAGGAAGGUGAGACUACUCCGAAAGACUCACGGUCGACCAAGGGUCAAACUACCCUAACAUUGGUCAAACAGGCCCACGGGGCCCACGACCUCCAAAUUCUGAUCCGAAAGUUCCUAUGAGUUCUCCGAGUUAUAGGACACUCGUCCUGCAAGUUUAGUCCAGAUCGGACGAUCAGAUCGCUCACGAUCGCACGAUCUGACGGUUAAUAUAAAACAUAAACUUUAAAUUAAUAAAUCAAAACAUCCGGCACUCCGAUUCACGAUCCGUGAAUUCCUACACGAUCCUAGAAAUACCUAGAUUAACAUAUAUUAAAUUCAAGACCAUCCAACGGUCCCAACCUAUCGAACCCAGAUAACGCGCAAUAGGCGGUAUCCGUUCGAUAUUUCCCUUUAAUAAUUUAAAUAAGGGAUUUAAUUUGGAGUCGGGGUGUUACAAUCUACCCUCCUUAUAAAAAUUUCAUCCUCGAAAUUUCAUACCUGCUAGAAGAGGAAUCUGCCAGAACUGACUUUAGGAAGAAGUUCCUGAGUGUCACUCUGCCAAGAGAUCUGCCCCACGGAGGUGGGAAGCCUCCAAACUAUCAUUUGGGAGCAGAAGUCUAUCAUCGCAACUUCUGUGCAAGGCAACUUGGCUGCCCCAGCUUAUUCCACUAAAAUCAUACAGAAGCUGCAAUCGGGCCACUUCCUUGAGAGAUGCGGAUGAUCUGGAAGUGCACAAAGAUGCUAGAUGUGCAGUAAACAAGAUAAAUAACAGCGCAGAUGCCCUCUAUCCAGCCUGGGAACUGAACUCCUGCAGUUCUGCCGAUUUUGACGCUUGGUGGAAAUCCAGGUUUCAUGGUCUGCCAGCCUCCAUUGCUGCACUCAAGGUGAUUUUUGAGGGCUGGGACUCCUGGACUGUCUACGCGGAGGUGGAUGCCAAGAACUUCAUGGUGCAGACCAUCAAAGACAUUAAUGCCCAGGGUAUAGAAGGUAACUUUCAAUUCUGUCUGUCUUGCCUAUUCUGUCUCUUAGUGAUGAUGCCUAACAGUUUUGUUCUGUAUAUAUCAGACCCUUAUUUGACAGAAAACAUAGGUGGACAGUCUGUCCAAGCUGGAGAUGUGAUUGGUAAGUUUUUCACUAUUCUGUUCCUUUCAUUAUUUUCUUGCUUGAUUGACUUCUGACUUUGUCUAUUUCUUGUGUAGUCAUUGCUGUCAUUGCUGCUGGGACUUGGAGCUUCCCUCUGGAGAUGAAGAGGAUCUAGCUGCUGAGGCUAUUCCUUUUGGCAGAACAUCCAGCUGCUGAGGCCAUUCUUUCUAGCAGAAGGAAGAGAAAGGAAAUUUCUUCUGCCCAGCACAGUGCUGCUCAGCCUGCGACUUCAGGUAAGUUCUGACAGUUUGAGCUUUUCGUAAUUCUAUUUUGUCCUAUUCUGCCUUAUGUUCUAAUGGUUUAUUGUCUGCUUAUUGUAGCUGAAAGUUCCUCUCCUCCUCCUACUAAGUCAAAAAGACUUAAAAAGAGGACUGUGGUGGAAUAUAUGGCCAUGGAGGAGUCUGCAGCAGUUCCCACCAACACUUCUGGGACGGAUGAAGAGCUGAGAGAGGCCUUCAAGACAGUGGAAUAGGAGAAAGAGCUAGAAGAAACAGAAGAAGAACCUCAAGAAAAGGCAAAAGAAAUGGAAGAAAAUGUGAGUAUUGUUUUCUGGCUAUGUCAGCUUUUCUUUUGUUUCUUCAUUUCCUCUGUUCUGACUUCUGUCUAUGUAUAGAAGGAAAUCCCCGCUGAAGUGAUUGCAUAGAGCAUUGCUUUGGCGCAGAGGCAGCAGGAGAAUCAAAGGGCAGAGCUGACCAGCUCGGAGUUGGCCCUUUUUGAAGACGCAGAGGCAGAACACUCAACUGUUGUUCCAGCAGCUGAGGAGCAGGUGGAGCAGUCUGCAUCAGAGCCUGUGGAGCGAGCAGAACUACCUGUUGCAGUCCCAGCACCUGGAGUGGAAGUGGCUGCUGUUGUUCCCGAAGUUGUGGUAAUUUUUAUUCUACUUCUGUCCACCUGUUUCCUGCAAUUCUGUUCUGUCUGUGCUUCCUUAUCUAUUAGUCUUUUCAGGUAGAAGUGCCUAGGCCUGCUGGGGUUUUGGCAGUGGUGACCAGCCCCUUGAAGCCUCUCAUCGUUGCUGUAAGUGUUAAUGCAUUCCUGGGCUUUUUCUUUUCUGUCUCUGCCUAGUUCCUACUCUUGUUCUUUUCUGCAUAUGCCUAUCCAUUCCCUUCCAAGUUCAUCUGCCACAGCUUCCUAUGCUGAUUCGGAGCUGGCAGAAUUUGAGGCUCUGGAUCUGAACGCCCAGCUAGACAAGCUGAACCCUAAACCCUUGAGAAACUCAGCUCCACUCCUUGCAAGGCAAAGUCCAAGGCAGUGGAGGAGGCUAUGGAGAGACUGAAGAUCUGGCAAUCAACUGAUCUGGAGCUGGAUAAGGACAGGGAAGCUGUUGACCAAUUGAUGAAGGAUCUGGACCUUCUGCACAGACAGAACAUGGCCCCCAAACCCAUACUUGAGAUGAGCCUUGGCUUGGGAAGAGAUGUGCUCAACCUCCACGACCGUUACGAGGAUCUCAAGCCCACCUUCAAGACCUCUGAGUUCUGCAAAGCCACCCAUAAAGCCAACUUGGCUGACUAUGCAAAGCAGAAGGCAGAACUGGACCAGAUGGUUGCAGGAUACAAGGAAGCCAAAGCCACUAUAGACAAGUUGGAGAAGCAGAUUGAAGAGCUUCAAAAACAAUUGGCAGAGUGCAGAGAGGUGCAGAGCAGGCUCGGGGCUAGACUGAGCUCUAAGACCAAGGCCACCUUCCUUGUGUAGAAUAUGGUUUCAGCUUCUAGGCCAGCUUUGGAAAUUGCAGAGGCUUCAAUCCACCAGGGGUGCUACUUCAGAAGGAACUCUCCAUUAAAAAGGCCAACUUGCAAGAAACCCUUAGGAAAUUAGGGUUUUAGAUUCUAGUUUUUUUUUAAAGAAAUGUAAUAAAUAAUUUAGCCAUAAAAAGUGGCUAUAUUUAAAUAAAAGUUCAUUUAUUUUUGUGGGAAUUCCAAAUUCUUUCGACAAAAAGAAAAGAGAGAAAAAGUAAUUUAAAGCAUACUUAACAAAUUACAACGAAAAUGAAAGUGAUCAGAAAUUCAAACAACAGUUUUAUCUUGCUGUCUCUCUAUUCCGGGAUCUGUCUGUACCGCCUGUGAAUCCCACAUAGUUGGAUAGAACUUUUUUAACCAUUUGUCAUUAAUUGGUGCAGUAUGGACAUCUCCAUCUCGAUCAUGUAAUCUGUAUGCCCCCAUUCCAAGGAUCUGAUUAAUUAUGAAAGGACCUUCCCAUGUAGGUGACCAUUUUCCAUAACCAUCUAUAUGCGUUCCAAGGGGCAGAACUGCUUUCUAGACUAUUUCCCCCUCUUCAAAACUCUUGUUCUUGACUCUUUUGUUGUAAGCCCUUGAUACAGCUUCCUUUCCUGCUAAGAGUUUGUUGAGGGUAUCGAUCCUGCUUGUAUCCAAUCCUUCCAGUUCUAGCAUCAUAGCUUGAGAGUAGUCUUCUCCAACCAAACUGUGUUGAUGAGCAAUUCUGAGGGAUUGGACUGCUAUCUCCAUAGGCAGAAUUGCAUCGUGGCCAUAGGUGGUCAUGCCAGUUGCUUCUCUUCUUGAAGUUCUAUAUGCCCACAGAGUUUCUGACAACUUCUCAUGCUACUAUUUUGGAUUUUUCUCAAGCAUUUUUCUGAUAAUGUUGAUGAUCACCUUGUUACUUGAUUCUGCCUGCCCAUUAGCUUGGGCAUAAUAAGGGGUGGAUUGAAGCAGUUUGAAUUUAAAUGCUCCUGCCAUUUCCAACAUUUCUCCAGAUAUGAAAGAAGAUCCCCUAUCAGUUGUGAUUGAUUCUGGAAUGCCAAACCUUUGUAUAAUCUGCUCUUCUAUGAAAGUGAUGAUUUCUUGAGAUGCUGUGGACUUAACAGGCUUGGCUUCCACCCAUUUGGUAAAAUAAUCUGUAGCUACAAUAAUAAAACAGUGUUGUUUGCUACUGGCUGGAUAAAUCUUACCAAUGAGAUCCAUUGCCCAUCCUCUGAAAGGCCAUAGUUUUACUACUAGAUUCAUGGGAACUGAAAGAGCCUGCUGGAUUAGCCGAGCCAUUUCCUUUUAUGCUACCGAUUUCUUUUAUGCUACUGAGCCGGGCAAAACCAAUAAAAUAAAGAAAGGCAACGAAUUUAUUAACCGAGUAUAAAGGAGAGAGAGGGAUUCGAACCCUCGAUAGUUCUUUGUUUCGAACUAUACCGGUUUUCAAGACCGGAGCUAUCAACAACUCGGCCAUCUCUCCGAAAUAAAAUUUAUAUUUUAUUCCACCUAAUAGAACAUGGACAUAUGAGUUGAUACGAUUACUAUCUAUAGAAAGAUAUCAGGUGUGAGUCUAUAGGUCUAUCUAUCUGUAUAUAUAUAUAUAAUAUAGAUGCAUGAUCCAGCAAGCAUGCCCCUGAAGUUGACUUACGCUCAAAUGUAGAAGAAUCAGCCAUGGCAAAUAGGUAGCUGAAUUGCAGCGGAAUAGAUGAGCAACGGUGUCACUCCCCCUCAUAUCCAACGAUGUAUAAGAGUCGAGAUUUGGAGAAAGCAAUACCGAAAAAUAAAGUUGCAGAACUCAAAUAAAGUUGCAUCUAUCUCCCCAUCAAAUCCGACACUGGUAAAGGGUCGAGAUUUGAAAGAGGAGAAAUUGAAAUAAUAGUAAAGAGACUCAAACAUGCAGUCUCAUGGCAGAAACAAAUGCAAGAGGGGAAGAUGGUAGCAUACGGUUGUCCCAUGAAGAAAAAACUUUAGAAAAGGAGAAUAGUAAGGGAGGAAACCCAGCAAAUCAUGAACAGAGACAAAGACAAAGAUAAGGUACUCAAACUGAGAAGCGGAAAGGCAACUCAAGAGAGCAACCGAAGAAGACAGAGGCCCGCAGAACAGUCAAAGGAAAGGCUCGGCGAGUGGUGACGAUGCUCGCGGAGGAAAGCAACGGCUCGGUGAGCAGUGACGAGGCUCACGGAGUAAAGAGACUUGUUAUGAAGUUUCAAAGAUAGAGAAGCUGAGACAUCAAGAAAGACCAUCUGGCAUACAAAGAUGAAAAAUAAAAUUUUUGGAACAGUAGCAAAGAAGCAUGUGAAGGCUAGGUGCGGUGAAAACACAUAUGAAAGGAUGAACAAAAGAAGAUGACUAUACAAGAUGAAGACCCAUGAUGGGUUAGAAAUGAGGAGUGCCAACGACUCUCAAUUUGGCAGAGGCUAUCACAGGUUAGGAACCUGGCUCUGAUACCAUGUCAAACAAAGUAGGGUAAAUAUUCAGUUAUGCUCAGAUAUGCUCAUAUUAUUAUUCUUCUCCAAUAUGGAGAUAUUUAUACAAGUACAAAGAUGUGUUAACCCUAAAUAAAAUAGAAAAUAUAUCUAAAUUACAAUUGGAAGUAAAUCUCUAUUACAAUAUGAGUAAAUAAUAAUUGAUAAGUAACCAAAAUUCUAAUGAAAUAAGGAACUAAAAUCCUAAGUAAGUAAGGACUCGCCAACGAAUAAUAGUACAACUCUUAUUAGCAACAGGUUACAAACUUCUUCUACAACACACCAACAUGAAUCUAGCCCUGAUCAAUUCUUUUACAUACUUGAAAACAAAACAAAACACGAAAAACAAAAAACAAGAAACAAGAUAGGGAGAAAAUGGCUACGGAGAGACUUACCGCUAAUACUUGAUCAAUAACAGAGAUAAUAGAGCACACUGUUUGUAUGACAAUGAGUAUCAGAAGAAUAAUAGCUGCAAAGAGAGAAAUAGCUGCCCAAGGUGUGUUGAAAUACUUUUGUCUCAAAUUUGCCUUCCGUCUGUUCGUGGUCUUCUUGCAGUACUCGUUUAGUUUGCCAGCAAGAUCACCAAAAUAGUAGUUUCCGUGGUUCGGAGCAACUUUACUGCAAAGCUUGUUAAUCAUAAUGGAAACCUUAUUGUUGUCACCUAGCGUGUUUACAACAAUUCCAUUGUCAACAAGCAACUCUACAUCCUUUGGGGUGUUUACAAAUUUAUCCAGGAUGAAAACAUAAUCGCUUAUGUAUUUAUCCACGCAAUUGCCUUGUUCAAAGGCAAUGAGAUUUCUAUGUGUAAGCUGUGUAAUCAUGUAUUUCAAUUUUUGGAAUUUCCAAGGUGUUUUUCUUGAACUGUAUAUCGAAUAAGUUCUUGCUUGAUCCCACGUUAAACUUAACUCCGGCCUGGUGUAGUUUUGUCAUGCUGGGUGUACUUUGGAGCCCUCCAUUUUUUUUUCUUUUGGCAGAUGUAAAGUUCUAAUAAAAUCAACAAAAUGUAAAGGUUUUUUAGGAUCAGGAGGCAUAAAAGACUUACGGAAGGCUGGUGAGUUCUCCAAGUUUUCUAAACGCAGUGCCUGUUGGAAGAACUUGUAAGAGAGUUCAAUUAUUGAAGGCUCCCCAGUCUGAGCACCUGUGAGAUUGUAAAGAUCCUUGAGAAUGAAAAAUGGCAGCUGAUUUACGAGCAUAAGCAUGUCAGGCAAUAUAUUUUGUAGCACCCAUGGUUUUUUAAAUAUCCAAGCAUUAUCAUCCUGCAAUUUUUCUUCCUGAAAUUUUUCUUCGGAUUUAUUCCUCAACAAUAGCUCAAUGACAAAGGCGGCAUCAACUAGACUGAUAUUCACAAAAGCAGCAAUGUUAAACUUCUUAGGGCUAGUUUGGCGUUGCUGUGUUUUAAAAAAAAAUAUGCUUCUGCUGUGCUGUGAAAAUAAUCAGCUGUGAAAAAAAGCUACUAAGCGUUUGGUAAACUGUUUUUGAAAAACUGUUGUGAGUAGUCAAAGUGUUUGGUAAAUUUUUAUCAGAAGUGUUUUUAGUGUGUAUAAUGACCAAAAAGGACAUGAUGAUGAAAUUGUUUGUUAUUUUCUUCAUUCUUUUUCUACUUUUUUUUUUAAAAAAAAAACCCAAUUUCACUACAUAAAUUUUUAUUCUUUUUUAAUUCACACCUUUUUAUCAAAAAAUUUAAUCUACAAUUAACAUACAUAUUUUACCAUAAAUUAUAAAUUACUAUUAUAACAAAAGUAAUUCUAAAUAUUGUUAUAUUAAUAUGGGCUUCGGACAUGACAAAAAUACAAAAAUUGUUCAAUUUUAAAAUGCCCCAAUAGAUCACUACAAUAUAAAAGAAGCUAAUUAGAUGCAUUCAUUAAACUUGUAGCGAUGCUAUUUCUUAAUGCAUUCAUUAGCUUCUUUUUUUGGUUUCCAAUGGUUCUCUAACAAUUUUAACUAAAAAAACAACCAUAAUGCUUUGUGAACAAUAAAUUCAAGUCCAAAUCUACUAAUGCCCACACCAUACAUAUAUACAUAAUUGUUUCUUUCAUAAAACUUGAAGAUUCAAUAGUAAUUACACAGUUUACCAAUCUUGAUUCCAACUAUAUCCAUAAAAUUAAACUAUAAUUAGAAACAGAGGAGCUACAUGUGAUUACUUAUAAAUGUUGCCCACUCUCAUCAUCAUCUUCUUCCUCCUCUGUACUUUGCCUUUCACAAAUGGACAAGACCAGAUGGUAACGUACACGACAUGGUCCACAUAUAGAUAAAUUUUGGGUUCACUGGAGAACAUAAAAGAGUUUUUACACGAAUACAAAGUUAGUUAAGUAGUGAAUAAGGUAAAACUAUUCUGUACAAUUCUAGCUGAUGCAGUCCAAAAAGAAUAUAUGUCUAAUAACUUAAAUAACAAUAAAGAGAAACAAAAACCUCAUGAAAAAUGCUAGAGUAAAAGUUACAUAACUGAAUCGAUGGACAGAGAACUCCACAGGCAGAGAAACAGCAACAAAAAUUGUCAAAACAGUAGCAAGACCAUGUUGGAGUCAAGGCCAAAGAUCAUAUUUCCUGUGUAUCUUCUUCCAUUCUGAAUUAUUCUCGUAUUCAAAUACUGUAACUCUAUUUCAAGUGCACCCCAAAAUACUUAUCUAAGGCCAGUACAUAGGACUUCAUAAAGGGUGCCAUAAAAAAUAUUGCCCCUUAAUUGAUAAACAGAACCAAGAUCCCAAUGGCACACCAAAACUAUACCAACCACACCUACAUAAUAUGGACAGAAAAUCCUGUUGUUCUGACCUCUAACCACACCAAUGACAUUCAUUAGGAAAAUACAAAAGAUGGGUACCCUGCAUUUCUAACAUUUAAGAUAAAAUUCACUGCCAGCUAAUCACAAAUUUGAAAAGAUGGCAAGAAAAUUGGCUAUGCUUUAACAAAAACCAGAGCAGUCCUUGCAUAGACCUGACUUUUUGCUCCAAGCUUUAGCAGAUCACUUACUGGUAGAGAGCAGAGAACAUGUAUGUGAAUAUCUGAAGUUGGAAGGGUAAGCCAUCACAAACACCAAGAGAUCUGAUUCUCAUCUCUUGUUACAACAACAAAUCACAAACACCAAUACAUCUGAUUCAGAAUCUCAUAAACAAUGGAGGAACAAACACAUAUUCACACACAUAUAAAUCCCUAAACCGAAAAAAAAAAAAAAAAAAAAAAAAAAAAAAAAAAAAAAAAACAUGAAAGUAAUAGGAGAAUCAAAUUGAUUUGGGCCAAAAUUGCCUAAAAAGAAAACACUCCUAAAUAAACUUCAAUUCACUUUUAAAAACAGUAAAACGUGAUUGAAUCGUUCUUUAAAACAAUUCCCUAAUAUACAUGCAUGAUAAUGACAUCAUUUACCCCUAAAUCAAAUGCCUUUCACUGGUUAAGCCACAAGUCUGUGUUUUGGGGAUUGCUGAGCUGCAUCAAUCCUGCCAAUGUCAAUUCUGCCCCUAGGCUCUCUCAAAGUGCAUUUACAACCUAUGCUAACAUAUACUAGAGUUUGUGCUAGUAUCUAGAAAAUGCCAACACUAAUUUCGUAACACGUAGAAAUUGUUACAUAUUGGAAGUUUUUAUCAUUUUUUCUUCCAGUCUCUCCACCACUCACUAAUACAGAUUACUCAUGUGAUGAGUUUACAAAACCUAUUUCUCUACUCCCACAAAGACCAUACUUUUUCUCAAAAGACUAUAUCACUUUAUCUCUAUCUUUGUGAAAUGUAAAAAGUUGAAACUUUAAUGUCAAAUCUCGACAAAAGAUGAACUUCCAUCAAUUACAUUGAAUUUGAAUUUGUUGAACUUAAGUGGUUUUACUUUCUCUGUCAGCGUUUGAUGACUUGAUUUGUUAUUUACUUCUUCUUUUUUCCUUGGAAAUGUGUUCCAUCAACGUGAGGAAGAAAAAUAUGCACAAAUUAAUAUAUUUAAUAGAAGCACAAAUUAAUAUUUACAAAAAUAUGCACAAAUCAAGUAAAAUUAAUAAAGCAUAAAUUGGAAAGGGAAAAUAUGUAGAGGAUGCAUUGUAGGAUUGCUCAUGCCAAUAAUUGUACCCUCUAAAUAUAUAGGGACAUAAUUUUUUUUGUUUUCAUGACAUGUGGUCCUCAAAUUAUUGUUCUUAGCGGACUCUCCACCCCUCUCGAUUGAAAGCCUAUUGUGUAAAUCUUCAAUCCUGAAUGAUCCACCUAAAACUCAUGUUGCAAUACACAUCCACCCAUUCUCAGGCCAAUUAUUACUCCUAGUGGGCUCUCCACCCCCUCUCAAAUUUAAGUGGUCCAUUAUUAUUAACCAUAUAUUUUAUGGACCAGCUAGCUGUGAGGUUUUAUCUCAAAAACCUUUCUCUCACAUGCCACAAUUUAUGUCUGAUACAUCACAUCAUGCCAGUUGUCUCAAAUGAAUUUAAGUGAGUGAGGCAGUGUUACUUCUGGGUACCCCUCAUCGUUCGUGUAUAAAAUGGUGAAGCCAGUUGCUACUGUUACCAUAAGAGCCAGCUCCGACUUUCAAAAUAAAAAUUCCAACAAUGAUCUUAGUGCCUUCAAACGCAUGAGUUACUGAACAUGCAAAUAAAUACACUAUGAAUAAUAAAAGUGUUUGAUAAAUCACCAAAUUAUGGAACACUUGAUGAUUUAUCUCAAAUAAAAAUUCCAAGGCUUAUUUUAUAGAAUUUUUCUUUAUUACAAGAAAGAAAACAUGUUGAAAACCAAAUCUCCAAUUUCCAAGGCUUGACAGAAAAUCAAAAAAAUAUCUUUCCUAUUCUAGAGAUUGGUCACAUGUAGUUCAGAAAAUCAAAAAAAUAUCUUUCCUAUUCUAGAGAUUGGUCACAUGUAGUUCAACCAAUAGGAAAUGAGAUAUUUAAGAAAGCAAGAUUUUGAUCAAUAUCAAUAUCAAAUGAAUUCUUAUACGCCUAGUCAACUAUUAAGGGUAUCUUGACUCUUUGAUAUUGUGAUAUGAUUGAAACAUGAUUUCCAUGUUAGAAAAUUAAGGGGAUGUUAAAACAUGAAAGUAAUAGGAGAAUCAAAUUGAUUUGGACUAAAAUUGCCUAAAAAGAAAACACUCCUAAAUAAACUUCAAUUCACUUUUAAAAAUCGUAAAACAUGAUUGAAUCGUUUUUUUAAAACAAUUCCCUAAUAUACAUGCAUGAUAAUGACAUCACUUACCCCUAAAUCAAAUUGUCACGCCCCGGACCUGGGGGUCAGUGGAAAUCCCGCGCCCGGUGCGUGAGAAAAUAAAAAGUAAAAUAAAAUAAAAAGAAAGCCGAAACAAGGGUUUAAAAUAAACUUCUCUUAUAAAAAUAACUCUAAAAUCUUAUAACUUUACAAGAAAUAAAUAAAGCUCUAUCAUUCUUAUCUAAUUCAGACUCAACUGGUUUAGUCCUUGUCUUGCCCACUAAUUCAUCUGAAAAAUUAAGAGUGUUGCUAAACGAACCCUAAAAUUAAUUGAGUACACCAUACUACCAAACAAUUUAUUGAAUUUGUCAAGGUUUUGUUUCUGGGAACUCACGAGCAACUUUCCAGUGGGUUACCCAUCCUAGGAUUGCUCUAGCCCACAACUCGCUUAACUUCGGAGUUCCUACGACUCCGAAGCCAGUGAGCUCCCAAAAGGCCUCGUGCUAGAUGGAUGCGGGUGUGCACAUAUAAGGCACAUCACCACCUCUCCGUUGAUUGAUGUGGGAUCUUACAAAAUUACUAAUUUAUUCUAAUAUAAAAUGAUCAAAAAAGAUAAAAUAAUAUUGGUAUCUAUUGCUUUGAAUCCAUGCCUUCAAACAAAUUGACUUAAUUUUUAACAAACAACACGGAGUCCAGGAGAAGUGUAUUGAUCCAAGUUGAUUUUUGUAUGCAUAAAACUUAAACAAUCAAUAACACAAAGCAGUUCAUGCUGAAAUAUUGGAAACCCACACCCAAAGAGUUCUCCGCUGCGAGGUUGAAGGCAGGAGAGAUGGGUGACAGAUUUUACUUCCACUGCGAAGUUGGAGGCUAGGAGAGUCUGUGACUGCCAUGGUUGAGGGAGAAGAUGCGUUCAAAAUGCCUAUUGAUAUUUUACAUUAUUUUCUAUACAAGUUAACAGUGUUUGUGUAUUGUUAAAGGUGGAGAGACGUGUCAAAAUUUUAGACAAAGGACAGGAGGAGAUAGGGAAUUUGGGGACAGCAGAUCUCAACUCCCUUGAGACCCUAUUCUCUACGCCACCCCUCCCCCUCAACAACCCUAGUCACCAUUUCUCCUUCAACUCCAACGGCAACUCAUUAAAACCCAAUUCUCAAAUGCAACAAUCUAAUCCCAAUCCCAAUUCAGAUGUUUCUAAAAAACCAAUGGUUGUCGUGGUGGAGAACUGCAAUUCCAGGUGGUGGUGGUACCACAUGGGAGAGAGAAAAAAGAAGAAGAAGAAGCAGCAGAGAGAGAGUUUUUUAUUAUAUUAUUAUUUUACUGUAAUUUUUUAAUUUAAAAAAUUAAAAAAAUUAAAAAUUAAAGAGGAUGUACCAUGGGUAUUUUUGGUAGUUAAAUAGGGUGUACUUAGUUAAUUUUCAAUUUAAUUUAAACAUUAGAGUGUACUCAGUUAAUUUUAGGGUUCAUUUAGCAGCACUCAAAAUUAAACAAGGUAAGGGAUGAGCAAGUAGGGACAUGAGACCUUGCCACAGUAGAUUGAUAUAACUAAAUAUUAUCAUAAACAUCGAAAUAUAUAAAUAUUAUUAUGAUAGGAUUCAUAAUAAUUAAUAUAAAAGUAUAACAACAAGAUUUACAUUUAUGUACCAAGAUAAUUACACAUAUAAAUAUAACCAAUAUAUAUUUUUAUAUAUUUUAAAAUACAAGUCUUUACGUAAAUGCCCUUCACGGGUCAAGCCACAAGUCUGUGUUUUGGGGAUUGCUUAGCUGCAUCAAUCCUGCCAAUGUCAAUUUUGCCCCUGGGCUCUCUCAAAGUACGUUUAAAACCUAUGCUAACAUAUACUAGAGUUUAUGCUGUAUCUAGAAAAUGCCAACACUAAUUUCGUAACACGUAGAAAUUGUUAGAGAUUGGAAGUUUUUAUCAUUUUUUCUUCCAGUCUCUCCACCACUUAUUAAUACAGAUUACUCAUGUGAUGAGUUUACAAAACCUAUUUCUCUACUCUAGCAAAGACUAUACUUCUUCUCAAAAGACUAGAUCACUUUACCUCUAUCUCUGUGAAAUGUAAAAAGUUGAAACUUUAAUGUCAAACCUCGACAAAGUGUUCUACUUUACAAACUUCUUGUGUCUACCAAUUUCUACUAAAAUUAAUUUCUCUACGGUGCUCAGAUUCAUCAUAUGUGUGUCCUUAAUUUUAGUGGAAAUUGGAAGUUUCCAUAAUUUUUGCUUUAAGUCACUCUUCUGAAGGAAGUUGAGGUUCCACUCCAUAAUCCAAAAUGUCAGGUUGACUUAUGGCAAACAAUGUAAAUAUGUAGGAGUACUAUGACCUUUUAUAGCAUUUUUAGUUUGAAUUUGGGUUUUAUACAUAGAUUUCGAAAUUAAUAGGUUGAUGCCUAGGAAAUAGAAAUUGUAAGGGCCUAUAUUAGACUAGCCCUCUUAAAAAAUAUAUUAAUUAAUGAAUAUUUGUUCUUCUUGUUGUUUUGAAGUAGUGGUGGGAGGCAUACCAACAAAAAAAAAAAUAUAGUGAAGGCUUAUAAGAGCAUUUACAAUCAUGCUCCCUAUUUUUUAGUUAAAAUUUAGCUAAAAAUAGAAAAAAGUUAUUAUAGGAGCUCUUUAUAAAAUUUGAACUCCAAUCAUACUCCCUAGUUUAGGGAGUCAAAAAUACUAUAGUUAUUUUUUAAUUCAAUUUGAUUUUGGUUAAUCUCUAUAAAUAAAUAAAAAUAUGAAAAAAUAGUUAACAUUAAUUAAAAGUUUAAACUAUGCAUAAAACAAAGAAACAUUAAAUUAUAGGGAGCCACUAUGAGUCGUUACUCUCUCCUCAGAUUUAGGAGCUCCUAGAGGUCUCCCUAUUUUAUGAGGUGGAUAAGGAGCAUGGUUGGAGUUGUAUUUCUUCAAUUUCCUCCCUAAAAUUUGUCUAAGGAUGUGGUUUAGGGAACCCAUUGUGAAUGCUCUAACUCUGGUAAAACACGAGUGACAUGGACAACAUAUGUUACGUCGUACAGAAGAUUUUUGGGUUUCUUUAAUUGGUUAAGUAGCAUCCACAAUGAGCUUCCUAAAUCAUCUCCUUAGACAAAUUUUAGGGAGGAAUUGGAAAAGUACAAUUCCAACUAUGCUCCCUAUCCACCAACUAAAAUAGGGAGACCUCUAAGAGCUCCUAAAUCUGAUGAGAGGGAAAGGACUCUUAAUGACUCCUUAUAAUUUAAUGUUGCUUUACUUUAUGCAUAUUUUGAACUUUUAAUUAAAUCAAAUUAUUAUUUUUAUAUUAUUUUGUAUACAGACGGGUUAAUUAUAUUAAAUUAAAAAAUAAUUAAAAUAUUAAUGACUCUCUAAACUAGGAAGCAUAAUUGUAGAUCAUCUUAUAUACCUUAAUUUGAAGAUUCUUUAUUUGGGUUUCUUUCAAGACUUAUCACCUUAGCCACACCACCUACACGUCUGCAAGCUUCCGUAAUCUAACAAGGAAGGGGAGGCUGCGCAAUACUUAUCACCUUAGCCACACCACCUACACCACAAGACCAAUAUGUGUAGUCCAGCAGGCUUUCCAAUUUUAAUAUAUAUUAUAAAAUAAAAUAAAAAUCAAUCUAUUAUCAUAUAUAUUAUAAAAUAAAGAUUAUUGCUCCAUCCUCCAUGCACUUGCAUGCCCUCUUACAAAGUGUGAAGUAGAUUUUGUGUGCUCCAAGUCAUUGACGAGAGCUGUAACAUGGUUAGCUGGAUUUAUAAGAUCUUUUCUUUUCUGGGAAUUUUCUGAAUUAAGAAAAAUCAAGUAAAAUUAAUAAAGCAUAAAUUAGAAAGGGAAAAUAUCUAGAGGAUGCAUUGUAGGAUUGCACAUGCCAAUAAUUGUAUCCUCUAAAUAUAUAGCGACACAUUUUUUUUGUUUUCAUGACUUGUGGUCCUAAAAUUAUUGUUCCUAGCGGGCUUUUCACCCUCUCUCGAUUGAAAAUCAAUUGUGUAAAUCUUCAAUCUUGAAUGAUGCACCUAAAACUCAAGUGUCCCAGGCCAAUUAUUGCUCUCAUACCACUUGUUGUAAUAAACAUUCACCCAUUCUAAAGGAAAGAUAACCAUCGAUAUUAUCUGAAAUUUAACCACUUAAGUUCAUUAUGAUUAACUAUGUAUCUUAUGGACCAAUCCAAUCGUAAGGUUUUAUACUCAAUUAGAUCGACCAAUACAAAGUUCACACUGGAUUAAAAAGGGCUAUCGGUAGGGGAGUGUUCGGCACCCUUUACUGUGGAGCGCAACACAAGACCCCUUGCAUGCCCUCACUAAGUUGAGCCCAACUAUUUUUGAGCAUUAACAAUAUAUAUAGAUUGAAAAAAUAAAAUAAAAAUCAAUCUAUUAUCAUAUAUAUUAUAAAAUACAUAUUAUUGCUCCAUCCUCCAUACACUUGCAUGCCCUCUUACAAAGUGUGAAGUAGAUUUUUUGUGCUCCAACUCAUUGACUAGGGCUGAAACAUGGUUAGUUGGAUUUAUAAGAUCUUUUGUUUUUUGGGAAUUUUCUGAAGCACGGAAAAUCAAAUAAAAUUAAUAAAGCAGAAACUGUACCCUUUAAUUAUAUAUGGACAUAUGUUUUUUUGUUUUCAAGUCUUAGAUGACAUGGGGACCCCUCUCAAAUUUAAGUGGUCCAUUAUUGUUAACCACAUAUUUUAUGGACCAUCCAGCUUCGGUACAUUUCUCCCACAUGCCACAAUUGUAUAUUCACAAUUACGUCUGAUACAUCACAUCAUGCCACUUGCCUCACAUGCCACAAUUGUAUAUUCACAAUUACUUCUGGGUACCCCUCAUCAGUCGUCUAUAAAAUGGUGAAGCCAGUUGCUACUGUUACCAUAAGAGCCAGCUCCGACUUUCUUUAAUUUCUUGCUACAUCUGUUGCUAAGUUAAUUUCAGUCCUAAUGGGGUUUCAUCUCCCACUCAUCUUUGCUAUUCUCAGUGUAAGCUCUGCAAUUUGAUUAACUUUUCCAUUCUCUCUCAUUGUACUCUAUAUAUAUAAAUGAAAGUUUUGUGUUCCUAUAAUUCUCUCCGAUUUUAUUUAGUACGUACUUAAGUGUCGUCCACUAAUUAAUUACACUUUGUGAGAUUUGAUUUUAAUUAGAGUUCGAAUUAAUGUUGCAGCUAGCAGCGGUUGCACUGGCAAACAAUGCUGCUCAACCAGCACCUCAACUUUACUGGAACUCCGUCCUGCCAAACACACAGAUGCCAAGAUCUAUCAGUGAACUUCUGCAUCCUGGUUUGUGUUCAGCUCUUUAUAAUCUUAGAUAUCUCUUCUACCUGCCAUUUUACUAAACUAUGUUCGACCACAUAUUUAUCAGUUAACUACUGUCAUUACAAGAAUGACACUUAUUUUCCAAUAUAAUUUGCAGACUCCACAAAUGAAGAAAAGAGCAAACCUGAAAUUUUCCCAUUGCAGGGCAAUAGAGUUUACACUCAAAGCCAUUAUAAAAAACGUCCUCCUCCUCCAUCUGACGAGGGCAAACCUGAAAAUUUCCCAUUGCAGGGCAAUAGAGUUUACACUCAAAGCCAUUAUAAAAAACGUCCUCCUCCUCCAUCUGACGAGGGCAAACCUGAAAAUUUCCCAUUGGCCAAUAGCUUUUACACUCAAACCCAUUAUAAAAAACGUCCUCCUCCUCCAUCUGACGAGGGCAAACCUGAAAAUUUCCCAUUGGCCAAUAGCUUUUACACUCAAAGCCAUUAUAAAAAACGUCCUCCUCCUCCAUCUGACGAGGGCAAACCUGAAAAUUUCCCAUUGGGCAAUAGCCAUUACACUCAAAGCCAUUAUAAAAAACGUCCUCCUCCUCCAUCUGACGAGGGCAAACCUGAAAAUAUCCCAUUGGCACGUUCAGGUUACCAACGAAAAAAUUAUGGAGCAAGUCCUCCUCCAUCUGACAGUCAACUAAAGCAUUAUAAAGACUUAGCUAUUUUCUUCUUCGAGAAGGACAUGCGCCCGGGCACAACUAUGAAGUUCCAAUUCCCUAGAAAUUCAAACACGGCUACUUUCCUGCCACGCGAAAGUGCUCAAUCGAUCCCCUUCUCCUCUAAGAAACUACCAGAAAUUUUCAACCAUUUUUCAGUGAAGCCAACAUCUGAGGAAGCCAAAACAAUUAAGCAAACAAUCGAAGAGUGUGAAGCUCCAGGCCUUAAGGGAGAGGAAAAAUAUUGCGCCACAUCUUUAGAAUCAAUGGUUGAUUUUAGCACUUCGAAGCUUGGAACAAGAAACGUUGAAGCAAUCUCAACGCAGGUAUUGGAAGAAGGAGCCACCAAGUACAUGCACAACUAUACAACAAUCCCGGGACUGAAGAAGUUGGUAGGUGACAAAGUCGUUGUGUGUCAUAAGGAGAACUAUCCCUAUGCUGUGUUUCUCUGCCAUGCAAUAAAACAAACAGAAGCUUAUGUUCUCUCCCUGAAAGCCGAUGAUGGGAUGAAGGUGAAAGCAGUAACCAUCUGCCAUCUAGACACAUCAGAAUGGGACCCAGAGCAUUUGUCCUUCCAAAUCCUCAACGUUAAGCCCGGAACCACUCCCAUCUGCCAUUUCCUUUCCACUGAUGCUAUUGCCUGGGUUCCAAAACACAAAUCUGCAUGAUCAUCACUUAGCACUGUACGUAUAAUAAGCUUGGUCGGGUUGCACCCUAGGCCUGCAUAAUUAUCUCCCUACUUAUUUCUGCCUCUUCAUCAUGCGGUGUAAGAUAUAUGAUGAGAUGAAGUUUUCUCUUGUAACUAUGUAGACUACUUCAACUUGUACUCAUAAUAAAGCACGCUGUUGGGGGGUUCUACUUAAUUUCGUUCUCUCCAAUGUUUGAGUGUUGAAUUGUUACGUUGGAAUAGGCUGCUAAUGCAUGUAGUUAGAGAAGCCUUCAUUUAUAUCAAAGUCCUCAAACUAUCAAGAAUUAAUGUAUCCAGAAACAUAUACCAAGACGCAAAACAACAUAUUUUCCAUUCUCUGUCUGUAACACCAAGGCAAACUUCCUUUAUCACAUCAUUUAAAGGAUCAAAUUCCAGUACUAAUCUAAUCCAUCAUGUAAAGCAUACAAGUGCCUACCUAAAUUUGUCCAUUGGAUAUAUAUGUCACUUUUUAUUUUUUGAUAGAGAUAUAAAUGUUGAGAAAAUUAGAGUACACAACUCCAAUAUAGACUUGUUGGAGACAAAACAAGUAAACAAAUUACUUGUAUUAGACUCACAAAAUAUUACAACAAGACAACUCUCAAAGAAAAGACAAACUCUCACACUUCUCACAAGGACUACUUAACUUUAUAGCUUAUUGCAUAUAGCAUAUGCAAACACAAUUAGAACAUACCUACGUACACUAUGGGAACACUCGUGUAUAUUUGAACACAAGAAAACAUGUGCGCACCGUGCACGGUUCACAUGAAGUAAGAAAUGAAGAGGAAAUAAAGAAGAAGAAUACAAAAGAAAAUGGAGAUGAGAAAAAAAAAACACGAAUAAUGAAAAAUGAAUUGACAAUUAUAUAUGGUUGACAUUAGAUCUAAUAUUAUAUGUAAUAACUAAUGAUCUAAAAUAAACAUUAAAUCAAACAAUAAUUAAAAGAUUUGACAAUAUAAAAAUUUACACGUCAGCAAACUCACCAUGGUAAGUUUGCUGACGUGUAAAAAUUGUGAAUGGACUACAUCGAAAAAUAAUUGGCUUACAUCAAAAAUUAAAAUCACGUGGGUUAUUCCUAAGAAACCUUAAUAUUUUUAGGUUUAUAUAUUUUUUGUAUUUAAAAAAAAAAAAAAAAAGAGAAAUCUGACCAUGUAUGUAUGAUGAUGAUAUGCAUGUUAUUUUUAGACCUAAGGUAAAACAGACAAACUUUUUACUCCAUUUUUCAUGAGGUUUAUCACAAUAAUUAAACUGUUAUAUCCUCCAUUUUAGAUCUCAUGCUUCCAUUUAAAGAAAAGAAUAUCAACAACAAAAAAAGAAUAAAGUUACAACAUUGAUCAAUUCAAAUGUCCAACUACCGGAUCAUGAGCCCUUGCACUUAGCGAUAUGCAGAUAAAUGCGUAGUGUCUUAAUGCAGAAGCUCGGGAUCCCCAAUUACCAUUGAAACAUAAGAAACUAAAAUCUGCAAGAAAAUGCUAUCAAUUGAAAAAACAAUAAUUAAAAAACAAAAAAAGGAAGGGAAUUCGCACCCGCUAUGCAAAAAAGAGCAAGUCGGUUCAAUGAUUUUUUUCUUCUUCUUUUUGUUAUGGAAAUGAAAAGCUCAAUGAUGGGCUAUAUAUAGGAAGAAGCUCAAUGAUUGAAUUAUUAUCUUCUAUCUACAUUCUACCCUCUUCCUCGCUACAUACACAAAUGGUGCACACCAGUAACUAAGCUUGUUUUGGGUUUGGUGGCCCACUGUAAAAGCUCAAUGGAGAUGGUUUGAGGUAGAAUUUUCUCCUAUUUCAAUAGGACAAUGAUGAGAUCUAUGUAACAACAAAUUUCUUUAAUAAUGAUAACUAAAAAAAGUGUGAUUCAUUGAAUAUUUGCGGGGUUUUGUUCUAAGUCAACACCUCAAAUUCCUUUUACACCAUCAAAUUCAAAAAGUUUUAUUCAACCAUCUCGACCUUAUGCUAAAAAUUUAUUUUGUUCAUACUUAACGUACUAGGUAUUUAUUUUAUACCAACGAGUACGAUGGUCCAUAUAAGUAUUCUAAUCAUUCACUCCAGUUGCAGGCCCCAAUAAUUUAGAAGGGCCGAAGGUCUUUCUUUUUUUCUUUUUUCUUUUUUGAGAAAUUCUAUGAUUGCAUUCAUAAUUCAGGCAAAAAAGUCACUAGCCACAAAAGGGCCAGUACAACAACGGAGCGGUCUAAUAUCAAAAUUAAGACAAUCUAGUGUGUCUCCACUAACGAUCAGGCGAGCCGAUGGUCUUUCAUUGGAUGAAAGCUUCUAUCUACCGACCCCACUAUAUGAACUAUGCAAUGGUGAUGAUGUUACAUUGCAAAAAAUAAAAAGUCAAGGUUUCUUAUUAAUGUUAAUGAAGGCAUAGCAAAAAAUUUAUAGCUCCAAUGGUUCAAAGCAGUUACCCAUGCACUUGAGAUUCUGUGUUUGAAUGCCCUCUCCCCUAAUAUUGCUUGUAUAAAAAUAAAAACUUCUAAAAAGACAUUAAUAUUGUAUUCUAUAUUCUAUAAAGUGUUGGACAUGUCUUAUAUUGUUGACAACCCCCUAACACUUUGGUGGUGCCUAGUUAUAUUCAAUUCGUAUGUAUUUAAUUUGCCACUUACAUUCUUUCCUUAAUACAUUUAGGCUUAUUUUUAUACUAAUUUCUCUAACAUAACUUUUGCACAUUCUUUUAGUCUCUAAUAUAUAUAUUUUCUAAUAAAUAAUCAAGAUCUAAUAAAUAAUCUUACUCACUUGAGUUAUAAACUAUUUUCUUUUAGCACAGAAAAUCGACAUUUUGACAGAGAGUUGAAAACGACUCCCCAAUUUUAAUGUCAACCACUUGAAAAAAAAAACAUAAAUUUAAUGAAAACAAUUACAUUUAGCAAUGCAACCUAAAAACUCAACCUUUGCGCCCCUUUCACAACGUAGAUAGCAAGGUGAGGAUAUUCGGAUAAGAACCAAGACAGAAGCCAAAGGAACUGCGAUAGCCAACCAGAGUCUCCAUUUCUUACCAUUUGAACAACGCCACCAUUUUGUUUGGUAAGUAUUUAAUAACAUUUCUUGCUCUACAUAAAGUAAUAUUAAAACGGAAUUUGCCUAAAUUUUUCUUACCAGCAAUCCAUAUGGACAAAAAUAAAAUAAAAUAAAUAAAUUUACAAUUAUACUCAAUAUAGGAGCCCAAAUUAUUUAUAAUUAAAAAAACUUAUAUGAAAUGGACUUUAGAAACACACUUAAAACCUAUUUACAACAAAACAAAAAAACGUUUAACUUCUUUUAAAUUACAAAACUAUCAUUGAUUUCUUAAACAAACCCAACCCAAAAACUUCAUUAAAAAAAAAAAGCUCAAAAUAUUAGACUCACAAAAUAUUACAACAAGACAACUCUCAAAAAAAAGACAAACUCUCACACUUCUCACAAGGACUACUUAACUUUAUAGCUUAUUGCAUAUAGCAUAUGCAAACACAAUUAGAACAUACCUACGUACACUAUGGGAACACUCGUGUAUAUUUGAACACAAGAAAACAUGUGCACCGUGCACGGUUCACAUGAAGUAAGAAAUGAAGAGGAAAUAAAGAAGAAGAAUACAAAAGAAAAUGGAGAUGAGGAAAAAAAAAACACGAAUAAAUGAAAAAUGAAUUGACAAUUAUAUGUGGUUGACAUUAGAUCUAAUAUUAUAUGUAACAACUAUUGAUCUAAAAUAAACAUUAAAUCAAACAAUAAUUAAAAGAUUUGACAAUAUAAAAAUUUAUUGAGGACAAAAAAAGGCAAAAACUUAUGAAAAAUGGAAACAAUAAAUAUGAACUGAGUCAUCAACUCACCAUGGUAAGUUUGCUGACGUAUAAAAAUAGUCAAUGGACUACAUCGAAAAGUAAUUGGCUUACAUCAAAAAUUAAAAUCACGUGGUCUACCUACUAUAUAGGAUGAAAAAAUUAGGUGAACAAUAUACUUACACCAUGGGAACACUCCUAUAUAUUUGAACACAUGAACACGUGUUCAAGGUUAUAUAUUUCAUUACCUUCACAAUAGGUACCAAACCGUACCAUGCGAACAUUCAUAUACGCACAACAUACUUAUAACAUACCUACACUAUGGGAACACUCGUGUAUAUUUGAAAACAAGAAGACCUGUGCACCACCGUGCACGGUUCACAUGAAGUAAGAAGAUGAAGAGGAAAUAAAGAAGAAGAAUACAAAAGAAAAUGGAGAUGAGAAGAAGAAAAAAAAACACGAAUAAUGAAAAAUGAAUUGACAAUUAUAUAUGGUUGACAUUAGAUCUAAUAUUAUAUGUAACAACUAAUGAUCUAAAAUAAACAUUAAAUUAAACAAUAAUUAAAAGAUUUGACAAUAUAAAAAUUUACACGUCAGCAAACCCACCAUGGUAAGUUUGCUGACGUGUAAAAAUAGUCAAUGGACUAUAUCGAAAAAUAAUUGGCUUACAUCAAAAAUUAAAAUCACGUGGGUUAUUCCUAAGAAACCUUAAUAUUUUUGGGUUUAUAUAUUUUUUGUAUUUUUUUUUUAAAAAAAGAAAAGAAAUCUGACCAUGUAUGUAUGAUGAUUGUUGGUAAAUUUUAACAACAAUAUUAAAACCUUGCAAGUGCACAAAUCAAAUGAUAGUAUAGUAAGCAAGCAAGGGUCGAUCCCACAGAGAUUGUGAUCUAAAGAGAUGUUUAUCAAUGUCACGCAAUGAAAAUCAAAACAAAGGACUUCCAAACACAAGCCAACACCAAGGGGGGUUUUGAUUUGUUUUUGUGAAUCAAACAAAAUAAGGAAAAGGAAACAAAAGAGAAUUUAAAUUAGAGUUUAAGAGAAAUUGGUUUAAAAACAAUCAAGAACAAUAGCUAGGACUUACUAUCCACCUCCAAACAAUCAAUCAAUCCAUAAACAACAAUAGAUAAUCAAUUUCUAGCAAGCAUAUGAUGACGACACUCACAACAAGAUCAUGGCAUUUGACUCGAGUUGUAUGAUUCUCUCUUAAGUGUAUGUAAAGUGUAUGGCAUUUACAUCAAUACGUGUAUUCUUAAUUAAAAUCUAGUAUGACAUUUACUCAAAUUAACAAUCAAGAAUCCAUUAAGAUCAAAGAGAAUAUGAGUGUCACAAAAACCCUAAAACAUGACAUUUGUUAUUAGGAAUUCAAGAAUCGAUUUCUCAUAACUAGUUCUUAACCCAAUUAUUCGUUGCAAACAAGAACACAUUCAAUAUGGCAAUUGACCUAUGUUCUACAACAAUUUAAUUCCAAUACAUGCUUCUAAGUUAGCUACUCAAAGAAACAAAAUACCAGAAUUCACAUAACAUAGAGAAACCGAAAUCAUCACGCUUGUAGAAACUAAAAAUCCAUUAAACUUGUUUAUAAAAUUGAAAUCAUGUCUAGGGCUUCAAGAUUAAGCCCUAACUAACAAGAAAUUAGUUACUCAUGGUCUUGGAUGAACUCAAAAAUAAAUACAUAAGAACUGAAAAUUAAAAGAAGGAAGGAAAAGAAAGAACUCGUUCGCAGCUUUCUCCUCUUGCGCAGUUGACCUCUUUAGGACGUGAAUCCUUUUUAUCAGGCCUUGGCUCGUCUUUUAUAUCACUUAUAUCAGAGUUCUAAACCCUAAAAUUGACUGAAAAGUCGUCCAAGAAGUCUUGAUAAACAAGGAAUCCAAAUAGGAAAGUAAAAAUCACAAUUCCUAACUCCACUGGGAUAUACAGCUCAGCCCAAUGUUCACACGAUUUGGGGAUCUUCGACCUUGUAGAAAAAUUAUUAAAAAUAUAUUUUAGAAAGAUAAAUGUCUUAUCUUUCCAACAUAUAUAGCACGUAACUUGAAAAAUUUGGAAAGGCUUCCGUUUCUUCACAUUCACGUAACAUGUACGAAACUGUCCUGUCUGCACGUGGGCUAACUUUACUUGUAAUACUGUACCAAUUGGCUCGGUAGAAAAUUCUAGAAAAAUAAUAGAUUGAACUUCAAGAUGUUAGCUUUCAUCUCCAAUUGGUCUUGUGCUAAAAUUCCUCCGAAAAGUUGAUUUUCCCUUAAAAACCUUCUAAGAGCGCAGAAAAGCUGAAAAUCAGAAGAAUAAAGUAAUAAGCCCUUUUUAAAUCUAAUUCUCUUACAAAACCAAAGUAAAAAGAGUACAUAAAUGAGUAUAUUUAUGGACUUAUCAAUGAUGAUAUGCAUGUUAUUUUUAGACCUAAGGUAAAACAGACAAACUUUUUACUCCAUUUUUCAUGAGGUUUAUCACAAUAAUUAAACUGUUAUGUCCUCCAUUUUAGAUCUCAUGCUUCCAUUUAAAGAAAAGAAUAUCAACAACAAAAAAAAUAAUAAAGUUACAACAUUGAUCAAUUCAAAUGUCCAACUACCAGAUCAUGAGGCCCUACACUUAUAGACUACGCAUUUUCUCGUAUUUUGCAAAAUUUAGACCAUUAUAAUAAUCUAACCCCUUCAAAUGUGAAACAUCAUCAAGUUUUUUUUCCUUCACUAAACAGAAGAGUUAAGUUUUAUUUGUGGGUAACUAAACUCUUGUUUAGAGCAUGUUUUUUAUUAUUUUUUUCUUUCUUCUGUGUAAAGUAUAAUGGGUUAGAUUAUUAAUUGUGGGUGACUAAAAUCUUGUUUAACAACAAUAGUUAACGUUUGUUUAGAGAAGAAAAAAAACUUGAUGAUGUGCCAUGUUCUAAAGGAUUAGAUUAUUAUAAUGGCCUAGAUUUAGCGAUAUGCAAAUAAAUGCGUAGUGUCUUAAUGCAGAGGCUCGGGAUCCCCUACUACCAUUGAAACAUAAGAAACUCAAAUCUUCACGAAAAUGCUAUCAAUUGAAAAAACAAUAAUUAAAAAACAAAAAAAGGAAGGGAAUUUGCACCUGCUAUGCAAAAAAGAGCAAGUCGGUUCAAUGAUUUUUUUUCUUCUUCUUUUUGUUAUGGAAAUGAAAAGCUCAAUGAUAGGCUAUAUAUAGGAAGAAAAAAAUGGUGCACACCAGUAACUAAGCUUGUUUUGCGUUUGGUGGCCCACUGUAAAAGCUCAAUGGAUGUAACACCCCGACUCCAAAUUAAAUUCCCUAUCUAAAUUAUUUAAUUUAAUUAAAUAUGGAAUUUCCAAUUUACCCUUGGGGUAGGGGUAUUUUGGUAAUUCUCUUAUCCAGAGAGAUUUUGGAGCAACAAGUGGUAUUUUUAGGUAGAUCAUACUUAGACGAGUCCGUAGAUACGUAGUGGGCUCGAUUCGGAGUUGUAAUGAAGAAGUUACGAUCAAAACAAGUUUUUUUUUUUUUUUUUGGAGAAAUUCUAUAUGAUUGCAUUCAUAAUUCAGCCAAAAAAGCCACUAGCCACAAAUGGUCAAUACAAACUAGCAACAAAAGGGCCAUUACAAUAACGGAGCGGUCUAAUAUCAAAAUUAAGAAAAUCAGGUAUGUCUCCACUAACGAUCAGGCAAGAUCGAAGAAACUCUGGCAUAGGCAUCCCAACUAAGAUUGCAAACUUAGAAUAAUAAAAAAGAGAUAAAGCUUGAAAAAACCAAGCCAUAACAAUACAAAUAAAACUCUCACCAAGGAUAGAUGAAAAGCUGUCACAAAGGAGAAAUGAAAAACUCUCACAAAAGGAGAGGUGAAAACUACACAGACAACCCAAAGAGUCUCUGCAACUUAUUCCAAACAUAAAGAAAAUGCAAAAAAGAUGGUGGUGGAGAUCCGACGCCGAAAUGCAGGUGAAGAUCCAACGUUGAGCCGCAGCCGCCUAUAAUGGUUGGAUGAAAAUCCUAACAAAACUAAGAAAAUAGGGACAACCAUUUAUCUUUGAAAAUGGGGGAAGAGGUGAAAGGAGGAAGAAAGGAAGAGAAGAGGGGAGAGGAGGGAAGAACAAUGGCUUUCUCCCCCUUCAAAGUGGAAAAGGCUCUAAGAGUGUUUUUUGGGAGAAAGGGGGCACGAUCAAAACAAGUUUAAUAGCACAAUCAUAAUUAUUUCGAAGUUGGUUUUUAAUAAAUCAGAAAACACACACACACACACACACACACACACACACACUCUCUCUCUCUCUCUCUCUCUCUCUCUCUCUCUCUCUCUCUCUCUCUCCCGUGCGAUUCUUCCUCCCUCGUCAAACAGCAGCGGUGGUUUUUUCCACCGCCACUGCCACACGCCACCAUACGAGGUGGCACCGGUCCCAAAAGGACACCCAGCUCAUCCUCUUCCAACCCCAGCCAAGCCACGCCGCCAGCAGCAACGAGAUUUGCUGGAAACCGCAGAAAAUCCUGCCGGUUUUUCCUAAACUUCAAACCUCUCGUUCUCUCUCAUUUCUCCACCGAUUUGGAUGUAUAGGGUAUGGAUUUCCACCUAUUUUUCAUGAUCUAGCUGAUGGUAAGGUAGGAUUUCAUUAAUUUUGAGCUUAGGUUAGUUGAUUCUCUAUUUGAAAUUCUGCCGGUUUUGGGAUCGCGUUUUCGGCCAUUUCCGGUCACUUUUUGGGGUAGGCCCAAGAACAAAAGUAACUCCAAAUGGGGUUUUACACCUAGGGUAGGAGUCUGGGCCUGAUAUUUUGAGGUUUUUUCGGCAAGUGUUAUCGCUUUAGACACCCACGCACUGCCCGUGCGUGGGCACUGUAGCAAAGGUGCAUUUUUACCCCAAUGUGUUCCCCUACUUGUCACGAGUUCGUGGGUGUGCUCGGAUUCCAAUUCGUAUAUCGUUUGACUAUCGAACAGAUUUACGCCUAUUGUGUGUCAUCCGGGUUCAAUUUGUUCGGACCGUUGGAUCGAGUUCAAAUUAAUAUAUGUUGAUCUAGGCACUCCUAGGAUCGUGUAGGAAUUCACGGAUCGUGAAUCGAAGCCCCGGAUGUUCCUAUUCAAUAACUUAAAAUUUGUGUUAAACGAUAACCGUCCGAUCGUGCAAUCGCGAGCGAUCCGACUGCUCGAUCGAGACCAAACUCUUGGGAUGUGUUUAGGAAACUCUGUUGGACCUUUAGGAACUUUUGGAUUGUAAUUGGGAGGUUGUGGGCCCCGUGGGCCAGGUUGAUUAUCGGUUGACUAAUUUGACUAGUGGGACCGGAUAGUUGACCACGAGUCUUUGGAGAACAUUUUGUCUCUUGUUAAGUACUAAGAUGGCCUUAGGGUUUUACAAGGACGUGCACCCCCUGUGAGUCCUGAGAGUUAGGAUUUUGAAUUAAAGUUCAGUGUUGGAUUUGAGUAUUCAGUUAAUCUUGGUAUUCUCUCAAAUAGGUUCUUUGGCGCUAGGAAUCGUUCUUGACAAAACCGCGGAGGGUUGAAUGCGCUUUGGACCGUGUGUGAGUAGACAUUUAUUUUCUAAAUGGUUUUAUGAAACUCUUGGAUUGUGAUUAUAAUUUGUGUUGUUUUAUGGAUUUGAUGAUUUAUGGUUAUUAGUUUUCUAAUAGAAUAUUAUGCAUAUUCGAAUUUAGUUUGAAAACUAUUUUGAAAGAAUUAUAAAUGGUUUGAAUCAAAUAAUGAAAUUGGGGUUUUAUCUCGGUUUUAAAGAGAAUUUUGAUUAAUUAAUUAAUUAUAAUGCAUACUUGGAACUUUAUUUGGUUUUGAAAGAUUUGUGUUUUAUUUGAGAUAACUAAGAAGGGAUUUGAGAAACAGUGUGGUAAAUAGGGAUUUGUGGAAAAAAGAAAAGAAAAAAAAAAGGGCUUUUAUGAUUAAGUGUUGGAAUUGGAUUUCAAACCCACCCUAGAAACCUAUCCCUGGUUGCCUACAAAAUGUAUGAGAUGCCUUGGGAAUAAAUGAGUUGCCUCGGAAAAGAUAAAAAUGGUUGCCUUUGGAAAAAGUGUAAUAAGUUUCCUUCGGAAAUUAUGGUUGCCUUCGGUUAAGUCUGUGCACAUAACUAAGAUUGUCUAUACCUACAUAGAGACUACUCUGUAGGUAUCCGGCCAGAGUAUAUUGUCUGUACCUGUGUUGACUAUGCAGGUGUCCGGCCAGUGAUUUGCCUGUACCUACAUAGAGAUUACUUUGUAGGUGUCCGGCCAGUAUUUUGCCUGUACCUGCUUAUGUGGUUGUUCGGCCAGGAUUUUCCCACUACACCUAUCUGAUUGUCUAUAUAGGUGGUUGAUGUAACACCCAGACUCCAAAUUUAACUCUUAUUUAAAUUAUUUAAUUAUUUAAGGGGAAUUACAAAUUUACCCUUGAGAUAAGGGCAUUUUGGUUAUAUUCUUAACCGGAGAGAGUUUGGGGUAGGUCCAAGAACAAAAGUGGCUCCAAAUAGGGUGUUAUACCUAGGGUAGGAGUUUGGAGCCGUGGUUUUGAGAUUUUCCGGCGAAGCUUUAUCGCUUUGGGCACCCACGCGCUGCCGGUGAGUGCGGCGGCGCAUGGGCACUGUAGAAAAAGUGGCAUUGUGUCUCGAUGAGAUCCUUAGGUUGUCACGAGUGCGUAGGAUUUCGCGGAUCUCAAUUUGGACGUCGUUUGACUAUCGAACGAAUAUCGCCUAUUGUGCGUUAUCCGGGUUCGAUAGGUUGGGACCGUUGGAUGGUCCCAAAUUUAAUACAUGUUAAUCUAGGUAUUUCUAGGAUCGUGUAGGAAUUCACGGAUUGUGAAUCGGAGCCCUGGAUGUUCCAAAUAAGAAUUUUAAGUUUAUAUUUUAUAUUAACCGUCAGAUCGUGCGAUCGUGAGCGAUCCGACCGUCAGAUCGUGCGAUCGUGAGUGAUCCGACCGUCCGAUAUGAACCAAACUUGCAGGACGAGUGUCCUAUACCUUGUAAAACCCAUAGGGACUUUCGGAUCGGAAAUUGGAGGUCGUGGGCUCCGCAGGUCCGUUUGACCAGGGUUAAGGUAGUUUGACCCUUGGUUGACUGUGAGUCUCCCGGAGUAAAUCUCACCUACUUUUCAUGCUCUAGCUGCCUGUUGGGUAAGAUUGGAUCGAUUCUUAGCGUAGCCAAUUCGAUUUUCGAAUUGAAAUUCGGCCGAUUUUGGGAUCGCGAUUCCGGCCACUUCCGGUCAGUUUUUGGGAAAUGUCCAAUUUAUAGAGGAGACUCUGCCAAAAUUUCGGCAGGAAGUCUCGGUCUUUAGUAAGUGGGCCUGGCAUCGGGAUGAUGUCGGGAAUUCCAAAGGGUUUGCCUCGGGUUCUGAAAAAUUCGGGGCGGGUCCUUUCAGUUGAUCAGUUUUCCCCUAUUCUCGGUUACCUCAGUAUAUUGUCUGUACUUGUAUCACAAAUGCGAGUGUCCGGCCAGUGAUUUUUUCCCAGGAUGUUCCCCUGCCACCCUGCCGAUUUAUUACACAGGGUAGGCCAGUUAUUUUCCCCAUAGGUGUACUUGCAUGGAGAGAUUUCGUAUAACUUGGUUUGAGAUUGGAUUUUUGGAUGAUUUGUGUUUGAGCUUGCUUGAUUUAUUGGAUUCAAAUGAUGUUUUGAAACUGGAUUUUUAUGAAAUUAUAUUUUGAGUUGUAUUGGAUUUAAAUGUUAUUUGAAGUACAAAUUUGGGUCAAUGAUAUUUUAUUUACUAGAGUUUAUUUUACUUGCACAUGUAUUGAUUAUAUUUUGUUCCUGUAUAUAUACUUAUGUGUAUUAAUGAGUUUUCCAAAGGUUUGCAAAAACAGAGGGGUUAGUAUGUUCUGUAUAAUUACUUUCAAGAAAAACUUUCUUUUUGUCUACUCAUGCUUUUACUGUUUUGUGCCCCCAUGAAGUAGAUAGCUCAGCGUUCGGACAUCUACAUAAGCUACUCCGACGUCGGUGAAGUCCUUAUAAUUCUAAGUAUGAGACUUCAUCUUUCGUUCUCAUGGUUCAUUUGGAAAAUAAUUUUGUAAAUUCAACUUCUGUAGUUGCUCUGAUAUUUCCCACUUAGGAUUGAAAUUGAGGCCGGAGGCCAUGUGAAUUUUAUGUGUGCCUUAACUUGUGUGUGCUGCCUGUUGAGAUUAUUAGAUUGUCGGUAAUUGCAGGUGUUAAUUUGGAGAAAGUCCAUUUUAGAGAGGAGACUUUACCGAAAAUUUCGGUAGAAGUCUCGACCCUUUUAUCUUAAAAGUUUGGGUGAAAGGUGUAAAUUUAGUAGUGGGUCCGGCAUCUCUUAGGUGUCGGUCAGAUAGCAGGAUUCGACACGAGUUCCAAUGGGAAAUUCGGGUCGGGUCCUGUUAAUGGAGAUGGUUUGAGGUAGAAUUUUCUCCUAUUUCAAUUGGACAAUGAUGAGCUCUAUGUAACAACAAAUUUCUUUAAUAAUGAUAACUAAAAAAAGUGUGAUUCAUUGAAUAUUUGAGGGGUUUUGUUCUAAGUUAACACAUCAAAUUCCUUUUACACCAUCAAAUUCAAAAAAUUUAUUCAACCAUCUCGACCUUAUGCUAAAAAUUUAUUUUGUUCAAACGUAACGUACUAGGUAUUUAUUUUAUAUCAACGAGUACGAUGGUCCAUAUAAGUAUUCUAAUCAUUCACUCCAGUUGCAGGCCCUAAUAAUUUAGAAGGGCUGAUGGUCUUUUUUUUUUUUUUUUUUUUUGGUUGAGAAAUUCUAUGAUUGCAUUCAUAAUUCAGCCAAAAAAGUCACUAGCCAAAAAAGGUUGUUACAAUAACAGAGCGGUCUAAUAUCAAAAUUAAGACAAUCUGGUAUGCCUCCACUAACAAUCAAGCGGGCCAAUGAUCUUUCAUUUGAUGAAAGCUUCUAUCUACCGACCCCGCUAUAUGAACUAUGCAAUGGUGAUGGUGUUACAUUGCUAAAAACAAAAAGUCAAGGUUUCUUAUUAAUGUUAAUGAAGGCAUAGCAAAAAAUUUGUAGCUCCAAUAGUUCAGAGCAGUUACCCAUGCACUUGAAAUUCUGUGUUUGAAUGCCCUCUCCCCUAAUAUUGCUUGUAUAAAAAUAAAAACUUCUAAAAAGACAUUAAUAUUGUAUUCUAUAUUCUAUAAAGUGUUGGACAUGUUUUACAUUGUUGACAACCCCUUAACAUUUUGGUGGUGCCUAGUUAUAUUCAAUUCGUAUGUAUUUAAUUUGCCACUUACAUUCUUUCCUUAAUACAUUUAGGCUUAUUUUUAUACUAAUUUCUCUAACAUAACUUUUGCACAUUCUUUUAGUCUCUAAUAUAUAUAUUUUUUAAUAAAUAAUCUUACCCACUUGAGUUAUAAACUAUUUUCUUUUAGCACAGAAAAUUGACAUUUUGACAAAGAGUUGAAAACCACUCCCCAAUUUUAAUGUCAACCACUUGAAAAAAAAAACAUAAAUUUAAUGAAAACAAUUACAUUUAGCAAUGCAACCUAAAAACUCAACCUUUGCCCCCCUUUCGCAACCCAGAUAGCAGGGUGAGGAUAUUCGGAUAAGAACCAAGACAGAAGCCAAAGGAACUGCGAUAGCCAACCAGAGGCUCCAUUUCUUACCAUCUGAACAACGCCACCAUUUUGUUUGGUAAGUAUUUAAUAACAUUUCUUGCUCUACAUAAAGUAAUAUUAAAACGAAAUUUGCCUAAAUUUUUCUUACCAGCAAUCCAUAUGGAAAAAGAAAAAAAGAAAAAAGAAAAAUACAAUUAUACUCAAUAUAGGAGCCCAAAUUAUUUAUAGUUAAAAAAUCCCUAUAUGAAAUGAACUUUAGAAACACACUCAAAACCUAUUUACAACAAAACAAAAAGACUUUUAACUUCUUUUAAAUUACAAAACUAUCAUUGAUUUCUUAAACAAACCCAACCCCAAAACCUCAUAAAUAAAAAAAGCUCAAAAUACUCAAUAAAACAUCAAAGUAAUUUAAUAAUUAAAAUUAAAUUCAAUAGGGACAUCUGUUAUUUUUUGGGUUUUUUUGUUUGUUUAUAGAAAUUAAAUGAUGUAGAAUCUAUCUAUAUUAUUAGUGCUAAGAAUGGAUAUGUGACUAUAUAACUCAAAAAAAAUUUAUAGUAAAUCUACAAUUUUUUUUUAAACAAAAAUCUAUAGAAUCUUUUAUUAGAUCAAUAAUCAAUAGUCACUACUAGAAAAUCUUCAUAUAAGCCACUAAUACACCCGUAACUUAUACAAAUGUGAGCUACUGACAAACCUGUAGCCAAAGAGUAUUGGCCACCUACCACACGACAGUGGUCCAAGCAUAAUGUUGUCAUUCAUUAUUCCCCACAGCAACCAGCAUCCAAUAAAGGGCUGGGCCCCACCCAUAUUCCACCUCUCUUUGUGAAUAUAAAAGAAAUAUUUUUUAUUCAACAUGGACGCAGAAACUGUUGCUAAACUGCAAACUUCUUAAAAUAUUUGUCUCACUUUCUAGAUCCAUGUACUGAGAUUUAUUAGGGAAAUAUUGUAGAAACUGAUUAUUUUGAAAUAUUAAAUGUGAAAAACUGAACAAAAAUUUGAUGGAUUACAUAUUUCAACUCAUUUCAGCAGCUUAGAUUUUGAAGACCUCUGAAGAGGCUAUGCAAUGAGCCUGGCUAUAGUACACUGUUGAUCACUUCAGUGUCUACCGAUCUGUAAUUUUUCCAGAUUGGUUAUAUUUUCCUUUACAUAUGUAUGCUUAUAUUAUUCCCAGCUGUAAGUGUUUUAGCAACAGGGUUACAAACUUCUUCUACAACACACCAACAUGAAUCUAGCCCUGAUCCACUCUUCACAUACUUGAAAACAAAACAAAACACGAAAAACAAAAAACAAGAUAGGGAGAAAAUGGCCUUGAUCAAUAACAGAGAUAAUAGAGUACACUGUUUAGGGUGAGUAUCAGAAGAAUAAUAGCCGCAAAGAGAGAAAUAGCUGCCCAAGGUGUGUUGAAAUACUUUUGUCUCAAAUUUGCCUUCCAUCUGUUCGUGGUCUUCUUGCAGUACUCGUUUAGUUUGCCAGCAAGAUCACCAAAAUAGUAGUUUUCGGAGCAACUUUACUGCAAAGCUUGUUAAUCAUAAUGGAAACCUGAUUGUUGUCACCUAGCGUGUUUACAACAAUUCCAUUGUCAACAAGCAACUCUACAUCCUUUGGGGUGUUUACAAAUUUAUCCAGGAUGAAAACAUAAUCGCUUAUGUAUUUAUCCACGCAAUGGCAUUGUUCAAAGGCAAUGAGAUUUCUAUGUGUAAGCUCUGUGUAAUCAUGUAUUUCAAUUUUUGGAAUUUCCAAGGUGUUUUUCUUGAACUGUAUAUCGAAUAAGUUCUUGCUUGAUCCCACGUUAAACUUAACUCCGGCCUGGUGUAGUUUUGUCAUGCUGGGUGUACUUUGGAGCCCUACAUUUUCUUUUAGGGUCGGAUCUGGCAGAUGUAAAGGUUUUUUAGGAUCAGGUGGCAUAAAAGACUUACGGAAGGCUGGUGAGUUCUCCAAGUUUUUUCUAAACGGAAGAACCUGUAAGAGAGUUCAAUUAUUGAAGGCUCCCCAGUCUGAGCAGCUGUGAGAUUGUAAAGAUCCUCGAGAAUGAAAAAUGGCAGCUGAUUUUCGAGCAUAAGCAUGUCAGGCAAUAUAUUUUGUGGCACCCAUGGUUUUUUAAAUAUCCAAGCAUUAUCAUCCUGCAAUUUUUCUUCCUGAAAUUUUUCUUCGGAUUUAUUCCUCAACAAUAGCUCAAUGACAAAGGCGGCGUCAACUAGAAUGAUAUUCACAAAAGCAGCAAUGUUAAAACUUCUUAGUGUCUUCAUAACAAUGACGGAGAUCACCUUCUCUCUCCUUUAUUUUCUCUAAAUAAUCCUUCAAUCCUACUACUUUAGUCCGAUUAAGAAAGCAUUUUAGGUACCUGAGUUUGUGAUCUUCCAUGGCUUCUAAGUUUUUGCUGGCAUGGUGAAGUGGGUCUAUUGAGACUACUUGUGGUGUGUAGGCCUUUUGUUUUACGUUCCGUAGUCGCUCAGGCACCCUGUAGAUCCAGCAGGCAGGGGACAGGGCACGCAAGUUUGUCAACCGAUUUUCCAUGGAAGUUGCUUGGUUUUCUAUGUCAAAAGAAGCUUCAUUGCUGCUUUCUUCCACUUUCUUCAUCCCCGUAUGUGUUGUUCUGAUUGUAAGUGACGAGGAUGGUGAUGAUUCUAGACACCAUAAUCAACAAAUGUUUCAAUCAUAAUUGACAUUUCAAGAUGCUCCGACAAAAAAUUAGAAAACAUUCAUCACACAAUGCGAACUCAUACAAUAGAUGGGUUGAGAAGAUCCACACAUUGCAAUCAUACAAUCCAAUUGCACAGGGAUUAGUCCCUAUUCUCCUCUCUCUCUCUCUCUCUCUCUCUCUCUCUCUCUCUCUCUCUCUCUCUCAAAAAGAUUUUCAUAUCGAUAACAUCUUAUUGCAAGGGACUGGUACAUCAAGUAGUGAAGAACAGAAAUUCAUAUUCUUUCAAUCAAAAUGUAUAAAUUUUGAAAAAGUUUGUUUUAUUUUUGGGGGAAAAAAAUCUGAACAUAUAUGUAUGUGCAUAUUAUACGUAGAUCUAAGGUGAAAACAGACCAGAUUUUUACUCCAUUUUUCAUGAGGUUUAAGUUCAUGAUGUAUAUAUUUAUCUCAAGUGUAACAUCUCACAUCGAUCAACGGAGAUGAGGUGAUGUGUCUUAUAUGUACAUGCUCGCCUCCAUCUAGCACAAGGCCUUUUGGGAGAUCACUGGCUUCGGAGUCAUAGGAACUCCGAAGUUAAGCGAGUUGGGGUUAGAGCAAUCCCAUAAUGGGUGACUCACUGGGAAGUUGCUCUUGAGUUCCCAAAAACAAAACUGUGAGGACAGAGAGGGGGGCCCAAAGCGGCCAAUAUUAUUCUACGGCAGAGCCGAUCCUGGGAUGUGACAAUUUGGUAUUAGAGCCACACUGCCGUGUGGUGCGAGUGUGCCGAAGAGGACGUUGGGCCCUUGAGGGGGGUGGAUUGUAACAUCUCACAUCGACCAACAGCGAGGGAGUGAUGUGCCUUAUAUGUACAUGCCCGCCUUCAUCUAGCACGAGGCCUUUUAGGAGCUCACUCACUUCGGAGCCAUAGGACCACCAUCCCAAGUUCAAUAUACAACCCAACAACCAUCUUAGCCAUCUUCUCAUUGAUCUUCCACCCAGCAUCCAACACUAUCUUCAUAAACUCUUUAGCUUAAUAUCUCUGUUGCUUUUGUUUUUUGUUUUUUUUAAUUUAAAUUUUUUAGUUUUUUUUUUUGGUUGGUGCAGAUUCAAUGAUAAAGAACAUCGAACUCGUCGCAACAUCCUGCCCUAGAUCCGAACUCUACCACCAUCACAACCCUCCCUCUCUCGAUCUCCAACCAACCUUAACACCCAACUUCAAAUCUUGGUUGUUUGAAACUCAGCCCCCUUCUCAAACCCCACCCUCUCUCUCUCUCUCUCUCUCUCUCUCUCUCAAAAUCAACAAGAUUUUCAUGUCAAUAAGAUAAGAUCUCAUUGCAAGUGACUUGUAGAUGAAGUGGGAAAGAACAAAAAGUCAUAUUCUUCCAAUCAAAACGUAUCAAGUCUAACAAAAUUUCUAGUUAGUUUGCUUUAUGAUAGUUGUUUUUUGAAGGGGUCCUUAGAUCCAAUCUCAAAAAGUUUGACUUUUAUUAUGUUUAACUCUGGUUUUUGCAAAUUUUUUUUUUUAUCUCUACCCACUAACUUUUAUCUCUCAUUUUUAUUACCCAUUUUACCCUUUAAAAUAAAUAUGGUAAUAAACUAAAAAUUCUGAUUCAAUGCAUGUUCAUAAGAGAAUUAAGGCCCCGUUUGGGAUUGCUUUUUUUCGUCAAAAACUUGUUUCACUUUAAAGUUAAGCAGUUUAAGGUGUUUGGUAAAAAUAAAAUAUCCUGAUUAUUUUAAAAGCAGUGGCCUUUUGACAGCUGCUUUUAAAAGCAGGUUCUGGGUUGCUUUUCAAAGCUGCUUUCAAAAGAAGCAAAGAUGAACUUUUAAUGAAUGUUUUUUAAUUCCCAAAAUACAAUCAUUCAUUUUAAAAAAUGACACCACCUCCACUUCCACAUCCAACUCCACCACUUGCACCACCACAUUCACUACCUCCACAACCACCGCCAUUACCACCACCACCACAUCCUUCUCCUCCUCAUCCUCCGCCACCACCACCAGAAGCAGAUCCAGAAAUUUUUCAGGAGAGGGGCAAUAAUGAUUUUGAUACUGCCCAAUUAAAAACAUAUUAUGAAAACCAGACCCUUAGUUAAUUUAAAGAUUAAUUAGCACGAUAAAAUAAAUACAUAAUUAAUAAUAAAAAUAUAUUAUCACAGUGAAAGAUUAGAUCAACAAACAAGUAGUAUCAAUCAAAUCCUAAUUAAACAAAAACUCUAAUAUCAAAGUGUGAUUUGAGAUCAUUGUGCAAGGACUCUUCUUCGUUGUUGUUUUUUAUUAUUUAAUUUUUUUGACAGAUGGGCUUCUUCAAAUUGGGAGCAUUGAGGUAAGCCUUUUGGUAUUACAUUAUUAUUAUUAUUAUAAUGAAAUAUUUAUUAUAACAACCAAGUAAUUGAAGCCAAACAAUGAAUCUUGAAACGGUUUGCACAAAAAACGAAGAGUUUGAAUUUUUGAAAAACACUUCAUUUAAACCAUUAAACAUAGAUCAAGGACGACGCCGUUUGUGACAAAUAAAAAUAGGGUUGUCUUCUUCAUUCGUGAACCAGAGCCUCCAUCAGGACACACCUCUACAACUCCUCCUCUACAACACAGUGUGUGCCUCAAUCGUGUAACUUGCCAUUUGCGAUUCAGGAGGCCUUAGAUCGUCGCACUCACGAGAUGCGCCUUGAUACACUUUUAAACGCUAGANNNNNNNNNNNNNNNNNNNNNNNNNNNNNNNNNNNNNNNNNNNNNNNNNNNNNNNNNNNNNNNNNNNNNNNNNNNNNNNNNNNNNNNNNNNNNNNNNNNNNNNNNNNNNNNNNNNNNNNNNNNNNNNNNNNNNNNNNNNNNNNNNNNNNNNNNNNNNNNNNNNNNNNNNNNNNNNNNNNNNNNNNNNNNNNNNNNNNNNNNNNNNNNNNNNNNNNNNNNNNNNNNNNNNNNNNNNNNNNNNNNNNNNNNNNNNNNNNNNNNNNNNNNNNNNNNNNNNNNNNNNNNNNNNNNNNNNNNNNNNNNNNNNNNNNNNNNNNNNNNNNNNNNNNNNNNNNNNNNNNNNNNNNNNNNNNNNNNNNNNNNNNNNNNNNNNNNNNNNNNNNNNNNNNNNNNNNNNNNNNNNNNNNNNNNNNNNNNNNNNNNNNNNNNNNNNNNNNNNNNNNNNNNNNNNNNNNNNNNNNNNNNNNNNNNNNNNNNNNNNNNNNNNNNNNNNNNNNNNNNNNNNNNNNNNNNNNNNNNNNNNNNNNNNNNNNNNNNNNNNNNNNNNNNNNNNNNNNNNNNNNNNNNNNNNNNNNNNNNNNNNNNNNNNNNNNNNNNNNNNNNNNNNNNNNNNNNNNNNNNNNNNNNNNNNNNNNNNNNNNNNNNNNNNNNNNNNNNNNNNNNNNNNNNNNNNNNNNNNNNNNNNNNNNNNNNNNNNNNNNNNNNNNNNNNNNNNNNNNNNNNNNNNNNNNNNNNNNNNNNNNNNNNNNNNNNNNNNNNNNNNNNNNNNNNNNNNNNNNNNNNNNNNNNNNNNNNNNNNNNNNNNNNNNNNNNNNNNNNNNNNNNNNNNNNNNNNNNNNNNNNNNNNNNNNNNNNNNNNNNNNNNNNNNNNNNNNNNNNNNNNNNNNNNNNNNNNNNNNNNNNNNNNNNNNNNNNNNNNNNNNNNNNNNNNNNNNNNNNNNNNNNNNNNNNNNNNNNNNNNNNNNNNNNNNNNNNNNNNNNNNNNNNNNNNNNNNNNNNNNNNNNNNNNNNNNNNNNNNNNNNNNNNNNNNNNNNNNNNNNNNNNNNNNNNNNNNNNNNNNNNNNNNNNNNNNNNNNNNNNNNNNNNNNNNNNNNNNNNNNNNNNNNNNNNNNNNNNNNNNNNNNNNNNNNNNNNNNNNNNNNNNNNNNNNNNNNNNNNNNNNNNNNNNNNNNNNNNNNNNNNNNNNNNNNNNNNNNNNNNNNNNNNNNNNNNNNNNNNNNNNNNNNNNNNNNNNNNNNNNNNNNNNNNNNNNNNNNNNNNNNNNNNNNNNNNNNNNNNNNNNNNNNNNNNNNNNNNNNNNNNNNNNNNNNNNNNNNNNNNNNNNNNNNNNNNNNNNNNNNNNNNNNNNNNNNNNNNNNNNNNNNNNNNNNNNNNNNNNNNNNNNNNNNNNNNNNNNNNNNNNNNNNNNNNNNNNNNNNNNNNNNNNNNNNNNNNNNNNNNNNNNNNNNNNNNNNNNNNNNNNNNNNNNNNNNNNNNNNNNNNNNNNNNNNNNNNNNNNNNNNNNNNNNNNNNNNNNNNNNNNNNNNNNNNNNNNNNNNNNNNNNNNNNNNNNNNNNNNNNNNNNNNNNNNNNNNNNNNNNNNNNNNNNNNNNNNNNNNNNNNNNNNNNNNNNNNNNNNNNNNNNNNNNNNNNNNNNNNNNNNNNNNNNNNNNNNNNNNNNNNNNNNNNNNNNNNNNNNNNNNNNNNNNNNNNNNNNNNNNNNNNNNNNNNNNNNNNNNNNNNNNNNNNNNNNNNNNNNNNNNNNNNNNNNNNNNNNNNNNNNNNNNNNNNNNNNNNNNNNNNNNNNNNNNNNNNNNNNNNNNNNNNNNNNNNNNNNNNNNNNNNNNNNNNNNNNNNNNNNNNNNNNNNNNNNNNNNNNNNNNNNNNNNNNUACAAACCACAACCACCAACUCCACGUUCAUCACCACCACUACCUCCACUCCACCACUACCAUUACUACUACCACAACAUGAUUAGUACAUAACACUUUUAACAUCAUGUCUAUUUUAGUCAUUAUUCACAUUUACAACAAUUUUAUAUUAAAAUUUACCAAACGGUUUUGACACUGCUUUUUGUACUAACAGCACUUUAAAAAUAUUGUUUAUCAAACAUGGAGUGCUUUACUUUACAGCUAAUUAUUUUCAAAGCACAGCAAAAGCAAAUUUUUUUAAAAGUGACAGCAAUCCUAAAAAUUCUAUACUCUAACACAAAAAAUAAAAACUAAAAACAAAAAUUAAAAUGGUUAUCAAACAUACACUUAUAUUACAAAGAAAAUAUCAAAUAUUGAACUCAUCAUAAGAGAACACAGAAAAACCUCACCGCUUGCAACUCGUACACCACCACUACACGAACAACUGCUAAUUAAAAUGAGUCACAUGUGGUACUUAACUCUAAAAACUUAUUCAGAUUAUAUAUCGUACUCCUCGAUCAAAACAACCAUGAAACAUAAGUGAUUUAAACCUCUAGGCAAAUGGAAGGUAUAUAACAAUUUAUAGAACAAUACAGUAAUCCAGAAGAAAUAUUAUGAAAUAAAAAGAAUAAAAAGUAAAAAAAGAGAAGGAAAGGAAUUCCCACCUGAUAUGUAUAAGUAUGAAAGGAAGGACCAAGUUUGUUUUGCCUUUGGUUAAUGACUAGAAAAGCUCACUUGCAUAUUGCUUUCUCCGGCCGUAGAUGCAAGAGAAAUUUUCUCUUAAUAAUAGCACAAUGAUCGGGUAAUUGUAAGAACAAGUUGAUUUUAAAUUCAGGUCAAGUCGUAGAUUUCUUGCCUUUUCUAUUCUCCUUCCUUGGACAUGAGCUGUUUAAUCUUGGACUCUUCCCCCAUCAUGUUGGGCCUGUCUUCUUCUUGAGGAUUGUAUAGGCCCAGGAAAUGCUUCAAGGUAGUUUUUGUGUUUUGGGCCUUGAGACCCAACUUCACAAAAAGAAAAUAGAUUUGACCAAAAAACAAAUUUGAAGGAUAUUGAAAUUGUACCUGUAGGAUAGGUUAAAACACCAUAAGGGAGGUAAAUAGUACGUUUACAGAAUUUAAGUGUAAUAAUUGAAUAAAAACAUGCCCAGAGGAUUGAUAAGUGAUAUCAAUUCUUGAAUAUACAGAACGUAAAAUAAAGGAACACGUAGAAAAUUAUUUUAUGUGGUAAAACUCUAUCUCUGGGGAACAUCCACGGGGCUUUUUAGUCCAAAAUAAUCCAUUAUAGAACGAUGAUUACAAGAAGUAUUCACACACUUAUCCUAGACACAUUCUAGAUUAUGUUUACUGACCUCUUCUCAACUUCUGUCUCGAGAUGAUCUUUCGACACUCCUUAUGUUGAACGCAAUACUGGUCACGAUUUCUUCAAGCUCCCUAGAGUUCUUCCAACUCUCCUUGUAUUGAAUCCGACACUAGUCACGAUCGAUUCAAGCUCAUUGGAGAAAAACUGCCACAACGGUCUUAGUGCCCUCAAUCGUAUGAGUCACUGAACAUGCAAAUGAAUACAAUAUAAAUGAUAAAAGUGUUUGAUAAAUCACCAAGUUAUAGAACACUUGAUGAUUUAUCUCAAAUAAAAAUUCAGCUUUACAAAGUUUAUGAUGAAUUGAAAAUAUGAUCGUUAAAGCUAUCUAAACAAAGAAGACGAAGGUCUUAUUUUAUAGAAUUUUUCUUUACAAGAAAGAAAACACGUUGAAAACCAAAUCUCCAAUUUUCAAGGCUUGACAGAAAAUCACAAAAGUAUCUUUCCUAUUCUAGAGAUUGGUCACAUGUAGUUCAACCAAUAGGAAAUGAGAUAUUCAAGAAAGCAAGAUUUUGAUCAAUAUCAAUAUCAGAUCAAUUCUUAUACGCCUAGUCAACUAUUAAGGGUAUCUUGACUCCUUGAUGUUGUGAUAUGAUUGAAACAUGAUUUCCAUGUUAGAAAAUUAAAGGGAUGUUAAAACAUGAAAGUAAUAGAGAAUCAAAUUGAUGUGGACCAAAAUUGCCUAAAAAGAAAACACUCCUAAAUAAACUUCAAUUCACUUUUAAAAAACAGUAAAACAUGAUUGAUCGUUCUUUAAAACAAUUCCCUAAAUAUACAUGCAUGAUAAUGAUAUCACUUACCCUUAAAUCAAAUUGUCACGCCCCGGACCCGAGGGUCGGGUGGAAACCUCACCGCCCAGUGCGUGAGAAAAUAAAAAGAAAAUAAAAUAAAAAGAAGCCGAACAGGGUUUAAAAUAAACUUCUCUUAUAAAAAUAACUCCAAUCUACAACUUUACAAGAAAUAACUAANNNNNNNNNNNNNNNNNNNNNNNNNNNNNNNNNNNNNNNNNNNNNNNNNNNNNNNNNNNNNNNNNNNNNNNNNNNNNNNNNNNNNNNNNNNNNNNNNNNNNNNNNNNNNNNNNNNNNNNNNNNNNNNNNNNNNNNNNNNNNNNNNNNNNNNNNNNNNNNNNNNNNNNNNNNNNNNNNNNNNNNNNNNNNNNNNNNNNNNNNNNNNNNNNNNNNNNNNNNNNNNNNNNNNNNNNNNNNNNNNNNNNNNNNNNNNNNNNNNNNNNNNNNNNNNNNNNNNNNNNNNNNNNNNNNNNNNNNNNNNNNNNNNNNNNNNNNNNNNNNNNNNNNNNNNNNNNNNNNNNNNNNNNNNNNNNNNNNNNNNNNNNNNNNNNNNNNNNNNNNNNNNNNNNNNNNNNNNNNNNNNNNNGAUUUCAAUUGGUAUUCAGAGCGUCAGCUCUUAAUACAAAUAGAGAGAUCCUAGGAUUUGUUUUGGUGUUUAGGUGUGCUCACUGUGGAACGGGAUCGAGUUGCUGGAUCUUGCAACUCCCCUCCUUAUUUUGAUGGAAACAACUACGCUGCUUGGAGAGAAAAAUUUGAGAUAUUCCUUGAUGCUCUUGAUGAGUACGCAAGUGAGUAUCUCACAAAAGAGUGGGUUGCUCCUGUCAAGACUGUUGAGAGUAAUGUUGUGCCCAAGCCUAGGUCGGAAUGGACUGAAGCUGAGGUGUUUGCUGCAUAUUCAAACAAGAAGGCCAGAAAUGCCUUAGUUACAGCCUUGUCUAGCACACAAUUUUCACAUAUACAACACAUCCUAAAUGCGAAACAGGCUUGGGAUAAACUAAGGGUGGUUCAUGAAGGGGAUGACCAAGUUAGAUCCCUAAAACUUCAGAUGAUGCCUGCACAAUUUGAAGAACUUAGGAUGUCUGAAACUGAGUCUAUUUCUGAGUUCUAUGGGAGAGUUGAGAUGAUCACUAAUGAAGCCAUGAGUCUCGGUCAACCUAUUGAUGAGCUUCUUGUUGUUCAGAAAAUCCUUCGUGUUCUACCAUCUAGGUUUAGAGCAAAGAAAACCGCAAUCAUGGAGGUCCAAAACUUAAAUGAAAUUAAGCUUGGCAAGCUCGUAGGAAAAUUGAAAACCUAUGAGAUGGAGUUGAAUAUGGAAAAGAAUGACACUAAAAAAUCAAAAAAUGUUGCACUUCAAGGAGUGAAUGAUUCCUCUCUGAAAGGUGGUGAAAAAUCCUCAGGUUUUGAGGAUGAGAUGGCUUUGUUUGUCAAAAAAUUUAGGAGAAUUCUUAGGGAUAAAGGAAAGUUUGCUAGAAAGGGCAGCUCUGGUAGUGAGAGACAAGUUAGACCAUCAACUGAUCAGUCUAAUGAGAGGAACAAGGAUGUCAAACCUUUCACUAAAGAUUUUAGAAAAUCUGUCAAGUGCUUCACAUGUGGAGGCAUUGGGCACUAUGCUGCCCAUUGUGCAAACAAUCAGAAAAAAUACUCCAAAGGAAAGGACAAGGCCAUAAAAGUUAGCUGGAGUGAGAGUGAAAGUGAAGUGUCUCAAGGGGAUUCAUUUUUCUCUGAUAAUGAUGACCAACAUGUUGCUUUUGUUGCCUCUGUGCAGUCAGUGUCUGAUAAAUCUGAUUCUGAGUCAGAUGACCUGUCAUACGAGUGAUUAGGAAGAAAAUAUGAUUGUUUGUUCAAAGAGACAUUGUCUUUGAAAGAAGAGAGCCUCAAACUUGAGGCCAACAACCAUGAACUUCAACAUGAAAUCCUCAUCUUAAAAGAAACCAAAAAGGAGUUGAGUGACAAAUUUGUGUCUCUAGAAAAAGAAUUUGUUGCACUUGUGUCAAUUAGGAGUAAUCUUGAAAAUCAAGUUAAUGUGCUCAAGGAAAGUAACAUUGGUUUCCAGAACUCAAACAAAUUGCUCCUAGGUAAAUUGAAUGAAGCAAAAAAGUAAGGUUAUAUCUAUGACCAUUGGUGCCUCAAAAAUUGACAAAAUGUUGACUAUGGGAAAACCUCAUGGGGACAAAGGUGGUCUUGGAUUUAAUCAUUUUGAUUCUAGUUCGUCUAGCUCUACCACUAGGUUUGUCAAUUCAAAAACUCCAACCAUGGCUUCUCUUGAUGCUCAGCCGGUAGUCAAGAAACCUAAGUUUGUUCCAACUUGUCACUGGUGUGGGUUGACUGGUCAUAUUCGAUCAAUCUGUCUUAUGUACAAAAAGGAUAAGACUAGAAAAUUGUCUUCAAAAUCUAAAAAUCCAAGAUCUUUGCAAGAUCAGGUUGAUCAUUUGCUAAAAGAAGUAACUAAGAUUGCAAAACUUGUCUCCCUUAAAAUGUGUUCACCUAUUGUGCCUAAGUCUACUUGGGUUGAAAAAGGUCAUACCAAAUGUCUUGUUGUGCUAAAUGCUUUUGCUGCAUCAAACACCAACUCUUGGUACUUUGAUAGUGGCUGUUCCAAACAUAUGUUUGGUGAUAAGAGUGUCUUCUCAUCUCUCAGUCCUUUUGAUGGAGGCACUGUGACUUUUGGUGGAGGUCACAAGUCUCAAGUUUUUGGAAAAGGUACUGUUUGUAUCCCUGGUUUACCCGAGCUUAAGAAUGUUAGAUGUGUUAAGGGUCUUACAUCCAAUCUCAUUAGUGUGAGUCAGCUGUGUGAUGAUGGAGUAAUAGAAGUUAGAUUCUCCAAGCAUGGGUGCAAAAUCGUUGGAAAAUGUGGCAAUGAGAUUGUGAGCGUGACUAGGUCUAGGGACAAUUGCUAUUGUAUUGAUGGUGUCAAUGAUGAAAAAGAAGUAGUUUGCAAUAAGGUUGUGAAUGAAACAAGUGUCUUGUGGCAUCAAAGGCUUGGACAUGUGAACUUUAGAGACUUGCAUAAAUUGUCCAAGAAAGAGUUAGUGAGUGGAUUACCAAAGCUUGACAAAUCUGAUCAACAUGUUUGUGAAGGAUGUCAAUUGGGGAAGCAAGUUAGAGUGUCUCAUAAGAAGGUCAAACACAUUCAAACACAAGUAAGCCUUGAACUUGUUCACAUGGACAUUGUUGGUCCUAUCCAAACCUUGUCCCUUGGUGGAAAGAAAUAUAUUCUUGUCAUGGUUAAUGAUUUCUCUAGGUUCACUUAAGUCUCAUUCUUACGUGAGAAAUCUGAAACUUUUCUAAGGUUUAAGUCUGUUUGUCAUCUUUUGCAAAAAGAAAAGAUGACUAGUCAUCUGCCUCUUGUUAGAAUUAGAACAGAUCAUGGUUCUGAGUUUGAGAAUUCUCAGUUUCUGAAAUUUUGUGAAGAAAUGGGAAUUAAGCAUGAGUUCUCUGCACCUAUUACACCUCAACAAAAUGGUGUUGUGGAGAGAAAGAAUAGAGUUCUUGUUGAGAUGGCUCGGGUGAUGCUCAAUAGCAACAAUCUUGCUAAACAUUUUUGGGCUGAAGCUGUAAGUACAGCUUGUUAUAUCUCAAACAGGGUAUUUUUGAGGUCUGGUACCAAACAAACUCCCUAUGAGAUUUGAAAAGGAAAGAAGCCUAAUGUGUCAUAUUUUAGAGUCUUUGGUAGCACAUGCUAUAUUUUGAAAGAUAGGGAGCAUCUUCCUAAGUUUGAUUCUAAGUGUGAUAAGGGAAUAUUUCUAGGGUGUUCCACUUUAAGCCGAGCUUAUAGAGUGUACAACUGUAGGACCAGAACCAUCAUUGAGUCCAUAAAUGUCAAAAUUGAUGAUUUUGCUGCCUCUACUGAGAUGGCAUUAGAUGAGAAUGGUCUUUUUUCUCCUCAUCUCGUGCAAGAAUCUCUAGGUCUGGAUCUUGUAGUUGACCUGUCAACUUUCGGAAAUUUUGUCCCAGUUGACCUGUCAACUCCUUCAACCUCUAGUUCCAUCUCAUCUAUCCAAGUUGUCAGCUCCCAUGCUGAUCAUAGCCCUCUCACUCAAACUGAGAGUGUCAUUAUUGGUCCUCUUAAUCAGGGAGUGAGAACUAGGAAAUAAUUAGCUCAAGAAAUUAGUCAUGUGUGUUAUGUCUCAAAAGAAGAACCUAAGAAUGUGAAAGAGGCGUUGAACCAUGGUGAAUGGUUUCUUGCAAUGCAAGAAGAGCUGAAUCAGUUUGUUAGAAAUGAUGUUUGGUACCUUGUUCCCAGACCUACCAAUACAAAUGUUGUAGGUACUAAGUGGAUUUUCAAGAACAAAACUGAUGAGCAAGGUAAUGUUGUUAGAAACAAAGCUAGAUUAGUUGCUCAAGGUUACACUCAAAUGGAAGACAUUGACUUUGAUGAAACUUUUGCCCCUGUUGCAAGACUAGAAUCAGUUAGAUUACUUCUUGCUAUUGUUUGUCACUUAAAAUUCAAACUUUAUCAAAUGGAUGUCAAAACUGCUUUUUUGAAUGGUAUUUUAAAUGAAGAGGUCUAUGUUGAACAACCAAAGGGUUUUGAAGAUCCACAUCAUCCAAAUGAUGUGUUUCAGUUAAAAAAGGCACUCUAUGGUUUGAAACAAGCUCCUAGAGCAUGGUAUGAGAGGUUAUCUUCUCAUCUUCUAAGAAAUGACUAUGUUAGAGGGUCAAUUGACAAAACUUUGUUUGUCAAAAGGUUCAAAAAUGAUGUCUUGAUUGCUCAAGUGUAUGUUGAUGAUAUUAUGGUUGGUUCUACCUCUGACUUGCAUGUUCAAGAGUUUAUUCAUGUCAUGACUAGUGAAUUUGAGAUGAGUCUUGUAGGUGAGCUUAACUAUUUCUUAGGUCUUCAAAUCAAACAAAGCCAUGAUGGGAUCUUUGUAUCUCAAUCGAAAUAUGCAAAAAAUCUUGUGGAAAAGUUUGGUUUUGAGGAUGCAAAAUCUGCAAGAACUCCAAUGAGCACUAGUGCUAAAAUUCAUAGAGACUUGCAUGGCAAAAGUGUGGAUCAAACUCUCUAUAGAAGUAUGAUAGGAAGUCUUCUCUACUUGACUGCUAGUAGACCAGAUAUUUCUUAUAGUGUUGGAGUGUGUGCUCGGUUUCAAAGUGACCCAAAAGAGUCUCACUUGUUUGCUGUUAAGAGAAUCAUAAAAUAUGUGAGUGGGACUGUUGAGUUUGGGUUGUGGUAUACCUAUGACACUUGUGUCAGUCUGGUUGGUUAUAGUGAUGCCGAUUGGGCAGGUUGUAGAAACCCCUCCCGGGGGGGGGGGGGGGGGGGUCUUUUAUGUAGGCAACAACCUUGUUGCUUGGCAUAGCAAAAAACAAAAUUCUGUCUCCUUAUCCACUACUGAAGCAGAGGAUGUUGCAGCUGGGAGUUGCUGCACUCAACUCCUUUGGAUGAGACAAAUGUUGGAAGCUAUGGUCUUGCUCAAUCAUGCUUUCUCAUCUAUUGUGACAACAUGAGUGCCAUAGACAUUUCUAAAAAUCCUGUUCAACACUCUAGGACUAAGCAUAUAGACAUUAGGCAUCAUUUUAUUAGAGAUCUUGUGGAAGAUAAAAUUCUAUCUUUGGAAUUUGUUCCCUUUGAGAAACAGCUAGCAGAUAUACUCACCAAGGCCUUGGACUUUCAGAAACAUGUCACACUUAGGCAGUCCAUUGGCCUUUGCUCAAUUGAUUGAUUAGCUUGUCUGUUCCUUAUCUUCAGCACAUUGCAGAAUUGUUGACUAGUCAUCUUCGUUUUAGUUGACUAGUCAAAUAUUUUUUUGGUGUGUAAAUGUCUAAAACAUAUGCUUCUUCUGAUCUCUGGUGGUAUGAAGUUUGAAUCAUUUUAUGCUUUGCCUGAUUUGUGGAUAAUUCCCCCCUUCUUGUUUGGAGCCAUUAGAUGAAAUCUUUUGGUGUUCUUUCGUCCUCUUGUUGAGACAAGUGUUGUGAUCCAUUAUGGACAAUCAUUGUUAUAAUCUCCUAUCUUUUCUCACUCUCUUAGGCAAUUUGUUUAGCAUUAAACAAAAAAUAAAAAAUAAACAAAAAAUAAAAAAAAUAAAAAAAAGUGUGACCAAUGUAGUCACGACUCUAGGAAGGUAUAAGGUGUUAUGAUUGAAGAAUCUAGAGCAAGAGCCGCAAAAUUGGGCCACUCAAGCACUUAAGUCUAGGAUGUGCAAAUAACAAGGAUAAUAAAUGGCCAGAUUGAGUGAUGAAAAUCAAAUAGGUUGGGUUUAUGCCUUGAGUUUGUCUUGAAGGUUUAUUAUAUACUUGUCUCUCCAAGAGGGGUAUUUCUUCUUCUCUUGUGUUCUUCUUUUGGCUCUGAACCUCCUCUGUCCAUUUUGCCUUAUCUCUGAGCAUGAAAUCUAAUUCAUAUUCUAUCUAUCAGAGUUAGUUGCACUUGUUUUUGUUUGCACAUGUGGUUAUCUUCUCUCUCUCUUCCUUCCUGUGCUUGAAGAUUUGGACUAGGCUAUAGUAGCUAAUAGAUCGUUGAUCACUUGAUAUAUUUGCUAGUUCAUGUUUGUGUUUUUUUUUUAAAAACCCACAAUCUUGUCUUCCACAGGGUCGAUACUAACUUUGAUGCGUGUCAUGAUAUUGCCUUAGUUGACUAGUCAUCUAUGCUUAUGGUUGACUAGUCAUCCGGUUGUGUUAUAUUUGAUGCCCGUCAUGUUAUUGCCUUAGUUGACUAGUCAUCAUUUUUGUGGUUGACUAGUCAUCUAGUUCUGCCUGUUUUUGUUAUUGCCUUGGUUGACUAGUCAUCAUGCUCAUUGUGGUUGACUAGUCAUCAGGUUUUUCUCCUGAACAAUACGUCCUUUUCUUUAGCGGUUAUUCUUAUUAUUUUAUUUUUUUUUCAUUUUUUUUUCUUCUCUUUUUUGUGUUUUGAGCGGUUCUUUUUCAUUGGGGUCAGUUUUCGCAUUUUUUCCUUUUUAGGUCUGUUUCCCUCUUCUUCGUUAGAGUCUACUUUCACUCCCGUUCUCUCUCUGUUCUCUUCAGACACAAACCCAGGCCCCCGCUUCCCUUUCUCCCUCUGUGUUAGUCUCUUCGCCCCUUCUUCCCUCUGUUUUUCUCUUCCAAUUUCUUCCCGCUGACCACCAUGUCGUCCUCCGCGCCCUUCCUCACUUACCAGCGCCGCUCCAAAUCCAAAUCCAAUGACAGAGUGGAUUUUAUACCCUCCAUUCCUAGGGCUCCUAGGACUCGCUCUUCUCACUCUGUUCCCGCUGGAGACUCCUCCCCGUUUGUGUCUCCUGAGGCAGCCUCGUUCUUCGAUGGUGUUGUCUCUAAAAGGAAGUUUGUGCCUGAGAGAGCUUACCAAAUUGAUGCUCCCCCCUUAGCGGCCCAGGGUUCUGCAACUCAGAUUUUUGAGCACUGCCAUCUCCAUUCUCUCAACACUCUGUCUGGUAAGUUCAAUGCUUCUGUCGUUAAAGAGUUUUACUCGAAUUUUCCUGCUGAUCCUAAGGGGUCUAAUUAUCAGUGUGUUGUUCGUUAUGUGCCCAUUACUCUGAGACCCUCUGUCAUUAAUAGGGUUUUAGGUUUUCGGUCUUGCCCUGGUUUUGAUUCUGAUCAGUUUGCUCUUGCCUCUUCUCAAUACACUAUUGAUCUAUUUAAAACCAUGGCCUAUACUGAUCAAACAAUGCCCCUGACUUCUAAAGGUGUUCCUAUGAAGUCUUAUCUGUCACCAUUCUACAAAUUUCUAUGGGAUUUUAUCUGUCACAAUGUUCUCCCAACUAGAAAUAAUUCAAACCCCACUUUGGCUGGCUGUCAACUCAUGAUUUCAAUGGUGAAUCAUGAUAAAAUUCCCUUUGGGGAUAUUCUUUAUCAUGCAAUUCUUGGCAAAACCAUAGGUCAUGGUACAAAACACAAAGGGACUCUUGUCUUCCCAUGUCUUAUCCAGCGUCUCUGUGAGAGAAACCAGGUGGUUUUUCUUGACUCUGAUCAGUGCACUCCUCCUAUUGCUCCAUUUGGCAAGGCUUUUGUUGCCCUUAGCCAAAAAGUUUCAAAAACUUUUCUCACCUCUGUGUCAUCUACUUAUGAAAAUGACUAUCUUAGAUCUCAGCUUGCUACCAAGGAGAAACAUAUUCAACAUCUGUUAAGCCUCAUUCCAUCCUCUUUGGUUCCUGCUGCUGCUGCUGCUGAAGUACAUCCUCAGCCGACUCCUGCCACGGAGGUCUCAGAUGAUUCUGUAGAUUCUGAUGAGUCUGCUGAUUCUCUUGUUUUUUAGCUACAGUGAUCUUGUAGGCAAUGUCCUAGAUAGGGGGAGUAUUUUUGGACAAGUAUAUGUUUGUAAUUCCCUUGUGGAAAUUUGUUUUUGCUUGGGUAGUCUGUGCAUCUUGAUAGGGGGAGUUGUGUUGUAUUAUUUUGAACAAGUGAUUUUUGCUUUGUAAUCAACCUAUGCUAUGUGUUUUUCACUUUGUUCAAAUCUGAUUAUCUGCCUUGUGUUUCAUCCCCUUGUAUGCUGACUCUCUCUCCUUGCACUUUCCUUAUCAACAAGGAGGAGAACACUCUCAACCCCCAUAUUGCAUAUUGUUUCAAAAUUCUGUGAUAUAAUAUGCCUGUUUUUGUGCCUGGAAGAUUGGUUGUUCUUGCAGGUAUCCUCACUUCAUCAUCUCCUUAGGCUUGGUUUUGGGUUGAGUGUUGUUAGAGAGUGUGUUGUCAAGGAAAGCCAAAAAGGGAGAGAUUGUUAAUGUAUGCAUUUUGGGUUUUUCUUUUGGCUUCCCUUGACAACUUUGUAAUAGGAUCUCUAUUGUUAUUUAUCAAGCUCAAGUUUAGAUUGAGAAUAGCUUCUCUAGGUGUUCUUAACUAACAACUAUCAUAUGGAGGUUCAUGCAAAUUGGCAAAGGUAAAUUGUGCAUUGCAUAACAUUGCAUUAUACUGUUUUCAUAAAAUGAUGACUAGUCAUAUGUUUCUUGGAUGACUCGUCAUCCUUGCUCUCCAGCUUGAUAACCAACUUUUUUGUCCUAUUCCUUUUUCUCUCUCUGCUGCCACAUGGGAUUCUGACCUAAGGGUAUUUUUUGGUCUGUAUAGGCCUUGCGAUUCCUCUUUUGGCAAGCCGUCUCUUUUGUGUAGAAUUGGAGGAAAGAUUGGUUUUCUAUAUUUCCGUUCUUCUUCCACAAGAAAGAACAAUAUUUCAUCUAUGAGUUUUUCCAAAUUGAUUUCUUUAUGAAAAAACUGCAUUUGAAAUAUGAAUUUGCAUCUAGCUUCAUAAAAACAUUCUCUCAUUUAUAUCUAGGUCAGAUUCACUACUGAUUUCUUCAAGAGUAUGGUUUCUUGAAGAAAUUGGUUAUUCUCCCUUGAAUCCAAAUUUUGGUUUCUGUUUGAGUUGAGCUUGCAAGCUGGUGCCAUGGGAUGAAUGACUGAAGAAGGAGCUGCCAUUGCCAUGAAGAACUGGGCUUCAAGCUUUGCUAAGUUAGAGAAGAAGAUUGCACAAAGGAGGUAUUGCUCAUCUUCCUAAAUAGAUCUAGGUUUUGCUUGAGCUUGCUUGUGUUCCUUUGUAAGAAUCUUUUUCUACUUAGUUGAUUGCCUGGUCGGUUGAUGACCCCCAGUUUUUUCCCAAUGGUGGGUUUCUGGGUGAACAAUUUCUGAUUGCAUUCUUGUAAUUUUUCUGGGUUUGUGUUCUUGGUGGUCGACUAGUCAUCGUAUGAAUUAUGGUUGACUAGUCAUCAUUAUCUGCUGUUUGGUGUUUGCUUGAUUAUGCUGUCUUCACACGUUUUCACCAUAGUUGUUGCUAGCACAGGGGAUGCCUAGAUUGAUGGGUCUUUCUGAGUGCCUAGGUUGUCACUAGUAAUUCUCUAGGCCUGCAGGUACAUCAUGGUAUGUUCUAUGUAUGUUGUUGUUUGGUAUAAUUCAUAUCUGACAGUUGACUAGUCAUAAGAGUGUGUGAAGUUUGUUGCAUUUUUGGCUGAAUAUCUUUUAAGUUUACCCAUCGUCACCUAAGUACCGAUUUCAACAUGAGACCUUGCCACAGUAGAUUGAUAUAACUAAAUAUUAUCAUAAACAUAGAAAUAUAUAAGUAUUAUUAUAAUAGGAUUCAUAAUAAUUAAUAUAAAAGUAUAACAACAACAUUUACAAUUAUGUACCAAGAUAAUUACACAUAAAAAUAUAACCAAUAUAUAUUUAUAUAUAUUUUUUAAAAUACGGAUCUUUACGUAAAUGCCUUUCACGGGUCAAGCCACAAGUCUGUGUUUUGGGGAUUGCAGAGCUGCAUCAAUCUUGCCAAUGUCAAUUCUGACCCUGGGCUCUCUCAAAGCACGUUUAAAACCUAUGCUAACAUAUACUAGAGUUUAUGCUGUAUCUAGAAAAUGCCAACACUAAUUUCGUAACACAUAGAAUUGUUAGAGAUUAGAAGUUUUUAUCAUUUUUUCUUCCAGUCUCUCCACCACUCACUAAUACAGAUUACUCAUGUGAUGAGUUUACAAAACCUAUUUCUCUACUCUCGCAAAGACUAUACUUCUUCUCAAAAGACUAGAUCACUUUACCUCUAUCUCUGUGAAAUGUAAAAAGUUGAAACUUUAAUGUCAAACCUCGACAAAGUGUUCUACUUACAAACUUCUUGUGUCUACCAAUUUCUACAAAAAUUAAUUUCUCUACGGUGCUCAGAUUCAUCAUAUGUGUGUCCUUAAUUUUAGUGGAAAUUGGAAGUUUCCAUAAUUUUUGCUUUAAGUCACUCUUUUGAAGGAAGUUGAGAUUCCACUCCAUAAUCCAAAAUGUCAGGUUGACUUAUGGCAAACAAUGUAAAUAUGUAGGAGUACUAUGACCUUUUAUAGCAUUUUAAGUUUGAAUUUGGGUUUUAUACAUAGAUUUCGAAAUUAAUAGGUUGAUGCCUAGGAAAUAGAAAUUGUAAGGGCCUAUAUUAGACUAGCCCUCUUAAAAAAUAUAUUAAUUAAUGAAUAUUUGUUCUUCUUCUUGUUUUGAAGUAGUGGUGGGAGGCAGACCAACAACAAAAAUAUAGUGAAGGCUUAUAAGAGCAUUUACAAUUAUGCUCCCUAUUUUUUAGUUAAUAUUUAGGUAAAAAUAGAAAAAAGUUAUUAUAUGAGCUCUUUAUAAAAUUUGAACUCCAAUCAUACUCCCUAGUUUAGGGAGUCAAAAAUACUAUAGUUAUUUUUUAAUUCAAAUUGAUUUUGGUUAAUCUCUAUAAAUAAAUAAAAAUAUAAAAAAUAGUUAGCAUUAAUUAAAAGUUUAAACUAUGCAUAAAACAAAGAAACAUUAAAUUAUAGGGAGCCACUAUGAGUCAUUACUCUCUCUUCAGAUUUAGGAGCUCCUAGAGGUCUCCCUAUUUUAUGAGGUGGAUAAAGAGCAUGGUUGGAGUUGUAUUUCUUCAAUUUCCUCUCUAAAAUUUGUCUAAGGAUGUGGUUUAGGGAGCCCAUUGUGAAUGCUCUAACUCUGGUAAAACACGAGUGACAUGGACAACAUAUGUUACAUCGUACUGAAGAUUUUUGGGUUUCUUUAAUUGGUUAAGUAGCAUCCACAAUGAGCUUUCUAAAUCAUCUCCUUAGACAAAUUUUAGGGAGGAAUUGGAAAAGUACAACUCCAACUAUGCUCCCUAUCCACCAACUAAAAUAGAGAGACCUUUAGGAGCUCAUAAAUCUGAUGAGAGAGAAAGAACUCUUAAUGACCCCCUAUAAUUUAAUGUUGCUUUAUUUUAUGCAUAUUUUGAACUUUUAAUUAAAUCAAAUUAUUAUUUUUAUAUUAUUUUGAAUACAGCCGGAUCAAUUAUAUUAAAUUAAAAAAUAAUUAAAAUAUUUAUAACUCUCUAAACUAGAAAGCAUGAUUGUAGAUCAUCUUAUAUACCUUAAUUUGAAGAUUCUUUAUUUGGGUUUCUUUCAAGACUUAUCACCUUAGCCACACCACCUACACGUCUGCAAGCUUCCGUAAUCUAACAAGGAAGGGGAGGCUGCGCAAUACUUAUCACCUUAGCCACACCACCUACACCACAAGACCAAUAUGUGUAGUCCAGCAGGCUUUCCAAUUUUAAUAUAUAUUAUAAAAUAAAAUAAAAAUCAAUCUAUUAUCAUAUAUAUUAUAAAAUAAAGAUUAUUGCUCCAUCCUCCAUGCACUUGCAUGCCCUCUUACAAAGUGUGAAGUAGAUUUUGUGUGCUCCAAGUCAUUGACGAGAGCUGUAACAUGGUUAGCUGGAUUUAUAAGAUCUUUUCUUUUCUGGGAAUUUUCUGAAUUAAGAAAAAUCAAGUAAAAUUAAUAAAGCAUAAAUUAGAAAGGGAAAAUAUCUAGAGGAUGCAUUGUAGGAUUGCACAUGCCAAUAAUUGUAUCCUCUAAAUAUAUAGCGACACAUUUUUUUUGUUUUCAUGACUUGUGGUCCUAAAAUUAUUGUUCCUAGCGGGCUUUUCACCCUCUCUCGAUUGAAAAUCAAUUGUGUAAAUCUUCAAUCUUGAAUGAUGCACCUAAAACUCAAGUGUCCCAGGCCAAUUAUUGCUCUCAUACCACUUGUUGUAAUAAACAUUCACCCAUUCUAAAGGAAAGAUAACCAUCGAUAUUAUCUGAAAUUUAACCACUUAAGUUCAUUAUGAUUAACUAUGUAUCUUAUGGACCAAUCCAAUCGUAAGGUUUUAUACUCAAUUAGAUCGACCAAUACAAAGUUCACACUGGAUUAAAAAGGGCUAUCGGUAGGGGAGUGUUCGGCACCCUUUACUGUGGAGCGCAACACAAGACCCCUUGCAUGCCCUCACUAAGUUGAGCCCAACUAUUUUUGAGCAUUAACAAUAUAUAUAGAUUGAAAAAAUAAAAUAAAAAUCAAUCUAUUAUCAUAUAUAUUAUAAAAUACAUAUUAUUGCUCCAUCCUCCAUACACUUGCAUGCCCUCUUACAAAGUGUGAAGUAGAUUUUUUGUGCUCCAACUCAUUGACUAGGGCUGAAACAUGGUUAGUUGGAUUUAUAAGAUCUUUUGUUUUUUGGGAAUUUUCUGAAGCACGGAAAAUCAAAUAAAAUUAAUAAAGCAGAAACUGUACCCUUUAAUUAUAUAUGGACAUAUGUUUUUUUGUUUUCAAGUCUUAGAUGACAUGGGGACCCCUCUCAAAUUUAAGUGGUCCAUUAUUGUUAACCACAUAUUUUAUGGACCAUCCAGCUUCGGUACAUUUCUCCCACAUGCCACAAUUGUAUAUUCACAAUUACGUCUGAUACAUCACAUCAUGCCACUUGCCUCACAUGCCACAAUUGUAUAUUCACAAUUACUUCUGGGUACCCCUCAUCAGUCGUCUAUAAAAUGGUGAAGCCAGUUGCUACUGUUACCAUAAGAGCCAGCUCCGACUUUCUUUAAUUUCUUGCUACAUCUGUUGCUAAGUUAAUUUCAGUCCUAAUGGGGUUUCAUCUCCCACUCAUCUUUGCUAUUCUCAGUGUAAGCUCUGCAAUUUGAUUAACUUUUCCAUUCUCUCUCAUUGUACUCUAUAUAUAUAAAUGAAAGUUUUGUGUUCCUAUAAUUCUCUCCGAUUUUAUUUAGUACGUACUUAAGUGUCGUCCACUAAUUAAUUACACUUUGUGAGAUUUGAUUUUAAUUAGAGUUCGAAUUAAUGUUGCAGCUAGCAGCGGUUGCACUGGCAAACAAUGCUGCUCAACCAGCACCUCAACUUUACUGGAACUCCGUCCUGCCAAACACACAGAUGCCAAGAUCUAUCAGUGAACUUCUGCAUCCUGGUUUGUGUUCAGCUCUUUAUAAUCUUAGAUAUCUCUUCUACCUGCCAUUUUACUAAACUAUGUUCGACCACAUAUUUAUCAGUUAACUACUGUCAUUACAAGAAUGACACUUAUUUUCCAAUAUAAUUUGCAGACUCCACAAAUGAAGAAAAGAGCAAACCUGAAAUUUUCCCAUUGCAGGGCAAUAGAGUUUACACUCAAAGCCAUUAUAAAAAACGUCCUCCUCCUCCAUCUGACGAGGGCAAACCUGAAAAUUUCCCAUUGGCCAAUAGCUUUUACACUCAAACCCAUUAUAAAAAACGUCCUCCUCCUCCAUCUGACGAGGGCAAACCUGAAAAUUUCCCAUUGGGCAAUAGCCAUUAUUCUCAAACAGGGUAUGCAAAAGGUCCUCCUCCUCCUCCUAAAAUUUUCCCAUUUUCAGGUUACAGUCGAAAAAGGUAUGGAGGAAGUCCUCCUCCUCCUUCUCCAUUCGUUCAAAAAGACUAUGGACAGAACGAUAAACAUUACGUUCAAAAAAACUAUGGAAAAGUUCCUCCUCCACCUGACAAUCAACUACUCCAUUAUAAAGACUUGGCUAUUUUCUUCUUCGAGAAGGACAUGCGCCCUGGCGCAACAAUGAAGUUCCAAUUCCCUAGAAAUUCAAACACGGCUACUUUCCUGCCACGCGAAAGUGCUCAAUCGAUCCCCUUCUCCUCUAAGAAACUACCAGAAAUUUUCAACCAUUUUUCAGUGAAGCCAACAUCUGAGGAAGCCAAAACAAUUAAGCAAACAAUCGAAGAGUGUGAAGCUCCAGGCCUUAAGGGAGAGGAAAAAUAUUGCGCCACAUCUUUAGAAUCAAUGGUUGAUUUUAGCACUUCGAAGCUUGGAACAAGAAACGUUGAAGCAAUCUCAACGGAGGUAUUGGAAGAAGGAGCCACCAAGUACAUGCACAACUAUACAACAAUGCCGGGACUGAAGAAGUUGGAAGGUGACAAAGUCGUUGUGUGUCAUAAGGAGAACUAUCCCUAUGCUGUGUUUUUCUGCCAUGCAAUAAAACAAACAGCAGCUUAUGUUCUCUCCCUGAAAGCCGAUGAUGGGAUGAAGGUGAAAGCAGUAAC
This 327929-nucleotide long non-coding RNA is filed under the name Prunus persica (peach). Its description in RNAcentral is "long non-coding RNA (PPER_LNC001496)". The stretch from base 149109 to 149215 matches the Rfam family "Plant small nucleolar RNA R71". The record is from RNAcentral. Lineage: Eukaryota; Viridiplantae; Streptophyta; Magnoliopsida; Rosales; Rosaceae.